RNAcentral lists this long non-coding RNA (256759 nucleotides) under Coffea arabica (coffee). Its description in RNAcentral is "long non-coding RNA (CARA_LNC004299)". The stretch from base 190644 to 190750 matches the Rfam family "Plant small nucleolar RNA R71". Lineage: Eukaryota; Viridiplantae; Streptophyta; Magnoliopsida; Gentianales; Rubiaceae. The record is from RNAcentral.
AUACAAUUUCCAGUACACCAAUGGGGACGUGCCCAGGAGCAUGAUAGAUUGGCAACGCCCAGUAUUGCUCAACACAGUCGACCGCAUAAUCACGUUGAAGAUACUCUCUACUAGUGUAAUCACGCACAUCAAGUGCAUAUUCAGGCAACCCACUGCAGAACACCCGACCAGCGGGACCAAUUAGCUGUACAUCAUCAUCAUCAUCAUCCACGGGUAUUAAGUACUCCAAACAGUGCUUCCUAUAUUCACAUAGUUUCUUGACCUCUAGAUGACUGGAGUAUUGGAGAGCAAAAGGCUGGUCACAAGUUGUCAAAUACGUUUUGUCGCCAAUCUUCACUAAACCCCAAAACUGAACUAGACACCGCCACCACUCCGGCAAAAGUGGGUCUAAAAGAAGUUCUAGAAAACGUUUGAUCUGGUUCUUAAUCAUGGCACCGUCAGCAGCUGCAAUAGGAAAAUCAGUAAAAAAUAUUAAAGGAUGCUUACUAGUAUAUACUCUACUUUGGCUAUGAAUGGUCGAGUUGGGCCUUUCUGUAUUUAUUAAUUGCAGAGUACUCUACUGAUUGACCCCUGCUUUUACCGAGACGCAAAAAAGGGUCAAAGAAAGAAAGUUAUACAUGUACUCGUGAUCCAUCAUAAACUUUGAGCAAAUUGCAGUUUAGAAAAAUUCCAAAUUCACAGACUUGCAACCUAAAUCUACAGAUCUGAUGAUGUAUCCAUGUAUAAUUUUCCCAAACAUUAAUAGAUGUACCUUCCAAUUGGAUGGCCCAAGUCUUUGUAUCUUUCUAACACCCAUAUAAUCGUUUAAUUUGUCAUAAAAAACUAAUUAGUUACUAGAAUAUUUUCUGUUCUAAAUUGUUCCAAUUUAUUCCCCAGGAGUUUUAUCAGAGUCAGACUUUAUAGCUAUUACAAAUUUAAUUGUGAUAAAUAGUCCAACAAAAAUAUCCACAUACAUACAUACAUACAUAUUAUAUAUGAGAGAUUAUUGAAAGAACUCCAUACUUACUGGCUGAGAGAUGAUGAGACUUUCCGCAGCGUCCUUCGUCAUCGCCGCAUCUGCUCCAGAAAACCCACAGUUGCUUCAGAAGGUCAGGUGAAUGGUAAGUUGAACGGGAACAUGAUAGUUCACAGGGCCCCAAACCUUCCGUAGAAAAAGGAGCAUGAGCUUCUAUUGCCAUUUGCCCAAGAGAAAACUACAAAUCUUCUGGAUCGACCCUGUUCCCCGAUUCUCAGUUUCUAACAACUCGAUCUAUUUUAUCUUCUGCAUAGGAAAAUAUGCAUAUACACACACUCGAAGAGUUCAAAGUCAAUAGACGACGAGAGAAAAAGGACCGACAGGAAGAAGUACAAGCGAAAUAACGAGGAAGCAAACAACAGCGAGCAAGGCCAAAGGGUUUAAACAGCCAAUAAGAUAAAGGGAUAAUUUCAGGAACCUCCCCUGAGGUUUCUGACUAUUCCAAGAAGCUCCCUUCUAGUUUAAAAAAUUACAUCUACCUCCCCUAUGAUUAGCAUUUCAGUAACAAUAUAGACCCAAUAUGUUAACUUUCUCCUCAAAAAUCCUAAAAUGUCCCUUUGUUACUUAGAAGGGGGGAAAACAAAUUAAUAAAUUUUUUUGAUAUUGCAACUAUUGUAAUCGGCAUAAUCACCAUCCUAACGAAGUCAAUAAAUCACUUCACCUUAAUUCCCAUAUUCUUGCAAUUUUGGCAGCCUACUAUUGCCGCCUCAAAGUUUUCCAUGCAAAUCAACUACGACCAUUAAAGUCUGCAUUCAACCUAAUAUUUAGUCUCAUUUUUUCCCCUAAAUUGAAUGUUGAAUUGAUCAAUGUCACUAUUUAACUUUGUUGUUACUAAAAUAAUGUAACCUACUAAGAAUACCAACACGGAACAAACAAAAGCAACACUAGAGACCACAUCCCAUGUCUCUAGGCAAAUCUAAUUAUAGUUUUUAUAUCUCAAAUUUCUUUUUUACAUAAUUGGUAUAAUAUCGUAACCUUCUUUAAUCCGCAUUCCCUUUGUAGCUAUCAUUUUUAUUUUCCUGUAUAUAUUCUGUAUCACUACCGUCUUUUUCACCUUUAGUUAGUUUGAUAACAAAUAUGAUCCAGCAACUUGUCAUUUUGUAAUUUCAAUUCAAUUAUACUUAUAAAAAAAGAAAACAGAAGAGAGAGUGUGUGUCUAUUUGCGAAAAAAGAGAUGUAAGAGAAAAAAGAUAAGAGAAAGAGUUAGAGAAAUAGAACAAUAGUUUAGUUUGUGUGGUAGCAGAUGUUUUAAAAUAAAAGACUAGUUGUAAUUGUAGAGUUUUUUUGUUUGUAGGAAUUAUUUAUAAGUGAAGGAUAUUAUAGUCAUUUUACUACAUGAAGGGAGGUUAGUGUAAUUAUUCAAACCUGAAGGGAGGUAAGUGAAAUUGUCAGAAACCUCUCUUAAGGAAGAGAGGUUUCUGAAAUUAUCCCUAAGAUAAAUUCGUCCAAAGCCCAAACAGUUCAAUGGGUUCAAAGCUCAAAUUGUUCUUCACGCGGUUUCAACAGUUCACGAAGAAGUUAGCUGUGCUUUAUACUUUAUAGGUAAAGAUUAAUCUCUUGCACUUUCACCUAAUCAGACCCCACAUCGGAUGCUGUACAGAGCCAAGCAGGAGCAACGCCAAAUGGUUCAAUGAGUUAUGGGAAAGCAAAGCCAGGUGGUCCAAAGAGUUAAAUUGAGUAGGGUCAAACAGUUCGUGUGUAUAGGAUUUUUCUAACAAUGUACAAUAGACUCUCUAAAAUUCACACACUAACAAUUAUUACCUUAUUUUACACUUAUAUUCUAUGAUUUGGCAAAAUUGUGGAUAAAUAUUUAAAUAAUUAUUUCUUUAUUAAAAGGAUAUAUUUGAUCCAUACAUAUGUAUGGUUUAUUCAAUUAAAUUGUGCCACUUUAUAUGUCCCUAUAAUCCUGGGAAAUCAAAGAAAUAUUUAUUAAUAUUAUCUCUUUAUUAAUAAAUAUAAAAAAUAGAGAGAUAAUAAUUAAAAUGAUGCAAUUCUUAUAUGACUGUAUGACUAGACAAGUAAGACGACACAUUUUCAACCUCUACCCUAUUCUACAACUAUAAAUAGGGGUCUAUUCACCAAAGGUCAAUCACUCGUCAGAUAUUUCAUACUCUCGUAUUUUCUUGAAACUCCAAGCUUGUGAAAGACAAAGAAUUAAUAUAAUUUAUAUAAAAUCUCGUGGUUCUUUGGCUAAUUGGAAGUGUUAGAUUUUUAGUUGAUUAAUCCUACUACUCCAAAGACGUCACGUUUGGAUUUGGAAGCAACAUUACAAUUUCAUGGGUGGACUGACGGGGGAUUAUUAAAUUGAUGGGUCUGGUGUGUUCUAGUUUGUAAAUAUUGGGUGCCCCGGAUUAAUUAGGUAAGGUGAGAUUUAGUAAAUUCUAUGCUUUUUUUUUUCCCUCCCUUUUAAGAGCAAUUCCAUGCAUAAUUGACGUGUCAUUAUUUCAUGAUAACGCUGUUGCAUAUAGUCAAGAUUUAGAUAAUCGUUAUUCAAUUAGAUUUGAUCCUUUUUACUUUUCUUAAAGUUAAAUUUAUUCCUUUUUUUUUGGGGGCUUAUCUAGUCUUAUACAUAAGGACUCCUUCUCUCUCCUAUUUUUUUUUUUUUUUUGGGUGAGUUUUGUGAAAUUCUUCCACCUAACGCUUAUGCCAGACAUUGCCGUCUCGAGGUCAGGGAUGUUAGUGAGUCGAGUUACUCGCGAACUACUCCCGAGUAGCUCGGUCAACAACUUGACUCGAACUCGGUCAACCCGAGUUCGAGUAGCUCGACUCCACAUCGAGUCGAGUUUCGAGUCGCAUUUUCCGGACUCGUGGCUCGUCGAGUAGCUCGACGAGCCGCGUUAAAUAUUUUAUAAUUUAAAUAAUAUAUAUUUAUUAUAAUUAUAAAAUGACCAUUAUAGGUAUAAGUUUUAUGAAAUUUACAAUAUACCCUUCUUUAUAAUAAAAUCCGGCAAAAAAAUAAUAACAUAAUUGUAAAAAACAUUAAAAAGAAAAAAUGUCUACAAAAAAAGGAAGAAAAGACUUUCUUCCUUCUCUGCGACUUUCUUCUCCGUUCGAAGAAAGCCUAGCAAAAAAAUUCACUUUACCAGCCGGCAGCCACUGAGUCUGACUGAUUUAGAUCUACACCCUCACUCCGUUCGUCGCCGACGCCGUUGCUCGCCGCAUCUGUGAGACUCCAUCGCCAUCGCCAUCGCCUUAACAAGUCCCAAGUCCCAAGUCCCAAAUCGAAGCUGCUCUCUGCCUCUCCGGCCUCCGCCAGUCCGCCGCGCUCUACGUCUCCUGUCGGCUGUGUCCUGCCGUGCUGGUUCAUCGCUGCCGAGUGUCGAAGACGAAGCACCAAGAUCUCACUAGUUCAUCGCUGGUUCAUCACUGCUCAUCUCUGGCUCACUUAGGUAAGUGCUCCUCUAUUUUUGGCUCUGUGUCUCUGGCAUUAAAAUGGGCCAAGAUCGACUAGGAAACUUGUUAUCCUGAAUUGAUAAGGGGACGAAAUCUGAGCUUCCAAUUGCAAACUCUAACUGUUGUAGUAUCCCGCCGCCCUCGAACUGUACUCGGACGAGACAAUUUUGAACGUAGAUUGAAUGGCGUAUUCUUUUCUGACUCGGGCAACCAAGAAAUUUAGUAGUAAAACUCAUGGAAAUGCUAGCUAGGAAGUUCAUGGCCAACCAGUUGUCAAGAACCAUGGCAUUGCAAUCGAAUCAAGAACCAACACACCCACGAACCCCCGGCCGCCGCCAACAAAAACAAAAACAGAAAAAAAAGGGGAAUAAUGGAAUAGGUAGCGGGACGGCAAUGAAUCAGUUGUGCAGCCUUUAAAAGUUAAGGCCUUGGGGAAAAAGUUAAUGUCUCCCCUUCCCAUUGUAAACAAAAAGGGAAAGUGAGUUGGUUUGUUUUAUAUAUUCCUCUUGUUUUCUUCAGUAGAAUGAUGCCAUUCCCUUAUACCACUAGUUUGUGUGUUAAUUUAUUGCUUAUAUCAGUACUAGUUCCAUGUUAACAUAUUAGGAUUUAAGAUUCUGUUUCGUUUUCACUGGUCCGUCUUGUAAUACUUCAUCUGAUCACAAGACUAUGGUGACACGAUACAGAGUUUGAUAUUGAAUUCUUCAAAAUUUGUUGGAAAGUUAUAUCAAAUUCCUAUUCCCUUUUUUUUUUUUUUAAACAAAAAAGAAAGUCCUGUCCCCUUGUUUUCGGUUCCAGUUGGACUUCCAUGUAUUUUGUUUUGAGUCAUGCAUUUUGUUGAUUUUUGGCCAGAAAAUUUCAUGACUGGUUAUCGGGUAGUUUUCAACCGCGAGAACAUGACUUUGGGAUGGAAGCCAUCUAACUGUGAGUGUUCACUUUUUCUUUUGCCUCAUGCAACAACAUAUUAGAAGUUUGCAACUCUCUGCCCAUAAAUGAAAGCAUUGUUCUCAGGCUACGAUGAUGUGCAAAUCGAGUCAAAAAGCUUGAUAAGACUCGACUUGAUAAGGCUCGAUUAAAGAUCGAGCCUUAUCGAGUCGAGUCUCGAGCCUAAAUGAAAUUCUUCGAGUCGAUCUUCGAGUAUCGAUUUUCGGGCUCGAUCGAGCUCGAGUCGAGCUCGAGCUUCUGUGUGUAUGAGUCGAGCUCGACUUGGCUCGAUUACAUCCCUACUCGAGGUAAGACUGGAAUUUUGGUUCUUUCCAAUCCUGAAGUUGGUUUUCGGAAACUCUGGAUUGACUUUUACGUUUCAAGUACUAAAAAAGCACAAAAAGGGGGAAAAAAAAAGAAGGAAGAAGAAGAAGAGGAAGAAAAAGCUACCCGCUCAACACAAAUUGUGAGAUGUUAUAAUUUAGCACUAACCACCUUUUUCUAAUUUGAUCCUGCAUUUUCUGUGUUUUCAGACUCAGAUCGGAUCGGGCAGUCGAACCGGUAGAAUCGAAAAUCGGUCAGGCAUCCGGUCCGAACUAGUUAAAAAACUCGAGUGUUAAAAAUUCGGUGAAUCGGAUAAUUUGAUCAACCCCGGUUUUUUUUUUUUGCCCUUUUUCUGCCUUUUUUUUCAAUCAAAAGUUUGACUGACCAACUAAAAAAGAGACGAAAUUAACAAAACUUGGGUCAGCACCUCUGCUUCUCUUUCCGUUGUUUUCUUCCUUUCUUCUUCAGCUCCAAUAACCCUAAAAUCUAAAAGCCUCCACCGCUGACAUUUGAGAUUCACCGAUCGUCGCUUAAUCAAGGUUGCCGUUAGUCACCUGUCCUUCAAUCUCUAGCCUCCACCGCCGCAACAUCACCAGUUUCUUCAGAUUUCAAGGUUCAAUCAAGUAAUUAACACGCUGGUGAACCGAAGCUAAAUCUGGUAAUUUUUAUAAUCUAAAGCAGUCGUGAAGAUAGCUAAUUCAUUAUGUUGAAGUUGAUCUGUGACUAAAAUUUCAGUAUUUUUUGAUUUAUUAUGCUGGGCAUUUGGGAUUUGGAUAUGCUGGGCAUUUGGGAUUUGGAUAUUAUGGGUGAGAAUAUCACGUCCUUAUUAGAGAAUCUGGAAAUUUGAAUCUGAUUGUCUCUUCUUGUUUUCAAGUUUCUUCCAUUGAUGAUUGGUUACUUUUCUUUGUCUGUUCCAUCUGGGUUAACCAUUUACUGGUAAUAAUUCGCACAACCAUGCUUAUAUGUCCCUUCACGUUUCUCUGUUAUAGCAUCAGUACCAGUGCAAACUGGUUGGAUACACUGGAUCAAGAAUUUUCAAGUUGAUAAUGAUCACACAGUUCAAGCGAAUAGUUAUCUUUUCGUUUUGAGAAUACACUGGAUCAAAAGUAAAAAAUGUCUGUUACAUGAAUGAGUCUCUUCUGUAGUUUUGUUGACCAACUUAUGUGCGCCCUACCUCAAAGGCCGAUGGAUACAAUUAUUAGCCGUACUAGUACCAUGGACAUAAAUGGUAGAAUAAUAUGCUACAACCAUUUAAUGCAGUUUUUAAUGUCCUAUGGUCCAAUAAAGCAGCAGUCUUUAGUGUAAUUUCCUACCUCAAUGUCUCUUCAGUCUUCUGUAGUUUUUAAUGUGCAGCUUGAUGAUGAGGAUGAUCUUGAUGACAUCGAUUUCGAAAGUUAUGAAAUUGGAGAAAAGGAUGAUGAAGAUGAAGAUGAAGAAUGGCUUAGAUAGUUCUUUGAUUUAGAAAUUGAACGUGUUGUUUUAUUUAGAUUGAUAUUUAUCAAGCAUUUGAACAUGAGCUUGUUACCUUAUUUGGAUUGCUAUUUGUCAGGGAUUAAACAUGUAUGGAAUUUCUAUUUUAUAAAUUUUGUGAGUUUGGAUGAAUUUGGUGUAUUGGAUAUAAAUUUAGAUGAUUGGGUUCUUUGAUUAUAUUUUGUAAAUUUGAUUUGCAGGAAUAUAUAUAUAUAUAUAUAUGACGUAUAUAUGACGUCAUCCGGUUUGACCCCCUAUUGACCCCGGUCGAACCCAUUGACCCCUGACCCCUGACCCCUGAGUUCGGCCGAGUCGAUUCCCGAGCCGAGUCUGAAAACAUAGGCAUUUUACUAAUAAAAAUAGCAACGGAAUCGAAGUUCUUUAAAAAUUUUCGAUUCAUCCAAUAUUUGCUUGAAUUCAAUCCAAGGGAGCCUAAUAGCACUAUUAGCAAGAAAGGGCAGCAUUGAGCUUAGGCUAUGCUUAGCUCGGCAAUAUCAGCCAAUGGAUCCUGACUGAACAACUCAAGUGUAGUUACUGGCAAAUUAAGCACCCAAUUACCCCAUGACGAAAUUACUUAAAAGUCAUUGCUCAUAAUUACGGUAUAACCUCACCAUCUUACAUCGUUGAUAACUUCAUCUUUGAUAAAAAAAGGUGGUUAGAAAUAUAAAAAUAUUUCUGGUAACCGUUCCAAUUCCUGGUUCAUCUUACAAUAUCCGGAGUUCAGACUUCAGUGCCUGGUCCACGGAGAUUGAUUGACAUCCUUAACGGUAGGAAUGACAUGGACGUCGAUAAAAUCUGGUUCCCACUGGCUGCUUGUCUCCUGUGUCAAAGAAAGUCUUGCUCAUUUUCUGUAGCACAAGCAACAAAGGUAGUAAAAUGAUUGAAAAGAAUGAUAAGGAAAAAAAAGGCCUCUUCACUUCCACGGCAAACUGGCCCUAGCCGGCCAUGGCACCAUCUAAAGUACAAAAUGUCAAGAACCAAAGUUCACAGUGCAAAUAGAUAAUUGUUGGAAACGUCCAAAGUGCAAAGUGAAAUUAAUCCAAAUAUAAGGUUUAUCCACUCCUUGUCUUCUUAAACCUUAGAUUUUAUUAUAUAUUCAGCACAAUUUUUAAACGCAGGCGGUCAUCUAGAGUAGUCGCAAUCCUAGUUAAUUAGUAAAGCUCAUAUAUAAACUCCUGUUAUAGAGUGUAUUCUAUGCAACGUGGUCGAUUACAUUGGCAACUAGGUGGAACUUCUCCAACAGCUAAUUAGUUUAUAUACUACAUAAAAGUGCCCGGUUCACUUGUCCAUGCAUGACGAAGCUCGCAAAUCGUUUGUGUUUUCCAGUUGAAAUCCUCCAAAAAAAAAAAAAAAAAAAACUGAUGGCUUCCAGAAAAAAGAAUUUAACCUGUAUAGAAUCUUUUGGCCUUUUGGCUUUUGCCCAGUUGGGAGUGUUUGAUUUUUGUAAUCUUCCAACUCCGACGAAGCAUGCAUUACAAUUUCAUGGGUGGACUGACUGUGGCAUUAUUCAAUUGAGCGGUCAGAUGUGUUCUCACCUGUGUCUAGAGACGGGGAUGACGUUCAAUAAAUUUCUUUUUUUUUUUUUUGUUCUGUAUCGUUCAAUAAAUUCCAUGGCCAUGCAAUCCUCUCUUCUUCUUCUUUUUUUGGUUGGGUGGGUAAAGCAAUUAUGUGCGUAUUUGAUAUGUCAUUUAUUGAUGAUAUCCUGUUGCAUAGAUGUGAUCGAACUUUAGAUCAUAGUAAAUCAAUUUGAUUUAUUCUAUAAUACUUAUUUUAUAGAGAUUCAUUCCUGAAUUUUCUUUCACUCACUCUCUCUUUUUUUAAACGUUGAAUUUUAUAAACAUUCCUUCACGUAGUAAUAUUAACGGCAAACUUUGCCAUGCCGCAGAGGUGGUGCUGCAAGAAUGUUGAAAAUGGUGGUGUCCACAUCGAACAGAAUUGUUACCCAAGAAAUGUCUCCAAAAGUCGAGCAUCUCAUGUAUUCAUGAUACAUAACCAAGUGGAAAAUCGUUUUGUUGGUUGUUAGUCCUGUUUGAUUAUUUCCUGGAAGCAGCGUUAGAACUUAGAGGUCAAUGCAAGGGCGGAGAGCUGAUGGUUCAGUAAAUUUGGGGACAUUAUUGGGCUUUCACACGCAUCUCGGAUUUUUUUUUUUUUUUUGGUCAAAAAAAAGGGCCUGGUCCAACUUCAGCCCCAACCCUUAUUCGGGUUGUUGGGUCUUUUCCCAUUUUGGUUACAGGGAGUUGAACCCUGGUGGAUGCUCUAACUAGAGACUACACCACCAGGUGAGCUACCCUGGUCGGACUUUCAUACGCAUCUCGGAUGAAAAGACAAGUUUGGUCGUUUCUAAUAAAUGACAGUGACGGACAAAAGAUCAAGAAUCAAUAAUUUUCCCAGACUUAAUUUGGUUGACUUUCGUGAUCAGAGACCCUUCUUUAAUUCAUUCUACAUUAGCUAAUCACAAAUCUUAGAUUACGUGAUGAAGAUAAAAAAGAUUAUAAGUAGAAAAUAUUGAAUUCAAAACCUUAUUUUAAAAAACAAAAUAUGAAGGACCAGAUGCAGGCUGACGUUUGGGGCCAAAAAGAACAAAUAAAAAAUAAAAGUAUGGGCUGAGGCUUUAAAACGGUGCAGGCUCAGGUUGCAAGGAAGGGUGGCAAUGGGGCGGGGGAGGGGCCCCGUUGCCCAUUAAUUCCCCCUGCCCCCAGCUUUCCUCGCCCUGCCUCCGUGGGGUUAAAAAUUUUUUGUUAUAUAAUUUUAUUAUAAUUAAAUUUUAACAAAUAAUCAAGUACUAAAAUAUCAAUACAUCGCCAAGUUAUUAUUCAUUAUAACUUCACAAUUGAAACUUAUAAAAAUAAUUAAACAAAAGUUAUUUGAAUACAAUCCAAUAUGACUAAAAUAAUCAAGUUUUCACUUUUGAUACAAAUAUACAAUCACUAAAUUAUUAUUGUAUUUUUUGUGAGAAAAAAGUGUUAUGUGUUAAGUGUAGUUAGGAAUUUAAUAUAAAUGUAUUAAUAAAUUUAGUAUAAAUAAUUAAUAAUUUUUAUUAGUAGACAUAUAUAAUUAGUAGCAUAAUUGAUAAUAUCAAUUAUAUUACAUAUACUAAUAUACAUUAAAUGAUACAUAUAACUAAUAAUAUCAUUAUUAUAAAUUUAUAACUAAUUAAAUUAAAUAUUAUAUAUAUAAUUAUAUACAUAUAUAUAUCUUUAUUUUUUUAAACGGGUGGCGGGGCUGCCCCAUUCCUAAACGGGGGGACAAAAUUCUCCCCACCCCCGCCCCAGUAGCCCUCCGCGGGCACUCGCCCCCAUUGCUACUCCGAGUCCAAAGUGCUAGUUUUAUAGAAACGAGCGGAUUUAGGCAUGCCCUUUUGUACAAAAGUGGGUUCAUCAUUAAGUCUUAAAAAUAGCUUUGCACAUCUUUAUUGCGAUGUUGUCAGAAAUUUCGUUUUAUACGAUCAUCUCAUACAUUAUUUAGACAGUAUUUGUUUUAAAUCUGAGGCUAUGGUACCCCAAAAUGUUCUUAAAACUGGUGUUGCUUUUGAGCGAAAUUCGAUUGGACUCACUUUACUUUAGCAAUUCAAAAAUCAGUUAAUCGAAAUCUAAUUUGCAUAUUGUUAAAACUACUAAAUUUCCAGUUUUCAUGGAGCAUUCGUUCGUGAUUGUGAGAUUUAUUUACUCUACAGAGUCUGUGCAUUGCAUAAUUUACAUUCAAAUUCAGCUAAGUUACUAAUGAAUGCGGACUUCCAAUUUAAUUGAGAUUCGAUGUAGGAUAUGAAAACAAAAGACUCGUUACUUUUAUGGAUGCAUUACUGGGGUUUCUAGCAAUAGGAAUUUAAGAUGCUUUUUCGGGCUAAAUGAAAGUAUCUGUGGGGAACCCCAAAAAUCCCAUUUUAGUCAACAAUACUGCCUUGACAAAAUAUGAUGAUCAUAUCAUACCUUUGCACUUUCUAUUUUUGCCCUUUUCUUCUCUCUCUCUCUCUCUCUUUACACACACACAACUGGAUGAGUUACUUUUUCUACCAUAAGCAGAGGGUUUAUAAGUCUCCUCAGUACCCUCACUAGUUACCAUGGCUUUUGAGGUGUACUGUGAACUUAGGUUUGUAAAGUCAAUAGUCAGUUUCUACCAUUUGACAAAAAGACAGAAACUUCAGUCAGGGAGGGCUUGGGGCCUAGUUAGGUCUUAGUAGCGGGGCAUCCUGUGGGGUUUCUAUCCCACAUCGCUUGGGGGAUUUGGGUGUUGGGUUUAUAAGUCUCCUCAGUACCCUCACUAGUUACCAUGGCUUUUGAGGUGUACUGUGGACUUAGGUUUGUAAAGUCAAUAGUCAGUUUCUACCAUUUGACAAAAAAAAAAGCAGAGGGCUGACCUGUUAUGUAUGUACCAUACUUUACCUUAAAAUGUUUGAGCCAGAUAGCACAGAGCAUCAUUAAUUCCGUCAUUGUUAGUGCAUGGACUUUCAUUGCGUUGUUAUUGCCUUAAGAUUAGUCUUUUAAAGAUCAUAAAGAUAAUAGAUUACGCCCAGGAAGUGUUCCUUAGAGAAUGCUGUUCAAGGCACAGGUGAAUUUAUUUAUUUUUUGAACGGCACAAUUGAAUUUAAAACUUUCCACUUCUGUGUAUAACUCUACUCGUUACCUGUUUAAGAGAACCUACCAUCGAUGGAUUGUUAGAACCUACUUGAUAAGAUGCAGUUGUUAAGUAACAGGACAAAAGAAGAAAAACCCUAUAAGCUCCCGGGAGGGUAGGGAAAAAAGAAUUUUGAAUAGAAUCGGGAAAAAAAAAUUGAAUCGUCAUACAAGAAGAAAGGUAGCAAAAUGCUGCCAUACAAGUUUGAUUAAAAAUGAAUGUGAUAUCAAAAGACGCUAGAAGCAAAUAUCAACACACAUUCUACUGCAUAUGUAGUUCUACACGAUGAGGUAGAUUUCUAGGAAGGGGUUUAGUGGAAGAGGGUUUUAUGUGUCCAUUGUGAAGUACUUACUCUAAAGGUCCAUGUAGACUUGAAUCAUUUGUUACGGAGUCAUUUCCACCACCUCCGUGCAUUAUUUUUCAGCUAAGCAGUUCCACCACCACCUCCGUGCGUUCACUGAUAUGAUCGCUUCUGUGGUCAUUGUUGCUGCUAACAUGAUCUGUAGCUUCUGCACCAUCGUGAUCUGUAGCUUCUGUGGUCAUUUCCACCACCACCUCCGUGCGUUCAUCGUGAUCUGAAACAUGAUCUGUAGCUUCUGCACUGAUAUGAUCGUGAUCUGAAACAUGAUCUGUAGCUUCUGUGGUCGUUGUUGCUGCUGCAGUUCGGGGUUGAUUAGUGUAUAGAGGUCGAGAGAUUGCAAUCAGAACCCACAGUGAAACUAAGAGCAAGCAAACCGGCACAGGGACAAGGAAGGAGAGUAAAGAUGUUACUGAAAUGAGCGCAAAAAUGAACAUGAUGCUUUGAACAAAGCAGUAGUAAAUCUUCUUUCCUCGGGAAGAGAGAAGUCCAGCAGAAAUCCUUAACCUGGCGUAAAAUGAGAAACAGGAAAUAAAGAAGCUUGAGAUAGCCAACUCCAUGGUCUUUGGGUGGGUUUCAAAUGGGGAUUCAGCUCUUCCUUGGUACUUAAUUUGAAGAAGACCAAGUAACGCGGGGAAAAUGAAGAUGAAAAUAGUAAUAUACAUUUAUUAAAGAUAAUUCAAAUGCUUGAUAAUUUUGCUAACAAUUUCUCACUAAGCAUCCAAAUUAGACAUUACAUGCAUGGUAUAAAUAGAUUAAAUUUUAUCUCUCUUUUCUUCUUUACUCUUGGUAAUAAUUUCUUUUGAGGUUUAUGUAUAUACAUAUUGCCAUUCCCUUUUUUUUGGACAAAUUAUCCAAUUGGCCCUUGAAUUCCUUGUCUAUGUAAAAAUAAGCCCCUCAUCUAUUUUUUACUGACUUUAAACCCUCGAACUUGUAAAAUUGGGCACCUGUGACCCUUUUAGCCAGUUUCUCCGAUUUUGCAACCGGAAGCCCAAUUCACACGAAUGCCGGUGUGCUUCUUCAAAGGGCAUUUUUGUCUGCAUUUUUUAAGCAAAAACCCUUGAAGUAACAAAUAGGCAUUUUUUCUAAGCAAAAACCCAUUGCAUCACCAUUCUUUUUUCCCAUGAAUUAUACCCAUCUCCUUCACAUUCCCAUUUUUUUAUUACUAUUGCUCCCUCCUCUGGUCCUCCUCCUCAACUCUUUCCCCUUUUCUUCUUAUUCUUCUUCACCAAAUGUCAUCAUCACCCAAAUCCUCUCAUAAAAAUCAUCGAAGCCACUUCCCUCUUCAGAAAUCCCUUUUCCAGCAAAACGCUUCUUUCCCUCAUUCAAGCCCUGUUCAUACCACGUCUAAUAAAACUGCUAAUUCUUCUUACGGCAAGUCAAUUUCUGCUAGUAUUAAUUUUGCUAGUGACUUCAAUCAUCUUUGUCCGCAUUUAUUGGAGCUCCGAUCUAAACUUGGACCCGACCCUUUUCGGAACCUUCAAGACUGCCUUGAGGUCCGCCCCCUUGGCUGGGUCUCCGUUCGCUGGAAGCCCGGUCAAGAAGUUGUGCAAUGCGGCACCUGUAAGGCCUCGUCCCCGAGAUUGUUCGCAUGCAUCUCCUGCGCCGCCGUCUCCUGCCAGCUCCACACAACUUCCCAUGCCACGCAGGCGGAUGACGAUAUCGGCUGCUCCUCUCUUUCCUCCUUUCAUGCCAUCGCGGUGGAUGUUGACUGUGUCAAGCUCUUCUGCUGCGUCUGCAAGGACCAUGUCUACGACAGCGGCUUAUUCAGCUCCUCGUCCUUUGAAUAGAAGAUGCGGACAAAAAUACCCUUUGAAGAAGCAUACUAGCAUUCAUGUGAAUUGGAUUACCGGUUGCAAAACUGAAGAAACUGGCUAAAAGAGUCAUGGUGCCCAAUUUUACAAGUUUGAGGGCUUAAAGUCAGCAAAAAAUAGAUGAGGGAAUUAUUUUUAUCUAGAUAAAGAGUUCAAGGAUCAAUUGGAUAAUUUGCCCGUUUUUUUUUUGCAUGAUUGCUCAAUGUCUCAAGAACGCUUGGGAGCAACUGUUCUUGGCCAUUAUGGGAAAAUCAUUCUUUAUUUGUUUAUUCGAUGGUAUAACACAUUCUGUCUUUUGCUUCACAUGGCUCGAGGAAAAAAUAAUUUGAUUCGAAAUUUUAUCUAUGUAUUCAAUUCUAAUAAAUCAUAAAAAGGUGCAUAAAACCAUCAAAUCAAUUAGAUUGCGGUUUAAGUCUUUUUUUCCCUUCCUUACGAGCAUGCUAUUUUUUGGACAUUUCUAAUAAUAUCGUCUCAUUACUACUUUGGCAUUUUUAAUUUCCAAAAUUUUAGCCCCGAUUAGCAAAAGGGUGAUUCAAGAAACCCUCUAGGUGUGAUUCAAGAUGCAAAAUCUAAAGAAACUUAUUUUCUUCCAACAUUGAGAUGUAAUUCAUUCAUUGAAUUUACAAGCAAAUGCUUUAUUUCAAUUUUAAGAAAAAAGAGGUUUUGAGUACUGAAAAAAAGGUCUUAAUUUAUACAAGUUGCUCACUUGAGCUUGUAAUAAUUUAUAAAAUACAUAUGCUUGUGACAAGUAGGAUAAAUCAGGAGCCAGAGGAAAUGCAUCUCAAGUACAUCAAUUACUAGUCCCCAAAACUUCUAAUUUUAAAUGAAUUUAGGACAACUUACGGAAAAUUAUAAUAGCAAAUGGUCAAAAUCAAAUUGUUGUUAGUCCAAAGUUUUGAAUUUGCACUUUUAGCACCUAAUGUUCGAAGUUUUGAUCAAUAUGGUCCCAUACUUUUAAUUAAUCAUAAUUAGGGGUUUUAAGAUUAUGUAAAUGUAAAUUGAAUUAAAUACAAGACAAAUCCAUUCCUAAGUUCCUCCAAAAUUUUAUAAACAUAGUUUAUAUAAAAAUCAUUGUUUAAGCAAAACAGCGUCUCUUUAUUGAAUAAGUUAAAAUUGGAUGACAAUAAUAUAUAAAAUAAAAUUUCUCGAAGAAAAUGAGAAUUCUAGUUUUAACAUAAAACUUUAAUAUCAUUACUAUUACUAUUACAGCAACUCUUGCAUGACUUGUAGACAGAGGACCCAAACUGUUAUAGUUAGGGGUUGUUAAGUAUAAAAUGUAGUGAAGGUAAGUAACAUUGUGAAGAGCAUUUGGAACUUUUGAAAAAACAUCUUUGUGUUUCUUCUUGUCUUCCUACCUAUUAAAAUCUAAUGUUUCAAUACUAAAGUUUUAUAGUAUUUAUUUUAACAUUUCUAAAAUUAUGAUUCAUUCAAAUAAUUUUAUAAAAAAACGUCUUCAUUUCAAACUCAAUUGACCACCUAUUGAAUAAAAAAUAAAAAUGGAUCAACCUAAUUUUACUUAUAAUAAUGCUCAUUAUAUUUUAAAGGAAUAUUUAAUUAAGUUGUUUAAUUAUCACUAAAAGUGAAAAAUUAUAGAACCUAUUAUCAAGUAAUUAUUUAAUAGUGUAAAAUAAUAAUUACACAUGUUAUACCAAAUUUGAGAUUAACCAUAUAAAAGAGAAGAAGUAUAAGAGAAAUUAGUGGAACAAAUAAAUACAAAAAAUAGGAUUAAAUACAAAACAUCCCUUUGUGAUUAAUCAAAUGUUCACCUUAACUUCUUAUGAUUUAAAAACCUACAUUAAAGCCCCUUGUGCUUUAGACUAUAGUGAAAUGUUAAAUUUUCCGUUGCAUAUAACAAUGUUAAAUAUUAAAUUGGUCAUUUAACCUUUAGGACAAAUUCAUAUUACGAAAGUAAGCCUCUUUUCUUCUUUUCUUUAUUUUCAUACCCUUCCUUUCCAAUUCUGUUUUCUUUUUCUUUUUCUUUUGUAUUCGUUCUUACUUCUCACAUUUGAACCUCCUCUGCCAACCCACACCAAUCUUUUUCACAACCAUUAGACUUGGACCCAAUAGGAAGCGGUAGCUGGAUUGUUUAGAGAAACCAUGAGAAGGUGGGGCAGCUAAAUCAGCAAAUUUUUUCCUUUUAUUUUUUUCCAAUACUUCCCUAGUAGUUUCAGAUGGGAAGCACUCUCAAAAAAAAACUACCUAUUCAAUUUGUUUUGCUCCAAAGUUCAACAUGCUUAAACUCUACAUGCACAACUCGCAGAGAAAUAUCUGCCGUGAUUAUACUUGCGAUUGCAUCACGAUUCAGGAGCUAUUACUCUCUUGGUAAAUUGGGUUUUUAUUACAAAGCUUGGACUAGGCUUGCUUGGUGCUGCAAUGGUGCAAAACAUCUUGCGAGAGCUUCUUGUCAUUGGUCAAAUAGGAUAUAUUAUUUCUGGUCAUUCACUAGUUUUUUCAGUGGGCUUUUUGAGUCACUGACCAGUUUUAUGAAGUUUUCAUUUUUCUCCGUAAUAAUAUUAUGGUGCUAUGAAACUUUUGUGCAAUAUAUUAUGACCCUUUUGGAGAUUUCAGCCUUUACCUAAUUAGCAAAAUAGUGGCUUGGCACUUUGGUUUUCCACAAAGUUGCACUAUAUUUUUCAUGUAAUUUUGCAACCAUCCGUUAUGGCUGCCAGCAUCAACUAUGGUGGCACACCGCAGAGUGCAAGAGACAUCAACUAUGGUUGAAGAAGAACAUCCGAGACGAGGAGGAAGACUUUUUCGUGAUAUUCUAUUGCUACCUAAAGUCAAUCUGAAAUCAUAGUUUGAACCCAGAUUCUCUUUAGAAUCGCAUUUAAACCUUAGUUUAAAGGGCAACUCCAUAAUUUCAUCAUUGUUUCAUUUAAAAAUUAUGACUAUUUUCAUUUGACUGUUAAAUUGGAUGAAAAAACUAACAGUUUCAAUUAUCUUAAAACCAUGAGGGGGUAAAUGGUAGGUUUUUAAACCAUAAGGAGUCAAGGUGAACAUUCACUCAACUAUAGGGGAUUUUGUGUAUUUCAAAAGAAGAAAUGAAGUAAUAAUGGCAGCAAAACUACUUUUUAAAUUAUUUUAUUGUUCCGAAUCCAUGUCAAAACCAAUCAUUCAACCCAAUCCAUACUCAGGUAUGUUCAAUGAUCCUUAGUCAUAGUUCAACCAACCCUAUCUUGAAUUGAGAAACAUGUUCAUAAUUCUUAAUAUAAUGUCAGAAUAUCUAUUUAAGAAAUUAAAUUAAAAAUUUUAUCAUAAAAAGAGCCAAAAAAAUAAUCAGUUUUAAUAGAAAAAAGUAAACAAGAUAUGAAACUAAAUAAAAAACUUGAAAAAAAAAAUAAAAGUAGCACAAAGAUCUAUGCGAUGCCAAGUAAAGCUUCAAUAGAGAAACCGGUAAAGUUUUAAUGGCAAAGCUUCAAUAGAAAAAUUCGAUUUGAUUUGUUCAAGUGGCAAUCACCAUUAGGGGCACAAUGAAAUCAAAUAGCUUGACUCGAACUCACGAGUAAUUUGGCCAACUACUCGACUCGAGUUCGGUCAAAGCCGAACUUGAGUCGAGUUUGAGUUACUCGCUUGAAUUAACUAGUCAAGGUCAAAUAUCUAUUAGGCAAGAUUGAAAGCUCGAUGAAUAGCUCGAGUUCAAUAGGCAUUUAUUUAAUAUAUACAUACAUAUAUAUAUAUAUAUAUAUUCAUUUAUUUAUUAAGUUACUCUUUUGGGUUUGUUAGUUACAAUAUUUACGACCUUAACGAGUUCGUUAUAAUAUUAAUGAAGGGUGAAUGAGUAAUUUUUGCUGGAGAAAUAUGAUGAAAGGAUGAAAAUGAAAAAACAAAAGCUCAUUCUUUUUUUUGAGAGACGGUAGAAGUUUUUAUUGAUAUGUCAAAAUUGUACAGUAUUUAAGCAACGGCUCAAUUAUCUUUUAAACUCAAAACACUCAAAAAGUCUUCAUUCAAAUGCAUGCAAGAGAAGCAUAAUUAACAAUUAAAGGAAGAGAACAAUUAUAAUUGAGAAACAAAAAAACUAUUACGGAUUAUAUUGCAAAAAUUAUAAAGUUUUUGGGAUCAAAAUAUAAUUUUUCAAAAAUUUAGGGGUCAAAAUUUAAUAAAGAUAAAGUUUAGGGUCAAAAUGCGAUUAAAUUAAGGGCCUGAAUAAAGAAAUCCAAAAUUUUAGGGCAACUGUAAAAUUACUCAGAAGAUUAGGGCCAACUUGCAAAAUUCGCUUUCUGAUUGAGAAAAUUACAAAUAAAAUGAUUUUGGGACAUUUUAAGAAUUUGGGCCGCACAACUUUGGCCCACAAAAAAGAAAUAAAUUGUCUUAUUGACAAGGAACAGACAAGCCCAAGUAAUUACACACUCAAACAUAUUAAUGAUAUUGGGCUUAAACUCCCAAUCCCAGUCACAAGCCCGAGCAAAAAAAUAAGACACUAGCUCAAGUAAAUUAAAAAAAACAAGCCCAUUGUUUUCUUCCUUUUUUCUUUCUUUCUUUUCCUUUUUUUUCCGUUUUUUCUUUCUUCUUCUUCUUCCCAAAAUUGAAGAGCUGUAAAUGGUAUAAGCUUCUCAGCAUCAAGCCCAAAGAUAACAGUGUUUAUGCAGCUUGUAUCAUCAUCCACAGCAAUUCCAAUUCUGGUCCUAAUACGCAUUGAGAAUAAAACAUUAUAUUCUAAUUUUUCAUUAUAGGAGAGUGAAACUUAAUUUGGCAAUUACCUUGCUACAACUUUGCUCUCUUCUUUGCAAGAUGGGCAUCUUAUAACCCAUCCCACAUCAGUAUUGAUAGCCUUUUGGCAGCUAUCACAUGUUUCAAACCAGAAUUUUUACUGUCCAGGGGUCAACCUGGUUUUCCCUCCUAUCCAAGCUGUUUUUACCUAAUAGAUUUUUUUGAACAGAAAGAAGAACACUGAGUUUUGCAUUAUUUUGGAUAGCUAAAAUAUAUAAAUCAGGUCAUAAAUAAAAAAGGAAGUUACAUCUUUGAGUGUGUUAAGUGCAUUGGCUCCACUGAUCACAUCAUUAGCACUUGGAGCUGGUGCAGCCUAGAUGAAUCUUUGUAUGCCAUUUGUUGAAUCAACUCUACAAUUUCUUCUUUAUUUGCAUUAUACCUAUCCAAAAAAACAAUGCAGUAGACCAUAAGAAUUCAAAGGGAUCUAGAAGAGUUGCACUAAAAUGGUCAGAGAAUAUAUGUACCAUUCCUUGAGUGCAUUUGCUUUAGGAGUGGGAGUAUUAAUCAGAAGACUACUCCCAGGCUUGGUUGUUAGGGAUAAGUUUAACAAUAAAAGUAAUAUUUUGUGUUAAAUAAUAAAGCAAUUUCUAGGACAGCGAUUGGCUAAGUUAUUCGAAGUGGUUGACUGUCAUGGAAAUAUGAGGUGUUAAAAGGAUAUUAACUUCACUUACAAUUAAAAUUUGUGAUUUUCAGCUUCAUGCCAAUGAUAAUGUUGGCAUUCCCAGUGCUGUUUGCAAGUUGCGUUCUUGAUUUUGUUCAAACUCAUUCUAAAGAGUAGGAAGCAUCGCCUUUUCCCUUUGCAAAGAAGGGGAAAAAUGGGGAAGAAAGUGAAUGAAACAGUUUUAUGCAUUAGAUAGAAAUAUUAAAAGUAAGGUUUAUAUAACUAACUCUUGAUUCACGACAACAAAGUCUCUUGUUGUAGAGCCAUUAUUCUGUUCCUUUGUUGCAAAUGCACUAACAACAACAGCCUAUAGAUCUUUAUACAAACCAAAAGAGGAGAUUAGAUGUGUUUCAAUAAUUAAAGGAAAUAUGAAAAUGAAUUUAUAUUCCAAUUAGUAAAGCACAAGUAUCACUUACUCUGAACAUUUUCCUUGGCUGCGAACCUAAAGAGGUCCUCAAAUUUGGUGAAUUCAAAUGUAUGGUAGCAUUGGUGGAUUUGGCUCUACAUAUUCUUCAACUAAUGUCUUGUUAUGAAUCACCCAUGAGAAUUCAUAGUCGCUAAUUUUAUACUUUGCAUCCUGUUUUUUGACGGUCCCACCAGUGAUGUAGUAUCACUUAAAUGGCUGCAGUAGAUUAGCAAAAUAACAAAUGUCAUCCCCACAAAUGACCGCUGAAACCUUAGUCCCCUGUUCACACAAAGAACCAAGAUGGGCAAUAUUAACCAAAAGGCUGAAGCAGAACAUUCAAGGUAAGAAAUAUACAACCGUAAGCAUGUAGAGGUUUUUUUUUUGGGUGGGGGGGGAGGGGGAAGAAAACUUAUAACAGUAAUGUUUGAGUUGCAAGAAGUCAAUCAAUAAGAAUAACCAAAGACGUAUGAAGAAAAACAGUAGAAAAACCACAUAAGAAUUAGACAACUAAACAACAAUUCUUUGGAAGCCGCCAAGUUUAUAAUUACAAACUGUAUCAAGCUUAAUGUUUUCAAUAUAUAGAAAAUUAAGCUGAAAUAGAAGUUUUAUCUACGCUGCGAAUUUGAUUAGGCUCAAUUCAAUUGGCUCAUAGCCCCAUUCCAAAUUAUGGACCAAAUAAGUGUCCUAACUGAUAACUUACAAGCGAUCAUCUUCUUAAUGGAUCAAUUUUAAAUGUUCACCAUUUUUGUGGGUAAGGAAUUAGCAUGAUACACUUAUAUGUGCUUAAAGCUUCAAUUCUAGUUUUCAAUGCCACAGACGAUAUUCAAUUCCAAGUUUUCUAUAGAAAGUUAUGAUCAAAAAAUUUUUAUAGUAAUAUCUUGAAAUAAUACGAUCCUACGAUCUAGAAUGCAAUCCCAUCGAUUUUGUUUGUUUAGGGUAAAAUUUUGAUCCUAAUUACAAUUCUACAUCCGGAUCGUGAUUUUAACGACUAUAAUGAGUAAUUGACCUAGUAAAUUUUAAUUUUAAUUUAGAAAUUAGAUAAGUAAUCUUAGAUAUAACAUGGUGACUUUCAAAUCGAUAUCAAAUUUGUAGAUAAGUAAUCAUAAAUAUAAUUAACGUAGUACUCCAAGAAACUAGAAUUGAGUUUGUAGAUAAAAUAAUCAUAAACAUAUAUCACAUAAUACAAAUGUUUCAAAGGUUGAACACUUCAACUAUUGAAAUAACUAGAUGGUUACCAAUUUAAAUUCUAACUCUGCAACUAGUUGUACUAGACAUGGCACCUAUAAAUCACAAAUUUGACUAGUAAUAUAGUGUCAAAAUUUGAGACUUUUUAAUAUAUUAAUGUUAUCUAAUUAUAAGGAUAACCAAAUUAUCGUAAAAAUCAAAGUUUACUCUUAAAAGUAAUUAGUGCUAAAUUAAAGGUUUUGUUGUGAUAUGAAUUAUCUAAUGAUAGCAAAUGCAUUGAAACAAGCAAGCAAAGAUAUCUAGAUAAAUGCCAAUUACAAUCUCAUGUUCAAAUUAACAUACACUAGCAUUUAUAACAUUUACAAUUCCGUGUUUAAAUGCACAUCCAAUGUGUGUGCAAUCAAAAAAUAUAUAAUAUCUAUGAUCAUAUAAUUUAAAUAAAAUUUUUAUUAUCGAAACAAACUUUAAUCUUUUAAUAAUGUUCAUAAAAUAAUUUUAUAUUAGUAGUUACAAUAUUUAGUGGUGGUUAUGUUGAAAACAUAUAAUUAAAUAGUUAAAAGUAAAAAUAGUGAUAAAUAGUUAUAGAUAGUUAAAGUAAAAGUAGUUUUUAUAAGGGCAAAAAAUAAAUUUUAUAAAAUGUUAUCCCCGGAUCCAUUCUUCAAACUUUAUAUAUAGUAUAGAUAACCAUACACCUACAUUCACUGAGUAUUCUAUUAUAACAAAAUGUACCUACAUUUUCAUAGUUUUCACAUUUACUAUCCCUUCUUCUUUUUUUUUCCAUUUGUUUAAGGUAAUUUAUCCAAUUUUUGCCAUUCAAUUUUUUAAUUCUGCUUAUUUGUUCAAAAGCGAUUUUUCUUUAUUUGAUUUACCUUUUUUUAAUUCUAUUUAAUAUAAUUUAACCAACAUUUUUCUUUUUCUUUAAGAAAAAACACUAUUCUUAUAAUUUGUAAAUGUGAUGGCUAUCCCAACUAUCCAUGACUAUGCAAAAGAAAAAAAAAAAAAGAAUAGUUGGUGCAUAUACACAAUUAUCACAUUUGAUACAUGAAGUUUUUCAAUUAACUAAUUACAUUAAUGAAUUAUUCUACGACAUAAAUAAUCACAAAUAACCAAGAGAUAAUCCAAAAUGCAUAGAUGAAAUUCACAGUAUGGAAGCAUAUAAUUUUAUAACCUUUUAAACUUUGUAUGAUUUCUAAAGGAAGUAAUUGACUUUCGAGAUACCAUGUAUGCAUAUUGAAAUUAAUAUCGUAUAUUUAAUAGUAACUUGUAUAGUGCUUGUAAUUAGAAUGUAAAAGGUAACUAAGACUGUUAAUUAUCCACAAUAUAUAUAUAAAUGUGAAAAAAAUGUUCAAAACAUUAUUCACAUUUUAUUAAAUGAAUUUUUUUGCCAUUCACUUUCAAAAUAGUAACUUUACGUCCUUUACAAAAUUAAGAUUGUAAAAUUUUGUCCCAACCUAGGUUUUUGACUACUUUUUAUCUUGAAUCAAUCAUGUGACCUACACAAGGUCAUUUUUUUAUGGCAAAAAAGUUAGAUCUCAUUUAUUAUUAAAUAAAUGAUGAAAUUCAUAUUUAUUUUUUGCCAUUUGUCCUAAAAAGUAAUCUGACAUUUUUGCAAUAUUCAUUUUUGUCCUAAAAAGUAAAAUCUAACAUUCAUAUUUAUCUUUGCCAUUUGCCAUAAAAACAUUUUUAUUUAGUAUGCAAGAAUUGAAUCUUUUUCAACUGUAAGUAUUCCUUGUAGAGUGAACUAUAAUCCAUUUGGUACCAACAUGGCAUGUUAAGGUCGAGAUCGUAAUUCUGAAAACACGACUAGUAUGUUAAGUAGCUUGUUAGCGAUAACAAAACUCAGGUUUUGAUGCAAAAAAAAAAAAGUCAUUAAUUCACAGCCGGUUGUCAUUAAUACACGCAAAAAAAUUUUCCGGGUUCCAUCUAGGGGUGCAAUCAAGUCAAGCUGCUCGCGAGGAGCUUGCGAGCGGCUUAGUAAAAAGACCGAGCUCGAGCUACUCGUUACAUUCAACGAGUCGAGUUUGAGUUCCAAAAAUAAAUACUCGAGUGCUCGACGAGUUUAAUCGAGUUUUUAUAUUAAAUUUAUAUUGUAUAUUUUGAAAAAAAAAUUAUAGGCUUAUUUCAAAACUCGAGCUCGAGCUCGAGUAGAUUGGGCUUGAUAUUUACUCGAGUUUACUCGAGUUCAAACGAGUUGAGCUUAAUUUUAUUUUAUCGAGUCGUGCUCGAGUCCAAAUUUUUUUACUCUUUCGAACUCGUGCUCGGGCUCGAAUAGCACUGAUUCUGAUCGAGUUUGAGCUCGAGUAUCGACUUGGGUCGAUAGUAAAUCUAGUUCCAUCCAUCAUUAAGGCUGGUUUGUUAAGCCAACCCUACAGCCAGUUGCCUUAUUUUAGUUGGGCCCCAAUUGACAUGUGAAGGAUGUCCAUGAUGUCCAAGCUGAGUUGUCUUGUUAAUACUUCUGCCCACGGUGGAGAGUUCCCUCUACUUUCCAGUUUGCACACUAGAAGCAACCGACAAGAACCAGUCAAAAGUCAUAACCACAAGAGUUGGUCGGUCAGUCCUGCGUUUUGCAGAUAGCUUUGCCUUGGGGUUUUGGGACCCAAAACAACCAAUUUCUUGAUUAAAUUUCAUUUUUUUAAAAAAAUUUCCCUUGAGACACGAAUAUGUAGCAGACACAAUUUUUGGUCUUCCAUUAGCGGCUGAUGAGUAUACAAAGGGACAAAAACGCGCGCAUAGACCUUUCAUUCUUCUAGACUGGUAAUUCUGCAUAUACUUUGCACCCAUCAGUAUCAAUGGCAUACAAGCAUCGAGUGUUACACACGUAUCGAGUGUGCCUCGAUGACUAGUAUUAAUUAAAGCUCUAACUCCACUUUGCAUCCAUUAAUUUUUUUCAAUGGCUUCUCAAUUUGCGGCUUCAAUCUUAUUUUUGAGCACGUUGUGUUCUAAACUUUCAAAUUUAUCCCACUUGGACCUCUCUGUUAACUCCAUUGUGAAAUUGACAGAUUUUGCGCGUGGGCAUAAACUCCACGCAAAUGUUAAAUCCAUUUGGCUUCUCAAACUCCACGCAGAUUUUGUACUCCAUUUGUGACCUCCAUUAAGAAACAUUUGUUGACAGGUUCAAUUCUCUUUGUGCCCAUAACUUAUUACUGCUCCCAACAAAUUACGACCCCAUGUUUGGUUUAUAUUUAAAUGUGCUAAAUAGGCGCUUAUUGAAAGGACUUUGAGGAGUUGGUUUUUUUUUUUUGGUUUAAACUAUAAUUAAUUUAGUAAAGCAUCUGAACACGGGAAGUGCAAAAAUUGUGAUUGUGUAUAUUCACCUGAUAAAUUAGAUAUAUUUGCACCUGCCCUGGCACAUUUCUUUUUUUUUUUUUUUUAAAUCCAUUCACAAAAAGAUAAACUUUAGUGGAUGCAAAUUAAGAUCCGAAAUGAUCAGAAAUAAGGAGGAGACGUUCAAAAAGGAAAUUAAAUCCAAGGCUAGCCAGCGUGUUGUUGGCACCAAAAACUGCGGACAAAACCACACAUGUUAUUCAUUAGGUUGGCGCAGGUUUUAAAAAAAUUCAAUGACUCAAGCUGUGCCAUUAGGGGUGUGCAAAAUCGAAAAAUUUCGAUUUACCGAAAAUUUUGAAAUCGGUAAAUCGGAAAUCGGAAUUGAAUUCGGGUUUUUCGAAUUCAUAUAUUUCGAAUUUGGUUCGAAUUCGGUAAUGAAGUUUUUCAAAUCGGAAUUUCCGAUUUUGAUUUCAAAUUCGUUUUUAAUAUAUAAAUAUAUUUUUUAUACAUGUAAUAUAAAAUUUAUAUAAUAUAAUAUAAUAUAAAAUUUAUAUAAUAUAAUAUUAUAAAUUUUAUAUUAUAUAAUUAUAUAUAAAUUUUUCUGAAUUCGGUGAAAUCGGAAUUUACCGAAUUCCGAAUUGAAUUCGGUACGAAUUCGAAUUCGAAAUUGGUGAAUUCGAAAUCGAAUUCGAUCGAAUUAUUAGAUACCAAAAUUUCGAAAAAUUCCGAAUUCAAACUUCCGAAUUACCGAUUUCGAAUUCAAUGCACACCCCUAUGUGCCAUACUAUCUCACAAUCUGCACUCUUUGGCUUUUGAAGACCGCGGGGUAUUUACAAAUAGUAAAAACUAGAGAUUAUGAGCUUGCUGCUUUUUCAAUUUUUGUUUUGAAAUUCAUUGACUCCCAAGGUAAAAACCUUGUAUUUAUUUAUUUAUUUUUUGUAAUGGUGUAAGGAUGACAUUUAAAAAAUAAGGAAUAAACAAGAGGAUUAGAAUUCAAGACUUCCCUAAAUAUAUAUGCCACUUAGCUUGUUUAUUUAUUUAUUUAUUUUCGUUUGUAUGGAAUGUUUUCUUGAUUCGACCACUGGGUCAAACAAUCUUCUGUGCUUCAGCCAAACGCCACCGUAGACCUUAAAAAGAGCUCAAUAGCGUGUUGAGCAAUUACAUGUGGUUAUCAAUUUUAAGAUGCAAUAAAUUGAACCAGAAACAAAAGAUAUAUAUAGAACAGGUAUUUUUAUCUAGAACAAUUGUCUAAUAGCGUCCAUUACCUGUUCUAUUGUCCCCGUACUUGCAAUGAUAUCUAGAUUAACAGGAUAGAUCAUUCAAAAAAAAAAAAGAAAAAAGAUUAACAGGAUAGAUGUAAGCACUAAAAUAAUACAUAUUACUGUUCAAGAUAUACACCAACAUGCAUGUAACUAAUAGAAAAAUAUUAUUAAAGUUUUGGGUAUAUUUGUCGAAAUCAUUUUCGGAUGAAUUAGUUUUAUAUUUUUGACACUAGAUAGUAGAAAGUUCAUCAAAAUAAAGUUUAUAAAUAGAUAGUUAAUUAGAAGUAAUCCGAAAAUAUAAUUGUUAGUUGCUACUUGGUAGUUAAAGGAGAUAUUGGGUAGUUAUCAAGGAUAGUUUAAAAAGAACAUAAAGCGACAACAAUAUGUUUAUUUCAAAAUCCCCUUCCUCCAAUUUUUUUUCUUUUGGUGGGACUCUCCUCCUUUAUAUAUAAUACAGAUAAUAAUAAAAUAUAUAAAUUAAUAUAAAAAAUGUAAAUAUCAAAACAACAACGUACAAAACACAACUUUUAAUGCAAAUAUAUCUAUAUAAUUUCUUCUCAAUUUCCUUGGUUAUUGGCAUACUUUGCAUUUAGCCUUGAUGUAACGACCCCACCUCCCCCUAAGGCGUACCAGAGGGUUCGGCGGGCCGCCUGCCCAGCUCUCGCCGGGAUUCAGUCGUUCGCUACCGUCCUCAAUUAAAAAUUGAAAUAAAUCACAAGAAUAAAUAGGGCAUUGAUCCAAACUUAAAGCGGAACUUAUAUACAUUGCCAAUCCAAAAGAGAAUAUAACAUCAAAUAGACAAGGGUUCUCAAUCCUUCAUACGUCCAACCCGUGCCAAGCACUAGGCGAGAACCACUACAAAAGAAACAAAAGAAACAAAACUAGAUUGGCUAGUCUAUCUCAAGCUCACGUCCUCGCUCGCCUUCCCCUGUAAGGAAAACAAAACUAAAGGAAUGAGCUAAAAGCCCAGUGAGGUUCCGAACACAUAAUCAGAUAAUCAAUCCAAUACAUUAAACAUGGAGUAUCAAUAAUUCAAGAAACAUUUACAAUGGAAAGCAAUAGUAACACAUUCAUUAAAAGGAUACGGCUCACAAGGAGCAAUUCGUUAUUUCGUUCAUUCGUUCUCCUGACAUUUCCCCUUAUUCCUCCAAUCAUUUGAAAAUGCAUUUUUCGUUUAUCAAUAAACCCUCGUUCGUUCGUUCGUUCAUUCAUUCACCCCCGUCCUGGCCGUUGGCCAGUCUCCACCAACCUACAGGGUAAUACUCGAGUAUACCAAACGUUCACCUAAGUCCCUAAUCGCCCGACCGAGUCCGCUUCUGGCUCGAGACGACCGGUAACAAGGAGCAAUGGCCAGUUCAGCCCAAAAGGCUUACAUUCAUGUGCAAGUAACAUUUCAAUCAUUAAAUCCUUGAAAAUUAUACAGUUAUUUAGGUCGAGUGCGAUAAAGUACACACUCGCCUAGAAAGCUCGUUUUGGAAAUCAUUAAAAGCACUUAACACAUUAGCAAAUGAUAACAACAAGCCAUAGAAUCAAAUAAGGAACACUCACCUAGAAAUGCAAAAUAUCGUGCAAAAUAUCCUUCCGGAUAUUACCCUUAAUCACCAAUGAAACCUAAGGUUGAACAAGAGAACAUAUUAUAGUUUAUCGAGCAAAACAUUUAAGGGAAACAAAGAAACCCGACUAAUUAAGAGUAAAACGUGUAAAGAUGACUUUCAAGUAAGAAGAGGGUUGUUUGAACCCAAGGAUGAAAAAUCAUGUUUUAAAAUGGAAAACCGGUCAUGGUAUUGGCCUAACAAAAGUAUACAAGUUCAAAUAGAAACCUAGCCCUCGGGCGAAAAUUUGGGCAGCACGCCCUUUGGGCUUACCUAAUUUUUCAGCCAUUUUGGCUUCAUUAUUUUUCCUCAACCACAACCCAACAUCACACAUAAGCAAUUCAAGUCAAGAGCCGUUCCAUAGGCUCACAAUAUCAUAAGAAUAAGAAUUACAACAAUCACAAGUGCAGAAAUUCAACUUAGCACAAGACAAAUUUGACGUACGAAUGCGGUAAUAACAUAUCCGAAGCUACGCUUAUUGGAUUGAGACGAAACCUACGCCAUUUCGAAGCUAAGACUCAGGGCUACAAUGUUCAUGAAGGUCACUUAGUCCAGUUUCUAAUGUAACUUGGUCAAAUUCUCGAAUUACUAAACCAGAAACCAAUUCGUCGGCUGUUUAAACGUAGAACACUGUAAUGGACAUAAAUCAGAGUACACAAGUCCGAAUCAGGUGUUCUUAGAGGUUUUUGAAAGCUAAUUCAGAAUGCUACAACUUUUAUGUUUUGGCAAAAUGCUAAAUCAGAAUGGAUCCUAGUCAAAAAAUGUGAUAAACUGGACAAACUGAUCACACGGGCUGCUGGGAAAAAACUUAAAAUAGUAAGGGUAUUUUGGACUUUUCACGAACUACGUUGCUCCGAUUGAGCUGAAAUUUUAUAGGCACCUAUAAAACACCAUUCUCUACAACUUUCCUUCUUUGACCUAAGGCCAAUUCGACAUCUAACAUACAGAUAUAAAUUCGGACAGAAAGUUGGGGAAAUUUUCCAGAUUCUGGAAUUUUGAGUUUCUAGUGCAACUUUCCUUAAUUUCUUGGUCUAAUCCCUACCACAACACCUUAUAACACUUCAAUUGCAACAUAUAAGUAUCAUACAACAAAUUGGGCAGAAUUUCCCCAAACCCUAGUUCAUGAAAUAAAAAGGGGAAAGCUACUAAAACAUGAUAAUCAUCCAUGAUUCCACCACUAAAUCAAGUUGCUAAGCUUAAUUUAACAAGAUUGAAAGUAAAACUUGGAGAGAUAAGCUCUCUUACCUUGGCUAGAGGUCACUAAGAGCAGCCCAAGCUUUCUCCUUCAAAAACCUCACCACAACUCACUAACUAGUCACUCAAGAACAAGUUUAAUCGGUUUAGUUCUUUUGAUUUCUCACUUGGUAGCUUGAGUCAAGAAGAAAUGAAGAAAUUUCUCUCUUGUUCUUCCCCUCUCUCUCUCUCGGCUCCUUGGCAGAAAUAUGAAGAGAAAUGGAGCUUAGUUGUCUUAUAAUAAAGCAAGAGGAUUAGGAUUAAUGGUGUCCACAAAUUGGCAAACACUUGAACUAAUCUUGGCCACAAAAUUUUCUCUUUCUUUCCCCUUGCAUAUGAACCACAAUUUCGGUCAAGCUUGCUGCCAAGAGAGAAGAUAUUUUGCUCAAGUUCAAUAAAUUUGUUUGGUAAGCAAAAAUGGUGGUCAAGUGGUGCGUUCAAACGGUAGUGCGCGGGACCCGCCGGUUCGCGCCGUUUUUCUUAAAACUCACGUAUUAGGGUUUUUACUUCCCAUUCACUAACCUUAUAUCAUUGCUACUAGUCACAUAUUAUUUCUCAUUUAAAAGUCACUUUUAAUCAUCAAAUUGAUCCUUGGCCAGUACUUAAAAUUCAUCCGGCGGAAAAAUCGUGAAACCCUAAUUUCGCUCCAAACUUGAAACCGAAGCGUAAAACCCUAUUUUCUAGGUUUAUCUACACUUAAUGUGAAAUAUUUGGGUAGUGGCCUUUGAUAAAUACUAAUUUUCAAAUAAAAUGGUAUUUUUGAGGAAAAAUACAAGGAAUUUGCGAGUCCUCACAUUCUCUCCCCCUUAAAAAAAUUUCGUCCUCGAAAUUUUACCUUCAGUUGACUCAGACGAGUCCAGAACUUGUCGGUUGUCUAAAGCAUAAACCUUUGCCGGUCCGCUAGUUCGUUUCCCUCUUUCAUUCACUUGUGAUUUAGCUCCAUCCAGUUGCAGAGUAUUGCUUUCACGUGACUAUCUCCUCGGACAGUUGCUAACUUGAUGAUCGCCACUUCCGCAGAUUAAACAUUUCCGCCCCUUUCUCCAACAAUCGCUUUCGACAUGAUUUGCCUUUCCACAAUACCCACAGACCACGUGAGAAGCCAUCUUUUGGCUUUCUUGAAAACUUUUCCCAAAUUUGAUUUGGCUUUCUUUUGUAGAUCCUUCACCUAUCGCCCCUAAUGUCCAUGGUGGGUGGGACAAAAAGUUCACUUUUUGCACUUUGGAAGGGACUCUCGCUUCACUUAAUUCCUCCACUACACUACUCGAUGCACUCCUUUUCUGGGUCUGGGAAGCUUUUAUCUGUGCCUUUGCAGUCUCGAUUCUUUGAGCUUUCUCAAGGGCCUCCGUAAACGUAUUCACUUGUACCGCCGCUAAUGCUUCUUGGAGUUCCAAAUUUAAUCCUUGUAUAAACCGUCUUACUCUUCGCCGUUCUGUGGCCACCAAUUCAGAAGCAAACUUGGAUAGUUUCGUAAAUUUCGUUUCAUAUUCGGCCACACUUAACGUUCCCUGGCGUAGUCCAAUAAACUCUUCCUCUCUCCUCUCUUGAACUAAAGGAGGGAGGUAUUUCUCGUUAAAUUUCCUUAUGAAAUUCGUCCAUGUCCAUACGGUCUGUUCUCUUUCCCAUUUUGCUUUAAUAACGUUCCACCACGCUCGGGCCGAUCCUUCAAAUUGGAACACCGCAAAGUUUACUUGUCUUUGCUCGGUGUAGUUCAAGAUGGUGAAAAUAUUAAUCAUGGCCUCUAACCAUUGUUCGGCUAUAUCCGGAUCAGAUCCUCCAAGGAAUUUCGGAGGAGUAAAUUUCUGAAACCGCUCAAGAGCCUUAUCUUCUCUGAUUUCAGGGUUCCGGGGUUGAUUCACGGCCAUUUGGCCUUGUUGAUCCACCAGUCUUGCCAAGAUAUCCGUCAUUUGUUGCAUUACCGUUGCCAUUUGGUCUUCGACUUCAACCCUCAUUCCUUGCUCUUGUGCAGCUGUUGUUUCUCUUUCCUCUCUUGACUCUUGAGCUCGUUCAUUCCCACGGCCACGUCCACGUCCACGGCUACGUCUCCCGUCCAUAUAUAUGUUUUUCCUCUCUUUUUUUUUUCCAAAAGUUAAUUUAGUAAAUAAACACGAUAAGGUGACUAAAGUAACUAAAAUUGAGGGCACUAAAUACUCAAAUAACAUAUACCCACAUAACACACCACAUAAAUAUAUCAAAGAAACAAAUAAUCAAAUACACAAAUACGUCUCAAGUCAAGCGGAUAUUCAAUACACAAGUACACAACUGAUGGCAUGUAGUGACAAUAUACGGGCGAAUCAAAAGAAAAAGGGUAUAUCGUCCCACACCCAACUAGAAUAACCCCGUCCGAUUUCUCACGUCACUUUCUAUCCGACUCGAUGUCCGUUGAUCUCUUAUACUUAUUCUAGCCAGACAAAGCCCGUUCAUGUUCCCAAAAUGCAAGUCUCAAGUAUUUAGCAGCACCUCAACUAUAGAGUACUCAGGCACGAGAAUCCGAAAGAAGAUAAUUCACAUCUCGAGCUGCAGUCUCAAGAGUAAACUAUCUACAAUCGGAAUUCCUACCUGACAUACCUAUCUAUGGUCUUCCAUGAGAAAGAUUUAAGGCCUAUAACAUUCGCAAUUCAUAGCUUCACUUAGUCCCUCAUACUUUUUCACCACCUAAUCCAGGGACACUCCACGUAGAAACCACGCGAAGCAGCUAUAAGUUUUAUCCCUCAAUCGCUUUACUUUCAAGUCCAAUCAAAUCCCACAGUCCGGUAUCCUAAUCUUUAAUCUAGGAUACACUACAGAGAUAUGAAGCCUAGGCUCUGAUACCACUUGUAACGACCCCACCUCCCCCUAAGGCGUACCAGAGGGUUCGGCGGGCCGCCUGCCCAGCUCUCGCCGGGAUUCAGUCGUUCGCUACCGUCCUCAAUUAAAAAUUGAAAUAAAUCACAAGAAUAAAUAGGGCAUUGAUCCAAACUUAAAGCGGAACUUAUAUACAUUGCCAACCCAAAAGAGAAUAUAACAUCAAAUAGACAAGGGUUCUCAAUCCUUCAUACGUCCAGCCCGUGCCAAGCACUAGGCGAGAACCACUACAAAAGAAACAAAAGAAACAAAACUAGAUUGGCUAGUCUAUCUCAAGCUCACGUCCUCGCUCGCCUUCCCCUGUAAGGAAAACAAAAUUAAAGGAAUGAGCUAAAAGCCCAGUGAGGUUCCGAACACAUAAUCAGAUAAUCAAUCCAAUACAUUAAGCAUGGAGUAUCAAUAAUUCAAGAAACAUUUACAAUGGAAAGCAAUAGUAACAUUCAUUAAAAGGAUACGACUCACAAGGAGCAAUUCGUUCAUUCGUUCUCCUGACAUUUCCCCUUAUUCCUCCAAUCAUUUGAAAAUGCAUUUUUCGUUUAUCAAUAAACCCUCGUUCGUUCGUUCGUUCAUUCAUUCAUUCACCCCCGUCCUGGCCGUUGGCCAGUCUCCACCAACCUACAGGGUAAUACUCGAGUAUACCAAACGUUCACCCAAGUCCCUAAUCGCCCGACCGAGUCCGCUUCUGGCUCGAGACGACCGGUAACCAGGGGCAAUGGCUAGUUCAGCCCAAAAGGCUUACAUUCAUGCGCAAGUAACAUUUCAAUUAUUAAAUCCUUGAAAAUUACACAGUUAUUUAGGUCGAGUGCGAUAAAGUACACACUCGCCUAGAAAGCUCGUUUUGAAAAUCAUUAAAAACAAUUAACACAUUAGCAAAUGAUAACAACAAGCCAUAAAGUCAAAUAAGGAACACUCACCUAGAAAUGCAAAAUAUCGUGCAAAAUAUCCUUCCGGAUAUUACCCUUAAUCACCAAUGAAAUCUAAGGUUGAACAAGAGAACAUUAUUAUAGUUUAUCGAGCAAAACAUUUAAGGGAAACAAAGAAACCCGACUUAUUCAGAGUAAAACGUGUAAAGAUGACUUUCAAGUAAGAAGAGGGUUGUUUGAACCCAAGGAUGAAAAAUCAUGUUUUAAAAUGGAAAACCGGUCAUGGUAUUGGCCUAACAAAAGUAUACAAGUUCAAAUAGAAACCUAGCCCUCGGGCGAAAAUUUGGGCAGCACGCCCUUUGGGCUUACCUAAUUUUUCAGCCAUUUUGGCUUCAUUAUUUUUCCUCAACCACAACCCAACAUCACACAUAAGCAAUUCAAGUCAAGAGCCGUUCCAUAGGCUCACAAUAUCAUAAGAAUAAGAAUUACAACAAUCACAAGUGCAGAAAUUCAACUUAGCACAAGACAAAUUUGACGUACGAAUGCGGUAAUAACAUAUCCGAAGCUACGCUUAUUGGAUUGAGACGAAACCUACGCCAUUUCGAAGCUAAGACUCAGGGCUACAAUGUUCAUGAAGGUCACUUAGUCCAGUUUCUAAUGUAACUUGGUCAAAUUCUCGAAUUACUAAACCAGAAACCAAUUCGUCGGCUGUUUAAACGUAGAACACUGUAAUGGACAUAAAUCAGAGUACACAAGUCCGAAUCAGGUGUUCUUAGAGGUUUUUGAAAGCUAAUUCAGAAUGAUACAACUUUUAUGUUUUGGCAAAAUGCUAAAUCAGAAUGGAUCCUAGUCAAAAAACGUGAUAAACUGGACAAACUGAUCACACGGGCUGCUGGGAAAAAACUUAAAAUAGUAAGGGUAUUUUGGACUUUUCACGAACUACGUUGCUCCGAUUGAGCUGAAAUUUUAUAGGCACCUAUAAAACACCAUUCUCUACAACUUUCCUUCUUUGACCUAAGGCCAAUUCGACAUCUAACAUACAGAUAUAAAUUCGGACAGAAAGUUGGGGAAAUUUUCCAGAUUCUGGAAUUUUGAGUUUCUAGUGCAACUUUCCUUAAUUUCUUGGUCUAAUCCCUACCACAACACCUUAUAACACUUCAAUUGCAACAUAUAAGUAUCAUACAACAAAUUGGGCAGAAUUUCCCCAAACCCUAGUUCAUGAAAUAAAAAGGGGAAAGCUACUAAAACAUGAUAAUCAUCCAUGAUUCCACCACUAAAUCAAGUUGCUAAGCUUAAUUUAACAAGAUUGAAAGUAAAACUUGGAGAGAUAAGCUCUCUUACCUUGGCUAGAGGUCACUAAGAGCAGCCCAAGCUUUCUCCUUCAAAAACCUCACCACAACUCACUAACUAGUCACUCAAGAACAAGUUUAAUCGGUUUAGUUCUUUUGAUUUCUCACUUGGUAGCUUGAGUCAAGAAGAAAUGAAGAAAUUUCUCUCUUGUUCUUCCCCUCUCUCUCUCUCGGCUCCUUGGCAGAAAUAUGAAGAGAAAUGGAGCUUAGUUGUCUUAUAAUAAAGCAAGAGGAUUAGGAUUAAUGGUGUCCACAAAUUGGCAAACACUUGAACUAAUCUUGGCCACAAAAUUUUCUCUUUCUUUCCCCUUGCAUAUGAACCACAAUUUCGGUCAAGCUUGCUGCCAAGAGAGAAGAUAUUUUGCUCAAGUUCAAUAAAUUUGUUUGGUAAGCAAAAAUGGUGGUCAAGUGGUGCGUUCAAACGGUAGUGCGCGGGACCCGCCGGUUCGCGCCGUUUUUCUUAAAACUCACGUAUUAGGGUUUUUACUUCCCAUUCACUAACCUUAUAUCAUUGCUACUAGUCACAUAUUAUUUCUCACUUAAAAGUCACUUUUAAUCAUCAAAUUGAUCCUUGGCCAGUACUGAAAAUUCAUCCGGCGGAAAAAUCGUGAAACCCUAAUUUCGCUCCAAACUUGAAACCGAAGCGUAAAACCCUAUUUUCUAGGUUUAUCUACACUUAAUGUGAAAUAUUUGGGUAGUGGCCUUUGAUAAAUACUAAUUUUCAAAUAAAAUGGUAUUUUUGAGGAAAAAUACAAGGAAUUUGCGAGUCCUCACAUUCUCUCCCCCUUAAAAAAAUUUCGUCCUCGAAAUUUUACCUUCAGUUGACUCAGACGAGUCCAGAACUUGUCGGUUGUCUAAAGCAUAAACCUUUGCCGGUCCGCUAGUUCGUUUCCCUCUUUCAUUCACUUGUGAUUUAGCUCCAUCCAGUUGCAGAGUAUUGCUUUCACGUGACUAUCUCCUCGGACAGUUGCUAACUUGAUGAUCGCCACUUCCGCAGAUUAAACAUUUCCGCCCCUUUCUCCAACAAUCGCUUUCGACAUGAUUUGCCUUUCCACAAUACCCACAGACCACGUGAGAAGCCAUCUUUUGGCUUUCUUGAAAACUUUUCCCAAAUUUGAUUUGGCUUUCUUUUGUAGAUCCUUCACCUAUCGCCCCUAAUGUCCAUGGUGGGUGGGACAAAAAGUUCACUUUUUGCACUUUGGAAGGGACUCUCGCUUCACUUAAUUCCUCCACUACACUACUCGAUGCACUCCUUUUCUGGGUCUGGGAAGCUUUUAUCUGUGCCUUUGCAGUCUCGAUUCUUUGAGCUUUCUCAAGGGCCUCCGUAAACGUAUUCACUUGUACCGCCGCUAAUGCUUCUUGGAGUUCCAAAUUUAAUCCUUGUAUAAACCGUCUUACUCUUCGCCGUUCUGUGGCCACCAAUUCAGAAGCAAACUUGGAUAGUUUCGUAAAUUUCGUUUCAUAUUCGGCCACACUUAACGUUCCCUGGCGUAGUCCAAUAAACUCUUCCUCUCUCCUCUCUUGAACUAAAGGAGGGAGGUAUUUCUCGUUAAAUUUCCUUAUGAAAUUCGUCCAUGUCCAUACGGUCUGUUCUCUUUCCCAUUUUGCUUUAAUAACGUUCCACCACGCUCGGGCCGAUCCUUCAAAUUGGAACACCGCAAAGUUUACUUGUCUUUGCUCGGUGUAGUUCAAGAUGGUGAAAAUAUUAAUCAUGGCCUCUAACCAUUGUUCGGCUAUAUCCGGAUCAGAUCCUCCAAGGAAUUUCGGAGGAGUAAAUUUCUGAAACCGCUCAAGAGCCUUAUCUUCUCUGAUUUCAGGGUUCCGGGGUUGAUUCACGGCCAUUUGGCCUUGUUGAUCCACCAGUCUUGCCAAGAUAUCCGUCAUUUGUUGCAUUACCGUUGCCAUUUGGUCUUCGACUUCAACCCUCAUUCCUUGCUCUUGUGCAGCUGUUGUUUCUCUUUCCUCUCUUGGCUCUUGAGCUCGUUCAUUCCCACGGCCACGUCCACGUCCACGGCUACGUCUCCCGUCCAUAUAUAUGUUUUUCCUCUCUUUUUUUUUUCCAAAAGGUAAUUUAGUAAAUAAACACGAUAAGGUGACUAAAGUAACUAAAAUUGAGGGCACUAAAUACUCAAAUAACAUAUACCCACAUAACACACCACAUAAACAUAUCAAAGAAACAAAUAAUCAAAUACACAAAUACGUCUCAAGUCAAGCGGAUAUUCAAUACACAAGUACACAACUGAUGGCAUGUAGUGACAAUAUACGGGCGAAUCAAAAGAAAAAGGGUAUAUCGUCCCACACCCAACUAGAAUAACCCCGUCCGAUUUCUCACGUCACUUUCUAUCCGACUCGAUGUCCGUUGAUCUCUUAUACUUAUUCUAGCCAGACAAAGCCCGUUCAUGUUCCCAAAAUGCAAGUCUCAAGUAUUUAGCAGCACCUCAACUAUAGAGUACUCAGGCACGAGAAUCCGAAAGAAGAUAAUUCACAUCUCGAGCUGCAGUCUCAAGAGUAAACUAUCUACAAUCGGAAUUCCUACCUGACAUACCUAUCUAUGGUCUUCCAUGAGAAAGAUUUAAGGCCUAUAACAUUCGCAAUUCAUAGCUUCACUUAGUCCCUCAUACUUUUUCACCACCUAAUCCAGGGACACUCCACGUAGAAACCACGCGAAGCAGCUAUAAGUUUUAUCCCUCAAUCGCUUUACUUUCAAGUCCAAUCAAAUCCCACAGUCCGGUAUCCUAAUCUUUAAUCUAGGAUACACUACAGAGAUAUGAAGCCUAGGCUCUGAUACCACUUGUAACGACCCCACCUCCCCCUAAGGCGUACCAGAGGGUUCGGCGGGCCGCCUGCCCAGCUCUCGCCGGGAUUCAGUCGUUCGCUACCGUCCUCAAUUAAAAAUUGAAAUAAAUCACAAGAAUAAAUAGGGCAUUGAUCCAAACUUAAAGCGGAACUUAUAUACAUUGCCAACCCAAAAGAGAAUAUAACAUCAAAUAGACAAGGGUUCUCAAUCCUUCAUACGUCCAGCCCGUGCCAAGCACUAGGCGAGAACCACUACAAAAGAAACAAAAGAAACAAAACUAGAUUGGCUAGUCUAUCUCAAGCUCACGUCCUCGCUCGCCUUCCCCUGUAAGGAAAACAAAAUUAAAGGAAUGAGCUAAAAGCCCAGUGAGGUUCCGAACACAUAAUCAGAUAAUCAAUCCAAUACAUUAAGCAUGGAGUAUCAAUAAUUCAAGAAACAUUUACAAUGGAAAGCAAUAGUAACAUUCAUUAAAAGGAUACGACUCACAAGGAGCAAUUCGUUCAUUCGUUCUCCUGACAUUUCCCCUUAUUCCUCCAAUCAUUUGAAAAUGCAUUUUUCGUUUAUCAAUAAACCCUCGUUCGUUCGUUCGUUCAUUCAUUCAUUCACCCCCGUCCUGGCCGUUGGCCAGUCUCCACCAACCUACAGGGUAAUACUCGAGUAUACCAAACGUUCACCCAAGUCCCUAAUCGCCCGACCGAGUCCGCUUCUGGCUCGAGACGACCGGUAACCAGGGGCAAUGGCUAGUUCAGCCCAAAAGGCUUACAUUCAUGCGCAAGUAACAUUUCAAUUAUUAAAUCCUUGAAAAUUACACAGUUAUUUAGGUCGAGUGCGAUAAAGUACACACUCGCCUAGAAAGCUCGUUUUGAAAAUCAUUAAAAACAAUUAACACAUUAGCAAAUGAUAACAACAAGCCAUAAAGUCAAAUAAGGAACACUCACCUAGAAAUGCAAAAUAUCGUGCAAAAUAUCCUUCCGGAUAUUACCCUUAAUCACCAAUGAAAUCUAAGGUUGAACAAGAGAACAUUAUUAUAGUUUAUCGAGCAAAACAUUUAAGGGAAACAAAGAAACCCGACUUAUUCAGAGUAAAACGUGUAAAGAUGACUUUCAAGUAAGAAGAGGGUUGUUUGAACCCAAGGAUGAAAAAUCAUGUUUUAAAAUGGAAAACCGGUCAUGGUAUUGGCCUAACAAAAGUAUACAAGUUCAAAUAGAAACCUAGCCCUCGGGCGAAAAUUUGGGCAGCACGCCCUUUGGGCUUACCUAAUUUUUCAGCCAUUUUGGCUUCAUUAUUUUUCCUCAACCACAACCCAACAUCACACAUAAGCAAUUCAAGUCAAGAGCCGUUCCAUAGGCUCACAAUAUCAUAAGAAUAAGAAUUACAACAAUCACAAGUGCAGAAAUUCAACUUAGCACAAGACAAAUUUGACGUAUGAAUGCGGUAAUAACAUAUCCGAAGCUACGCUUAUUGGAUUGAGACGAAACCUACGCCAUUUCGAAGCUAAGACUCAGGGAUACAAUGUUCAUGAAGGUCACUUAGUCCAGUUUCUAAUGUAACUUGGUCAAAUUCUCGAAUUACUAAACCAGAAACCAAUUCGUCGGCUGUUUAAACGUAGAACACUGUAAUGGACAUAAAUCAGAGUACACAAGUCCGAAUCAGGUGUUCUUAGAGGUUUUUGAAAGCUAAUUCAGAAUGCUACAACUUUUAUGUUUUGGCAAAAUGCUAAUCAGAAUGGAUCCUAGUCAAAAAACGUGAUAAACUGGACAAACGGAUCACACGGGCUGCUGGGAAAAAACUUAAAAUAGUAAGGGUAUUUUGGACUUUUCACGAACUACGUUGCUCCGAUUGAGCUGAAAUUUUAUAGGCACCUAUAAAAAACCAUUCUCUACAACUUUCCUUCUUUGACCUAAGGCCAAUUCGACAUCUAACAUACAGAUAUAAAUUCGGACAGAAAGUUGGGGAAAUUUUCCAGAUUCUGGAAUUUUGAGUUUCUAGUGCAACUUUCCUUAAUUUCUUGGUCUAAUCCCUACCACAACACCUUAUAACACUUCCAAUUGCAACAUAUAAACAUAUAAGUAUCAUACAACAAAUUGGGCAGAAUUUCCCCAAACCCUAGUUCAUGAAAUAAAAAGGGGAAAGCUACUAAAACAUGAUAAUCAUCCAUGAUUCCACCACUAAAUCAAGUUGCUAAGCUUAAUUUAACAAGAUUGAAAGUAAAACUUGGAGAGAUAAGCUCUCUUACCUUGGCUAGAGGUCACUAAGAGCAGCCCAAGCUUUCUCCUUCAAAAACCUCACCACAACUCACUAACUAGUCACUCAAGAACAAGUUUAAUCGGUUUAGUUCUUUUGAUUUCUCACUUGGUAGCUUGAGUCAAGAAGAAAUGAAGAAAUUUCUCUCUUGUUCUUCCCCUCUCUCUCUCUCGGCUCCUUGGCAGAAAUAUGAAGAGAAAUGGAGCUUAGUUGUCUUAUAAUAAAGCAAGAGGAUUAGGAUUAAUGGUGUCCACAAAUUGGCAAACACUUGAACUAAUCUUGGCCACAAAAUUUUCUCUUUCUUUCCCCUUGCAUAUGAACCACAAUUUCGGUCAAGCUUGCUGCCAAGAGAGAAGAUAUUUUGCUCAAGUUCAAUAAAUUUGUUUGGUAAGCAAAAAUGGUGGUCAAGUGGUGCGUUCAAACGGUAGUGCGCGGGACCCGCCGGUUCGCGCCGUUUUUCUUAAAACUCACGUAUUAGGGUUUUUACUUCCCAUUCACUAACCUUAUAUCAUUGCUACUAGUCACAUAUUAUUUCUCACUUAAAAGUCACUUUUAAUCAUCAAAUUGAUCCUUGGCCAGUACUGAAAAUUCAUCCGGCGGAAAAAUCGUGAAACCCUAAUUUCGCUCCAAACUUGAAACCGAAGCGUAAAACCCUAUUUUCUAGGUUUAUCUACACUUAAUGUGAAAUAUUUGGGUAGUGGCCUUUGAUAAAUACUAAUUUUCAAAUAAAAUGGUAUUUUUGAGGAAAAAUACAAGGAAUUUGCGAGUCCUCACAUUCUCUCCCCCUUAAAAAAAUUUCGUCCUCGAAAUUUUACCUUCAGUUGACUCAGACGAGUCCAGAACUUGUCGGUUGUCUAAAGCAUAAACCUUUGCCGGUCCGCUAGUUCGUUUCCCUCUUUCAUUCACUUGUGAUUUAGCUCCAUCCAGUUGCAGAGUAUUGCUUUCACGUGACUAUCUCCUCGGACAGUUGCUAACUUGAUGAUCGCCACUUCCGCAGAUUAAACAUUUCCGCCCCUUUCUCCAACAAUCGCUUUCGACAUGAUUUGCCUUUCCACAAUACCCACAGACCACGUGAGAAGCCAUCUUUUGGCUUUCUUGAAAACUUUUCCCAAAUUUGAUUUGGCUUUCUUUUGUAGAUCCUUCACCUAUCGCCCCUAAUGUCCAUGGUGGGUGGGACAAAAAGUUCACUUUUUGCACUUUGGAAGGGACUCUCGCUUCACUUAAUUCCUCCACUACACUACUCGAUGCACUCCUUUUCUGGGUCUGGGAAGCUUUUAUCUGUGCCUUUGCAGUCUCGAUUCUUUGAGCUUUCUCAAGGGCCUCCGUAAACGUAUUCACUUGUACCGCCGCUAAUGCUUCUUGGAGUUCCAAAUUUAAUCCUUGUAUAAACCGUCUUACUCUUCGCCGUUCUGUGGCCACCAAUUCAGAAGCAAACUUGGAUAGUUUCGUAAAUUUCGUUUCAUAUUCGGCCACACUUAACGUUCCCUGGCGUAGUCCAAUAAACUCUUCCUCUCUCCUCUCUUGAACUAAAGGAGGGAGGUAUUUCUCGUUAAAUUUCCUUAUGAAAUUCGUCCAUGUCCAUACGGUCUGUUCUCUUUCCCAUUUUGCUUUAAUAACGUUCCACCACGCUCGGGCCGAUCCUUCAAAUUGGAACACCGCAAAGUUUACUUGUCUUUGCUCGGUGUAGUUCAAGAUGGUGAAAAUAUUAAUCAUGGCCUCUAACCAUUGUUCGGCUAUAUCCGGAUCAGAUCCUCCAAGGAAUUUCGGAGGAGUAAAUUUCUGAAACCGCUCAAGAGCCUUAUCUUCUCUGAUUUCAGGGUUCCGGGGUUGAUUCACGGCCAUUUGGCCUUGUUGAUCCACCAGUCUUGCCAAGAUAUCCGUCAUUUGUUGCAUUACCGUUGCCAUUUGGUCUUCGACUUCAACCCUCAUUCCUUGCUCUUGUGCAGCUGUUGUUUCUCUUUCCUCUCUUGACUCUUGAGCUCGUUCAUUCCCACGGCCACGUCCACGUCCACGGCUACGUCUCCCGUCCAUAUAUAUGUUUUUCCUCUCUUUUUUUUUUCCAAAAGUUAAUUUAGUAAAUAAACACGAUAAGGUGACUAAAGUAACUAAAAUUGAGGGCACUAAAUACUCAAAUAACAUAUACCCACAUAACACACCACAUAAACAUAUCAAAGAAACAAAUAAUCAAAUACACAAAUACGUCUCAAGUCAAGCGGAUAUUCAAUACACAAGUACACAACUGAUGGCAUGUAGUGACAAUAUACGGGCGAAUCAAAAGAAAAAGGGUAUAUCGUCCCACACCCAACUAGAAUAACCCCGUCCGAUUUCUCACGUCACUUUCUAUCCGACUCGAUGUCCGUUGAUCUCUUAUACUUAUUCUAGCCAGACAAAGCCCGUUCAUGUUCCCAAAAUGCAAGUCUCAAGUAUUUAGCAGCACCUCAACUAUAGAGUACUCAGGCACGAGAAUCCGAAAGAAGAUAAUUCACAUCUCGAGCUGCAGUCUCAAGAGUAAACUAUCUACAAUCGGAAUUCCUACCUGACAUACCUAUCUAUGGUCUUCCAUGAGAAAGAUUUAAGGCCUAUAACAUUCGCAAUUCAUAGCUUCACUUAGUCCCUCAUACUUUUUCACCACCUAAUCCAGGGACACUCCACGUAGAAACCACGCGAAGCAGCUAUAAGUUUUAUCCCUCAAUCGCUUUACUUUCAAGUCCAAUCAAAUCCCACAGUCCGGUAUCCUAAUCUUUAAUCUAGGAUACACUACAGAGAUAUGAAGCCUAGGCUCUGAUACCACUUGUAACGACCCCACCUCCCCCUAAGGCGUACCAGAGGGUUCGGCGGGCCGCCUGCCCAGCUCUCGCCGGGAUUCAGUCGUUCGCUACCGUCCUCAAUUAAAAAUUGAAAUAAAUCACAAGAAUAAAUAGGGCAUUGAUCCAAACUUAAAGCGGAACUUAUAUACAUUGCCAACCCAAAAGAGAAUAUAACAUCAAAUAGACAAGGGUUCUCAAUCCUUCAUACGUCCAGCCCGUGCCAAGCACUAGGCGAGAACCACUACAAAAGAAACAAAAGAAACAAAACUAGAUUGGCUAGUCUAUCUCAAGCUCACGUCCUCGCUCGCCUUCCCCUGUAAGGAAAACAAAAUUAAAGGAAUGAGCUAAAAGCCCAGUGAGGUUCCGAACACAUAAUCAGAUAAUCAAUCCAAUACAUUAAGCAUGGAGUAUCAAUAAUUCAAGAAACAUUUACAAUGGAAAGCAAUAGUAACAUUCAUUAAAAGGAUACGACUCACAAGGAGCAAUUCGUUCAUUCGUUCUCCUGACAUUUCCCCUUAUUCCUCCAAUCAUUUGAAAAUGCAUUUUUCGUUUAUCAAUAAACCCUCGUUCGUUCGUUCGUUCAUUCAUUCAUUCACCCCCGUCCUGGCCGUUGGCCAGUCUCCACCAACCUACAGGGUAAUACUCGAGUAUACCAAACGUUCACCCAAGUCCCUAAUCGCCCGACCGAGUCCGCUUCUGGCUCGAGACGACCGGUAACCAGGGGCAAUGGCUAGUUCAGCCCAAAAGGCUUACAUUCAUGCGCAAGUAACAUUUCAAUUAUUAAAUUCUUCAAAAUUGCACAGUUAUUUAGGUCGAGUGCGUUAAAGUACACACUCGCCUAGAAAGCUCGUUUUGGAAAUCAUUAAAAGCAAUUAACAUAUUAGCAAAUGAUAACAACAAGCCAUAAAGUCAAAUAAGGAACACUCACCUAGAAAUGCAAAAUAUCGUGCAAAAUAUCCUUCCGGAUAUUACCCUUAAUCACCAAUGAAACCUAAGGUUGAACAAGAGAACAUUAUUAUAGUUUAUCGAGCAAAACAUUUAAGGGAAACAAAGAAACCCGACUUAUUCAGAGUAAAACGUGUAAAGAUGACUUUCAAGUAAGAAGAGGGUUGUUUGAACCCAAGGAUGAAAAAUCAUGUUUUAAAAUGGAAAACCGGUCAUGGUAUUGGCCUAACAAAAGUAUACAAGUUCAAAUAGAAACCUAGCCCUCGGGCGAAAAUUUGGGCAGCACGCCCUUUGGGCUUACCUAAUUUUUCAGCCAUUUUGGCUUCAUUAUUUUUCCUCAACCACAACCCAACAUCACACAUAAGCAAUUCAAGUCAAGAGCCGUUCCAUAGGCUCACAAUAUCAUAAGAAUAAGAAUUACAACAAUCACAAGUGCAGAAAUUCAACUUAGCACAAGACAAAUUUGACGUACGAAUGCGGUAAUAACAUAUCCGAAGCUACGCUUAUUGGAUUGAGACGAAACCUACGCCAUUUCGAAGCUAAGACUCAGGGCUACAAUGUUCAUGAAGGUCACUUAGUCCAGUUUCUAAUGUAACUUGGUCAAAUUCUCGAAUUACUAAACCAGAAACCAAUUCGUCGGCUGUUUAAACGUAGAACACUGUAAUGGACAUAAAUCAGAGUACACAAGUCCGAAUCAGGUGUUCUUAGAGGUUUUUGAAAGCUAAUUCAGAAUGCUACAACUUUUAUGUUUUGGCAAAAUGCUAAUCAGAAUGGAUCCUAGUCAAAAAACGUGAUAAACUGGACAAACGGAUCACACGGGCUGCUGGGAAAAAACUUAAAAUAGUAAGGGUAUUUUGGACUUUUCACGAACUACGUUGCUCCGAUUGAGCUGAAAUUUUAUAGGCACCUAUAAAAAACCAUUCUCUACAACUUUCCUUCUUUGACCUAAGGCCAAUUCGACAUCUAACAUACAGAUAUAAAUUCGGACAGAAAGUUGGGGAAAUUUUCCAGAUUCUGGAAUUUUGAGUUUCUAGUGCAACUUUCCUUAAUUUCUUGGUCUAAUCCCUACCACAACACCUUAUAACACUUCAAUUGCAACAUAUAAACAUCAUACAACAAAUUGGGCAGAAUUUCCCCAAACCCUAGUUCAUGAAAUAAAAAGGGGAAAGCUACUAAAACAUGAUAAUCAUCCAUGAUUCCACCACUAAAUCAAGUUGCUAAGCUUAAUUUAACAAGAUUGAAAGUAAAACUUGGAGAGAUAAGCUCUCUUACCUUGGCUAGAGGUCACUAAGAGCAGCCCAAGCUUUCUCCUUCAAAAACCUCACCACAACUCACUAACUAGUCACUCAAGAACAAGUUUAAUCGGUUUAGUUCUUUUGAUUUCUCACUUGGUAGCUUGAGUCAAGAAGAAAUGAAGAAAUUUCUCUCUUGUUCUUCCCCUCUCUCUCUCUCGGCUCCUUGGCAGAAAUAUGAAGAGAAAUGGAGCUUAGUUGUCUUAUAAUAAAGCAAGAGGAUUAGGACUAAUGGUGUCCACAAAUUGGCAAACACUUGGACUAAUCUUGGCCACAAAAUUUUCUCUUUCUUUCCCCUUGCAUAUGAACCACAAUUUCGGUCAAGCUUGCUGCCAAGAGAGAAGAUAUUUUGCUCAAGUUCUUGAACUAAUCUUGGCCACAAAAUUUUCUCUUUCUUUCCCCUUGCAUAUGAACCACAAUUUCGGUCAAGCUUGCUGCCAAGAGAGAAGAUAUUUUGCUCAAGUUCAAUAAAUUUGUUUGGUAAGCAAAAAUGGUGGUCAAGUGGUGCGUUCAAACGGUAGUGCGCGGGACCCGCCGGUUCGCGCCGUUUUUCUUAAAACUCACGUAUUAGGGUUUUUACUUCCCAUUCACUAACCUUAUAUCAUUGCUACUAGUCACAUAUUAUUUCUCACUUAAAAGUCACUUUUAAUCAUCAAAUUGAUCCUUGGCCAGUACUGAAAAUUCAUCCGGCGGAAAAAUCGUGAAACCCUAAUUUCGCUCCAAACUUGAAACCGAAGCGUAAAACCCUAUUUUCUAGGUUUAUCUACACUUAAUGUGAAAUAUUUGGGUAGUGGCCUUUGAUAAAUACUAAUUUUCAAAUAAAAUGGUAUUUUUGAGGAAAAAUACAAGGAAUUUGCGAGUCCUCACAUUCUCUCCCCCUUAAAAAAAUUUCGUCCUCGAAAUUUUACCUUCAGUUGACUCAGACGAGUCCAGAACUUGUCGGUUGUCUAAAGCAUAAACCUUUGCCGGUCCGCUAGUUCGUUUCCCUCUUUCAUUCACUUGUGAUUUAGCUCCAUCCAGUUGCAGAGUAUUGCUUUCACGUGACUAUCUCCUCGGACAGUUGCUAACUUGAUGAUCGCCACUUCCGCAGAUUAAACAUUUCCGCCCCUUUCUCCAACAAUCGCUUUCGACAUGAUUUGCCUUUCCACAAUACCCACAGACCACGUGAGAAGCCAUCUUUUGGCUUUCUUGAAAACUUUUCCCAAAUUUGAUUUGGCUUUCUUUUGUAGAUCCUUCACCUAUCGCCCCUAAUGUCCAUGGUGGGUGGGACAAAAAGUUCACUUUUUGCACUUUGGAAGGGACUCUCGCUUCACUUAAUUCCUCCACUACACUACUCGAUGCACUCCUUUUCUGGGUCUGGGAAGCUUUUAUCUGUGCCUUUGCAGUCUCGAUUCUUUGAGCUUUCUCAAGGGCCUCCGUAAACGUAUUCACUUGUACCGCCGCUAAUGCUUCUUGGAGUUCCAAAUUUAAUCCUUGUAUAAACCGUCUUACUCUUCGCCGUUCUGUGGCCACCAAUUCAGAAGCAAACUUGGAUAGUUUCGUAAAUUUCGUUUCAUAUUCGGCCACACUUAACGUUCCCUGGCGUAGUCCAAUAAACUCUUCCUCUCUCCUCUCUUGAACUAAAGGAGGGAGGUAUUUCUCGUUAAAUUUCCUUAUGAAAUUCGUCCAUGUCCAUACGGUCUGUUCUCUUUCCCAUUUUGCUUUAAUAACGUUCCACCACGCUCGGGCCGAUCCUUCAAAUUGGAACACCGCAAAGUUUACUUGUCUUUGCUCGGUGUAGUUCAAGAUGGUGAAAAUAUUAAUCAUGGCCUCUAACCAUUGUUCGGCUAUAUCCGGAUCAGAUCCUCCAAGGAAUUUCGGAGGAGUAAAUUUCUGAAACCGCUCAAGAGCCUUAUCUUCUCUGAUUUCAGGGUUCCGGGGUUGAUUCACGGCCAUUUGGCCUUGUUGAUCCACCAGUCUUGCCAAGAUAUCCGUCAUUUGUUGCAUUACCGUUGCCAUUUGGUCUUCGACUUCAACCCUCAUUCCUUGCUCUUGUGCAGCUGUUGUUUCUCUUUCCUCUCUUGGCUCUUGAGCUCGUUCAUUCCCACGGCCACGUCCACGUCCACGGCUACGUCUCCCGUCCAUAUAUAUGUUUUUCCUCUCUUUUUUUUUUCCAAAAGGUAAUUUAGUAAAUAAACACGAUAAGGUGACUAAAGUAACUAAAAUUGAGGGCACUAAAUACUCAAAUAACAUAUACCCACAUAACACACCACAUAAACAUAUCAAAGAAACAAAUAAUCAAAUACACAAAUACGUCUCAAGUCAAGCGGAUAUUCAAUACACAAGUACACAACUGAUGGCAUGUAGUGACAAUAUACGGGCGAAUCAAAAGAAAAAGGGUAUAUCGUCCCACACCCAACUAGAAUAACCCCGUCCGAUUUCUCACGUCACUUUCUAUCCGACUCGAUGUCCGUUGAUCUCUUAUACUUAUUCUAGCCAGACAAAGCCCGUUCAUGUUCCCAAAAUGCAAGUCUCAAGUAUUUAGCAGCACCUCAACUAUAGAGUACUCAGGCACGAGAAUCCGAAAGAAGAUAAUUCACAUCUCGAGCUGCAGUCUCAAGAGUAAACUAUCUACAAUCGGAAUUCCUACCUGACAUACCUAUCUAUGGUCUUCCAUGAGAAAGAUUUAAGGCCUAUAACAUUCGCAAUUCAUAGCUUCACUUAGUCCCUCAUACUUUUUCACCACCUAAUCCAGGGACACUCCACGUAGAAACCACGCGAAGCAGCUAUAAGUUUUAUCCCUCAAUCGCUUUACUUUCAAGUCCAAUCAAAUCCCACAGUCCGGUAUCCUAAUCUUUAAUCUAGGAUACACUACAGAGAUAUGAAGCCUAGGCUCUGAUACCACUUGUAACGACCCCACCUCCCCCUAAGGCGUACCAGAGGGUUCGGCGGGCCGCCUGCCCAGCUCUCGCCGGGAUUCAGUCGUUCGCUACCGUCCUCAAUUAAAAAUUGAAAUAAAUCACAAGAAUAAAUAGGGCAUUGAUCCAAACUUAAAGCGGAACUUAUAUACAUUGCCAACCCAAAAGAGAAUAUAACAUCAAAUAGACAAGGGUUCUCAAUCCUUCAUACGUCCAGCCCGUGCCAAGCACUAGGCGAGAACCACUACAAAAGAAACAAAAGAAACAAAACUAGAUUGGCUAGUCUAUCUCAAGCUCACGUCCUCGCUCGCCUUCCCCUGUAAGGAAAACAAAAUUAAAGGAAUGAGCUAAAAGCCCAGUGAGGUUCCGAACACAUAAUCAGAUAAUCAAUCCAAUACAUUAAGCAUGGAGUAUCAAUAAUUCAAGAAACAUUUACAAUGGAAAGCAAUAGUAACAUUCAUUAAAAGGAUACGACUCACAAGGAGCAAUUCGUUCAUUCGUUCUCCUGACAUUUCCCCUUAUUCCUCCAAUCAUUUGAAAAUGCAUUUUUCGUUUAUCAAUAAACCCUCGUUCGUUCGUUCGUUCAUUCAUUCAUUCACCCCCGUCCUGGCCGUUGGCCAGUCUCCACCAACCUACAGGGUAAUACUCGAGUAUACCAAACGUUCACCCAAGUCCCUAAUCGCCCGACCGAGUCCGCUUCUGGCUCGAGACGACCGGUAACCAGGGGCAAUGGCUAGUUCAGCCCAAAAGGCUUACAUUCAUGCGCAAGUAACAUUUCAAUUAUUAAAUCCUUGAAAAUUACACAGUUAUUUAGGUCGAGUGCGAUAAAGUACACACUCGCCUAGAAAGCUCGUUUUGAAAUCAUUAAAAACAAUUAACACAUUAGCAAAUGAUAACAACAAGCCAUAAAGUCAAAUAAGGAACACUCACCUAGAAAUGCAAAAUAUCGUGCAAAAUAUCCUUCCGGAUAUUACCCUUAAUCACCAAUGAAAUCUAAGGUUGAACAAGAGAACAUUAUUAUAGUUUAUCGAGCAAAACAUUUAAGGGAAACAAAGAAACCCGACUUAUUCAGAGUAAAACGUGUAAAGAUGACUUUCAAGUAAGAAGAGGGUUGUUUGAACCCAAGGAUGAAAAAUCAUGUUUUAAAAUGGAAAACCGGUCAUGGUAUUGGCCUAACAAAAGUAUACAAGUUCAAAUAGAAACCUAGCCCUCGGGCGAAAAUUUGGGCAGCACGCCCUUUGGGCUUACCUAAUUUUUCAGCCAUUUUGGCUUCAUUAUUUUUCCUCAACCACAACCCAACAUCACACAUAAGCAAUUCAAGUCAAGAGCCGUUCCAUAGGCUCACAAUAUCAUAAGAAUAAGAAUUACAACAAUCACAAGUGCAGAAAUUCAACUUAGCACAAGACAAAUUUGACGUACGAAUGCGGUAAUAACAUAUCCGAAGCUACGCUUAUUGGAUUGAGACGAAACCUACGCCAUUUCGAAGCUAAGACUCAGGGCUACAAUGUUCAUGAAGGUCACUUAGUCCAGUUUCUAAUGUAACUUGGUCAAAUUCUCGAAUUACUAAACCAGAAACCAAUUCGUCGGCUGUUUAAACGUAGAACACUGUAAUGGACAUAAAUCAGAGUACACAAGUCCGAAUCAGGUGUUCUUAGAGGUUUUUGAAAGCUAAUUCAGAAUGCUACAACUUUUAUGUUUUGGCAAAAUGCUAAAUCAGAAUGGAUCCUAGUCAAAAAACGUGAUAAACUGGACAAACUGAUCACACGGGCUGCUGGGAAAAAACUUAAAAUAGUAAGGGUAUUUUGGACUUUUCACGAACUACGUUGCUCCGAUUGAGCUGAAAUUUUAUAGGCACCUAUAAAACACCAUUCUCUACAACUUUCCUUCUUUGACCUAAGGCCAAUUCGACAUCUAACAUACAGAUAUAAAUUCGGACAGAAAGUUGGGGAAAUUUUCCAGAUUCUGGAAUUUUGAGUUUCUAGUGCAACUUUCCUUAAUUUCUUGGUCUAAUCCCUACCACAACACCUUAUAACACUUCAAUUGCAACAUAUAAGUAUCAUACAACAAAUUGGGCAGAAUUUCCCCAAACCCUAGUUCAUGAAAUAAAAAGGGGAAAGCUACUAAAACAUGAUAAUCAUCCAUGAUUCCACCACUAAAUCAAGUUGCUAAGCUUAAUUUAACAAGAUUGAAAGUAAAACUUGGAGAGAUAAGCUCUCUUACCUUGGCUAGAGGUCACUAAGAGCAGCCCAAGCUUUCUCCUUCAAAAACCUCACCACAACUCACUAACUAGUCACUCAAGAACAAGUUUAAUCGGUUUAGUUCUUUUGAUUUCUCACUUGGUAGCUUGAGUCAAGAAGAAAUGAAGAAAUUUCUCUCUUGUUCUUCCCCUCUCUCUCUCUCGGCUCCUUGGCAGAAAUAUGAAGAGAAAUGGAGCUUAGUUGUCUUAUAAUAAAGCAAGAGGAUUAGGAUUAAUGGUGUCCACAAAUUGGCAAACACUUGAACUAAUCUUGGCCACAAAAUUUUCUCUUUCUUUCCCCUUGCAUAUGAACCACAAUUUCGGUCAAGCUUGCUGCCAAGAGAGAAGAUAUUUUGCUCAAGUUCAAUAAAUUUGUUUGGUAAGCAAAAAUGGUGGUCAAGUGGUGCGUUCAAACGGUAGUGCGCGGGACCCGCCGGUUCGCGCCGUUUUUCUUAAAACUCACGUAUUAGGGUUUUUACUUCCCAUUCACUAACCUUAUAUCAUUGCUACUAGUCACAUAUUAUUUCUCACUUAAAAGUCACUUUUAAUCAUCAAAUUGAUCCUUGGCCAGUACUGAAAAUUCAUCCGGCGGAAAAAUCGUGAAACCCUAAUUUCGCUCCAAACUUGAAACCGAAGCGUAAAACCCUAUUUUCUAGGUUUAUCUACACUUAAUGUGAAAUAUUUGGGUAGUGGCCUUUGAUAAAUACUAAUUUUCAAAUAAAAUGGUAUUUUUGAGGAAAAAUACAAGGAAUUUGCGAGUCCUCACAUUCUCUCCCCCUUAAAAAAAUUUCGUCCUCGAAAUUUUACCUUCAGUUGACUCAGACGAGUCCAGAACUUGUCGGUUGUCUAAAGCAUAAACCUUUGCCGGUCCGCUAGUUCGUUUCCCUCUUUCAUUCACUUGUGAUUUAGCUCCAUCCAGUUGCAGAGUAUUGCUUUCACGUGACUAUCUCCUCGGACAGUUGCUAACUUGAUGAUCGCCACUUCCGCAGAUUAAACAUUUCCGCCCCUUUCUCCAACAAUCGCUUUCGACAUGAUUUGCCUUUCCACAAUACCCACAGACCACGUGAGAAGCCAUCUUUUGGCUUUCUUGAAAACUUUUCCCAAAUUUGAUUUGGCUUUCUUUUGUAGAUCCUUCACCUAUCGCCCCUAAUGUCCAUGGUGGGUGGGACAAAAAGUUCACUUUUUGCACUUUGGAAGGGACUCUCGCUUCACUUAAUUCCUCCACUACACUACUCGAUGCACUCCUUUUCUGGGUCUGGGAAGCUUUUAUCUGUGCCUUUGCAGUCUCGAUUCUUUGAGCUUUCUCAAGGGCCUCCGUAAACGUAUUCACUUGUACCGCCGCUAAUGCUUCUUGGAGUUCCAAAUUUAAUCCUUGUAUAAACCGUCUUACUCUUCGCCGUUCUGUGGCCACCAAUUCAGAAGCAAACUUGGAUAGUUUCGUAAAUUUCGUUUCAUAUUCGGCCACACUUAACGUUCCCUGGCGUAGUCCAAUAAACUCUUCCUCUCUCCUCUCUUGAACUAAAGGAGGGAGGUAUUUCUCGUUAAAUUUCCUUAUGAAAUUCGUCCAUGUCCAUACGGUCUGUUCUCUUUCCCAUUUUGCUUUAAUAACGUUCCACCACGCUCGGGCCGAUCCUUCAAAUUGGAACACCGCAAAGUUUACUUGUCUUUGCUCGGUGUAGUUCAAGAUGGUGAAAAUAUUAAUCAUGGCCUCUAACCAUUGUUCGGCUAUAUCCGGAUCAGAUCCUCCAAGGAAUUUCGGAGGAGUAAAUUUCUGAAACCGCUCAAGAGCCUUAUCUUCUCUGAUUUCAGGGUUCCGGGGUUGAUUCACGGCCAUUUGGCCUUGUUGAUCCACCAGUCUUGCCAAGAUAUCCGUCAUUUGUUGCAUUACCGUUGCCAUUUGGUCUUCGACUUCAACCCUCAUUCCUUGCUCUUGUGCAGCUGUUGUUUCUCUUUCCUCUCUUGGCUCUUGAGCUCGUUCAUUCCCACGGCCACGUCCACGUCCACGGCUACGUCUCCCGUCCAUAUAUAUGUUUUUCCUCUCUUUUUUUUUUCCAAAAGGUAAUUUAGUAAAUAAACACGAUAAGGUGACUAAAGUAACUAAAAUUGAGGGCACUAAAUACUCAAAUAACAUAUACCCACAUAACACACCACAUAAACAUAUCAAAGAAACAAAUAAUCAAAUACACAAAUACGUCUCAAGUCAAGCGGAUAUUCAAUACACAAGUACACAACUGAUGGCAUGUAGUGACAAUAUACGGGCGAAUCAAAAGAAAAAGGGUAUAUCGUCCCACACCCAACUAGAAUAACCCCGUCCGAUUUCUCACGUCACUUUCUAUCCGACUCGAUGUCCGUUGAUCUCUUAUACUUAUUCUAGCCAGACAAAGCCCGUUCAUGUUCCCAAAAUGCAAGUCUCAAGUAUUUAGCAGCACCUCAACUAUAGAGUACUCAGGCACGAGAAUCCGAAAGAAGAUAAUUCACAUCUCGAGCUGCAGUCUCAAGAGUAAACUAUCUACAAUCGGAAUUCCUACCUGACAUACCUAUCUAUGGUCUUCCAUGAGAAAGAUUUAAGGCCUAUAACAUUCGCAAUUCAUAGCUUCACUUAGUCCCUCAUACUUUUUCACCACCUAAUCCAGGGACACUCCACGUAGAAACCACGCGAAGCAGCUAUAAGUUUUAUCCCUCAAUCGCUUUACUUUCAAGUCCAAUCAAAUCCCACAGUCCGGUAUCCUAAUCUUUAAUCUAGGAUACACUACAGAGAUAUGAAGCCUAGGCUCUGAUACCACUUGUAACGACCCCACCUCCCCCUAAGGCGUACCAGAGGGUUCGGCGGGCCGCCUGCCCAGCUCUCGCCGGGAUUCAGUCGUUCGCUACCGUCCUCAAUUAAAAAUUGAAAUAAAUCACAAGAAUAAAUAGGGCAUUGAUCCAAACUUAAAGCGGAACUUAUAUACAUUGCCAACCCAAAAGAGAAUAUAACAUCAAAUAGACAAGGGUUCUCAAUCCUUCAUACGUCCAGCCCGUGCCAAGCACUAGGCGAGAACCACUACAAAAGAAACAAAAGAAACAAAACUAGAUUGGCUAGUCUAUCUCAAGCUCACGUCCUCGCUCGCCUUCCCCUGUAAGGAAAACAAAAUUAAAGGAAUGAGCUAAAAGCCCAGUGAGGUUCCGAACACAUAAUCAGAUAAUCAAUCCAAUACAUUAAGCAUGGAGUAUCAAUAAUUCAAGAAACAUUUACAAUGGAAAGCAAUAGUAACAUUCAUUAAAAGGAUACGACUCACAAGGAGCAAUUCGUUCAUUCGUUCUCCUGACAUUUCCCCUUAUUCCUCCAAUCAUUUGAAAAUGCAUUUUUCGUUUAUCAAUAAACCCUCGUUCGUUCGUUCGUUCAUUCAUUCAUUCACCCCCGUCCUGGCCGUUGGCCAGUCUCCACCAACCUACAGGGUAAUACUCGAGUAUACCAAACGUUCACCCAAGUCCCUAAUCGCCCGACCGAGUCCGCUUCUGGCUCGAGACGACCGGUAACCAGGGGCAAUGGCUAGUUCAGCCCAAAAGGCUUACAUUCAUGCGCAAGUAACAUUUCAAUUAUUAAAUCCUUGAAAAUUACACAGUUAUUUAGGUCGAGUGCGAUAAAGUACACACUCGCCUAGAAAGCUCGUUUUGAAAAUCAUUAAAAACAAUUAACACAUUAGCAAAUGAUAACAACAAGCCAUAAAGUCAAAUAAGGAACACUCACCUAGAAAUGCAAAAUAUCGUGCAAAAUAUCCUUCCGGAUAUUACCCUUAAUCACCAAUGAAAUCUAAGGUUGAACAAGAGAACAUUAUUAUAGUUUAUCGAGCAAAACAUUUAAGGGAAACAAAGAAACCCGACUUAUUCAGAGUAAAACGUGUAAAGAUGACUUUCAAGUAAGAAGAGGGUUGUUUGAACCCAAGGAUGAAAAAUCAUGUUUUAAAAUGGAAAACCGGUCAUGGUAUUGGCCUAACAAAAGUAUACAAGUUCAAAUAGAAACCUAGCCCUCGGGCGAAAAUUUGGGCAGCACGCCCUUUGGGCUUACCUAAUUUUUCAGCCAUUUUGGCUUCAUUAUUUUUCCUCAACCACAACCCAACAUCACACAUAAGCAAUUCAAGUCAAGAGCCGUUCCAUAGGCUCACAAUAUCAUAAGAAUAAGAAUUACAACAAUCACAAGUGCAGAAAUUCAACUUAGCACAAGACAAAUUUGACGUACGAAUGCGGUAAUAACAUAUCCGAAGCUACGCUUAUUGGAUUGAGACGAAACCUACGCCAUUUCGAAGCUAAGACUCAGGGCUACAAUGUUCAUGAAGGUCACUUAGUCCAGUUUCUAAUGUAACUUGGUCAAAUUCUCGAAUUACUAAACCAGAAACCAAUUCGUCGGCUGUUUAAACGUAGAACACUGUAAUGGACAUAAAUCAGAGUACACAAGUCCGAAUCAGGUGUUCUUAGAGGUUUUUGAAAGCUAAUUCAGAAUGCUACAACUUUUAUGUUUUGGCAAAAUGCUAAAUCAGAAUGGAUCCUAGUCAAAAAAUGUGAUAAACUGGACAAACUGAUCACACGGGCUGCUGGGAAAAAACUUAAAAUAGUAAGGGUAUUUUGGACUUUUCACGAACUACGUUGCUCCGAUUGAGCUGAAAUUUUAUAGGCACCUAUAAAACACCAUUCUCUACAACUUUCCUUCUUUGACCUAAGGCCAAUUCGACAUCUAACAUACAGAUAUAAAUUCGGACAGAAAGUUGGGGAAAUUUUCCAGAUUCUGGAAUUUUGAGUUUCUAGUGCAACUUUCCUUAAUUUCUUGGUCUAAUCCCUACCACAACACCUUAUAACACUUCAAUUGCAACAUAUAAGUAUCAUACAACAAAUUGGGCAGAAUUUCCCCAAACCCUAGUUCAUGAAAUAAAAAGGGGAAAGCUACUAAAACAUGAUAAUCAUCCAUGAUUCCACCACUAAAUCAAGUUGCUAAGCUUAAUUUAACAAGAUUGAAAGUAAAACUUGGAGAGAUAAGCUCUCUUACCUUGGCUAGAGGUCACUAAGAGCAGCCCAAGCUUUCUCCUUCAAAAACCUCACCACAACUCACUAACUAGUCACUCAAGAACAAGUUUAAUCGGUUUAGUUCUUUUGAUUUCUCACUUGGUAGCUUGAGUCAAGAAGAAAUGAAGAAAUUUCUCUCUUGUUCUUCCCCUCUCUCUCUCUCGGCUCCUUGGCAGAAAUAUGAAGAGAAAUGGAGCUUAGUUGUCUUAUAAUAAAGCAAGAGGAUUAGGAUUAAUGGUGUCCACAAAUUGGCAAACACUUGAACUAAUCUUGGCCACAAAAUUUUCUCUUUCUUUCCCCUUGCAUAUGAACCACAAUUUCGGUCAAGCUUGCUGCCAAGAGAGAAGAUAUUUUGCUCAAGUUCAAUAAAUUUGUUUGGUAAGCAAAAAUGGUGGUCAAGUGGUGCGUUCAAACGGUAGUGCGCGGGACCCGCCGGUUCGCGCCGUUUUUCUUAAAACUCACGUAUUAGGGUUUUUACUUCCCAUUCACUAACCUUAUAUCAUUGCUACUAGUCACAUAUUAUUUCUCAUUUAAAAGUCACUUUUAAUCAUCAAAUUGAUCCUUGGCCAGUACUUAAAAUUCAUCCGGCGGAAAAAUCGUGAAACCCUAAUUUCGCUCCAAACUUGAAACCGAAGCGUAAAACCCUAUUUUCUAGGUUUAUCUACACUUAAUGUGAAAUAUUUGGGUAGUGGCCUUUGAUAAAUACUAAUUUUCAAAUAAAAUGGUAUUUUUGAGGAAAAAUACAAGGAAUUUGCGAGUCCUCACAUUCUCUCCCCCUUAAAAAAAUUUCGUCCUCGAAAUUUUACCUUCAGUUGACUCAGACGAGUCCAGAACUUGUCGGUUGUCUAAAGCAUAAACCUUUGCCGGUCCGCUAGUUCGUUUCCCUCUUUCAUUCACUUGUGAUUUAGCUCCAUCCAGUUGCAGAGUAUUGCUUUCACGUGACUAUCUCCUCGGACAGUUGCUAACUUGAUGAUCGCCACUUCCGCAGAUUAAACAUUUCCGCCCCUUUCUCCAACAAUCGCUUUCGACAUGAUUUGCCUUUCCACAAUACCCACAGACCACGUGAGAAGCCAUCUUUUGGCUUUCUUGAAAACUUUUCCCAAAUUUGAUUUGGCUUUCUUUUGUAGAUCCUUCACCUAUCGCCCCUAAUGUCCAUGGUGGGUGGGACAAAAAGUUCACUUUUUGCACUUUGGAAGGGACUCUCGCUUCACUUAAUUCCUCCACUACACUACUCGAUGCACUCCUUUUCUGGGUCUGGGAAGCUUUUAUCUGUGCCUUUGCAGUCUCGAUUCUUUGAGCUUUCUCAAGGGCCUCCGUAAACGUAUUCACUUGUACCGCCGCUAAUGCUUCUUGGAGUUCCAAAUUUAAUCCUUGUAUAAACCGUCUUACUCUUCGCCGUUCUGUGGCCACCAAUUCAGAAGCAAACUUGGAUAGUUUCGUAAAUUUCGUUUCAUAUUCGGCCACACUUAACGUUCCCUGGCGUAGUCCAAUAAACUCUUCCUCUCUCCUCUCUUGAACUAAAGGAGGGAGGUAUUUCUCGUUAAAUUUCCUUAUGAAAUUCGUCCAUGUCCAUACGGUCUGUUCUCUUUCCCAUUUUGCUUUAAUAACGUUCCACCACGCUCGGGCCGAUCCUUCAAAUUGGAACACCGCAAAGUUUACUUGUCUUUGCUCGGUGUAGUUCAAGAUGGUGAAAAUAUUAAUCAUGGCCUCUAACCAUUGUUCGGCUAUAUCCGGAUCAGAUCCUCCAAGGAAUUUCGGAGGAGUAAAUUUCUGAAACCGCUCAAGAGCCUUAUCUUCUCUGAUUUCAGGGUUCCGGGGUUGAUUCACGGCCAUUUGGCCUUGUUGAUCCACCAGUCUUGCCAAGAUAUCCGUCAUUUGUUGCAUUACCGUUGCCAUUUGGUCUUCGACUUCAACCCUCAUUCCUUGCUCUUGUGCAGCUGUUGUUUCUCUUUCCUCUCUUGGCUCUUGAGCUCGUUCAUUCCCACGGCCACGUCCACGUCCACGGCUACGUCUCCCGUCCAUAUAUAUGUUUUUCCUCUCUUUUUUUUUUCCAAAAGGUAAUUUAGUAAAUAAACACGAUAAGGUGACUAAAGUAACUAAAAUUGAGGGCACUAAAUACUCAAAUAACAUAUACCCACAUAACACACCACAUAAACAUAUCAAAGAAACAAAUAAUCAAAUACACAAAUACGUCUCAAGUCAAGCGGAUAUUCAAUACACAAGUACACAACUGAUGGCAUGUAGUGACAAUAUACGGGCGAAUCAAAAGAAAAAGGGUAUAUCGUCCCACACCCAACUAGAAUAACCCCGUCCGAUUUCUCACGUCACUUUCUAUCCGACUCGAUGUCCGUUGAUCUCUUAUACUUAUUCUAGCCAGACAAAGCCCGUUCAUGUUCCCAAAAUGCAAGUCUCAAGUAUUUAGCAGCACCUCAACUAUAGAGUACUCAGGCACGAGAAUCCGAAAGAAGAUAAUUCACAUCUCGAGCUGCAGUCUCAAGAGUAAACUAUCUACAAUCGGAAUUCCUACCUGACAUACCUAUCUAUGGUCUUCCAUGAGAAAGAUUUAAGGCCUAUAACAUUCGCAAUUCAUAGCUUCACUUAGUCCCUCAUACUUUUUCACCACCUAAUCCAGGGACACUCCACGUAGAAACCACGCGAAGCAGCUAUAAGUUUUAUCCCUCAAUCGCUUUACUUUCAAGUCCAAUCAAAUCCCACAGUCCGGUAUCCUAAUCUUUAAUCUAGGAUACACUACAGAGAUAUGAAGCCUAGGCUCUGAUACCACUUGUAACGACCCCACCUCCCCCUAAGGCGUACCAGAGGGUUCGGCGGGCCGCCUGCCCAGCUCUCGCCGGGAUUCAGUCGUUCGCUACCGUCCUCAAUUAAAAAUUGAAAUAAAUCACAAGAAUAAAUAGGGCAUUGAUCCAAACUUAAAGCGGAACUUAUAUACAUUGCCAACCCAAAAGAGAAUAUAACAUCAAAUAGACAAGGGUUCUCAAUCCUUCAUACGUCCAGCCCGUGCCAAGCACUAGGCGAGAACCACUACAAAAGAAACAAAAGAAACAAAACUAGAUUGGCUAGUCUAUCUCAAGCUCACGUCCUCGCUCGCCUUCCCCUGUAAGGAAAACAAAAUUAAAGGAAUGAGCUAAAAGCCCAGUGAGGUUCCGAACACAUAAUCAGAUAAUCAAUCCAAUACAUUAAGCAUGGAGUAUCAAUAAUUCAAGAAACAUUUACAAUGGAAAGCAAUAGUAACAUUCAUUAAAAGGAUACGACUCACAAGGAGCAAUUCGUUCAUUCGUUCUCCUGACAUUUCCCCUUAUUCCUCCAAUCAUUUGAAAAUGCAUUUUUCGUUUAUCAAUAAACCCUCGUUCGUUCGUUCGUUCAUUCAUUCAUUCACCCCCGUCCUGGCCGUUGGCCAGUCUCCACCAACCUACAGGGUAAUACUCGAGUAUACCAAACGUUCACCCAAGUCCCUAAUCGCCCGACCGAGUCCGCUUCUGGCUCGAGACGACCGGUAACCAGGGGCAAUGGCUAGUUCAGCCCAAAAGGCUUACAUUCAUGCGCAAGUAACAUUUCAAUUAUUAAAUCCUUGAAAAUUACACAGUUAUUUAGGUCGAGUGCGAUAAAGUACACACUCGCCUAGAAAGCUCGUUUUGAAAAUCAUUAAAAACAAUUAACACAUUAGCAAAUGAUAACAACAAGCCAUAAAGUCAAAUAAGGAACACUCACCUAGAAAUGCAAAAUAUCGUGCAAAAUAUCCUUCCGGAUAUUACCCUUAAUCACCAAUGAAAUCUAAGGUUGAACAAGAGAACAUUAUUAUAGUUUAUCGAGCAAAACAUUUAAGGGAAACAAAGAAACCCGACUUAUUCAGAGUAAAACGUGUAAAGAUGACUUUCAAGUAAGAAGAGGGUUGUUUGAACCCAAGGAUGAAAAAUCAUGUUUUAAAAUGGAAAACCGGUCAUGGUAUUGGCCUAACAAAAGUAUACAAGUUCAAAUAGAAACCUAGCCCUCGGGCGAAAAUUUGGGCAGCACGCCCUUUGGGCUUACCUAAUUUUUCAGCCAUUUUGGCUUCAUUAUUUUUCCUCAACCACAACCCAACAUCACACAUAAGCAAUUCAAGUCAAGAGCCGUUCCAUAGGCUCACAAUAUCAUAAGAAUAAGAAUUACAACAAUCACAAGUGCAGAAAUUCAACUUAGCACAAGACAAAUUUGACGUAUGAAUGCGGUAAUAACAUAUCCGAAGCUACGCUUAUUGGAUUGAGACGAAACCUACGCCAUUUCGAAGCUAAGACUCAGGGAUACAAUGUUCAUGAAGGUCACUUAGUCCAGUUUCUAAUGUAACUUGGUCAAAUUCUCGAAUUACUAAACCAGAAACCAAUUCGUCGGCUGUUUAAACGUAGAACACUGUAAUGGACAUAAAUCAGAGUACACAAGUCCGAAUCAGGUGUUCUUAGAGGUUUUUGAAAGCUAAUUCAGAAUGCUACAACUUUUAUGUUUUGGCAAAAUGCUAAUCAGAAUGGAUCCUAGUCAAAAAACGUGAUAAACUGGACAAACGGAUCACACGGGCUGCUGGGAAAAAACUUAAAAUAGUAAGGGUAUUUUGGACUUUUCACGAACUACGUUGCUCCGAUUGAGCUGAAAUUUUAUAGGCACCUAUAAAAAACCAUUCUCUACAACUUUCCUUCUUUGACCUAAGGCCAAUUCGACAUCUAACAUACAGAUAUAAAUUCGGACAGAAAGUUGGGGAAAUUUUCCAGAUUCUGGAAUUUUGAGUUUCUAGUGCAACUUUCCUUAAUUUCUUGGUCUAAUCCCUACCACAACACCUUAUAACACUUCAAUUGCAACAUAUAAACAUCAUACAACAAAUUGGGCAGAAUUUCCCCAAACCCUAGUUCAUGAAAUAAAAAGGGGAAAGCUACUAAAACAUGAUAAUCAUCCAUGAUUCCACCACUAAAUCAAGUUGCUAAGCUUAAUUUAACAAGAUUGAAAGUAAAACUUGGAGAGAUAAGCUCUCUUACCUUGGCUAGAGGUCACUAAGAGCAGCCCAAGCUUUCUCCUUCAAAAACCUCACCACAACUCACUAACUAGUCACUCAAGAACAAGUUUAAUCGGUUUAGUUCUUUUGAUUUCUCACUUGGUAGCUUGAGUCAAGAAGAAAUGAAGAAAUUUCUCUCUUGUUCUUCCCCUCUCUCUCUCUCGGCUCCUUGGCAGAAAUAUGAAGAGAAAUGGAGCUUAGUUGUCUUAUAAUAAAGCAAGAGGAUUAGGACUAAUGGUGUCCACAAAUUGGCAAACACUUGGACUAAUCUUGGCCACAAAAUUUUCUCUUUCUUUCCCCUUGCAUAUGAACCACAAUUUCGGUCAAGCUUGCUGCCAAGAGAGAAGAUAUUUUGCUCAAGUUCAAUAAAUUUGUUUGGUAAGCAAAAAUGGUGGUCAAGUGGUGCGUUCAAACGGUAGUGCGCGGGACCCGUCGGUUCGCGCCGUUUUUCUUAAAACUCACGUACUAGGGUUUUUACUUCCCAUUCACUAACCUUAUAUCAUUGCUACUAGUCACAUAUUAUUUCUCACUUAAAAGUCACUUUUAAUCAUCAAAUUGAUUCUUGGCCAGUACCGAAAAUUCAUCCGGCGGAAAAAUCGCGAAACCCUAAUUUCGCUCCAAACUUGAAACCGAAGCGUAAAACCCUAUUUUCUAGGUUUAUCUACACUUAAUGUGAAAUAUUUGGGUAGUGGCCUUUGAUAAAUACUAAUUUUCAAAUAAAAGGAUAUUUUUGAGGAAAAAUACAAGGAAUUUGCGAGUCCUCACACUUGACAAUUCAAUUUACAAAAAAAAAAAAGGCAAAUUAAUGUUUUAGCUCAAUAGAAAAACAACUUUCUAAUUUUUAUAUAUACUUAUACACAUGAGGAAUAUUUUUCUUUAAAUUACUCCCUAACAUUCCCAAAAAUCUUUAACUUGCCAUAACCUUAUAGACUGCAACUGGAAAGAGUGAAUGGCAAUACCCAAUGUUGGGAUUUACAUAGAAGACCUGCAUUUCCACCAAGAUUUUUCACUAAUUCUAUCAAAGAUCAACGCAUUUAGAAUACAUAUCAUGUCACAUUUUUCUAAGGUGGAGUAGACAGUGGUACUGGCAUAAACUAGCAAAUUUAGAUGCAGGAGAGAAGUAUAAAAUUUGAAUUUGAAUUUGAAUUUCAAAUUUAAAUUUUAAUUAAUUAUCAUGCAUACACACACAUAUAGGUACUAUGUCUCCCAUUUCAUUUGGUUGGACAUUAAGACAAGAAACACGGUUUUAAUAAGGCAAAACAAUUCGUUUAGUCCCUCAGAUUUCUCGCUUUUUAUUUUCUUAUUUGAGCUAAGAACCAAACCAAAUGAUCAUUGGAUAGGCAUUUUUGUAGCUAAAAAAAAUACCCAAUUUAUGAGGUGGAAGAUAUAUAUAUAUAUAUAUAUAUAUAUAUAUAUAUAUAUAUAUAUAUAUAUAAUGGCACAUUGAAGUUUAUAUUUUUGCGUUAAUUUUCAAAGAGUGAUUCUUUUUGUAUAACAUCCAAAAAAGAUGAUAUUGACGAUUGGUUAUAAGGAAUACAUUUUUAAGAGGUGAAAUCUUAAUAUUACAAGAUAAUUACCAAUUUGUAUUAAGUUUUCCUGAGUUCCAAUAAAUCCAAUAUUUCUAGAAAUUUCCAACUGAUUUGGUAAAAAAAAAAAAAAAACUCUAGUAAAUUCCUAUCGUUAACCGAGGCAAAGUUUUGUGUUCAAAUUUUUUUUUUAGGCGUGUGUCAAACUUAAAAGUGGGUAAAAGCCUGCAGAAGAAUUAAAGAGAUGAUGGAGUAAUAAAAAUAAACAAGCAAUAGAGAAAUAAAUAUUGAAAACUGAUAGUAAUUAUAAAAAAAAAAAAAGAGAGCUCUUCCAGGCUGUUAUCUUGACCAAAAAAGAGAAAAGGCGAGAUAAAUAAAACUUUUUCAUAAUGCAAGUGGGCUCCUGUAUUUCCAUCAAUCCCCAUCAGUCACCCAAAGGAUAAUUAAUUCGGGACCUAAUUGGCGAAGAGUUUUGCUUUUUGCAUUUGGCAUGACGAUGAUUUGACCGGAAACAAUUCUUAACAUGCUGGUCAAUUGAACUAAAAGUUGUAAUUUUGAUACUUAUAAUGUUCCUAAUAUUAUUCAAUAUUAAUGUGAUUAGGAAAGCCACAUAAAUUGAAAGAAACAAAUAUGAAAGUUCAACCAUGAUGGGCUCAAUUAUAAUUGAAGUAGGGAGUAGAGACAAAGUUUGCUAAAAUUGACACUUAUAACUAAAUUGCCACUUAUAACUAAAUUCGUUUGUUGAAAAAAAAAAUAAAUUCAGAUUUAACAAAAAAAACGUAAAAAAAAAAAGAAAAAAGAAGAAAUUUUAUUGGCAAUUUUACUUUAAAACUAAAAGCCCGUAUUUUCGGGUGAAUAAAUGGCACUAGAUUUACAUUUAUUUAUGGUUUCCCUGGAAAAAGAAAGGCCAUCAUUUUGCUUCAUUUUUGAAGGGAAAAUAAACCAAUACAUGAUAAAAAUAGUUACAAAGGAAUCACUAAAAAUGGUCCUGCAUGGUAAAUCACAGUAUUAAUAUUUGCCUUCUUCACAAGAUUCCGUAUAGAUCAAACCAUGUUAUUUUGGUCCAGCAUGGGUUAAUAAGGUAAAAUCCUCAAGCAAAAAACAAAAGGUCUAAAUUACAUCAAUUCGAUCCAUUUGUGCCAUUAACAUUUUUCUUUUUUGGUCUAUUGUUACCAUCUACAUCUAUUUCUACUCCUAAUCCUAAUCAAACAUAUACUAGGGUCAUGCGGAAUCGACGGGAAUUGAACCAUCAUCGAAUCAUACGGGUGCAUUAAGCACUCAUAUGAAUUUUAGAGAAACCACGUGACAACUUUUUGAUGGAAGGUAAGAUUUGAAUUCUUAACGUUCUACCUCACAAAUAUAGUUAGCAUAGCUCCUAGAACAUGUACGCAUAAAAGAAUGUAUUGUCCUUUUCGUUCUUGUAAUUGAGCAGGUAUGUGAAAAAGUGACUAGUGAUUGCUAACCAAUGAUCAAUGAAUGGGGAAAAAAAAUCUCCGAAUUGAAGGCAUCUAAAUCUGGAUCCAUACACAACAACCAGUCAUAAGUCAUAACCAUGAGUUUUGGGGCUUUGGGACCCAAAACAACCAAUUUCUUGAUAAAAUUCCAUUUGUGUUUUUUUAAAAAAAUUUCCCUUGAGACAAGAAUACGUAACAGAUGCUUUAAUUAAUUACACUUUUUCCUUUCUUUGCUCCAUGCACAAUUUUUGGUCUUCCAUUAGCAACUGCUGAAUAUACAAAAGGACAAAAACGUGCAUAGACCUUUCAUUCUUCUAGACUAGGAAUUCUGCAUCUGCUUUGUACCCAUCAUUGUCAACGGCAUAUAAGCAUGGCCCUCUACAACUUGUGAAAAGAAUGAAAAUGAAUAUAAGGCUGCGGAGAUAAUUAAUAGAUAACUUGUUUGUAGUCUGCUAGUAUUCUGUUAUUCUUGUUCCCCCUUUCUGCCACCUACAGGUUAUUGUCUCAUAUAACCUUACCUUGAUAGUAGCCAUUUAAUAAGAUAAUUAGUACUUAGGUAAUGGCAUUUUCUGCCAACUCAGGUAAUGGCAAAUCUGAUUAACAUUAUAAAUGCUUACAUUUGUCUUCAGCUUUUCCAAAAUCUUCAUAUUUGGAGGCAAUCUUAACUACCGGAAUUGGGCUCCUUUUAGAUAAACUAAAAAGGAAAAAAGGGUUCUGAAAACUUGAAUGUAAAAGUUCACAAUUUGAACGUAUGUUUUUUUGGAUGCGUCAACCUCCUUCUUCCUUUUUUUUUUUUGGGGGGGGGGGGGGGGGGGGGGGGGGGGGGGGGGGGUUGUUGGUGCAUAAAGAACUACAAUCCGAUGACAAGAAUUUUGUUUCCUUAAUCGUUUGCUAAUGGCUUUCCAAUUUUUUCCCCCCAUAUUAGACACCUGACCACCAACAAGCCCCAGCCUUUGACCAUGAAGCCCAAAACUUGCCAGUUGCCACUAAGCCUUGAGGCCUAUAAUAAAAUUGGAAGUGGAAGUUUGGAUUGCAUUUUUCUGGAUUUUUUUGGUAGAAAAAUACAAAAAAAAAGUAUAAUAUUGAUAUCAAUAUUGGUCCCUUCCGAGCUCCUAACUCUCCAUUCCUCUCCUGCUAGACUUUUUAGUAUAUAAUAUAAUUCUUAAAAAUCUAUUGAUCUCACCUAUUUGGACUGUCCUCAACAAUAUACAUUUUGAUUGUAGUCCUACCUAGUGAGCUCAAUGUGCUCAUACAGGUACUCAGAUCUCUAUCACAGGUUAUCCAUAUCCGAUCAUCAUCUUCAUCCUGAUACUCAAUUAUAAAACUUCCCGUGGCUAGAUUCAGUCGCUGUACAACGUUUUCCUCCAAAUCGAUUUUACGGGCAGAAAAUGGAAGUCUGAACUUUAUCAUGCGCCCUUGAUAUUCUGCCUUCACCCACAUGCCAUUAUCAUCUUCUAGCCUCGUUGCAUCUGACCGGUGGUGUUCAUGAGUAUCUUCCGUAGAAGGUUGAACAGUUUUCUGUACAGCAAGUGCUUGACUAACCUUUCUUGCUUUACGAGGUGGCCAUCUGUUAAUACCGUACUCCCUACAUAUACGCUUCAAUGUAGAUCGACUAACUGCAGAUUUCAAAAAGGAAAACUUCAGUUAAGGAAAAAUGCAUUCACCAACAUUUGAAUUCAAUUCUGACCUAGAGAAGUGCUAUAGUUAAGGAUUACCUCCAAUAUUUUUUGCAGCAUCUUCAAGUCUCCUUGUAGAAUUUUGUUCAAGAACCUCACGAGUAAUUCCAAGGUCGCUUUUUAAAGUCCAACUAGGCUUUUGCACUUCUAAAUUAGUCACUUCAUUGUCCCUCUGUUCUAUACUAGCACCAUUUCUUCGAGGAUCUUCCACAAUUGGUUCAUCAUGUGCUAUGCUGACCAUGUUUUGCACGACCUCCUGUCCAGUUGAAGAUCUAUCAAUUCCAUUUUUCUGUUCAUAAACACCAUCCGUAGAAUUGUGCACAACAUCAACUCCUGCAAGAUUUAAUUCUUGAUCUGAUAUGUUGACAAUGCCCUGCACGUGCUCUGGUCUAGGUGGAGAUCCAACAAUCCCACUCUGCUGUGCAUGGACACCAUUUAUAUGACCAUUUGCAUUAUCAACUUGCACCAUUCCUUCUCCUUGUGCUUUUGCAUUCCUAGGUGUAGAUCCAAUACUUCCAUGCUGCUGGUUAUGGAUACCAUCCAUAGAACCAUUUGCAGCAUCAACUUGUUGAGAUGAGAAAUCAAGUUGCAUCAUUCCGUCUCCUCCUUGUACUUCUUCAAGCCUAGGUUGAGAUUCGAUACCAGCAGUACUGCAGAUUUCAAAAGAAUCAAAUUCAUCCUCUGGAGAUCCAACACUUCCAUUCUGUCUCCUCCUUGUAGAUCCAACACUUCUAUUCUGCUGGUUAUGGAUACCAUCCAUAGAACCAUUUGCAGCAUCAACUUGUUGAGAUGAGAAAUCAAGUUGCAUCAUUCCGUCUCCUCCUUGUACUUCUUCAAGCCUAGGUUUAGAUUCGAUACCAGUAGUAUUGCAGAAUUCAAAAGAAUCAAAUUUAUCCUCUGGAGAGACCUUUAUAACAUCAACAGUCAAUUUCUGCCCCAAUUCUUGUCCCGAAGCAAUCUUAAAAGAACUUCCGAGGUGUUCUUUCAAUGUCUCCAUUAGGCUGUUCAGCAAUGUCCUAGGAUCCCCAUAGUCUGCUUCAUCUUCCCCAUAGUCUGCUUCAUCUUCAUCUUCCCCAUAGUCUGCUUCAUCUUCAUCUUUCCCAUAGUCUGCUUCAUCUUCUUCAUACGUAGGUAGAAAGAACUCCAGUACGUAAAUGCAAUUGCUCGAACAAGAGCUCUGCAAACAAACUGCAAAACAGGCAGAGUAGUUGUGGUAUCGUGCUUGGACUACCAACGGGUACUUUGUUAUGCUUAAUUGUCUUACAUCCCUACAAAAGCAUGCACUUUUGGAUGAGAAUGCUCUCCCGACUACCCCUUGUGUAUUAUGAAUAAAAUCUACGCUACCAAGAGAACUUAGUAUUUCCCCAGAAGUAAUCCAAGUUUCAGUAUCAUCCAGUCCACAUAUUGCAGUCACCUCACUCAAUGCUUCAUCAAUUUUAGCAAUUUCUCCAUCUUGACCUGUAGAUGAAUGGUUUAAAAGUAUUGGCAUGGAAUGAAUAGCCUAAAGCUUCAGCCAAGAUAUUGCAGUAUAAAAGGAGGAAAAAAAAUACUUAAGAGGUACUCACAUGAAUUUACUUGUGCUAGGUUUACACCAACAGUUGUCAGAUUCAUCUCCCAUAGUAGAUUCUAGCAAACACAUUAUCCAUGAGCCAUAAAUAAAUUAAAGCGUUAUUUACAAGUUUCAAAGUGUUUGUUUUGAGCUUUAAAAGUUGUUUAACAACAACGGAUUUGCACCUAAAAAAGAAAAUUAAAACAAUAAGAUAAGCUCUUUGUAUGCUCAGUCAACUAAUUUUGGUAUAGAAGUUUCGAAAAGCCAAAACCUCCUUCAAAUGUCAUAGAUUUUUUAAGAAUCAACUUGUUUCGCUUAAAAAUAACUUAAAAAGGGAACAUUGAUAUUUCGUUUUCACAGUUAUAAGCAAUUGGAAAAUUAGUUGUUGAUAUAUCGCAAAAGAGACCUUCCAUUAGAUUAAUUUAUAAAAGCACCCCUCCUAUCGCCACCUAACAAUUGGAAACCACAAUUUAUUCCCAAAUUUGUAAAGGACAUGGAGACAUACAAAAUUCAUGCCAAGAUUUAUCACGAAAUUCUUAUUAAGUGCGAUGCUACCAUAAAUCUUGCACUAUAUAACACACAAGGAGACAAUGGUUGGUUAUGUUAUAAAUUACCUAGUUCAAAUAAUAAAUUAAUUAGUUAUCUUUAUAUCAGUCAUCACAGUAAGUCUGCUGUGAAGUGACCGUAAAGCCGAGACAUGUAGUUUGUAACUCUCAUCAAAAUUCUGGUCGGUGGGGGAGUAAUUAUCCGAAAGAGAAACACAAAUGAAAUGAUGUCAGCGAGAAUCAGAUUGGCUCUUUUUUUUUUUUGAUAACAGAUGCUAAUUAUUUACGAUCUGGGAUUCGUCCUCUAAGCUCCUCUGCACCCAUUUCAUAUACUAUAUUACCUAAUUUAUUGAUAAAAAUUAUACUAAUAAUUAUAUAACUCAUAAAUGAUAAACAACACCACCCCCAGGUCCUUGUCAGCAAUAGGAAAGAAGUAAUUAAGCAACUUCAAAACAGAAAAGUCGAACCUGAAGCUUCUCCAGAACCCACCGUCGAGGUAUUCCGGUAAAAGCACGUGGCGAGACAAUUUCCAGUACACCAAUGGGGAGGUGCCGAGUAGGAUGAUGAUAGAUUGGCAACACCCAGUAUGCCGCAACAGGGCCGACCGCAUAAUCACAUUGAGGAUACUCUCUACUAGUGUAAUAAUCCACACAAGGUGUAUAUUCAGGCGACCCACUGCGGAACACCCGACCAGGGGGACCAAUCUUAUCAUCAUCAUCUUCUUCGUCGACGGGUAAUAAGUACCCCAAACAGUGCUUCCUAUAUUUACAUAGUUUCUUGGCGUCUCGGAUGUGGCGGUACUGGAGAGCAAAAGGCUGGUCACAAGUUGUCAAAUACGUUUUGUCGCCCAUCUUCACUAAACCCCAAAACUGAACUAGACAAUCACACUGUAUUAAUGUUUCCUCAAGAAGUUGUAGAAAACAUUUGAUCUGGUCCUUAAUCACGGCACCGUCAGCAGCUGCAAUAGGAAAAUCAGUAAUAAAAAAUAUUAAAGGGUGCCUGCUAGUAUAUAUGAACUGUUUGUAUAAUUUAUUUAUUCAUUAAUUGCAGAGUACUCUACUGAUUGACCCGUGCUUUGACCGAGACCCCCAAAAAAAAAAGUCAAAUUUAUUGUAUGUACUCAUGAUGAUCCAUCAUAAACUUUUGAGCAAAUUGCAGUUUAGAAAAAUUCCAAAUUAUACUUUGACAGAGCCUUCCAACCUCAAUCUUCAAAUCUGAUGAUGUAUCCAACCUAAGCCUAUAUGAAGAGCUCUAAGCGCCGCCGCCCCCUUUGUACCUUCCAAUUGGAUGGCCCAAGCCUUCGUAUCUUUCUAACCGUUUAAUUUCUCAUCAAACUAAUUUUUUUUCCUUGAAUUUUUUUUCUGUUCUAAAUUGUUCAUGGAAAUUUAUUUCACAGGAGUUUUAUCAGAGUCAGACUAUAUAUAGCUAUGACAAAUUUAAUUGCGAUAAAUAGAGUCCAACAAAAAUAUCCACAAACAUACAUACAUACAUAUUAUAUAUAUAUAUGAGAGAUUAUAUUGAAAGAACUCCAUAGAUACUUACUGGCUGAGAGAUGAUGAGGCUUCCCGCAGCCUCCUUCGUCAUUGCCGCAUGUGCUCCAGAAAACCCAGUAGUGCUCAUCAAUAUCGUCUAAUGAAUGGGACAUUGAUAGUUCACAAGGCCCCAAACCUUCCGCAGAAAAAAGAGCCAUUUGUAGUUUUGUCAUUCCUUCUCCUCCGAUACCAGUAGUACUGUAGAUUUCAAAAGAAUCAAAUUCAUCCUCUGGAGAGACUUUUAUUACCUCAACAGUCAAUUUCUGCCCCAAUUCUUGUCCCGAAGCAAUCUUAAAAGAACUUCCGAGGCAUUCGUUCAAUGUCUCCAUUAGGCUGUUCAACAAUGUCCUAGGAUCCCCAUAGUCUGCUUCAUCUUCAUCUUCAUCUUUUUCAUACAUAGGUAGAAAGAACUCCAGUACAUAAAUGCAAUUGUUCGAGCAAAAGCUCUGCAAACAAACUGCAAAACAGGCAGAUCUCUUCAAGUAUCGUGCCUUGAGUAGCAACGGGUAGUCUGUUAUGCUUAAUUGUCUUAUAUCCCUACAAAAGCAUGCACUUUUGGAUGAGAAUGCUCUCCCAACUACUCCUUGUCCCUUCCGAAUAAAAUCUACGUCACCAUGAGAACUUAGUAUUUCUCCAGAAGUAGUCCAAGUUUUAGCACAACCAUAAGCCACUCCACAUAUUUUCCUCAUCUUGCCCAAUGCUUCGUCAAUUGUAGCAAUUUCUCCACGUUGACCUGUAGAGGAAUGGCUUAAAAAUAUUAGCAUGGAAUGAAUAGCCUAAAGCUUCAGCCAAGAUUAUGCAGUAUAAAAGGAGAAAAAAAAAAUACUCACAUGAACUUGCUUCUGCGAGUCUUACACAAGUAGUCCUCAGAUUCACCUUCUGUAGUAGAUUUUGGCAAACACAUUAUAUAUGCGCCGUAAAUAAAUUAAAGUAUUAUUUACAAGUUUCAAAGUGUUUGCUUUGGCUUUUAAAGACCGUUUGACAACAACGGAUUUGCACCCACACACAAAAAAAAAAAAAAAAAAAAAAGGAUAAGCUCUUUGAAUGCUUAGUCAACUAAUUUUGGUAUAGAAGUUUUGAAAAGCCAAAACCUCCUUCAAACGCCAUAGAUUUUUUUAGAAUCAACAUCUUUUGGUUAAAAAAUAACUUGAAAAGAGAAGAUUAAUAUGAAGGUGAUAGUCACCAUAGUUUUUGCAGUUAUAAGCAGUUAAAAAAUUGGUUAUUGACACAUUGAAAAGGGACCUCUCGUUAGAUUAAUUUAUAAAAGCAUCUCUCCUACUACCACCUAACAAUUGGAAACCCAUGACCUCUGGAAACCCCAAAUUUCUUAUCCCCAAAUUUGCAGAGGACAUAGAGAUACACAAAAUUCAUGCCAAGCAUCCCCCCAUUCAAGUUAGUUAGAUUUAUCACAAAAUUCUUAUUAAGUGCCAUGCUACCACAAAUCUUGCACCAUAUAACACACAAGGAGACAAUGGUUGGUUAUGUUAUAAAUUAACAUAGUUCAAAUAAUAAAUUAAUUAGUUAUCUUUAUAUCAGUCAUCACAGUAAGUAUGCUCUGAAGUGACCGUAAAGCCGAGACAUAUAUUAAUUAUCCGAAAGAGAAACACAAAUGAAAUGAUGUCAACUAGAAUUAGAUUGGCUCUUCUUUUUUUUUUUUGGGAUAACAGAUGCUAAUUAUUUACGUCUCCUCUGUUUUUUUAUAUAAAGAAGGGAGGGAGUCUGCACCCAUUUCAUAUAUAUUAUCUAAUUUAUUGAUAAAAAUUAUACUAAUAAUUAUAUAACUCAUAAAUGAUAAACAACACCACCCCAGGUCCUUGUCAGCUAUAGGAAAGAAGUAAUUAAGCAACUUGAAAAGAGAAAAGUCGAACCUGAAGCUUAUCCAGAACCAGACAUCGAGGUAUGCUAAAAUCAGUUGCUGAUACAAUUUCGAGUACACCAAUGGGGAGGUGCUGAGUAGGAUGAUGAUAGAUUGGCAACACCCAGGAUCCCGCAACACGGCCGACCGCAUAAUCACGUUGAGGAUACUCUCUACUAGUGUAAUCAUCCACACGAGGUGCAUAUUCAGGCGACCCACUGCGGAACACCCGACCAGGGGGACCAAUCUCAUGAUCUUCAUCGACGGGUAUUAAGUACUCCAAACAGUGCUUCCUAUAUUCACAUAGUUCCUUGACGUCUGGACCAUUGAAGUGGAAGUAUUGGAGAGCAAAAGGCUGGUCACAAGUUGUCAAAUACGUUUUGUCCCCAGUCUUCACUAAACCCCAAAACUGAACUAGACACCGACACCACGAUAUAGCUUCCAUAACAAGUUGUAGAAACCAUUUGAUCUGGUCCUUAAUCACGGCACCGUCAGCAGCUGCAAAUAGGAAAAUGAGUAAUAAAAAAUAUUAAAGGGUGCUUGCUACUAUAUAUGAACUGUUUGUAUCAUUUAUUAUUUACUUAUUGCAGAGCACUCUACUAGACGACACCGACACAAAACAAGUCAAAGAAAGGAAGUUAUGUGUGUAUGUACUCAUGAUGAUCCAUCAUAAACUUUGAGCAAUUCGCACUUUAGAAAAAUUCCAAAUUAUACUUUGAGAGAGCCUUCCAACCUCAAUCUACACAUCUGAUGACGUAUAAUUUUCCCAAAGAUUAAUUUAAGAGCUUUAAGCGCCGCCGCCCUCCAAUUGGAUGCCCCAAGCCUUUGUAUCUUUCUAACAUCCAUAUAAUUAGUUACCACAAUAGUCCAACAAAUUCAAUAAUCUCUCAUAGGAUAAUUAGUCCAACAAAAAUGUCCACAUACAUAUUACACUAUGAGAGAUUAUUGAAAGAACUCCAUACUCACUGGCUGAGAGAUGAUGAGGCUUCCCGCAGCCUCCUUCGUCAUUGCCGCAUGUGCUCCAGAAUACCCAGUUGUACUCAUUAUAAUCUUCUUCUUUAAUUAAACGGAAGCAUGAUAGUUCACAAGACCCCAAACCUUCCGUAGAAAAAGGAAGGGAGGGAGAAGUUCGAGCUUCCAUUAUUGCCAGUUGUAGUUUUGGACAGGAGAAAACUGCUAUAUCUUCUGGAUCGAUCCUGCCCGACGUUUCUCAGUUUCUGUUUUAUUUAUCUUCUGUAUGGAAACCGUGCAUAUACAUACACACUUGAAGACUUCAAAGUCAAUGGAUGAGGGUUCAAACAGUUCAAUUGUUAGCUGUCGUCUAUGGGUAGAGAUUCAUCUCUUGCACCCUCACCUAAACAGGACACCACAUCAGAUGCUGUACAGAUCGAGGAACAAAGUUGAUGCUCAUCAGGGCCCAUCAGAUGCUGUACAGAUCGAGGAACAAAGUUGAUGCUCAUCAGGGCCCAUACGUUACUAGGAAGUUGCGGCAUCUUCUUAUAAAAAAAAAAAAUUUUGUUAUCCUAAAACAUCGUGAGAAUUCAAAUUGUAAUUUCUAUUUUUUUUAAUAAAAAUUGAAGCAUAAGAAUUGAUCACCAUCAAUAGAAAAUACUUGAAAUUGUUACUAUAUAUCCUAUUUGUUAUCUUGUGAUAAAUGAUGAUGACCAAAUAUUUUUAGCAAGAAAGUUAUUUGACCACAAAAGGAAAUUUUUGAACACACUAUUAUUAUUGAAGUUGAUACACAGAAUUAGGAUUAGAAGACGAGGAAAAAAGAUGUAAAAAUAAUAAGGAAAAAGGAGAAGAAGAAGAAAGAACAAUAAUAAAAAAAAAAAUUAUUAGACACUAUCCUUAUAAUGAGGGCAUUUUUAUCUUUUUGCUUUUGCACAUAAACUUGGCUUUAGAGAGCAAUUUAUAGGUUUUGAGAAAAGGACCGGCUAGAAGAAUAAAAAAAAAGCGAAAUAACAUGGAAGCAAGCAAAAGGCAAAAGCUAGAACCAAGAUGGUACAUGUGUAACCAAUAUGAAGUGGUCCCAAUUGUUCAAAAGGCCAAACAAGGUUCUAAAUGGGUUGGUUAUCUGUACGUAUUUUUUAGUCAAUGGAUGACUAGAGAAAUAGGACUGAAGCCAAGAAUUUUGCAAGCGAAACAGCGUGGUAGCAAAUCAAAAGCAAGAGCAGAAAGGGUCGUGAAAUUGUACACUAAUUAGGAUUUAUAUAAGUGAAAGAGAUUAAUUAGGAUCCAGACCAAAUCCAAAUCUGAAUGUAUAACUGGAAAAACUUGGACCUCUCUGGACAUGAUCUAACCAUGGAUCAGUCUCGGGUAAAGCCCAGAUCUGGCACCAAAUCACAGUUCAUCACUUUGUUUCGUUUGUCCAAAAUCCAUUUGCAUAUUUCAAAUCUCAUUACUGUAUCUUUCAAAACUAAUUUGAUCAAUUCCAUAAUGCUAUACAUCUGCGGCGGAAUGUCUUCAACGUUUUCAUUAGCAUGGGCAACAAUAUGAGUGUUUGGAUAGCACUAUUAUCUCAAAUAAUAUUUCGCUUGCAUCAUAAACACAUUUUUCAACUCACCUCUUUAUAUUCCCAACCACUUUUUUAUCUCACAUACAUCACAUCACAAAAAAUGUUACAGUAAUUAUUCCAAAUACUAUUUCAAAUAAUACCCUAUCCGUCCCAGAGUAUUUUUUCUUCUUAGGUAAAAGGAACUCCAAUACGUAAAUGCAGUUGUUUGAGUAAUGGGUACCAAGGGGUACUCUGUUAUGCUUAAAUGUCUUAUAUCCCUACAAUAACAAGCACUUUUUGGACGAAAAUGCUUUUCCAACUAUCCCUUGUCCCUUCCGAACAAAAUUCGAACCAUGAUAGCUUAAUAUUUCUCCGGAAGUAGUCCUUAUGUUUUAUGUUGAAUUAAGGUGGCAUUAUUGAAUAUAUUAAUAAGAUUUUAUAUUUUUCUGUUUUUAUGAUUCAAAUUAUUAAGUAUUAAUCUUCAAAGAGUUUAAGUUGACAAAGGGCUUAAAUUAAAACUUUUGAAAUAGUACACUUGGCAGACUUUAAAGUUAUAAGUCAAUGGUUGGAAACGUGAAAGUACAGACUCAAAAGAAUACGCGAAAUUGCAAGGAAGCAACCACCAAUACAAAAUGGCCCAAUCCCCUGAACAGACCAUUUCUUAUACACACCAGUCCAGAACUUUUUUUUUUUUUUUUUUUUUUUCAUUUUCACAUUUUCCUCCUUUCAGGUUUUUCCCUUCUUUCUCUUGUACGCACCCUGACCAGACCACCCAAAUACUGAUUUAACUACUCUCCAGACCGUUCAGCCCAACAGUUACCCAAUCCUCUAUUUUCUAUGGACAACUCAUGUCUGGAAUAGCCUUUAACAAAUAGAUGGUUGGCUUCCUUUGAAAAUGAAUAUUAAGCGUCAAGGCCCACAAUUAAAAUUAUAAAAUAGAAGCCUGAAAUUUUUGAGUUGAUGAACUGAUGAAAGUUUUAUUUGUUUGAUAAUUAACUUGAUUUUUUUUUUUUAGUGUAAAUGAGAGGGUUCAAUCCGAGGUCUCUCAUUGACACUCAUUUCUUUCAAAUCAUCCAAUCCAUCUCUUCCUGCUCCUCUUCAAAUUAACUUGAUUUAACUCUAACCCGUGAUGGUGACCAGAAUCGAGCCAAUCCAAAUAAAUUCAAAACUUGAUUUAGCCAUUGAAUUGAAAUAUCUCAAUUUGAAAUGUUGUUGUUGUUGUUGUUAUUAUUAUUAGUAUUAUUAUUAUUAUUAUUAUUAUUAUUAUUAUUCUAAAAUGAUUAAUACUGUUGUAUUGUAAAUAUUGAGCUAACCUUGUAAACCAUAUUACCUUGGAUAAAUAUGUAAAGUACAGCAUUUUGUGUGUAAAAAUCAACUAACUUUGGUCAUAUAGUACAGUAAUAUGCAACAUUAAUACGAAAAGAUUAUCAUUAUUGGCCCCUCAUCUUGUAUUUAACUACUAUAUUAUAAGAACGAAUUGCUUCUUGCCAUAACUACUCCUCAUGCUACGACUUGGCAGCUACAAUGAGAAGGUUGCAUUUGUUUUGAUGCCUUAAAACGUAAAAUGAAGGGUUGUAAGGAUGAAUUAUUUCCUAGGCUUCAAAUUUUCAGCCAGGAAGCCCAGGCUCUUGGCAUGGUAAAAAAAAAGAGAGAGAAAAUGUGUCCAACAAUUUUAGCAUUGUUUUUUUUGACACAUACACGCAUUUUUAAAUGUAGACUUAUUUAAAAAUAAAUAAUAUUGAAAUUUAUAUUUGAAUUAUGUUAUGAAAGUUGGCAUAUUUAUUAUUUUUGUUUGGUCUCUGAAAUUGUUACGUCCCUUAGUAUAUGUCAAAAAAAAUUUUUAACUGUUGCCUACAACAAUUGCUUGCUAUUUUUUUUAUUUAUUUAUUGAGGAACAGAUUUCACAUUUUGGUGAAAAAAUUCCCCUGCAUAAAGUGGUUGAAUAACUAAAAAUUAUUUGGGCCUAACAAAAAAGUGCCCCUAGACAUACAUAAGUAGACAAAUGCGCACAUGCUGGCCCACACACAUGCGCGCUCGUGCUCGCACGCGCACACACAUAUUUUAAGUAAUUCCCUCAAAUCACAAAUUCCAAACAUCACACACUACAAAUAUGACUAACACAGAGAAAAAAAAUCCAGGCUGAUCCCAAAAGGUUAAAAAAACCCGAUUUUUCUCAUCAUUCAACUAUUGCAAAAAGAUCGUGAUCACCAAUCCCAGCAGCAAGAAGUCUCAACAUUGCUGGGCAGCUUGUUUUGUUCUCGCCUGAUCCUUGCUGCGCUCCAAGGCUUUGAAUUUUAGUCAUUAAAGCCUUAGUCAUAAAUGCUCAGAGCUCGUUAUCUACCUUUGGAUAUGCCCUGCCAUAAUUUUAGCAAUUCCAUACUGCAAUACAUCGACGGUAUAUCAACAACUUGUUUGGCACUUCCAGUGAAAUCAAAAUGUAAAAGAAAAUCAGCUGAAUCAGCUGAUUUGAACUUCCAGUAGCCAUCUUAAAUAUAAGUUAGCAGUGUCUAUGCCUGGCAAUUGGGCUGGUUAGGUGGGUUUUGUGCGAGUUAAUGUUGGAUUUUUAUUUAAAUGGGUUACAUCCAAUCCGUCCAACUUUAGAUUGGGUUAAUCUUGGGUUGGGUCAUAUUGGGUUAUCUCAAACCCAUGACCCAAAUAUGACCUAAUAUAUUAAAUAAUAGAUUUUGAUACAUAAAUUCUCUCAAAUAUAUUUUCAUAUACAAAAAAAAUAAAUAAAAAUUCACACACAUAAAUAUAUUUUCACAUACUGAAACACUUACAGAUGCAAGCACACACUCACUUUUUAAGUUCUUUUGAAAUACAUUAUUUUUACACAUACAAACACACUAAAAUACACACUAAUAUACUUUCACAAAUACACACAUAUACUAACUGUUUAAACUAUUUAGGCCCAAUCACAUUUUAAAGAAAGUUAUAAACUGAAAUUUUGACCCAUAAAUGAAUCUUGUAAAAACUAUAGUCUUUCAUAUUUGUAAUGUAAUUUGUUCAACGAAAUUACUUAUUUAGCUCUAAAUUAUUAUUUUAUAGUAUGCGUAUAAAAGUAAAAAUAUAUAUAUGUGUGGGGCAAGUCGGAUAACGCGGGUUUUUAAUUAUAUGAUCCCAGUUGAGGAAUUGGAAUUACUAACCACAAAAAUCAAUGUUUGGCUAAUGAAUUCCUGCUAAUUAAUAUAAUCAAAGCUCCUAUUCAUCCAUGGCAGGACUCGAACAACCUCAGCAAUCGAAACAGAGCCUUGUAUUUUAAGUGGAUUCAUCAUCUUAAAUAUUUGUCAUUGGCGGAGCAUAUUGGAAAGUUAAACAAGCUUUUGGCCUUUUCAAAAAAAAAAAAAAACAAGCUUUUGGCCAAAAUGGAAAACAAUAAUGUAGAAACAAAUAAAUAAAGAAGCUCAACAUUUUGCUUAGAACCAAGCAAUUGAAGCUAUGUCACAUAGUAAAAAAAAUAAAAAAAAAUAAAAAAAGCCUAUGUCAUAUCAUGUUUCAAUGGACUCAUCCUCUGAACCGCUCUAAAUUAUAAUUUCUCAACGGGGCAGGUCGGGUAUCGCUCUAAAUUAACUUGUUUAUUUGUUUUUUUCAAUUUAAGUUGGGUAAUGGGUGUCCAACACAAAUAUCCAAACCGUCCAAAAUAUUUAUGGAUUUUUAUCACCCAACCUAAAAUUAACCCAAAACCCAACUUACCCAACCCAACCUCUCAAAUUAGUAGGUGGGUUGGGUGAGUUGUUGGGUUUUGGGUGUAAUUGCCAGCUCUAACAGUGUCUAUGGACCUCAGUGGCGAAGCCAAGGAUUUGAUUUAGGGUGAUGAAAUUUUUGCUGGAAGUUUUUUUUUCUCACCUAAAAAUAAGUACUGUAAAAUUUUUAAUUUCAAAUGUUUAUUUUAAUGAAAAAAAGGAAACAUUUUAUUCUACCGAUACUCUUUAUCUAGCCUAGAAACCAUUCACUUAGUUUUUCUCAAUCAUAUCAAUGUAAUAAAAGGAAUUAAUGGUACUUAAUCAUACAAAACAAAUUGAAAUUUAAGUAAUUCGAGAACAUGCGGCAACUACAAUCCCAGAAUAAUGGUUAAUUGGCUGAUGAGUAAAAAAUAAAUAAAUGUUAACUCAAACGAGGCAAGUGUGAUAAUGAUAAUAAUCUAGUUGCCACACCUUGGAAAGGGUUUCCUCAUUUAACUUCAGUUCAUUUUUUCAUUUGAAGCACUUUUAGUCAAAAUUGUCCACUUUUUUUUAAACCAAAGUAAAAGAAGUUCUAUAUAGUGGACUGGACACAACGCACCGAGAUCAUUGAAGUGUGGGGGAUAAAAGCAUCUUCUUCAUCUACCAUAUUUAUCUUGUCAAUGAAUCUCAAAAUGCAGGUAUUUGGAACCUACAGCAGACUAGAGCACCAUAGGCUUAAAAAUAGAUUAAUUAUACAAAAGGCUCGUAAAUAUGCGAUCACCUGACCAACAUUUUGAUUGUUGUCCUACCUAGUGAGCUUAAUGUGCUCAUACAGGUACUUAAAUCCUCAUCACAGGCUAUCCAAAUCCAUUCAUUCUCUUCAUCCUGAUACUCAAUUUUAAAACUUCCAAUCGGUAGAUUCAAUCGUUCUGCAACUUUCUCCUCCAAAUUGAAUUUGUGGGCUGACAAUGGAAGUCUAAACUUCAUGGUGUACCCUUGAUAUUCUGCUUUCACCCAGAUGCUACUAUCAUCUCCUAGCCUUGUUGUGUCUGGCCGGUGUUGUUCUUCAGUAUUUUCAGUAGAAGGCUGAACAACUCUUUGUUCAGCAAAGGCUUGAUUAACCUUUCUUGCUUUACGAGAUGGCCAUCUGUUAAUAUCAUACUUCCUACAUAUACGCUUCAAUGUAGAUCGGCUAACUGCAAGUAUCAGAAAGAAAGAAGAAAAUCAACACACAUUAACCAAAUUCGAAUUCAAUUCUGAACUAGAGAAGAACUUACAGUUGAGAAUUACCUCCAAAAACUUUUGCAGCAUCCUUAAGACUCCUCCAAGAAUUUUGUUCAAGAACCUCACGAGUAAUUCCAAGUUUGCUUUUUAAAGUACGACUUGACUUUCGCUUUUUUAUGUUCAUCACUUCACUGUCUCUCGGUUCUAUGCUAGCACCAACUCCUUCAGGAUUUGCCACAUCGAUUUCCAUAUUUCCUUCAUCAUGCGCUAUGUUUUCUAUGUUCUGCAGGAGCUCCUGUCUAUGUGGGCUUUCAACAAAACCCUGUGUGCGCUCUGGUCUAAUUGGAGAUCCAACAAUUCCACUUUGCUGUCCAUGGACAUCACAGGGUUUCUUGAAAUCUUGAUGACUGUAGUAAUGGAAAGGCUGGGCACGAGUUGUCAAACACGUUUUGUUCCCCUUCUUCGGUAGCCCCAAGUUAAGUAGCCCCAACUUUAGGGAUUCGGCCAGUUUCUUUAGCAGGGCAGGUGCUGCAAUAGGAAAAAUCAGCAAAUAAUAUUGGGUUAUAUAUGUACAAAGGAAGUUAUAUAUGUACUCGUGAUCCAUCAUAAACGCAGCAAAUUGAAGUUCAGAAGAAGUUCAAAUUAUUAUACCAAAGACUUGAGAGGAGCCGAAUCCACAACCGUCCAACCUAAAUCCACGCAUCUGAUGAGGUUUCCGUGUAUCAUUUUCCCAAAGAUUAUAUACGACAGAAAUCUCCGGCGACUCAACAGACACCUCGGGCCAAAUCCUUGGUGGGCUCACGAUCAUUGCCUCCGCCAUGUAAGCUAGCAAAUUUGGCUUGUCAAAUAGUUCCUCGUCGUCGACAAACCGAUAUUGUCCCAUUUGAUUAUCACCGGGAGUCCACGCGUAGUCGUCCAUGUUAAUUUCUACAGGGUCUCUUGGAGAUGUAGCAGGAGCUUGAUUAGGUACUGGAGGUUCUUGUCGACCCUGUUCGUACAGGAGAAAACUACUAAUCUUCUGCAUCGACCCAGUCCCCAAUUCUCAAUUUCUUGCUACUCGAUCUAUUUGAUCUACUGUAUGGGAAACUAUGCGUACACACACACACUCGGAGAGAAAAAGGACUGACAGACAGGAAGAAGGGCGAGCGAUACAACGAGGAAGCAAACAACAGCAAGGGGUCUCCUUUAAAUCGCCAAUAAGAAAUAGUCGUCCAAACCGUGUGAUGGGUUUUCCAAACCGUGUGAUGUUCAAUGAUCCAGGUUCAAUGAUCCUUAAUCAAAACAGUAUGAGGUUCAAAACCGAGGACUCUAGGUUCACUGAUCCUUAAUCAAGUGGGUUCAAUGGUCCUUAAUCAAAGUUCAACCAACUCUAUCCUAAAUUUGAGAAACAUAUUUAUAAUUCCCAAUAUAUAGUUUCAAAAUAUCUAAUUGAUAAAUUAAAUAGAAAAGAUUUACCAUAAAAAGAGCCAAAAAAAUAACCGGCUUUAUUUCAUAUGGCCUGCCAUUAUUUACGAAGGAAGUUCUAAAAAUAAUCCUAAAAGUAAGCUUUAACUUAGUGCCUAAAGUAUCAUGCAUAGUUCAAAUAAUAAAUUAAUUAGUUAUCUUUAUAUCAGUCAACACAGUAAGUAUGCUGUGAAGUGACCGUAGAGCCGAGACAUGUAGUUUGUAACUCUCAUCAAAAUUUUGGCCGGUGGGGGAGUAAUUAUCCGAAAGAGAAGCACAAAUGAAAUGAUGUCAACGAGAAAUAGAUUGGCUCUUUUUUUUUUUUUUUUGAUAACAUAUGCUAAUUAUUUACGGAUCGUCCUAUAAGGGAGGAAGUCUGCACCCAUUUCAUAUAUAUUAGCUAAUUUAUUGAUAAAAAUUAUACUAAUAAUUAUAUAACUGUGAGAACCCGUAAUUUUUAUUUUCUAGAUUUCUCGUAUUUUUAUGGCUUGUUUUCUGCAUUUUCAUGAUUAAAAAAAUUUCUAGAUAAUUUUAAGGAGCAGAUAUAAUUUUUAGAUGCUUUUUCUAGUAUCGAAUGGAUUUUGAGAAAUUAAGAGAGUAUACUGGACGUGGGACCCACUAGUGCGAAAAGUUCGGAAAAAUUCGACCAACUAGGUUAAGUUUUGGAUACUGGAGUUAAUUUAUCGGGUGUUAAGAGAUAAGUAGAGUUUGCAAUUUGGAUUGAUAUGAGAGAGACAAGUUAGGUAGGUAUUUAAUAAAAGGUGACAAGUGUCACUUGGCUAUUGGUUGGACAAUUUGACUACUAUUGCAUGUCUUACCAAUUGACUUAAAUAUCUUAAAAAUUCACCAAAAAUCCCUCAUUCUUCUCUUCCUCUUGGCCGAAUCUCUUAAGCAAGGAAAGGAAAGAAAACUCUUCAAGAAUUUGGCUUCCAUCUUGCUUCAAUCAACUUACUCAACCAUCCAACCUUGAUUUUGUUCCAUAAAACCACUUAAGGAAGUGUUGGUAAGUUGUUGUGUGGAAUUAUUUGGAAAGCUAAGGUGACCAAUAGCUCUCUCUCUCUCUUGUUUUAAGGUAAGUUGUGAAGAACCACCCUCCUCCUUUAAUUGAUGCUUAAAUCAUGCUUAGUGGUAGUAGAAGAUGCAAGUUUAUGGAUUAAUUCUUGAUUUGUGGUUGAAAUGAUCAAGUUUUAUUAUUUUUGGGAAUUUUUAUGCUUUAAAAUAAGCAUGAUUCUAUGCCUAUCUAUGAUGAUUGGAAAUGGUCUAUAAUGACUUAAGGAGGUGGGAAAAGUGAUUAAUUGCAACCAAUUUCUGGUUUGGAAGAAAUUUCAGAAAACUAGGGUUCUUGAGGGAGCAUUCUGUCCGAAAUUUUAGGUCCUAGAUAGAGGCCGAAUUGGCCUUGGCUUAAAACAUGAAAGUUGUAGGGAAUGACAUUUUAUAGGUGCCUACAAAAUUUCAGGUCAAUCGGAGUAGUGUAGAAUGAGAUAAGUCGAAAUUACUAUUGUUGUUCUGGUUUUACCCGAAUUGGAGAAUUGCGCCUGUAAUUGGUUGUUUUGGCUGGAAUUGCUUCCGAAUUAGUUAUUGAGGCCUUCUGAUGAAAUUUAGCCCUGUUUCUUAGCUUUCAGUUGGUUUUGGAAUUUCUGGAUUUGGACUUGUAGAGCCUGAGUUAUGAUGUUUCCGCUAGAAUGCGUUUUGGAGAAUCUAUUUUACGUUUUUGAUGUAGUAUCUUGCAUUUUUGACCUGUUUGCACUCAAAACUGGGUUGAGUGACCUUCUGUGAUGUUGUAGCCCUGUCUUUUAGCUUCGAGAUGGUGGGUUUUGCACCCUCAUCCAAUAAUCGUAGUGAAAUUGGUGCCAUUACCGCAAAAUGAGGACAAAAACUGUUUUUUCAGGGCCAAAGUUAAUUGCAUUUCCGAAUUUUCUGGUUUCCUUUAAUAUUUGUGUAUGCUUAGGGAACCCUGUUUUGGUAGUAUAUAGAAUUGGUUUAUGACUUGUAAUCGAGUCUUAUUGUGUUCAUUUGAAUAGUUUAGGGCUUGACUUUCAUAUUCGGUUAUUCCCUAGCUAAAUUUUCUACUUGAAUGCCAUUAAGCCUAGUGAAUGGCUUUUGGGAAUGAGAUUAUUUUUGUACGAGAUGUUGGGACUGAUUUGAGAAAAUAAUGAAGCCAUGAUGGCUGGAAAAUAGGUAAACACAAGGGAUAUGCUGUCGAAAUUUUACUUGAAGGCUAGUUGGAUUUACUUGUGUUUUGAGCGAAGGGCUUUUGGGUUGUUUGAGCCUAGGUCUUCAUGUUACCUUUUCGUUCCAAAAAUCAUGUUUUGCACCUUGCUUUAGUAAUUAUUUGGCGACGCAUACGACUGGUAGUCGAGCCUCACAUGUGCAUUAUGUAUACUCAAUUUUGAAAGUGGAACCUUCAAUUGUUUUCCUUGGAUUAUUUUAGGGUUUAUUGGUGAUUAAAGCUCUCUUUUGGGAGGUAUCUGCACUGACCCUGGUGAGUGUACUACUCACUUGUGUGUUACUAUAUGGCUUUGAAUGUAACUUGCUUGAAGUGAAUUGAAUGUGACUUGAUUGCAGUGAAAGUGUACUUUAUCACUCUCACUUAUAUGUCUUAUAUCAUUGUUGUCAUGUUAUUGUAAUGUUACAUGAAAUGUUACAUGAAAUGAAAGUACUCGACUUUGUGUCGAUUGGGCGAGUAUCCAACGACUACAAAUGUUAUCAAUGAGCUCAACCCCAUUGGUAGUUGAUUGAAUCGAGCCGGCGAGGGUUUGGUCGUGUCAAUUAAUGAACCUUGGGUAAAGUUAUAUGGAAUCUUGUAGUAUACGAGACUCUCGAUUCCGGUAUACUCGAGUAAUACCAAAGUGCAAGUGUUUGGAGUUCGGGCCCGGUAGGGGGAUGUUAGGUGGAAGGAGUGGAGGUAAAGUGGAGUCUACGGUUGGUUACUUUUGAACAUUGACGGAGGGUCAAUGACGUCCGAUCAAGAAAUGCAAACGAGGAAAGGGCUCUUGAGAGCCAUCUGUAUCCUUUUAUCACCAUAUUUGAAGUGUGACUUUGCUUAUUUUACUAAAUUGAAUGAAAGCUUGAUGCUUAUAUGCACUUGGGUGCGUAAGUGAUAGUAUCUCACUGGGCAAUUAGCUCAUACCGUUCUUUUGUUUUCCUUACAGGAAUAUGACUCAUUUUGAAAUGAAUCUUGAUAGAUGGUUACCGAAUGAACUAGAUGUAUAUUUCUUUUGUAUUGUAUAUGAAGGGAAACCCUAAAUGUAUCUUUAGGGCCGAUUUCACUUUCAAUUUGGCAAACCGUGUAUAUAUUCACUUUUGAAAACUUUUGUAUGCUGCUUUGGGUUGUAAUUGCUCAAAUUCCAUAUGUGAAUGUUACUUGAUAGUUGGUUGGGUUCUGACGGGUCGGUUACUAUUCAUGGCCGACUUCGAAUUUCAUUUUUUUUAUUUUGGGUUAUUUUGCCCUUUUGCCUUGUUUACGCGCGUUAUAAGUUCCGGAACAAAAUAGAUCGCUCUAAACUGCACCGUUAGUCCUGGCGAGAGUUGGGCAGACAGUCCGCUAACCUCUUUGGUUCACCUUAGGGGAAGGUGGGGCUGUCACAGGUGGUAUCAGAGCCAUUUCGCGUGGUCUCUGCGCGGAGUGAGUUUGGGCCAAGUGGUGUUAUGGUCCUGAUUUCAUGGAUAUGUCUAAGUGCUCGUUUGAGCGUAAGUUAUGAACGGGGCAUGUUAUAAGUGUAAAAAUCUUUAUUAUGGAACUUGAGGACGACAGAUAAGUAUGUCGGGUAGGAAUCUUUAGUAUGGAUGAUUUACGUUUGGGACCGGCCGGCUCGAGUUGUGAAUUAUCUUAAAUGGGAUUCUUGCGCCCGGAUACGAAAGAGAUGAGAGUCUAGGUUAGAAAGAAUUGGGCGAACUAGAAAUUGCGAUUCUAUGGAUGACUUUGUAUGUACCUAACUGACUGUUCUGUAUACAUGUUGAUCCUGUUAUGUGUUCUCUGUAUAUGUGUUAUGUGUUUAAAUGCUCGACGAGGGAGUUGAGUAGUUAAUUGUUCUUGUUUACUUGUUCCUGUUUAGUGCUGCGAAGGAGGGGUUAGGUGCCCUUUAACAGUAUAUUUAUUUUGUGACCUAAAUCGACUUAGAUUGUAUGGAAGGCACACGUAGUGGACGGGGGCGUGGGCGCGGGAAUAGGCAACCUACGCCAGACCGGGGUGCUGGGGAAACCUCCUCUGGAUCCCAUCUUGAACCGAGAGUUGAUCCCAAUGUACAGAUAGCUACCGCUAUGCAGCAAAUGACAAACUUGCUGGCACAAGUGGUGCAGCAACAAGGCCAGAAUCCAAAUCCUAAUCCAGGAAACCCUGGAAACCCUGGCAAUCAUGUUGAGAGCGAAGACAGAGCUCUUGAACGAUUUCAAAAGUUUGCUCCACCCAAGUUCAUUGGGGGACCCGAUCCGGAUGUUGCCGAAAGGUGGCUCGAAAAGAUGGUCGAUAUUUUCGCCGCCCUGCACUAUACCGAAGAACGGCAGGUGACUUUUGCCGUUUUUCAGCUGGAAGAGGCGGCCCGCUCCUGGUGGAAUGUCAUUCGGCAAAAAUGGGAGCGGGAACAAACGCCCAGGACUUGGGUAAAUUUUAUGAGGGAGUUUAACGCGAAAUUCUUCCCUCCUCUGGUUCAGGAGAGGAAGGAAGAUGAGUUCAUCCGACUCCGCCAAGGAGUUCAAUCGGUGGCGGAAUACGAGAGCCAGUUCACCCGCCUGUCCAAAUUUACGCCUGAAUUGAUUGUGACGGAGCAACUACGAAUUAGGCGUUUUAUCCAGGGCCUAAACGUGGAGAUUCAGAAAGACCUCGCAGUGGCUCAAAUUAAUGCUUUUAGCGAGGCCGUUGAGAAGGCCCAACGAGUAGAGAGUGCCAGAUUACAAGUAAGAAAUUUCCAGGCGAAAAAGCGAGGAUUUCCUGGAAAUAGUUCGGGGCAGGGGGAUGAGAGUACCCCUUCCAAGUUUGGGCGAGGAAUUGGAGAAGAAAGGGUACCGGGAGUGUCACGAGAGAGCCCGUCGCGAGGCGGCCAAGUAGGGAGAGGCCAGAGAGGAGGCUCGGCUUCUGCAACACACGGACCUUGCGGGUAUUGCGGAAAGCCAAACCACUCGGAGGACAAUUGCUGGAAGAAGGAGGGAAAAUGUUUGCGCCGUGGAAGUGCAAACCAUCAGCUCGCUACUUGUCCAGUCCUAUCACGAGAUGGAAAGGGGAAGCAGCAAGCGACAAAGACUAACUCCGAAUCGGCCAAGGAGGAAGGGACUAAAUCUAAGGUGGCAGCUCGAGUGUAUUUACUAGAGCCACAACAGGUCCCCGAUUCUCCUGAGAUUGAGGAAGGUACGAUUGCGGUAUUUCUGCGGAAAUAUUAGUAGAUCCCGGCGUUACUCAUCCAUUUGUCAAUCCCAAUUUUGAUGGACGAAAUAGAUACCACGCCUGCUUGUCUACCCUACGACCUGAAAGUAGUAUUCCUAUGGGGAAUCAUCGUUUGAGCAUUGGUAUGGUUUGUAAGGAUCGCAGAGUUUGGGUAGGAGAGAGAAUAGUAUUCACGCAGAAAAAAAAAUAGAAAAAAAUCAUGGGAUAGAAGAGGUUACCUGGGAGGUGAAAAAGGAAUACCCUGAACUAGUUGUGAACCAAGGUGAGAAAUUUCGAGGGCGAAAUUCUUUUAAGGGGGAGAGAGUGUGAGAACCCGUACUUUUUAUUUUCUAGAUUUCUCGUAUUUUUAUGGCUUGUUUUCUGAAAUUUCGUGAUUAAAAAAAUUUCUAGAUAAUUUUAAGGAGCAGAUAUAAUUUUUAGAUGCUUUUUCUAGUAUCGAAUGGAUUUUGAGAAAUUAAGAGCGUAUACCGGAUGUGGGACCCACUAGUGCGAAAAGUUCGGAAAAAUUCGACCAACUAGGUUAAGUUUUGGAUACUGGAGUUAAUUUAUCGGAUGUUAAGAGAUAAGUAGAGGUUGCAAUUUGGAUUGAUAUGAGAGAGACAAGUUAGGUAGGCAUUUAAUAAAAGGUGACAAGUGUCACUUGGCUAUUGGUUGGACCAUUUAACUACUAUUGCAUGUCUUACCAAUUGACUUAAAUAUCUUAAAAAUUCACCAAAAAUCCCUCAUUCUUCUCUUCCUCUUGGCUGAAUCUCUUAAGCAAGGAAUGGAAAGAAAACUCUUCAAGAAUUUGGCUUCCAUCUUGCUUCAAUCAACUUACUCAACCAUCCAACCUUGAUUUUGCUCCAUAAAACCACUUAAGGAAGUGUUGGUGAGUUGUUGUGUGGAAUUAUUUGGAAAGCUAAGGUGACCAAUAGCUCUCUCUCUCUCUCUCUUGUUUUAAGGUAAGUUGUGAAGAACCACCCUCCUCCUUUAAUUGAUGCUUAAAUCAUGCUUAGUGGUAGUAGAAGAUGCAAGUUUAUGGAUUAAUUCUUGAUUUGUGGUUGAAAUGAUCAAGUUUUAUUAUUUUUGGGGAUUUUUCUGCUUUAAAAUAAGCAUGAUUCUGUGCCUAUCUAUGAUGAUUGGAAAUGGUCUAUAAUGACUUAAGGAGGUGGGAAAAGUGAUUAAUUGCAACCAAUUUCUGGUUUGGAAGAAAUUUCAGAAAACUAGGGUUCUUGAGGGAGCAUUCUGUCCGAAAUUUUAGGUCCUAGAUAGAGGCCGAAUUGGCCUUGGCUUAAAACAUGAAAGUUGUAGGGAAUGACAUUUUAUAGGUGCCUACAAAAUUUCAGGUCAAUCGGAGUAGUGUAGAAUGAGAUAAGUCGAAAUUACUAUUGCUGUUCUGGUUUUACCCGAAUUGGAGAAUUGCGCCUGUAAUUGGUUGUUUUGGCUGGAAUUGCUUCCGAAUUAGUUAUUGAGGCCUUCUGAUGAAAUUUAGCCCUGUUUCUUAGCUUUCAGUUGGUUUUGGAAUUUCUGGAUUUGGACUUGUAGAGCCUGAGUUAUGAUGUUUCCGCUAGAAUGCGUUUUGGUGAAUCUAUUUUACGUUUUUGAUGUAGUAUCUUGCAUUUUUGACCUGUUUGCACUCAAAACUGGGUUGAGUGACCUUCUGUGAUGUUGUAGCCCUGUCUUUUAGCUUCGAGAUGGUGGGUUUUGCACCCUCAUCCAAUAAUCGUAGUGAAAUUGGUGCCAUUACCGCAAAAUGAGGACAAAAACUGUUUUUUCAGGGCCAAAGUUAAUUGCAUUUCCGAAUUUUCUGGUUUCCUUUAAUAUUUGUGUAUGCUUAGGGAACCCUGUUUUGGUAGUAUAUAGAAUUGGUUUAUGACUUGUAAUCGAGUCUUAUUGUGUUCAUUUGAAUAGUUUAGGGCUUGACUUUCAUAUUCGGUUAUUCCCUAGCUAAAUUUUCUACUUGAAUGCCAUUAAGCCUAGUGAAUGGCUUUUGGGAAUGAGAUUAUUUUUGUACGAGAUGUUGGGACUGAUUUGAGGAAAUAAUGAAGCCAUGAUGGCUGGAAAAUAGGUAAACACAAGGGAUAUGCUGUCGAAAUUUUACUUGAAGGCUAGUUGGAUUUACUUGUGUUUUGAGCGAAGGGCUUUUGGGUUGUUUGAGCCUAGGUCUUCAUGUUACCUUUUCGUUCCAAAAAUCAUGUUUUGCACCUUGCUUUAGUAAUUAUUUGGCGACGCAUACGACUGGUAGUCGAGCCUCACAUGUGCAUUAUGUAUACUCAAUUUUGAAAGUGGAACCUUCAAUUGUUUUCCUUGGAUUAUUUUAGGGUUUAUUGGUGAUUAAAGCUCUCUUUUGGGAGGUAUCUGCACUGACCCUGGUGAGUGUACUACUCACUUGUGUGUUACUAUAUGGCUUUGAAUGUAACUUGCUUGAAGUGAAUUGAAUGUGACUUGAUUGCAGUGAAAGUGUACUUUAUCACUCUCACUUAUAUGUCUUAUAUCAUUGUUGUCAUGUUAUUGUAAUGUUACAUGAAAUGUUACAUGAAAUGAAAGUACUCGACUUUGUGUCGAUUGGGCGAGUAUCCAACGACUACAAAUGUUAUCAAUGAGCUCAACCCCAUUGGUAGUUGAUUGAAUCGAGCCGGCGAGGGUUUGGUCGUGUCAAUUAAUGAACCUUGGGUAAAGUUAUAUGGAAUCUUGUAGUAUACGAGACUCUCGAUUCCGGUAUACUCGAGUAAUACCAAAGUGCAAGUGUUUGGAGUUCGGGCCCGGUAGGGGGAUGUUAGGUGGAAGGAGUGGAGGUAAAGUGGAGUCUACGGUUGGUUACUUUUGAACAUUGACGGAGGGUCAAUGACGUCCGAUCAAGAAAUGCAAACGAGGAAAGGGCUCUUGAGAGCCAUCUAUAUCCUUUUAUCACCAUAUUUGAAGUGUGACUUUGCUUAUUUUACUAAAUUGAAUGAAAGCUUGAUGCUUAUAUGCACUUGGGUGCGUAAGUGAUAGUAUCUCACUGGGCAAUUAGCUCACACCGUUCUUUUGUUUUCCUUACAGGAAUAUGACUCAUUUUGGAAUGAAUCUUGAUAGAUGGUUACCGAAUGAACUAGAUGUAUAUUUCUUUUGUAUUGUAUAUGAAGGGAAACCCUAAAUGUAUCUUUAGGGCCGAUUUCACUUUCAAUUUGGCAAACCGUGUAUAUAUUCACUUUUGAAAACUUUUGUAUGCUGCUUUGGGUUGUAAUUGCUCAAAUUCCAUAUGUGAAUGUUACUUGAUAGUUGGUUGGGUUCUGACGGGUCGGUUACUAUUCAUGGCCGACUCCGAAUUUCAUUUUUUUUAUUUUGGGUUAUUUUGCCCUUUUGCCUUGUUUACGCGCGUUAUAAGUUCCGGAACAAAAUAGAUUGCUCUAAACUGCACCGUUAGUCCUGGCGAGAGCUGGGCAGGCAGUCCGCUAACCUCUUUGGUUCGCCUUAGGGGAAGGUGGGACUGUUACAAUAAUUCUUUCAACAAAUAUUAAUCACACACACACCCGGAAAGUAAGGUGAAUCCACAACCAUACCCAAAAGGCAAUUGUUGACUUUUGGGUAUUGACUGAGGACCUUAAAUUCCACUCACGCACACAACUAAUAAUCGAUGUGGGAUAGAAAGCACUGGGAAAGGGAACGCAGGGAGCUGCUACAAGACCUUAACGAAGACCCACUCACACUGACACUCCUCGCCACUGGCUUUUUCUCUUUCAACAAAUAUUAAUCACACACACACCCGGAAAGUAAGGUGAAUCCACAACCAUACCCAAAAGGCAAUUGAAUCGAUGUGGGAUAGAAAGCACUGGAAAAGGGAAUGCAGGGAGCUGCUACAAGACCUUAACGAAGACCCACUCACACUGACACUCCUCGCCACUGGCUUUUUCUCUUUCAACAAAUAUUAAUCACACACACACCCGGAAAGUAAGGUGAAUCCACAACCAUACCCACUGGCAAUUACUAAUAAUUAUAUAACUCAUAAAUCAUAAACAACACCACCCCAGGUCCUUGUCAGCAAUAGGAAAGAAGUAAUUAAGCAACUUAAAAAGAGAAAAGUCGAACCUGAAGCUUCUUCAGAACCCGAUAACGAGGUAAGACGCCAAAAAUAAUUGGUGAUACAAUUUCGAGUACACCAAUGGAGAGGUGCCGAGUAGAAUGAUGAUAGAUUGGCAACGCCCAGUAUUCCUCAACACGGCCAACCGCAUAAUCACGUUGAGGAUACUCUCUAGUAGUGUAAUGGCCCACAUAAGGUGCAAAUUCAGGCAACCCACUGCAGAACACCCGACCCGGGGGACCAAUCUCAUGAUCAUCAUCGACGGCUAUUAAGUACUCCAAACAGUGCUUCCUAUAUUCACAUAGUUCCAAAAGGCUCGAUGUGGUCUUAUUGGAGAGCAAAAGGCUGGUCACGAGUUGUCAAAUACGUUUUGUCCCCAAUCUUCGCUAAACCCCAAAACUGAAAUGGAUACCUUUAUGGUGGGAACCUGCCUAUGGUAGGAAGACGGGGACGUUAAAUUGUUGUACAGCACGUGGAGAGAAAAUAUACCAGAAUCGUCUGCGAAUGCAACCAAAAAGCACACUGACUUCCGUACGAGUUGGGACAGGAAGUGUUUUUGCAUGUUAAAACCAGAGGCAUUUAUGUAUUUGUAAAUGUACCUAUUACGACAUGAAAUAUGUUGCAAAUGCCUUGGACAAAAAAUGUGCAUAAAGAAGGUACCGAAAUUUUAAAAAAUAAUAAAUGAUUAUCGCACACGCGUGGGGGAUAAUAAUUUGGAAGAAGGAAAAGUGGAGGUAAACCAAAGGAUUCAAGCCUUCAUUAUAUUUAUAUACAUAUAUAAAUUCAGUGACCAAGUGUUCAGCUUAAGCAUCCGGAAAAAUGGUCCCAUGACUAUCGUUAUGGUGAAAAAACUUAUUAUAAUAGGGUUAUAAUAAAUUUAGCAACCAUUUGAUUACCUGUUGGACUUAUCCAUUUGAAUAGGAUUAUGCGUAAAAAUAAGGAAGUAAGUUUGUCAUCUAAAAUAGUAAGUUAAUGUAAUAAACUAGUAAUUUUUGCAGCCCAAAACGUGAAUUGAAAGUAUUACGAAACAUACUUUUUAAAGAAAUAAAUUACAAUUUUUAUCCUCAAUAUACUUUUGAGGGAGUAAGUUUAUUUGAAGUAAUAGUAUGUUUUUAUACAUAAAUAAUCAUUUUUACUUAUAACAUAGUAAAUUUGAUUAAUGACAAAAACAUGGUAAUUUAUGGCAAAAAUUCUCUAUUAUGCUUAAAAAACUUAUGCCAAGCCCAUAUUUUAUUGUUAUUUAAAAUAACACUAAAAUGUUUUAUUAAUGAUUAAAACUGAGUAUCUUACUUAGUAAGUAAUGUUAAUAUACUUGUAUAAAUACUUGAUCGUAUGUUAAUUUUCUCCAUUAUAAGAGCACAGUACCCAUUUUCCUCAUCAAAAAUUUUAUUUAUCGGAUAAAAUAAAAAUAAACCCGUUUUCCCAUAAAACACCAGUUCUUUAUGACAUUUCUCCAUUAUAAGAAUAAAGUACCCAUUUUCUCACAAAAAUUUAUUUAUCGCCUAAACUUAAAAUAAACCCAUUUUUUUAAUAAAAUACUAACUCUUUAGCACUUUCUUCUAUUAUAAGAAUACAAUACCGAUUUUUGCAUAAACAAAAUUUAUUUAUUGACUAAAGUAAAAUGAAAUCCGUUUUCCAAUAAAACACUAGUUCUUCUUUAUAACUUUUCUCCAUUAUAAGAACAAAGUACCCAUUUUGUCAUUAAAAAAUUUAUUUAUCGGCUAAACUAAAAAUAAACUCAUUUUUCAAUAAAAUACUACCUCUUUAUCAUGUUCCCCUGUUAUAAGAACACAGUACCCAUUUUUGCAUAUAAAAAUUUUAUUUAUCGGAUAAAAUAAAAUAAAAUCUGUUUUCCAAUAAAACACUAGCUUUAUGGCUUUCCUCCAUUAUGAGAAUAGAGUACCCAUUUUUCAUAAACAAAUUUAUUUAUUGGAUAAAAUAAAAAUAAAUCAAUUUUUCAAUAAAGGACCAGCUACUUGUGACUUUUCUCCAUAAAUUAUCUAUUUUCAUACAUUAAUUUAUUAGUUAGAUAAAAUCAGAAUGAAAUUAGCUUGAACAAUAAAUUACCCUUUACGAUGAAAUUGAAAUACAGAAAAGUAACCCAUAGCAAGUUUUAACUCCAAUCCAAUACAAAAAUAUGCUACAAAUUCUUUUGGCAACCGCAAGACACCUCAUUCAUAAAGUCUCAAGAAAACUUUCCAACCAUUAUGCAAAAGCAACUUAUUCAUUCUAAAUUUUUAGCAUCAAUUUGAUUAUCAAUUGGACGUAUCCACCUAAAUAGGAUAAUAUGUAUUUUAUGGGACACAAGACAUAAUAGGAAUUAAACUUGCAUUAAUGUAGAUGAUAGGUCAUAAUUUGUUAUUAAAUUUAUAAUUAUUCUCCCCCUGAUUUUAGCCAAAUAUUAUUCUAAUCGUCGGAUUCUACUUAUAUUUGGUAUUUUGUGCUUAUUUCAGGAGAAAGAAUGAAAAGUGCUUAAAAUCAAAUUUCAGAGAACUUCUUGAUGAGUAGGUGUGCCCACGCCUAACUCCAGCCUUCUUGGCCGGACCUUCGGGAUUAUGUGCACGUGGAAAGCUUCCUAGAAUGAGUGGAAUAGCUGGCUUCAAACCAGGAAAUCACAAGACUCGUGGGCCGCAGAGGUGUAGAGGAUAAAAACUCUAAUCCUACAAAACGUCAAGGACUUGGAAGCUUACUUUUUCUUUUCAGCGGCCAAUAGGAACAAAGCCAGAAUCACGUAUGAAUUAGACUAGCUUGAAUUUCCUUUUUCUAGCGGUCAGACGUCUUCUUUUAAGAGGACAAUUCCUAUCUUUUUAUACGAGACUCCUUAGCCGGCUUUUGGGGGGGAGGAAAAGAAAAGGAUGAAAAAGCUUCGGUCAACUUUUUCUCAAUUGCUUUCCACGGCUUGUUCUCCAUUAAUGGAGAACUGAGUUCUUAUUUCUAGUCAAUGGACAACUGAAGAUUUGAUUCAACAAUAACUGUGAGAUCUAAAUUAUUUUAAUUGUUUCCUUCAUUUAUUGGUAUUUGUAUGUUUUCUGCUUUAAAUUGUUGUUAUAGCUAUCGUGUAUGAUUGAAUAGAUGCGCAAUAUUUAAUUAUUCACAUAGGCUAUCUUGCUAAAUAGGGGUAAUUGAAUCCGUAAUUGUUCGUUACCUCUAUCUCAGUAGCAACUGGCGUAAUUGGGUUUAUGUCAGGGAAACAUACGAUCUAACUUAAACAAACCCUCGUAGCGUGUUUGUUAGUUAGGAUUGAGCUUUUCUAAUUAUUAAUGCAAUCUAGAAAUUAAAUCCUACGGUCGUACCUAGGAUUGUUUUUGGGUUAGAGAAAUAGUUAACGGUCGUACCUUAACUAUCGAGAAAGUAAGGAAAGGUUGGUUGUUUAUCGCGUGUAUGACAACUAUAACCACUCUAGUAAUAAAUGUUGGAAUUAUCUUUGAAUCAAUGAUCAGUGCGUGAACCAUUUCUGAAGUGUAUCCUUGGCUAGAGUUUCUCUAAGUUAUUUCUUUUAAUUAAUUAUUUUCUGCAUUUAAUUUCUUUAGUUAGCAUUUAAUCCAAAACCCCCCAUACCUUGGAUUCUAGAAGAAACGAAUUAUCCCCAGUCCCUGUGGAUUCGACCCUACUCACCGCUAUAUGCAAAAUCUGUAUUUUUCUCGAGUAGGUAUUUAUUAUUGUACAGGUUCGGCACCUGUCAAUUUUUGGCGCCGUUGCCGGGGACUGGUGCCAGAUUAAUUUGUUUCUUUUUGAGUUCAUCUUGUUUUUAUUUUUAUUUAUUUAUUUUUCUCUUAUUUUUUUAUUAUAUAGUUUAUGGCUUCUAACACUCCGUAUUUUGGUGAUUUACUGGAUUUUGUUUCAGAGGAAGGCAAUGAGACUGAUUUUUUUUCUAAGUUUGCAUAUUUAGAGGCACUAAACUCUAUUAGAGAAAGAAUGGCUGCUGCAACCUGUGAAAUUUGUUAUGCCAGGGAUCAUUCGACCGGUAAGUGCCCUGAAUAUCAAGAUAAUCUGAGUGUCCCACUCAAUAAUUAUGGAGAUUUUUCACCAUGGUUUCAAACGUGGUAUAACCCUAAUCCAAACGGGUAUGAUCAAGGAUGGUGAGAUAACUCUAGUUAUAAUUAUACAACAGGGCCAAUGAAUUUUCAGCAGUAUGAGUCUCAAGAAUCAUCAUCUAUGUCAGGUAUGUCUCUUGAAGAAAUAGUUGAAUUAAUAGCUACUAACACAUAUCAAAUUCAACAGGAGACACAUCAACUUCAACAGGAGAUAAUAGAUUUUCAUCAAGAGACACAAGUGAACAGGCGUAACCUAGCAGAUCAAAUGGAUCAAUUGACAUUUAGGAUAACGUCAUUGGCUUCUCGAAUGAAUGAAGAAAUGCCCUCACCGACUAUUAUCGACCAUGAAGAAGAUGAGAGUGCAAUUAUUCUGACAAAUGACAUGGUACUGCAAGAGUCUCAAGAAGAAGAAUCUAAAGAUGCAGUUGAAAAGAAAGUUGAAGAGCAAAAAUUGAGACCCCAACAUCAAAUGGUUCAAGUGAAUGAAUCCAGUGAACAAUCUCCAAAUGCGGUGACAUCUCCUCCAUUCCUUGAUCAAUAUUUUCUUGACUCUUAUUCUUUAAUUCCUGUUAGUGAGAUUGAUUUUAUUAUACCAGACGAUUUUGAAUUUCAUGCCAGGAAUAAGUUAAGAGUCAUGAUGGCAAAAUAUCUCGAACUAAUAAGUGCUCUUGAUGGAGGAGUGAGUGAAGAUUUAAGAUCAUCACUUGUUUGUUUGGUGCCAUUUACUAGUCCAUGGAAAAUCGUAACUCGUGUGCUCAAAAAUUACUCCAUCUAUGAGGGUUACCAGGAUCAUAUUAAAGAUGAAGCAUUGAAGCGAGCCACAAGAUUUUAUCCUCCGUGAACAAGCAUAGCAUGUCUAGCCAAAGACAUUAAAGAAAGGCGCUACUUGGGAGGCAACCCAAGACUAUUUGUUUCAGUUUCCAUGCAUUUUUGAAGUUUUAGUUAAGUGUUAGUGUCAAUUAAUAGUUUGAUGUUUGGUGGCAGGAAAUUAGUAGUUAGACGUGCCCACGCCAGGUGGUCACGCCUGAGGGAAAGAAAUUUUCGCUCAAGAUCUGCGGACUCUAUAGCAAUUAGACGUGCCCAUGCCAGGUGGUCACGCCUGAGGGAAAGAAAUUUACGUUCAGAUUCUGCGGACUCUAUAGCAGAUAGACGUGCCCACGCUAGGUGGUCAUGCUAACAGAUCGAGAAUUUUCGACGGAUGGUCAAAAGACUAGGGGCAGUUAGGCGUGUCCACGCCUAAGCCAGAGGUUCCAUAUUCCAAAAAAAAAAAAAGAGAAAAGAAAUUUUUUUUUUUAAAAAAAAUAGGACACGAAACCCUACUCUUUUCUUCUUCUUCUUUCUUUUCUUUUUCUUUCUUCUUCUUUCCUUUCCUCUGCUUGGUCUGCCGACGCGCCCCACCUGGCCGCACGCCACCAUUGCUGUCCACCAGGGCCACACGUCCGCCGCCUUUCCCUCCACAGCCAUAGUUCAGUUCUGCCUCCUCCGUUUUAAGGGAAGUGUCGUUGCCCCAAUAUCUCUGUUUUGCUCUUUCUUUGCUUACAUUGAGGGCAAUGCAAGAUUUAGGUGUGGGGGGGGUAGUAUAUUGGCAUUUUAUUGAAAAAGUGCAAGCGUAGGCAUUUUUGUUGGAAUUUUUUGUUUGACUUUGUCGAAUUUUGUCCAAUUUUUGUCUAUCUUUGUGCUUAUUUGUGAUUAUUCCUGAUAAACGAUGGUUAGAUGUCUCAAAAUUUUCUAUUACUAAGAUUUUACACUUUAAGGUGUUGAGUAUGACAUGGUUGAUUUUAAGGGUAUCUCUUGGGUGAAUAUUUGAGAUUUUGUGACUUUUGCACUUUUUGGUUAACUUUUCUAAGUAUUGUAAAUAUUUGUCUAGCAUUUUUUUUGUGCAAAUUGGUUCAACUAUUAAUCUUAGUUCUCCAUGUUUAAGAAAUGAAACGGGUUUGUGUGGUUUUUAAUUUUAUUUUUGGUGCUUAUUUAUGAAUAGUAUUCAGCUAUACUCCGCUAGUAUCGUUGUCUAGUAACCGGAGGUCUUCACCACAAGUGUUGACUUUCGCGUCAAAAAGCGACGAUAACUAUGAGUAUGUGAUUUUUAAGCGAUGAUGGCUGAGUAACCGGGCUCCUUCAUGUGGCCAAUGUCGGAGUUCGCGUCAAAAUGCUUGAAUGGCUGAAAACUAAGCAUUCCCCCGGAAAAAAAAAAUCAAUCAAGUGGAGAUAUAAAAAAAAAAGUGCUAAUAGUGGAAACUAUGAAUGAAUUGCUAGCCCGCUGACCCAUGAAUUUUAUUGUUGAGAUUUUGCUUAAUAGUCGAACCAUUUGCUUAUGGAUGCUGGUUGAAUAUUUUAUAUUCUUAGAUUAGUUAGUCAUAAAUUAAAAGAGUCCUUAAUCUUCAAAACUAACUGGAGAGAUAUUUCUUGAAAAUUGCCACUAAUACUUGACAUACGUUUUAAUUAUAUCUUGGCAAUAGAAGAUUUGAGUAAUACCAUUGUUUGAAUUUGAUUAUUUGAUUUAUGUUCUUAUGUUUGAGGACAAGCAUGGUUUAGGUGUGGGAGAAAUUGAUAGGUCAUAAUUUGUUGUUAAAUUUAUAAUUAUUCUCCCCCUGAUUUUAGCCAAAUAUUAUUCUAAUCGUCGGAUUCUACUUAUAUUUGGUAUUUUGUGCUUAUUUCAGGAGAAAGAAUGAAAAGUGCUUAAAAUCAAAUUUCAGAGAACUUCUUGAUGAGUAGGUGUGCCCACGCCUAACUCCAGCCUUCUUGGCCGGACCUUCGGGAUUAUGUGCACGUGGAAAGCUUCCUAGAAUGAGUGGAAUAGCUGGCUUCAAACCAGGAAAUCACAAGACUCGUGGGCCGCAGAGGUGUAGAGGAUAAAAACUCUAAUCCUACAAAACGUCAAGGACUUGGAAGCUUACUUUUUCUUUUCAGCGGCCAAUAGGAACAAAGCCAGAAUCACGUAUGAAUUAGACUAGCUUGAAUUUCCUUUUUCUAGCGGUCAGACGUCUUCUUUUAAGAGGACAAUUCCUAUCUUUUUAUACGAGACUCCUUAGCCGGCUUUUGGGGGGGAGGAAAAGAAAAGGAUGAAAAAGCUUCGGUCAACUUUUUCUCAAUUGCUUUCCACGGCUUGUUCUCCAUUAAUGGAGAACUGAGUUCUUAUUUCUAGUCAAUGGACAACUGAAGAUUUGAUUCAACAAUAACUGUGAGAUCUAAAUUAUUUUAAUUGUUUCCUUCAUUUAUUGGUAUUUGUAUGUUUUCUGCUUUAAAUUGUUGUUAUAGCUAUCGUGUAUGAUUGAAUAGAUGCGCAAUAUUUAAUUAUUCACAUAGGCUAUCUUGCUAAAUAGGGGUAAUUGAAUCCGUAAUUGUUCGUUACCUCUAUCUCAGUAGCAACUGGCGUAAUUGGGUUUAUGUCAGGGAAACAUACGAUCUAACUUAAACAAACCCUCGUAGCGUGUUUGUUAGUUAGGAUUGAGCUUUUCUAAUUAUUAAUGCAAUCUAGAAAUUAAAUCCUACGGUCGUACCUAGGAUUGUUUUUGGGUUAGAGAAAUAGUUAACGGUCGUACCUUAACUAUCGAGAAAGUAAGGAAAGGUUGGUUGUUUAUCGCGUGUAUGACAACUAUAACCACUCUAGUAAUAAAUGUUGGAAUUAUCUUUGAACCAAUGAUCAGUGCGUGAACCAUUUCUGAAGUGUAUCCUUGGCUAGAGUUUCUCUAAGUUAUUUCUUUUAAUUAAUUAUUUUCUGCAUUUAAUUUCUUUAGUUAGCAUUUAAUCCAAAACCCCCCAUACCUUGGACUCUAGAAGAAACGAAUUAUCCCCAGUCCCUGUGGAUUCGACCCUACUCACUGCUAUAUGCAAAAUCUGUAUUUUUCUCGAGUAGAUAUUUAUUAUUGUACAGGUUCGGCACCUGUCAGUAGACCUAACAAAAUUAGAGAAAUAGCAUAACAAUUAAUACAAUAAUAAGAAUUACAGAGUUGGUAUAACAAAAUUAGUUUAGUCUACAAAUUUAUUUUUUUUGCAGAUAGUUCGCGAAUAUGACAUUCAACCACCAAAAAAAAGACAUCUAUAUCUGUCUAUAUGUAUUGCAGAGAGAAUUUUAGAUAAGGAGCUUUUCAAAUUGUCAAAAGUUCGAAUACUAUUUUAUUACAAUUUUACAUUUCUAAAAUUAAGAAAUGUUUAUCUCACAACUAAUCCUUUAAUUGCUCGUACAAAUCCUAUAAUUAUGCUCAUGUUUUUCCCACAUUUCCCUCACAUUUUCCCCACUAACCAAUAAAAUUAAAACUCCCGAAUUUUAACUAACAGAUAAUAACCAACCAUGUCAAAUUAAUAUCUGCAAAUUUCAAUUAACAUCUCACAUUUACUGCUGACUUUACUGAUAGUAUUAACUAACAGUUAUUGCUGACAUUCACAACUCACACUUACCACAUUACUCAUAGGAAUAACUAACUGUUAAUUUAAGAUAUUCGCAACAGUGAAAGUCACAUAUCCAAAAUUUAGGAGCAUGUAGAAAUAAUAAUUUUCACAAUUCAAUGUAUUUUAUUGCCAUAAUAUAGUUUACUCUCAGAAUCAUUCACAAAAUUGCUGCAUACUAAUCCAAUUGACCCAUUUAAUUUGCCAUCAUAUAAAUUCAAUACAGUGAAAAAAUUACGUAUUAUACAUUUUUUCACUAAGGAUAAAUCUCAGUUUCAAAUAUUUCAAUCAGUGACAAAGCCAAGAUUUUUUCUCUAGAGAGGCUAAAAUGGAUACUCAGUUUUUAUAAUGGAGAAAAGUCAUAAAGAGUUAGUAUUUUAUUGAACAAUGGAUUUAUUUUAAUUUCAUCUGAAAAAUAGAUUUGUUUAUGCAAAAAUGGGUACUCUGUUCUUAUAAUAGCGGAAAGACAUAAAGAACUAGUGUUUUAUUGAAAAAUCGAAUUUUAAUGUAUUUUAUCCGACAAAUAAAUUGGUUUAUGAGAAAAUUGGUGUUAAAGAGGUGAAAUUUUUGUAGAGGGGCUGAAAUGGGUACUCUGUUUUUAUAUUGGAGGAAAUGCAUAAAGAGUUAGUGUUUUAUUGAACAAUGGAUUUAUUUUUAUUUCAUCCGAUAAAUAAAUUUGUUUAUGCAAAAAUAGGUACUCUAUUCUUAUAAUGGAGGAAAGCCAUAAACAACUACUGUUUUAUUCAAAACCGAAUUUUCAUGUAUUUUAUCCGAUAAAUGAAUUGGUUUAUGGGAAAAUUAGUGUUAAAGAGAUGAAAUUUGAUGGGAAAAUGAUACUUUACGAUACCAAUGAAUAAUAGUUACAACACAAUCACAGAUUUGAUAUUUUAAAUAGUGAAGAAUCGGUUCCAUUUUGAUUACAUAUUUUUCGGGAUAUUUUUAAAAAAUAGCACUACAGUUCUUCGAACAUAAACUAUAGGUACUGUACGUAUAUGCUAUUCUUUUCCCUUUUACACCAUUCCUUUGACAUAUGUGCUUUCUCAUAAAAGAUUUUUAUUCAUUUUUCAAAUCGAAAAAAAUUAAUGAAAUAUGUAUAAUUCGAAUAAAAUACUAUUUUAAUUAUUGCCAUUUUGCUCAUACGUUGCAAGACUGAUAAGAAAAUCGUAAAGCGUUGCUAUUUUUAUGAAUGACAACUUUUCCCGUAAAUGGCCCGCUCUUUAUGUCUUUUCUUUAUUAUAUGUCAACGCAUCUGCUUUUAACGAGCAUUUUACAUCUAAUUUAUUUAGUACUAUAAACAAUGAUAUUUAGAAUGUUUCUUUUCCCUUUAGACCAACAACUUUGACUUGUGGAUUUUUGUGCUCUGAGAAAAAAGAUUUUCGCUUACCUUUUUUUUUAAACUGCAAAAGAAAAAAUCAAUUUUUCCCCAUAAAUCUCAAAAAUGCUUAUUUAUACACAUACCAUCAAGUAUGUAUACAAGUAUAAUAACUGUACUGACUAAGUAACGUACUCAGUUUUAAUGAUUAAUAAUACAUUUUUGUGUUAUUUCAAAUAACUCUAAAAUAUGGGCUACGUAUAAGUUUUUUAAGCAUAAUACAAUAUUAUGGCCAUAAAUUAGCAAGUUUUUGUCAUUAAUCAAAUUUAUUAUGUUAUAACUAAAACUCACUAUUUCUGUAUAAAAACAUAUUUUUACUUCAAAUAAACUUACUCCCUCAAAAGUAUAUUUGGGAUAUACUAUUGUAAUUUAUCUCUUUAAAAAAUAUGUUUCAUAUUAAUUACAAUUUACCUUUUCGACUGCAAAAGUUACUAAUUUAUUACGUUAAUUUACUAUUUUGAAUGACAAAUUUACUCCCUUAUUUUUACCUAUAAUCCUAUUCAAGUGGAUAGGUCUAACGGGUAAUCAAAUGGUCGCUAAAAUUUUUAGAACCUAUUAUAUCAUGUCUAAAACUGUGUUGUUUACCGUAUCGAUAGUUAUGGGACCAUUUUCUCGAAUGCUUAAGCUGAACACUUGGGCACUAAAUUUAUAUAUGUAUAUAAAUAUAAUGAAGGCUUGAAUCCUUUCGUUUACCUCCACUUUUCCUUCUUCCAAAUUAUUAUCCCCCACGCGUGUGCAAUAAUCAUUUAUUAUUUCUUAAAAUUUCGGUACCUUCUUUACGCACAUUUUUUGUCCAAGGCAUUUGCAACAUUUUUCCAUUGGUAAUGAGUACAUUUGCAAAUACAUAAAUGCCUCUGAUUUUAACAUGCAAUAACACUUCCUGGCCCAACUCGUACGGAAGCCAGUGUGCUUUCUGGUUGGAUCCGCAGACGAUUCUCAUAUAUUUCCUCUUCACGCGUUGUGCAACAAUUAAACAUCUCUGUUUGGAUUGUAUAUAACGUCAACACGUGUCACUCUCUGCCGAUCUUCCUACCAUAGGCAUGUUCCCACCAUAAAGGUUUCCAACUGAAAUAGACACCGCGACCACGUUAUUGCUUCCAUAACAAGUUGUAGAAACCAUUGGAUCUGGUCCUUAAUCACGGCGCCGUCUGCAGCUGCAAUAGGAAAAUCAGUAAUAAAAAAAAAAUUAAAGGGUGCUUGCUAGUAAUAUGAACUGUUUGUAUCAUUUAUUUAUGGGUUAAUUGCAGUUUGCACCCACCAACUAUUCAAGAAUCAGACUUUACGUCCUAAACUUUGAAUUUCAGCAAUCAACUACCUCAAACUUUUAACCUUUGGCACAAUGUAAAAAUCAAAGUAAAGAUAAUCACAAAAAGAGUGGUGCGACUAGUUUACCCUUAAUUUCUUGUUGAGCUACCAAAAAUACCCUACCUAUGACAAGUUUUUUGGAGACAAAAAAUUCUCAAAUUCCUUGAACCCAAAUUCCUAAAAUCAAUCAAAUAAGAAAAUAAUUAAGAUUUCUUGUUACCAUAUUAUUUUUGCAAAGUUAAGAAAGGGUAUUUGUAGGACAAAACAAGAGUAAGGUGUGAAAUGGUCUAUUUAUCGGUCAAAAUUAGGUGGAUUGUACUAUGUUACGAAAAAUUAAAAGUUAAAUGUAGUGAAUUGCAAAAAUUAGAAGUUUAGGGUGUAGUGCUCAAUUUGGAAAUAGUUCAUAGGUGCAAAGUGCAAUUAACCCUUUAUUUAUUUAUUAAUUGCAGAGUACUCUACUGAUUGACCCGUGCUUUAACCGAGACCCAACAAGUCAAAGAAGGGAAGUUAUGUGUGUAUGUACUCAUGAUGAUCCAUCAUAAACUUUGAGCAAAUUAUAGUUUGUUUGGAUUGUGUUUUAUUUCUCCAAUUUUAUCUGCUUAUAUCAUUAUUACUAUUUUCAAUACAUCUUUUUAUCUUCUCAAUUAUUUUUUUUAUCUCACAUACAUCACAUCACAAAAAGUGUUACAAUAAAAAUAUUCCAAAUAAAAUACAAUCCAAACAAACCCAACAGAGCCUUCCAAUUGGAUGGCCCAAGCCUUUGUAUAUUUCUAACAUCCAUAUAACCCUUUUAAUUUCUCAUCAAACUAAUUUUUUUUCUAGAAUUUUUUUUUCUCUUCUAAAUUGUUCAUGCAAAUUUAUUCCACAGGAGUUUUAUCAGAGUCAGACUAUAUAUAGCUAUGACAAAUUUAAUUGCGAUAAAUUUAAUUCCCUGAUUCUCUGUUUCUUACUACUACAUCUAUUUUAUUUAUCUUCUGUGUAGGAAACUAACAGCCUUUAUUUUAUUCAUCUUCUCAGUUCCUUGCUGCUACACGCUCGAAGACUUCAAAGUCAAUGGUCCACAAGAGAAAAAGGACUAACAGGUAGCUAUGCCCAAAGGGUUCAAACACUUUCGAAAGGCUCAAAUUGUUCUCUUGCACUUUCACCUAAUAUGUCACCAGAUCGAGGAACAAAGUUGAUGCUCAUCAGUGCCCAUACGUCACUAGGAAGUUGUGGCAUUUUCUUAUAAAAAAAAUUUUUAGUUAUCCUAAAACAUCGUGAGAAUUCAAAUAGUAAUUUCUAUUUCUUUUUUAUUUAAAAGAUGUAAAAAUAAUAAAGAAAAGGAGAAGAAGAAAGAAAGAAAAAAAAUGAAAAAGAUUAAUAUUAGACACUAUCCUUAUAAUGAGGGCGUUAUUAUCUUUUUGCUUUGCACAUAAACUUGGUUUUAGAGAGCAAUUUGUCGGUUUUAAAAAACAGGACAGACUAAAAGAAUUAAAAAAAAAAACCGAAAUAGCGGGGAAGCACGCAAAAGCUAGAACCAAUAUGAAGUGGUCUAAACUGUCCAAUGGCCCAAACUGAUUUGGAGCCUUCACACACUGUACAUCAACGGAUGACGACAGAAAAAGGAUCAACGGAAGAAUUUUGUAAGCGAAACAGCAUGGAAGCAAUCAAAAGCAAGAGCCGAAAGGGGAAUAAAAAGAAACGAAAAAGAACCCUGAGUGGAGAAGAUGACGAACCGAGCGUCAAAAGAAGAUAGCAUCAUUUGCUCUUCACUUUAUUGUUUUGAUUUUCUUUUUACAUACAAGUUGGGUAAUGGGUACUUAAGGAAAGACGCCAACCCAUCUAAUAAAUAAUUUUGAGUUUUCUUAACCCAACCAAUCAAAACCCAUUACCAACGAACCUUUAAAAUUAGUAAGUGAAUUGGGUGGGUUGUUAGAUUUUAAGUUUAUUUGCCAGGUUUAAUCACUUGCAAAGCUCAUGUACAUGACCGGUGAGCAAUUUCUCGUCGCUUUCAUUUACAUUUACCAUGAAGACUAGAAGUGGAAGAACUUUAAGACGUAUUUUCAUGGACAUAUUUUCAAUGGAUUUUUUGUCACCAAAUUAUAGAAUUGCGUAGCCAAUCACCACUCCUAACCGGUUAUCAUCAGUUCUUACAUGUAUAAUACAUAUUUCGUGUUGUCUUGUGUUAUUUUUGGCCUCUAUUAUGUUUACAUAUUUGCAUUCCUUGUUACCUUUUUUAAAAGGAAAUACUUUUAAACUUUUAUUUCACUUUUUUUCUGAAAAUCCCUCUCAAUGAAUGUCUAUUGGCACUUCUUAGAUAAAUCAAACAUUUUCUUUAUUAGUUUUGUGUAUUAGCAAUAAGUUUUUUUCUAAUGUUUUUGCUUGGCUUUAUAAGAAUUUGCAUGAGAUAAGUCAUAUUUAUUUUAUAGUCAAAAAUAGAAAAUUGGGGAAAAUUUUCUCGUUUUUCUUUUUUUUUUUUUGUUUAAAGAAGCGGAUUUAUGAACCUGAAGUGGAUCUGACCAAUAUUUUUACCUUCUCUCAAGUAACAGCCAUUUACUCUUUCAAUUUGCAUAGUGGCUGCUAGUAAGUUUUUUUUUUUGUGUGUGUAUAUUUGUAUAUAUGUGUGUCUCUAUGUGUAUAUAUAUGUAUAUACAUAUAUUUAUAUAUAUGUAUAUAUAUGCAUGCAUAUAUAUAACAUUGAAGAUUGUUUCACAAGGUAAAAAGGGAAGAAAUGAUAAAUUAAUGCGACGUGAAAACACUACUGUUCUUAAAGUUUUAAUUGCUCAUAGUGCAUUUAGUUGUUUGCUUAUGAGUUGUGGCAAUUUACCCCUAGAAUAGAACAAGUAGACAGCAUAAUCUAAUUGUUCUCGCUUAGAAUUAAUCAAGUACAAAAGCUAGUUUAAUUCAAUGAGACUUAAUUAUUUUUGUAGGAAAAGUGUUUUUCUAUGACCACAUAAUGACCAGACACAGCCUCGUUCGUUUUGCGCAGCAUUAGCUUUCAAAUAACCACCUUUGGAGUAUGAAAAGUUUUCAAAACAGAGCUUUUAACGAACCAAACUAUUUGCAAACAUAUUCAUGUUUUUCUCAUUCGAAUUUGAAAAAAAGCACGAUCAUUUAAUAAUUGAAUUGAAUUCGAACAUAAUAUUAAGCUCCUUUAAUACUCAAGCCGAACACGAAUCUGUUUGUGAACUAUUCUAAUAUUUCGUGAAUAUAUAUAUAUAAAUAUAAAUGCAUUUAAUAUUAUUAAAUUUAUAUUAUAUUUUACUAAAAUGUAUUAUACAUAAAUUAGCAUUAUUUAUUUUUUAAAAAUAAUAAAUGCAAUUAAACUGAUUCUAAAUAAUGUAUUAUUUAUUAAAAAUAUAAUUAAAUUGUCUUCAAAAUCAAAUCCAGCUCAAAUUUGGCUCGUCUAGUUCAAUGAGUAGAGGUUGAACUUGAAUGUUUGUACAAAUAAACAAAUCGAAUUCGAACAAUAUUUGAAAUUCAUUAAUAUUCGAACUUAACUUGAACCCUGUUCAUAGAAUACGUGAAUUGAGCCUGAACAUCAAGUAUUUGACUCAAUUUGACUCGUUAAAAGUUGUAUGUCAAAACAUUUCUUCAAAAAUUUUGACUAUUACGAGGAUCCAGCCCCAUCCAUUAGUGCACAGAACUAGAUCUGAUUCACCAAGAAAGCCGGAAACCUAAGUGAUCAAGAUCGAAUCCAAAUCUGAAUGUAAAACUAGAAAAACUCGGACCUCUCUGGACAUGAUCUAACAAUGGAUCAGGCUCGGGUCAAGCCAGGAUCUGGCACCAGAUCAUAGUUCAUCACUUUGUUUUGUUUGUCAAAAUUCCAUUUCUAUGUUUCAAAUCUUAUAUUGCAUCUUUCAAAACUAAUUUUUAUAUAUUUUCAUAAUUUAUUUAUACAUUUUGAGUCGUAUUUGUACAUUUAAAAAUUUUAUUUACAAACUGAUCCAACUGCAGGUUUAGAUGCAUAAUAUAUUACCUUUUUUCAAAUUUCAAAUUUUCUUUUUGCACAUAUUUCAUAUACUUACUUGCUUGUGUAAUAUAUUGGGCUAACCAUGUAAACCAUAUUAGCUUGAAUAAAUGUCCAAAGCACAGCAUCCUCUAUGUUAAAAAAUCAACUAAAUUUGGCUAUUUAGUGUAAUCAUAUUUAAUAUUAUAUCAAAAAAGUACAACAUUGAUAUCAUAUUUGAUCCCUCUUGUUUUUGGUCCCUCAUAUAUAUAUAUGUAUGUAUGUAUGUAUCUAUUUUUUUUUUAAUUCUUAAAAAUAUAUCGGUCUCUCCUGUUUGGAUUCUUCUCAACGGUUAAUGCUUUUGUUAACUUUAAGUACUUCGUCAAAUCACAAAUUCCAAACAUCACAUACUACAAAUGUCACUAACGCAGAGGAAAAAGACUGGGUUGGUUGGAAAGGUGUUUAAAAAAAAAAAACAAUGUUUCUCAUCAUUAAAAUUUUGCAAAAAGAUCGCGAGGCAAUCCCAACUGCAACAAGUCUCAGCAUUGCUCAUGCUCAGUGGCUUGCUUCGUUCUUGCCUGAUCCUUGCUAGGUUCUAUGACUUUGAAUUCUGGUCUAGACUUGAUGUGCUGGAGGCUGUCUUCUAUGACAGCUUGAGCCGUUGUUUCUGUGAUGUAGAGUGAAUACUCACAGAACUUUAUCUGCAUCUGUGAUGUAGAGCCAUUGCUAUAAUUUGAGCAAUUCCGUAAUGCUAUACAUCCGCGGGUUUAUUAACCCUCAACUUGUUUGAGAUUUCCAGUGAAAUAGAAAAGUACAAGAUAGUCAGCUGAAUUAGCUGAUAAGAACUUCCAAUAACCAUCUUUCAGGGACAAAUUUAGCAAUGUUUAUGGCCAGUGUGGGAGUCAAGAAUUUAAUGCAGGGUGCCUAUUGACAUUCAUUAUCAAGUCUAGAAAUCAUUUGCUUUGGUUUUUCUCAAUUUUAUAAUAGAACAAAAGAAAUUCAUUACAUUUGAUUAUACUACAACAAAAAAAAAUUGAAAUUUAAGUAAUUUGAGAACAUGCUUUAAUUACUAUCCAAAAAUAAUGGUUUACUUGAAGGCUGACUUGGCACGUCGAGUCAAGCAUGAGGGGAGGUUUUAGUGGCUAAUCCAAAUCAUUAUCUUUAAGUUUUAUGCUUUUUAUAUGAACACACUCCAUUUCUUGGUGGUUCCAAGACGCAAAAAGGGAGCUUUCCAAUCCAUGCAAGUCUCUAUCGUUGAGCCAAUCUGGAACCAUUAUCCUGUUUUUUUUUUUAAAUAUUUUUUUAAUAUAAACACAGUAGUUUGUUCUCCCCUAGAAUUUGAUCCUCCUUGUCCUGCAGGUAAUCUGCAAGCAUUAUCAUUGAGUCUUCUUUUUUUUUUUUUUUUUUUUUUGUAUACAUAAAUACAGCGACUCUUUUUAUAUCAUAUAAAUACAGUGAAUUGCCCUCCCAUGGAAUCUCACCCUUGUGUUAAUCUGCAAACAUUACCCUUCAGUUUUAAUAUUUUUUAUUUAAAUACAUUGAUUUGUUCUUGGUCCCCCCAAGCCAUAUAAAAGGAGCUUUUCGUUCCAUGCAAUUCUCUGCUGGAUUACGAGGUGUAAAUAUCGCUUCAUCUCAUCUCAUCUCAUCUCAUCUCAAAAAAGGAAGUUCAUCUCAAAUCAACUUCUUGAUUAAUCAAAGCAACUUCUUGAUUAAAUUUUUAAAAAAAAAACACACACACACACACAUAUGCAAGGCACAUGCAUGACGAGGACGACCAUCCUUUGCCAAGAACUCCUUGGUGCUAAUUUUCUAAUAAUUUUAGAAUUUUCUACCAAAUGCAACCAUGAGGAAUUAAUGUUCCCACUAAUCUAUAGUUUUUGGAAAAAUUACAACCCCAUGAUUGGUUUUAAUUUCUUGUUAUAGAUUUUUUAAAAGUGCGAUAGAUAUUUAUAGAUUUAUAUUUAAAUGUGCUGAAUGGGUACUUAUUGAAAGAACUUUGAGGAGUGAGUUUUUUUUUAAAGUGUAAUUAGUUUAGUAAAGUAUUUGUAUUACAAUAAGUGCAAAAAUCGUGAUUGUGUAUAUUUGCGUGAUAAAUUAAAUAUAAUUUAGAUAUAUUUGCACGUGGCCCGGCACGUUUUUAAAAAAUCCAUUAACAAAAGGAUGAGACUUUAGUGGAUGCAAAUUAAGCGCGGAAAUGAUCAGGAAUAAAGAGGGGAGGUGCGAAAAAGAAAUUAAUUAAAUCGAAAGCUGCGGCCAAAAGCAAUUUUUGGACGGCACCAAAAGCUGCGGCCAAAACCACAUAUGCUAUUCUUGUUCAUCAGGUUGACACGUUGAACAGUAGUAGUAGUAGUACUAGAUAGGGAAAAAGGGUGAUUGCUGUCUGUAUUUACAAAUAGUAAAAACUGGAGAUUCUGAGCUUGCAGUUUUUUCAAUUUUUAUUUUGAAAUUCAUCGACUCCAAGGUAAAAACCUUUUAUGUAUUUAAUAAAAAAAACAAUUUUUCUAGUGGUGUAGGAAUAAGAUUUAAGAAGUAGAGAAUGAAAAGGAGGAUUAGAAUUCAAGAUUUUGCAAAAUAUACAUACCAGUAAGCUUGUUUAUUUAUUCGUUUGUAUGGAAUGUUUGUCAAACAAUCUUCUGUGCUUCAUCUAAAGGCCAAAUUUAAAAAGAAUUGGUAGCGUGUUGAGCAAUUAUAUGAUUAACAAUUUUAAUGAUGUAAGAAAUUGAACCAUAAACAAAAGCUGUAAAUAGAACAAUUGUCUAAUAGGCCCCAGUACCUUUUCAAUUGUCACCAAAAUAAUACAUAUGAUUGUUCAAUAUAUACACCUAUGAGUAUGUAACAAAUAGAAAAAUAUUAUUAAAAUUUUGGGUGUAUUUGUUGAAAUCAUUUUCAACAGUUUUAUAUUUUUUACACUAGAUAGUAGAUAGUUCAUCAAAAUAAAGUGUAUAAAUAGACAGUUAUUUAGAAGUAAUAUGCAAAUAUAUAAUUGUUUGUUGCUACUUGGUAAGAGGAGAUAUUGGGUAGUUAUCAAAGACAGUUCAUAAAGAGCAUAAAGCGACAACAAUAUGUUUAUACCAAAAAACCCUUCUUUAUAUAUAUAAAGUUGCAUUUAUAUAUAUAUAUAUAUAGCAUAGAUAAUUAGUAUAAAAAAUAUAAAUACUAAAACAACAACGUACAAAAUGCAACUUUUAAUGCAAAUAUUUGCAUGUUAGUCUCUAUUAAGGUCUACAUUUAUCAUCGGGCACUCACAAGUCACUCUUUCUUCUCAAUUUUCUUGGUUCUGGCGUACUUUGCAUUUAGCCUCAACAGUUCAAUUUACAGAAAAAUGCAAAUUAAUCUUUUAGCUCUGUAGAAAAACAACUGUCUAGUUUUUAUAUAUGCUUCUACACAUGACGAGUAUUUUUCUUUAAAUUACUCCCGAACAUUCCCAAAAAUCUUUCACUUGCCAUAACCUUAUAGACGGCAAAUGAAAAGAGUGGAUGGCAAUUACAUAGAAGAACUGCAUUUCCACCAAGUUUUUUACAUAGAAGAACCUUGCCGUACUGAAGCACCAAUAUGAACAGCAAAUUAAUUGUACAAAGGUGAUGAGUUGAAAAUUUUCCUGUAGAGUAAAAGUAUCUCUCUUUUUUUUUUUUUUUUUUUGUAUAACAUGAAAUUGACAGCCCAGUGAAACCAUUUGCAGAAAGUGAUAAAACAAGAGACACCAUAGUUGUGCCGUCGUGGAAGGCGAGAAGUGGGAAUUGAAAAUGAGAGAAGGAAUGAGCGAUACAACAAACAAACGUCUGACUUAGUAUCAUUCUACCAACUAGACUCUUGGUCAUCUAGCUGACAAGACUUAAUUGUACAUUGAGCAACUUAUGGAACAACCUAUAAGCUGCACAAUGACCACAGUAAAGCUUGCCAUACUGGAGCACCAAUAUGAACGACCAAAUUAAUUGUACGAAGGUUCACAAAUGCUGAUCAACUGACCAACAUUUCGAUUGUUGUCCUACCUAGUUUGCUUAGUGUUUUCAUACAAAAACUCAGAUCUGUAUCACAUGUUAUCAAAAUCCAUUCAUUAAGUUCAUCCUGAUACUUAAUUUUAAAACUUCCAAGGGAUAGAUUGAAUCGUUGUGCAAUGUUCUUCUCCAGAUCAAUUUUACGGGCAGAAGAUGAAAGUUCAAAUUUUAUAUUGUCCUCCUGAUAUUUUACCUUGAUCACCCACAUGCUGAUAUCAUCUUCUAGCCUCGUUGCAUCUGACUGGUGGUUUUCUUCAAUAUAUUCAGUAGCGGGUUGAACAGUUUUCUGUACAGCAAAGGCUUGACUAACCUUUCUUGCUUUACGAGGUGGCCAUCUGUUAAUACCGUACUCCCUACAUAUACGCUUCAAUGUAGAUCGACUAACUGCAGAUUUCAGAAAGGAAAACUUAAGUGAAUGAAAAAGCCUUUACAACAUGUAAACUAGAUCUUUCCAAACAGAUCUAGAUCAAAACAACAUGCAUUAACCAACAUUUGAAUUCAAUUCUGAUCUAGAGAAAUGCUACAAUUAAAAAUUACCUCCAAUAUUUUUUGCAGCAUCUUCAAGUUUUCUUGUAGAAUUUUGUUCAAGAAUCUCACGAGUAAUUCCAAGGUCGCUUUUUAAGGUAUAACUAGGCUCUCGCAUUUUUAAAUUAGUCACUUUAUUGCCGCUGUGUUCUAUACUAGCAUCAUCUCUGUCAGGAUCUUCCACAAUUGGUUCAUGAUCCGCUACGCUGAAAAUGUUCUGCAUAAGCACCUGUCCAGUUGAAGAUCCAACAAUUCCAUUUUGCUGUUCAUAAAUACCAUUCAUAGAAUUGUGCACGACAUCAACUCCUGCAAGAUUUAAUUCUAGAUAUGAUCUGUCGACAAAGCCCUGUAUGCGCUCUGGUCUAGGUGGGGAUCCAACAAUUCCACUCUGCUGUCCAUGGACACCAUUUAUAUAAGCAUUUGCAGAAUCAACUCGCUGAGAUGAGAAAUCACCUUGCAUCAUUCCUUCCCCUCCUUGUGCUUUUGCAAGCCUAGGUGUAGAUCCAACACUUCCAUUCUGCUGUUCAUGGAUACCAUUCAUAGAACCAUUUGCAUCAUCAACUUGUUGAGAUGGGAAAUCAAGUUGCAGCACUCCUUCUCCUCGCUGUACUUCUCCAAACCUAGGAGUAGAUUCAACACCAGUAGUACUGCAGAUUUCAAAAGAAUCAAAUUCAUUCUCUGGAGAGACCUUUAUAACCUCAACAGUCAAUUUCUGCCCCAAUUCUUGUCCUGAAGCGAUCUUAAAAGAACUCUGGAGGCUUUCUUCCAAUGUUUCCAUUAGAAUGUGCAACAAUGCCCUGGGAUCCCUACAGUCCUUUUCAUUCAUAGGUAAAAAGAACUCCAGUACGUAAAUGCAAUUGUUCGAGCAAGAGCUCUGCAAACAAACUGCAAAACAGGCAGAGUACUUGUAGGAUCGUGCAAUGGGUACCAACGGGUAGUUUGUUAUGCUUAACUGUCUUAUAUCCCUACAAAAGCAUGCACUUUUGGAUGAGAAUGCUCUCCCAACUACCCCUUGUCCCUUCCGAAUAAAAUCUAUGCCACGAUGACGACUUAGUAUUUCUCCAGAAAUAGUCCAAGUUUUUAUAUCACCAUAACCCAGUCCACAUAUUUCCCUCACCUUGCUCAAUGCUUCGUCAAUUAUAGCAAUUUCUCCACGUUGACCUGUAGAGGAUUGGCUUAAAAAUAUUAGCAUGGAAUGAAUAGCCUAAAGCUUCAGCCAAGAUUAUGCAGUAUAAAAGAAGGAAAAAAAACACUUAGAGGUACUCACAUGAAUUUACUUUCGCGAGGAGGCUUACACAAGUAGUUGUCAGAUUCAACUCCCGUGGUAGAUUCUGCAAACACAUUAUCCAUGAGCCAUAAAUAAAUUAAAGUAUAAUUUACAAGUUUCAAAGUGUUUGUUUCGGCAUUUAAAAGCUGUUUGACAACAACAGAUUUGCAACCCCAAAAAAAAAAAAAAGAAUAAGCUCUUUGAAUGCGUAGUCAACUAAUUUUGGUAUAGAAGUUCCGAAAAGCCAAAACCUCCUUCAAACGCCAUAGAUUUUUUUAGCAUCAACAUCUUUCGCUUAAAAAAUAAUUUAAAAAGAGAAGAUUUAAUAUUAAGGUGACAGUCAUAAGCAGUUAAAAAAUUGGUUAUUGACACAUUGAAAACCCGUGACCUAUCCCAGAUUUGUAUAGGACGUGGAGAUAUACAAAAUUCAUGCCAAGCAUCUCGCCUAUUCUAAGUUGGAUUUAUCACGAAAUUCUUAUAAGUGCCAAAUUUUUGUUUGGUCUUGAGUUCACUACAAACUUAAAAUCAUUAAUGUUAUGCUACCACAGGUCUUGCACUAUAUAACACACAAGACAAUGGUUGGUUACGUCAUAAAUUACCCUCUGCAUCCAUUACCUAGUUCAAAUAAUAAAUGAAUUAGUUACCUUUAAAUUAGUCAUCACAGUAAGUAUGCUCUGAAGUGACCGCAAAGCGGAGACAUGUACGUUUGUAACUCUCAUAAAAAUGAAAACUAUGGUCGGUGGUGAAGGAGCAAUUAUCCGAAAGAGAAACACAAACGAAAUGAUGAAUUAGAGUCAGAUUGGUUGUUUUAUCACAACUGUCUGUACCCAUUUCAUAUACUAUAUUAGCUAAUUUUUUUAUAAAAAUUAUACUAAUAAUUAUAUAACUCAUAAAUGAUAAACAACACCACCCCAGGUCCUUGUCAGCAAUAGGAAAGAAGUAAUUAAGCAACUUAAAAACAGAAAAGUCGAACCUUAAGCUUCUCCAGAACCCGAAAACGAGGAAGGCAAGUAUAACUUGGUGAUGCAAAUUCCAGUGUACCAAUGGGGAGGUGCUGAGUAGGAUGAUAAUAGAUUGGCAACGCCCAGUAUUCCGCAACACGGCUAAUCGCAUAAUCACGUUGAGGAUACUCUCUGCUAGUGUAAUCACCCACAUUCCAUGCAUAUUCAGGCAACCCACUGCGAAACACCCGACCAGGGGGACCAAUUAUACGCUGUACUUCAUCACCAUCAUCAUCGACGGGUAUUAAGUACUCCAAACAGUGCUUCCUGUAUUCACAUAGCUUCUUGACGUCUAGAUGACUGGAGCACUGCAAAGCAAAAGGCUGGUCACGAGUUGUCAAAUACGUUUUGUCCUCAUUCUUCACUAAGCCCCAAAACUGAACUAGACACCGCUCGGUUUUCGUAACAAGCUGUAGAAGACGUUUGAUCUGGUCCUUAAUCACGGCACCGUCAGCAGCUGCAAUAGUAAAAUCAGUAUACUAAAAUAUUAAAGGGUGCUUGCUAGUAUAUAGUAUUGUAUCAUUUAUUUAUUAAUUGCAGAAUACUCUACUGAUUGACCCGUAUUUUGACCGAGACCCCCAAAAAAAACCAAAAGUCAAAGAACGAUUAAUUGAAUAGCUUCAAGACAAGAGCGGCCGCCGCCCCCCAAGAGUUUCUAACAAUAGUUUAAUUUGUCAUCAAACUAAUUGAAUAUUUUCUGUUCUAAAGAGUCCAACAAAAAUAUCCACAUACAUACGUACAUACAUAUUAUAUACGCGAGAUUAUUGAAAGGACUCCAUACUUACUGGCUGAAAACCCAUCUGCUCCUUCGUCAUUGCCGCAUCUGCUCCAGAAAACCCACCAGGUAUAAUUAUUUUUAAUCCGCCCCAAAAAUGAUGAUGAUUCACAUGAAUGGGAGUAUGAUAGUUCACAAGGCCCCAAACCUUCCGUACAAAAAGGAGGGGAGGGAGAAGUUUGAGCUUCCAUUGCCAUUUGUACAGGGCAAAACUGGCUAAUCUUCUGGAUCGAUCCUGUUCCCCGAUCUAUUGUAUAGGAAACUAAUAUAUAUCUACACAUACACACGCGAAGACUUCCAAGUCAAUGGUCGACGAGAAAAAGGACCGACAGGCGAGAAAUAACAAGGAAGCAAACAGCAGCGGGCAAGGCAAACGAGAAACAAAAAGUGGUCGCCCUAACAGUUCAAUAGGUUCCAAAAAUCUCAAAUGGUUCACGCGGUUCUAACAAUACUUUAUAGGUAAGAGUGCUGUGUCACUGGCAAAGUUGAUGUAUUGUACAUGAUCGAGGAGCAAUUUCUCUAUGCCCCUGUGGGAUUCUCCAUCCCACAUCGGUUCUGUGGUCAGGGGUUUGGAUUAUAAGUCUCCGAGGACCUCAAAUGUUGCCGGUUUUGAGGUUUCUUCUGGAGUUAAAUUUAUAACAAAAAUUCUUACUUUCGUAUAGGGGUGCACACCAAUCGAGUAGCUUGAAUCAAGCUCGCGAGUAGCUUGAUUAGCUACUCAAUUCGAGAUCGAUUUUGUUCGAUCUCGAGUCGAGCUCAAGUAGAUCGAGUAUAUGAAACGAGUCGAUCUCGAGUAGUUAGGAUGAGAUAUUUUUAGCUCGUCGAGUAGCUCGAGUAGGGGUGCAUGAUCAAAUCGAGCUCGAGUACUCGAGCUCGAGUCGAGUACCCGACUCAAUAUUGAGCUCGUGUUAAGGGUGCAGGAUGAAAUCGAGCUCGAGCUCGAAUGACACGCCGAGCUCAAUCGAAUCGAGUUCGAGCCUAUUUAUGUUACUACCGAGUCGAGUUCGAUUUUUAUUUCUCGAGCUCGAGUUCGAGCUCUGGAGGUCAGCAUCGAGUUUGAGCUCGAGUAUGUCACUACUCGAGCUCGACUCGACUCGAUUUCACUCCUACUUUCGUAACAAAAGGUCAAAAGCAACAAUUUCUAUACUCCUUUUUUCUUUCGGGAGAAGUGCUAAGAUAAAUAGCUAAUCCUUCACAUACAUAAGCAACAAGGAAGCCGCCGUUGUUGACUACGGGCUCUUGCUUUUUACUUUCGUUUGGCGCAAUUGAAGAGAGCAAUCAGGCUUUCUCAUAUGCCUUGGGUUGGAGACAAUUAAGAAAAACAAAAAUUCCUUGUUCGUUUCUUCUGUUGUUGACCGAAAUUGAGAGAGCCGAUUUGACAAUUUUUCCCAAUUCUCCACGCAUGACUUGUUCUCCAUUAAUAAAUAGGGAACUACCUUCUCAAUUCUAUUAAUAGAGAACUAACUUCUCAAUUCUAGUCAAAGAGACAAUUGACGAUUUGAUUCAACAGUUACUGUGAGAUCUAAAUUAUUUUAAAUAUUUUUUUAUUUAUUAAUAUUUAUAUAUUUUCUACCUUUAAUUAUUAUAGUUCUUGUAUAUAAUUAAUUAAUACAUAAUAAUUAAUUAUUUAUAUAGGCUAUUUUACUAAUUAGGAAUAAUUGAAUCCGUAAUUAUUCUAUUAUCUCUAUCUCAAUAAUAACUGACAUAAUUAAAUUUAUAUCAGAGAAAUAUAUGAUCUAAUUUAGAUUGCUUCUGAGAGUUAGAUUUAUAACAAAAAUUCUUACUUUUGUAAGAAAAGGUCAAGAGGAACAAUUUCUCUACCCCUUUUUUUUUUUCGGGGAGAAUUGCUAAAAUAAUCCUUCACAUACAUAAUCAACAAGGAAGCCGCCGUUGUUGACUACGGGCUCUUGCUUUUUACUUUCGUUUGACGCAAUUGAAGAGAGCAAUCAGGCUUUCUCAUAUGCCUUGGAUUGGAGACAAUUAAGAAAAACAAAAAUUCCUUGCUCGUUUCUUCUGUUGUUGACCGAAAUUGAGAGAGCCAAUUCUCCGCGCAUGGCUUGUUCUCCGUCAAUAGAGAACUACCUUCUCAAUUCUAGUUAAGGUACAACUGAUGAUUUAGUUCAGCAGUUAUUGUGACAUGUAAAUUAUUUUAAUUAUUUUUUUUAUUUAUUAAUAUUUAUAUGUUUCCUGCUUUUAAUUAUUAUAGUUUUUGUGUAUGAUUAAUUAGUGCGUAAUAAUUGAUUAUUCAUAUAGGCUAUUUUAUUAAUUAGGGGUAAUUGAAUCCGUAAUUAUUCGAUUAUCUCCAUCUCAAUAGCAACUGGCGUAAUUGAAUUUAUGUCAGAUAAAUAUACGAUCUAAUUUAAACAAACCCUCGUAGCGUGUUUGUUAGUUAGAAUCAGGCUUUUCUAAAUCUUAAUGCAAGCCAGAAAUUAAAUUCUACGGUCGUAUCUAGAAUUGUUUUCGGGUUAGAGAAGUAGUUAACGGCCAUACCCUAAUUAUCGAUAAAUUAAGGAGAGGUUGGUUGUUUAUCGUGUGCAUGACAGCUAUAAUCAGUCUAUUAAUAAAUUGUGGAAUUAUUUGUGAAUCGAUGAUUAGUUGCAUGAACCAUUUCUGAAGUAUACCCUUGACUAGAGUUCUCCCAAUUACUUCUUUUAAUUAAUUAUUUUCUACAUUUAAUUUAUUUAGUUAGCAUUUAAUCCUGGAAACCCCUAUUUGUCUUAACUCGAAAGAAAACAAAUUUCUUCCCAGUCCCUGAAGAGACGACCCUGCUUGUCACUGUCUGCUAGUUAGUGAAUUUAGUCAGAUAAUUAAUUCUGGUAUAUCGGAUUAAGCAAAUUCUUCGGGAACAUGGUGAAUCAAGUAACCCAUUACACACCUAAAGUCCCUACUCUAGUAUUUAGAAUUGAUUAUUAACUAUUUUUUAUAGUAGUUAGGUUUUAUUAUUGUUAUUGCACAGGUUCGGCACCUGUCACAAAUACAUAUCCUUUGUUCUCAUUCGAGCCUCUACCUUUCAUUAUCCUGAUAUGCAAUUAGCAUGCAAAACCUCUGCAGUAUAAGAAGUCAAAUAGACAUUGCACAUUCAACAAGGAUGGAAAUGAUUUACCUCUGUAACUUCCCCCAUGGAUCCGCAAACACCUAAGGUCAUCUUUAGAAACAUCUUGAGUAAAGCCACUGAGGUAAACCUUUGAACCAUGAGGAGGAAGUGCAAGAAGAAGAAGCAACAACAAAAUAGCCACUGCCAUACCAAUUAAUAACAAAGAAACUCAGAAAAGCAACUUAUUUCAUCAUUACAAUCACUUAAACCCCGGGAAAGUAAGAAUGAUAAAAUGCUGGAAAAAAUGUACGGCACCUCAUCCACAGAGGUCUCUUGCCGACUUGUCCGAAAAAGGUGCUGAAUUUUUGGUUAACCAAACCAGAUGUGACAAAUCCCACAUUACCAAUACAUCCCUCAAAAAAAGCACAAACUCCAAAAUACAGUAGAGGCUCCAGAUGUAAAUAGGGACAGAGCAUAGUGCUAAAACCGUAACUUCAUCGAAUUUCUGAGCCCAACCACCAAAAUAGCAAGCCAACCUCUCCACUGUUCCUUAAGAAGGCCGCGUCCAGCACAUGAAGUUGCGUCCAACGCAUUUCUAGCCCAGCAAAUGAAGCCCCCGUGCAGGAGAAGACUACCAACGCCAUCUCAGCAUCCACAUCAUCAGCGGCAAAUCACUUGAUGCCACAUCAGCGGAUGACGAUAUCCUACGUGGCACCCGAUCUUCCACACUUAGGGGCUGCUUGUUUCACAGAUUGGAAUCGAAAAUGGGAAUGGAAUCAUAAACUCUGGUUUUGGAAUUAAACUUUUCAUUCCAAUAUCUAACUUGGUUCACACAUUGGAAUUAGUAUCAUUCUAAUUCCUGAUGCUUGGUUUGAUGAGUGUUUCAGAAUUAAAUGCAAUUAAAUUUCAAAUUUACCCCUGAUAUAACAAUUCUUAUAAAACAAAGGGAUAAUUGCAGAAACUGGUAGGUUUUAUAUUUAACAAAAAUAUGAGACUUUGUAGGUUUUGAAGUUUAAGGAAGGGAUAUUUGAAGUUUAACGACCGUUAUACAACUUUCAAAACAAACAAAUUCAUUCUAUUUUUUUUUGGAUAAUUUCAUAAACUAAAUCGCUGUCACUUUCACAAAAGUCAUAUUUUUCCAUAAAAGACCAGCUCUUUAUGGUUUUCCUCUAUUAUAAGAACAGAGUACCCAUUUUCCCAUAAACAAAUUUAUUUAUCGGAUAAAAUAAAAAUAAAUCCGUUUUCAAAUAAAAUACCAGCUCUUUAUGGCUUUCCUUCAUUAUAAGAAUAGAGUACCCAUUUUCCCAUAAAUAAAUUUAUUUAUCGGAUAAAAUAAAAAUAAACUCGUUCUCCAAUAAAACACCAGUUCUUUAUGAUUUUAGAAUGAAGGGUUACAAUCUUGCUGUCUCUAUCACCGUCAACUUUUGACUCCCUACUUCUUCCAUCCCACCCAACACCAGAACGAAAAAGAUUUCACAAAAGAUCAAACAUUGCAUGAAAUGAUCAACUAUAAAGCUUUAUUAAUAUGCCAACCUCAACUAUGUUCAAAUGCUAUACUGAGCAAGUUCUUAAUAUACAAAGAAUAAUUCGUACUAAAUCUCACAAUUAAUUCACAGCAAGUCAUCCUUCCUGCAUUGAACAAGACCCCUGAAGCGAAGAUCUUUGGAUUGAGGUUCUUAAUAUACUGAGCAGGUUCUUAAUAUACAAAAAACAAUUCAUACUAAAAUCUCACAAUUAAUUCACAGCAAGCCAUCCUUCCUGCACUGAACAAGACUCCUGAAGCGAAAAUCACAAACCCCUUGGAUUGGGUUGAGGGUUUUCUUCAAUUUUUCUUAGAGAUCUUUCUCGUGGAGAUCUUGUUGAACAAUUUGCCCACUGAAGAUUUUUGCCCACUAUUAAUUCAUUUAGAUCUACUUUAGAUCUUUUUUUUUUUCAAGAGAUUUUGGAUUACAGAUGAAAACUAUAUGAUGAAGAAGAAGAGAUAGGAAAACUGUGAGAGCCCGUAAAUUUUCUUAUUUUCUAGGCGAUACUUUAUUUAAUUGCACGCCUUUUAUGCAUUUUCUUUAUUAGAAAAAUUUUCUAAAUAAUUUUUAUGAGUAAAUAGAAUUUUCAAGUUAUUUUUCUAGUAUAAAUGAGUUUAUGAGAAUUUUGGAGCGUAUACUGGACGUGGGACCCACUAGGGCGAAAAGUUCGGAAAAAUUCGGCCAACUAGAUUAAAUUUUGGAUGCUGGAAUUAAUUUACCGGGUGUUAAGAGAUAAGUAGAGGAUGCUAAGUGGAUUGGUAUAAGAGAGACAAAAGUUAGGCAAGUCAUUAAAUGAGGUGACAAGUGUCACCAUAGGAUUGCUUCUUACAUAAGACCACUAUUUACCUUUCUAUUUGACCAAAUAAAUCACAAAAUUAACCAAAAAUUUCACCAUUUUGCUCUUCAUCUUGGCCGGCCCUCUCUCUCAAAAAGAAAGGAAGAAACUCUCCAAGUUCUUGAUUCCAUCUUGCUCCAAAUCAACAAAACAACCAUUUAAUCUUACUUUUGUUCCAUAGAAAACCUUAAGUGAGUGUUAGUGAGGUGUUAUGUGGAGUUAUUUGGAAAGCUAAGAGAACCAAUUGCUCUCUCUCUCUUGUUUCUAAGGUGAGUUAUGAAGAACCACUCUCCUUCUUCUAAUGAUGCUUAAAUCAUGAUUAGUGGUGGUAUAAGAUGCAAUAUUAUGGAUUACAUCUUGAUUUGUGGUUGAAUUAGUGAAGUUUUAUAUUUAUUGGUGAUUUUUCUGUUUUAAUAAGAACAUGAUUGUGUGGCUAUCUAUGAUGAUUGGAAAUGAUGUUUAAUGACUCUAGGAGGUGGAAAAAGUGAUUAAUUGCAACCAAUUUCUGGUUUGGAAGAAAUUUCAGAAAGUUAGGGUUUUAUUGGGAACAUUCUGCCCGAUUUUGUAGCUCAUGGUUAGAGGCCGAAUUGGCCUUGGUUUAAAACAUGAAAGUUGUAGGGAAUGACAUUUUAGAGGUGCCUGCAAAAUUUCAGGUCAAUCAGAGUAGCGUAACUUGAGAAAAGUCGAAAUUACCCUUGCUGUCCUGGUUUUACCCGAAAUUGGGAAUUGCUUCUGUAAUGGGUUAUUUUGGUUGAGAAUGCUUCCGAAUCGGUUGUUGAGGUCUUCUGAUUAAAUGUAGCCCUGUUCCUUAGCUUUCGGAUGGCUUUGAAAUUUCGGGAGUUGGACUUAAGUAGGCUGAUUUAUGCUGUUUGCAGCAGAAUGUGGUUUGUGAAUCUAUUUUUACGGUUCUAGUGUAGUAUCUUGCAUUUUUGACCUGUUUGCGUUCGGAACUGGGCUGAGUGACCUUCUUCAAUAUUGUAGCCCUAUUUCUGAGCUUCGAAACGGUGGAUCUUUCACCUUCAUUCGAUAAUUGUAGUGCCUUUGGUGCCAUUACCGCAAAAUGAUGUCAAAAACUGUUUUUCUGGUUUUGAGUUUAACUUUCAUUUCCGGACUUUUUCCUAGUUUGAAUUGUACUUGUACUACUUGGAGCUUACUGAAUGGCUAUUGAAUGAGCUUAUUUUGUGUGUGCUUUUGGGAGUGAUUGAGGAAAACAAAAGAAGCCUUGAUGGCUGGAAAAGUAAAGAGAGACAAGGGGAAGUGCUGUCCAAAUGUUUGUAGGAGUUUCGGUGCAGUCUCGGGAGAUUUGCUAUAUAUUGAUGUAGAAAUGUCGGAAUUGAGUUCCGUUUGUUGCGUUUUAAACUAGAUUCAUAGGGCUAUAAACCGUGAGAAUUUUAGAUCUUGUUUCUAUUUGUCCAAUUUAUGGUGAUUUUUCAAAGUUGACUGAAAUCUUGUACCUGUUCUGUCCUCCACUGGAUAAAGCAGCAACUUGCGACUUGAAUUCGACUGACUUACGUUCUGAACCUUACAAUAGUGUUUUCUGGAAAGUUAUAGCCCUUUGAAUGUAUUUUCAACGGUAUAAUUUUUAUUAAUUUUGAACUUACAAAACUUGAGAUAUGAUUUUUCAUAUAAGGUCGCGCGGAACUGGAAAAAUUCUGUUUUCCCUAGUAUUGACCUUGCUUUCAUUAUCUACUUCAAAUUUGGAUUUGGUCAGUCAUUGUAGGAAGGGCUUUGAGGUUGUUCAUGCUUUUAAGACUAAUUGUUACCUUUUCACUCCGAGGUCACCUCUUUGCUUUGCAUUAAUGGUUCUUUUGACUAGGCAUAUGACUCGUAACCGAGUCUCACUUGCGAAUUUCAUACUCGGUCUUGGAGUCGAGUCUUAAGUGUUUGCCUUGAUUGUUCUAGGAGGUAACGACGAGUGAAGCCACACUUGGGAAGGAAACUUUUGAAAUUAUCCUUGUUUGAUCAGGUGAGUGUACCACUCCCUUGCAUUGUUGCUAUGUGAGUUAUCUGUGUAGACAAAGAAAAUUUAUUUAAUUUAUUUAGUCAAGAUUUAUUUAAAUUAAAUUGAUCUUGAUUAAAUUAAAUUAAAUGAUAAAAGUUCAUUAUGUUUUGAACUUGCAAAUUGGGCCAGUAUUAUAUGGGCUAUUAAAUCAAAUUAAAAUUGUAAUGCCCAUUUAAGUUAAAGUGAAUUAAUUGAUCUAUUAAUUUACAAUGGACUAUUUGGGUUGGCCCAUUAUUUAAACCCAAGUUAAAUGGAUUUAUUGAGUAACAAGUGAUCCAAAAUGCAGGAAGAUUCUGAGGGUUUUCUUGAAGAUUUAGCCUACAUAUUUUGGCUAUAAAUAAAGGUCUUCCCCCAAGGCAAAGACAUAAGAAAAAUCCCUAACUUUCGAAGAAACUCUGUCAAAUUUUCUCAAGAGCUUUCUUCCUCAAAUCCAAGUCCAAUUCAAAUCAAACAAAUCCUCCUGCUAUCGGUGUUGAAGACUUGAAGUUCCAAGUGUUUGACGCCAUCAUCAAAUCAAUUGUUUUCUAAGCCAAAAUUGUAGGAAACACCAUUUCGAUUGGAGAACAAGUCUUGUCGGCCCUUCAAUUGAAGCUAUUCGAAGAAAAGAAUCAGGGGAUUAAUUUCUUUGAUUCAAUAACUUUCAGAGAUUGUAACCCGCUUAUUAUUUGAUUUAAUCAAUUUGAUAUUUGUGCAAGUUUUCUUGUCUUUUAUUUUAGGCAACAAAAUUUGUGUUUACAAAUUUCUGGCACGCCCGGUGGGACAAUCUCUGCCUCUCAUCUCUUUUCUUCCAACAACUUACCAAUUUCAAAAUUCAAUGGAGUUCAAGAAGGUGAACUUUUCUCUUGAAGGCUUAGUUGCUGAUGUCUCAACCACUCAAGAGACGCAGUAUACUGCACCUCUGACAAGGAGUAAGGCAAAGAAGUUAGCAGAGAAGGCCAAGGCGAACGUUGUGACUGAAGAAGCAAACCUCAAGAUGCUUCCCAAUAAGAAAGGAGCUCAUGAUGAAUCUAUUGAUUGCCCAAGUGAUUCGGCUGCCUCUGUGGUGAUGCCCGUCAUGAUGACCAAUACCACAACUGUGGAAGACCAGAUUUCAAAUCUAGCCAAAAUUGUCGAAGGGCUAGUAGUGCAUGCACAAAGUCAAGAUGCCAAAAUAGUCAAAUUAAUGACUAUGGUGAAAAAUAUAGGCGAAAAUAGCCUUAGUAUGUCCAAACAGAAAUCCAAAGUGCAAGAUGAAGGUGACUCAUCAUCAAGGGAGAAGGAAAAAGAGGAUGCGAAGUCACAAGUCGCGAUGGAAUUUUCGAUCUCCCCUGAUGGCACCAUUCAUGUUGACAAUCUGAAGGAAUUUAUCGAAGGCACAAUUAAGGACAAGAUUGGUGGAGGUGCCAAGUCAUAUAGUGGUUACACCAAACCUUACACUGCUAGAGUGGAAAGUUUGAAAAUGCCUGUGGGGUAUCAAUCUCCAAAAUUUCAACAAUUUGAUGGCAAGGGCAACCCUAAGCAACAUAUAUCACACUUCGUGGAAACUUGUAACAAUGCGGGCACUGAUGGUGACUUGCUCGUUAAGCAGUUUGUUCGUUCGCUGAAGGGUAAUUCCUUUGAUUGGUACACGGAUCUGGAGUCUGGAACCAUUGACAGUUGGGAGCAGCUAGAGCAUGAAUUCCUUAGUCGCUUCUAUAGCACAAAGAGAACUGUCAACAUGGCUGAACUCUCUAAUACACGUCAAUGGAAGAGUGAACCUGUCAUUGAUUUUAUCGACCGUUGGAGGAAUCUAAGCUUAAAUUGCAAAGAUCGAAUUUCUGAAUCUUCCGCGAUCGAGAUAUGCAUUCAAGGUAUGCACUGGGGACUCAGAUACAUCUUACAAGGUGUACAACCAGAAACAUUUGAUGAAUUGUCCACAAAAGCCCAUAAGUUGGAGAUUAAUCUUCAUGGACAAGAACCGCCAGUUCCUGACCCUUACAAGGCCAAAGAGAGACAAGAAGCGAGGAAAGGGGGCAAGCCACCAUUUAAAAAUGAAAAGAAGGAGGCUAUGAUUACAAGUGUAACGCCCUUUAAGGUUGUUCCCAAAACUGUCAGGAGAGAAGACAGCAAGAUCAAUGCACAUCAAGAACAAGGAAAGAGGAAACCAACUCUCAAGGAGAUGCAGGAUAAGGAGUACCCUUUCCUUGAUUCUGAUGUCCCUGGUAUGUUUGACGAUCUGUUAAGUAUAAACUUGAUCACGCUUCCUGAGAUGAAGCGACCUGAUGAGGUUAGGAACACUGACGAUCCAAAUUACUGUAAGUAUCACCGAUUGGUCGGGCAUCCCAUUCAAAAAUGCUUUGUCUUCAAAGACAAAGUAAUGGAGUUGGCAAGACAGGGAAAAAUUCUCCUUGAAGAAGACAAGGCGAGUGUGAAUCAAACGUCCAUUGGUUCCCUGCAGUCCAUGGAGGAUAAAAAGGUCAUGGUGCCUGUAUUGCCAAUAAUUCAAUUUGGAUCGCUUGAUCCUAUAGAAAUCAAACAAGAAGGUGCUCCUUCAACUCUUCAGGAACAUGUAUAUGAAGAUGAAAAGGCGCUACAGUCUGAUGUGGAUGAUGAAGGAUGGACUCUAGUAACGCGAAGAAGGAGGCGGAAGUCUUGUCCAUCUAGUAGGGCAAGCAAGGUCUUAACAAGAAGUAUGGUGAUUUGGAAGGGGAAAGAGAAAGACGUAAAGGAAACUAAUGAUUAUCAUAAUCUUCAAGGAGGCCGAAUCUUCAAGCAAAAGUCGCGAAUUCCUAUCACUUUAAAAGAAUUUUUGCCAAAGGAAUUCUUUGAUGUUGAUGUGGUCGCAAGUCACACAACGCGAGUAGAUCAUAUCGAGGAACAAAAAGAUAAUACUUGCGAAUCUUUCUGUGAGAUGGCCCGUGCGUCCACCGGCAAUGAAGAAGGUUGUGUGCCUACCAGCAAUGAAGAGGUAAACGUCACAAGUAUCACUUUUACUAGUGAAGACUUGUUGCUUGGGUCAACACCGCAUAACCUCCUUUGUUUGUGACUGGUUAUGCAAAGGAGCAAAAAGUGAAUAGAAUGUUGAUAGAUGGAGGUUCCACAGUCAAUAUUCUCCCUUUAAAAACUCUGAAAGACCUUGGUAUCCCGGUUGAUGAACUCUCCAAUAGCCGACUGAUGAUUCAAGGCUUCAAUCAAAGAGGGCAAAGAGCUCUUGGAUCAUUAAAUUUGGAGAUAGCCAUUGAUGACAUGACGUCCAGAGCACUAUUGUAUGUGAUAGAUGCUAAAACAACAUACAAUGUAUUGUUGGGAAGGCCAUGGAUUCAUGAAAAUGGAGUUGUACCUUCAACUCUUCAUCAAUGCUUCAAGUACUGUCAAAACGGGGUGGCAAGAAGUGUGAAAGCUGAUGAGAAUCCUUUCACUGAGGCGGAAGCAUAUAUCGCCGAUGCCAAAUUUUACAUCAAAAGGCACAUUGCGAAGGAUAAAACUGAACAAUCUCUAUCUGGGGAUAAAAUCCAGAACCCCGAAUCUCCAAAUGCAAAAGGGGAGAAAGUGAUGACUUCGAAAUCAAAAGAGGAAGUUCAUGAAGAAACUGAUGUUUCAUUGCCAAACAAUGAAUCAGUUGUCUUUCGCUGCCCUCCCAAAUCAAGAAUGGAACAGGGACAGUCACCUGUAAUUCAGCAUGAAACUCUAAAAGAUUUGACUCUUCCGGUAGCUCAUCUUGAUACAAAAAAGGCGUCAUCUUCUCAACUUAAAAGGUCUAACUUUUUAAGCAAAGAAUCUGAAGUUGAACAAGACACCAUACCAAAGUCAAGAACUAAAGAAGGUUUUGAUCCUAUCGCUUAUAAGCUUCUCGCUAAGGCUGGAUACGAUCUCAAAGAAUCUGCGGUAUUAAAUGUUUCAUCCCGUCAAUCUACCAGUGACAUGAUUCAUGGGUUGAAUCCUACCCAAAAGAUGUUGAAGGAAAAGGGAUACGCCGUUGAAAAUCCCAAAUUUGGCCUUGGCUACUCCUCUCCUACACCAAUCCGCAUCAAGAUCAAUAGAGUUAGUAGCCAAUAUAUUGCUAUAGAGGAUGAGUCUUCUCAAAUAGUUGGUAAAUCUCAAGUUUUUCACGAAAAUGAGAAUAAAAUUUCACGGGUAUCUGUUUUUAAGAGAUUAGGACCACAAAAAAGACAAAACUCUCAAAACUCUCAUAAGAGUAAAGGAAAAAUGGCGAAGUCAUUGCAAAAUCUUGAAGAACCUUCUGAUUGUCCUCAUAAAUUUGGUAGCAUCAUUCCUUCGAGAAUGAGAAGAUGCACAGACCUUGUAAUAAAGUGUGGGACUGAAUUGAGGGUCAGGGAGCAUACCGUGGUGUACACAAGACCAAAAGAGGAUGAUGAAGAGAGUGUUGCUUCAUGCAAUCAUAUAAUCAUAAUUGACGGUGACUCGCCUGAAGAAGAAGAAGAUGCUGAAGACGCUCCACCUGAAUUAGAGGAAGGUGUUAAGGCUACUGUGGAUGAUCUAAAGGAGAUCAAUCUUGGUACUUCAGAGGACCCGCGUCCAAUAUACAUAAGUGCUUCACUGAGUCCUGACGAAGAGAAGGCAUAUAUUGAACUCCAAAGUGACCGUCCACCAUUUGACUGUUAAAAAGGGAGUUCGACCUGUGAAGCAAGCACAACGGCGAUUUAGACCUGAUUUGAUUCCGUUGAUCGAAAUGGAAGUCAAUAAACUCAUUGAGGCUGGGUUUAUUCGUGAAGUUAAAUAUUCCACAUGGAUUUCGAGUAUCGUGCCUGUGCGAAAGAAAAAUGGACAAAUCCGCAUCUGCGUCGAUUUCAGGGAUGUUAACAAUGCUUGUCCCAAAGAUGACUUUCCUUUACCGAUCAGUGAACUCAUGAUUGAUGCAACUACUGGGCAUGAAGUUCUGUCAUUUAUGGAUAUAAUCAAAUUCGAUUGGCACCGGAGGAUGAGGAGCUCACUGCAUUUCGUACUCCUAAGGGUAUUUAUUGUUAUAAAGUGAUGCCCUUUGGUCUCAAAAAUGCUGGUGCCACAUAUCAAAGAGCAAUGCAAAGUAUCUUUGACGACAUGCUUCAUAAGAAUAUCGAAUGUUAUGUGGAUGAUUUAGUUGUGAAAUCAAAGAAAAGAAGUAAUCACUUGGUGGAUUUGAGACAAGUUUUCGAUCGGUUGAGAAGGUAUCAACUCAAAAUGAACCCUCUCAAGUGUGCAUUUGGAGUCACGUCGGGGAAAUUUCUUGGUUUUGUGGUUCGCCAUCGAGGCAUUGAAAUUGAUCAGGCCAAAAUUGAUGCUAUAUUGAGGAUGCCUGAACCUCGUGACAUUCAUGAAUUGAAAAGUCUUCAAGGGCGAUUAGCUUAUCUAAGGAGAUUUAUCUCAAAUUUAGCAGGAAGGUGUCAACCAUUUAGUCGCUUGGUGAAGAAAGAUGUGCCAUUUCAAUGGGAUGAGGCAUGUAGUAAUGCAUUCAAUAGCAUUAAAUCUUAUCUUAUGAAAGCACCUGUGUUGGCUGCACCUAUUCAUGGAAAGCCAUUACUCCUUUAUAUUGCUGCCCAAGAACGGUCGGUGGGGGCAUUGCUCGCUCAAGAAAAUAAUGAAGGAAAGGAGGUUGCCCUUUAUUAUUUAAGCAGAAUGAUGACCCCCAACGAACUAAACUACUCGCCAAUUGAAAAGUUCUGUUUAGCCCUUAUUUUUGCAAUACAGAAGUUAAAGCACUACUUUCAAGCGCAUAGUGUGAGGUUCAUUUCCAGGGCGAAUCCUAUAAAAUAUGUGAUGAGCAGGCCAGUGCUGUCUGACCGUCUAGCUAGAUGGUAUCUUCAGCUACAACAGUUUGAGAUUAUUUAUGUGCCUCAGAAAACUGUGAAAGGACAAGUUCUGGCGAAUUUUUUUGCUGAUCACCCUAUACCUGCUGAAUGGGAGUUAAGUGAUGGACUACCAGAUGAGGAUGUACUCCUUAUUGAGAUUCGCCCACCAUGAAAAAUGUAUUUUGAUGGUGCUGCUCAUCGUCAUGGGGUUGGAGCGGGGAUUGUAUUUAUAACUCCUGAUGGAGGGAUAUUGCUAUACUCUUUUACUCUAAGUCAACAUUGUUCAAACAAUGUCGCUGAGUACCAGGCUCUCAUACUCGGACUUGAAAUAGCUGUCGACAUGGAACAGUUGGACAUUCAAAUCUAUGGUGAUUCUCUAUUGGUGGUCAACCAGCUCUUGGGGAGUUAUGAAGUCAAAAAGUCCGAAUUAAUUCCAUAUCACAAAUAUGCAGCGCGACUUAUGAAGCGGCUUGGAGAUGCAAGUAUUAAGCAUGUUCCUAGAAGGGAAAAUAAGCAAGUUGAUGCAUUAGCUGUGCUAGCCUCUUCACUUGCCAUGCCGGAUCAUGAGAUACAAGUUCGUGUAUGCCAAAAGUGGGUAGUUCCAUCACUAAUUGAUGAUAAAGAUAUUGAAGAAGGCGACGCUCAUGUGGUCUCAACCUAUGAAAUUGACAAAGAAGAUUGGAGACAACCCCUCGUUGAUUAUCUCAAAUAUCAAAAAUUACCUGAGGAGCAACGUAGGAGAACUGACAUCCGUCGUCGUGCCCCUCGUUUUAUCUUGUACAAGGACACGCUGUACCGAAAAUCAUUUAAAGGUGUACUGUUGCGCUGUCUGAGCGAAGACGAGACAUAUCGGGCGAUGCACGAGGCACAUUCUGGAAUAUGUAGAACUCACCAAUCCGGUCCCAAGUUGUAUUUUCGGAUUAAAAGGAUGGGCUACUAUUGGCCUACUAUGGUCAAAGAUUGCAUAGAAUAUGCUCAAAGAUGUCAAGCUUGCCAGUUUCAUGCAAAUUACAUUCAUCAAUCACCUGAGCCGUUACACCCGACCGUUGUUUCUUGGCCUUUUGAUGCUUGGGGCCUUGAUGUUGUGGGGCCAUUACCAAAGUCGUCCGGUCAACACUUAUAUAUAUUGGCUGCGACCGACUACUUUUCUAAGUGGGCUGAAGCCAUACCGCUUAAGCAAGUUAGAAAGGAAGAUGUGGUGAAUUUUAUUCGUGUGAAUAUUAUUUACCGUUAUGGAGUUCCCCGAUAAAUUAUCACUGAUAAUGGAAAAUCCUUCUCCAAUGGCUUGAUGGAUAAGUUAUGUGAGAAAUUUAAUCUCAAGCAACGCAAGUCCUCCAUGUAUAAUGCCCCCGCCAAUGGUCUCGCAGAGGCAUUCAACAAAACUUUAUGUAACUUGUUGAAGAAAGUGGUGGCAAAGUCAAAGAAGGAUUGGCACGAAAGGAUAGGCGAAACUCUUUGGGCCUAUCGCACCACAUACCGAACUCCGACGCAAACCACGCCAUAUGCCUUGGUCUAUGGUGUAGAAGCUGUUCUGCCCCUUGAGCAACAAAUUCCUUCUUUGAGAAUUGCUAUCCAAGAAGGGCUCAUGGAGGAAGAAAAUGUUCGCCUGCGCCUUGCAGAAUUGGAAGCUUUGGAUGAAAAGAGAUUGGAGGCCCAACAAAAUCUGGAGUGCUAUCAAGCCCGUCUUUCUAGAGCUUUUAAUAAGAAAGUUCGACGUCGCUCCUUUCAAGUCGGGGACAUGGUACUUGCCGUUCGAAAGCCAAUAGUUAUGACUCAUCGCACUAAAGACAAAUUCGUUUCUAAAUGGGAUGGGCCGUACAUUGUUCGAAAAAUCUACACGAAUGGUGCGUACAAAUUGGUGGACAAAGAUGGCGUGAAAAUUGGUCCUAUAAAUGGGAAAUUCGUGAAGCUAUACAUGCCAUAAAAAAAAGUGAAGUACUCCACGACGCAUGAGUCUAAACUGCCUGUUGCUCCAGACCCGCAUGAGCUAAAACUGUGGAUAACAACCACCAAUAGUGUAGCACGUGGUUAAACUGCUGAAACACUCCACCAAAUCUAAGGUGGUAAACAAAAGGAUACUCCUGACCCGCAAGAGUUUAAAUUGUGAACGGUAGGAACUACGUGUGACUUGAUUCCAUUUUGGGAUACGUAGGCAGCUUAGAGGACAACUUCUAAGUUCAGUUACAACCCUAUAAAGCUAAAGUCUUUGUCCGGAUGAUUCUUUUGAUAAAAAAAAAACAUUCAUCUUUAGGACAAUUCAAAUUAUUUUGUGACAUAUACUUGAAAGUGUAUUAUUCAGAUUACCAAAUUAUUUGGAUAAUUACCUUUUCAAGUGUAUUCAAAGUUAUGCAAAGAUGGAAUUGUUCAUACUACGAUUGAUAGCCUAAAACAGUGGCUAUUGAAGGAGCAAGUAAAGACGAGGAUGUCUACAAGAAUGUGAUGAAAAGGAACAAAAAAUCAAGUUUCAUUAUGAAGUGCUUGUACUCAUAGUUACACGCUUUGAGCAAUUAACAAAAGAUGAAAUUUGAAACAAAGUAAAAGAUUGCAACUAUUCCUAAAAUUCAAAUGAGGACAGCUCCUUUCGGUUGUUUUCAAGUAAUGUUUGCAUCUUGUCCAAAGUUUGGCCCUCCUCAGCAAGUAGGGGCGGGGAAUUCUCAAUCUUUCGAACUUCGUUUUGUAAGUCGACCAUCACGCCUUGCACUCGGGUAAGAUCAUCUUGCUCUUCUCGUAACAGUGAAAGCGUCUCCUUCCUGUGAGUAUCCAAGAACUCAAGUCGUUUCCUCAACUCUAUUUCCUCGCGAUCGAUUUCCUUAAGAUUCAACAUGUGUGUUGAGAUUUUCUCCGCCUAUUGUCUCUCCUUACUCUGAGCGUUUCUAAGAUGUUGGGUGGCCGUAGAAAGCAACUCAUCAUAUGAUUCAGCUGAAAUUUUAUUUGAGAGAGAAGAUUUCACUGCAACGUAACGAGCUGCAUGUGCAAAGAAAGCCUUUAAAAGGCCUUGCAAAUUUGAGAUAUCCGUGGCAUUGAAGCUUUGCAUUUCCUCCAUGAUCUCGUUGGCUUUCAUUUCAAGAGCUGGCAUGCGCUCCAAGGCUGUUUGAGAUAUCAUCACCCUCAAGUUAUUCCAUAACAUUUGGAUGUAGUCUCGACGGCAUGUUGAGAUCACAUUUUGGGGGCAAAAUUCAGAUACUCGAGGGGCCCUUGGCCACGAUGGUGGAUAAAAAACUUUGAGUUUCCUUUUGGCCGAUGGAGUCAUAUGCUCCGCCUUCUGUGCCAUGAUUUGUUGAGUCACAUUUUCAUCAUCUACUGCCUUUUUGGAAUUCUCACUAGCACCCUUUUGUUGGGUAGAACCGACCACUUGUUUGGCCAAAAGUUCAAAUGCAGUAGGUCCUUCAACUGAUACUUGACUUGGUUCUCCAUCAUCAAUGAAAAUCAAGUCUUGAUCAUCCAACUAUAGGGAAAGUGUUGUGAGACAAAUCAUGAAUAUGAAUUAAUAAGCAAAUUUCAAAUGCUAGAUUAAAGAAGGCAAGGAGAGUCCUUACAAUAUUGGCACGGCUUAUACCAGGCACAGAUAUAUCCGGAAUGUCUUUAAAGAGUUCUUUGGGAUCUAAACCAAUAUCAUCCAAGGGGAAAGUCAUUACCUUGGACUUCUUGCGCUUCCAAUGUUGGUCCGUGCUGGUGGAUUGCUCAUCCUCCUCAUUAAAAGGCUCGCUCCUCUUCUUCUCAUGUGAAUUGCAAGAAUCAUGAUCAAUAGCUUUCACAAUGUUUGAAGGAAGAUGAAAUGAAGUACUCUUCAAAAAUUUCUCAUUAGGAGUAAGGUCCUCAGGGGUAGUGGUCUUGUUGUUUGAACUCUUCAAAAUUUCCUUCUUACUUCUCAUAGUCUUUUGCUUCAUUUCAAGACUAUUGCCAACCUUGGAAGGAUGGUUCAGGUUUGCAAGUUCCUUCCCUUUCAACUUCUUCUGAUCCCCAUUUGAUUGGACACUCUUAAUCAAAGCAUCACGCCCUUUGAGGAGAUGAUCAUUAUGCACCAUAACCCACCAUGUUUGAAAGCCUGAAGAUGUGUGUUUGCUAGCAUUCAAGGGAUAGCUAGGGAAAAGUACCUUUGACUCUGUUUUACUGCGAAUGGCAGUGCGCCAGAGUAUUCGACUCAAGUCAUGACUUGUGGAACGAACAUCUGCUCCGAGUUCCUGUGGAAGAACUUGAUAAAAUCCGAAUUGUCGCGCGAAUCUGUAUGGACUGUAUGGCUCAACAAGGAAAUCCCCUUCAGCAUGCGAAACUAAGUAAUUUGAGCAGACGCUUACAAAAUAGCUUAGUUCGAGAUUCGCUAAUUUGCCAUUGUCAAAAAAAAAUUCAUUGCGGUUAUUCACAAGAGAAGUAAUUCCCCAAGUUGCUUUGUCUCCCUGAUGAAUGAGGUCGCGAGCACUAUUUUCAUCAAAAUAUCGUGCACCACCCUCUCCAAAAAAGUUGGUCAUGGUGGGUCCAGGCAUGGUAUUGGGAGUCGAAUAAUGGGUGGAGAAAUAACUCGCUAACCAAGCAUAUACAUAGUGCACCGGAAAAGUCGAGCGUGCACAUCCUGGGAUAGCUGAGUUUGAAAUUUUAUCAAGCCCACGGUAUAUGUUUAGCAGGACAGGAACAGCAAGGCAAGUCUUACGACCGGCAGCCAUCAUACUAGCCAUUUUAAAAGUAGAUGGUCUAAUAUAAUGGAGGUCCUCAUCAGGUAAAGCAAAGACACAGAGCCAACAAGAUAUAAAUGCUGCAAGAUAGGUCUCUUCCCGCAAGUGAAGUUUAACUCCGAUGGUGUCAAAUACGCCAUUGUCUUGACUUGAAAAUUUGCGUGGUUGUCCAAUUUCGCCAUCCGGAUUUUGGGUCGCUUGAGCACGAGAUGCCCUCUUUAUCCUUCUCUGCUUUGGCUUUGAGUACCUGCUUUUGCCUUUAAACUAGAACUUAAUCCAUUGGGCAGCAGAAACUCCAGUUUUGUUGAAUUCUCCAUGUUGAAGAUGAUGUAAGGCUGCGAACAAAUACUCACAGCUUUGUGGAAUAUGCCUUAAUUUCUUUUCAUUUACUCUAGUCAACUCCUUCGCGCAUGGAAUUACCUCUUCAUAGAUACCCUCGACGAUUGGAAGUCCUCCUAACUUGUGCAAGUCCCAAAGUGAGAGAGACAAUUCCCCGACAGAUGUAUGCAAGGUAUUAGUAUCCGAACACCACGCCUCGCAGAAUGCCCUAAGUACAUGGGGAUUCCUGUCAUAUGUGAAAAAUGAAGCAUAUAAGGCGUCAAACAAAUAAUUUUCACGGAGCACUCGUUUGCUUCUGCCGAGGAUAUCCUCCAACCACUCCCAGUAAUUCUCGAUGUAACCAAAUGCACCAUUGAGUCUCAAGGAAGGACCCCAGUGUGCAUCUCCGUCUAUGAUCCGCCUGCCAAGGGUCUGAAAGGGAGUUGUCCUUGGCUCCUUACUGUGAAUAAGGGAUCUCAAGGAGUGGACUUUCGUGCCGUCAUCCUGAGAAAGUUCAAGUGACCAGUCCUUCAAUUCUGGGUACUGGUGAGAAGGCCACUUACCAGAGUAAGUUCCUUGUACGGGGGGAUGCACUAAUAAUUUUGUUCCUUUGUCACCAGAGUCACCAUCACUGUCAACGAUAAGGAGAUACUUUUCAUUUGAAGAUGUGACUUCCUUGAAUACCACCAUUGUAUCAAGACUAACUUGCAACAAAAGCAAGAAAAAAGGAAAGUUUGGUUAAAAUGACAUGGUCGAAAACAGUAAAAGGCUUCUUGAAUUUUGAGUGAGUUUUUAUUGAAGUGGGUAAUCGUGUCUCCUUCAUGUACUCCUCAAGCCAUAAUACGGCUCUCGUGGGAGUUUGCGGUUGCGUCUUCUUCAAAUUGAGUGGUCACACUCUCCUUCAUGUACUCCUCAAGCUAUAAUAUGGCUCUCGUGGGAGUUUGCGGUUGCGCCUUCUUCAAAUUUUGGUUACGCCAUCUCUUUUGUACUCCUCAAGCCAUAAUAUGGCUCUCGUGGGAGUUUGCAGUUGCGCCUUUUUCAAAUUGAGUGGUCACACUCUCCUUCAUGUACUCCUCAAGCCAUAAUAUGGCUCUCGUGGGAGUUUGCGGUUGCGCCUUCUUCAAAUUUUGGUUGCGCCAUCUCUUUUGUACUCCUCAAGCCAUAAUAUGGCUCUCGUGGAAGUUUGCGGUUGCGCCUUCUUCAAAUUGAGUGGUCACACUCUCCUUCAUGUACUCCUCAAGCCAUAAUAUGGCUCUCGUGGGAGUUUGCGGUUGCGCCUUCUUCAAAUUUUGGUUGCGCCAUCUCUUUUGUACUCCUCAAGCCAUAAUACGGCUCUCGUGGGAGUUUGCGGUUGCACCUUCUUCAAAUUGAGUGGUCACACCCCCCCUUCAUGUACUCCUCAAGCCAUAAUACGGUUCUCGUGGGAGUUUGCGGUUGCACCUUCUUCAAAUUAAGUGUCCACCAAGAGAUCCUCCCUUCGUGGCGGAAAAAAAAAAAAGGGCAUUGACAAGAGGUGAAAAUCAUGAGGCAUGUGAGUUACCUUAGUGUUGUGAAUUUCACGAGCUAUAAAGUGCCAAACACAAUUGGAACGUCAACUCGCUUCAGUGGGUGUCAAUACAAGCUGUAAAAAAAAAAAAAAAAAAAAAAAAUAAAAAAAACUCAUAAGAAGGAUGCUUUUCCAAGAAAGUCGCAAUGCAUGUGUUGGUGAGCACUUUAUGUCAGUUAUCAAUUAAAUUGACAUGAAAAGCAAAAGGCAAGAAAAAAAAAACUCGAAAAAAAAAAUAUUUUUUUUCCUCUUUCCAAGGUGGAAAUAAAUCAAGUUUUGACAGAUCACAAUGAAAUUUGGUGGACAUCUAUUACUCGACCAACAUGUAGUUGUCAAAAGGCAGUAAAGAUGAUUACCUUCAGGGUGCAUGUGUGAAACAGGUUUCUUCCUCAAAUAUUGUGGUAGUCUUCAGUAAAGAUGUUUGUCACAGCUUCAAGACAAAAACAUGUCUUGUGCGGCUUUUAUAAGGUACUUGGAUGAAUCAUUUUAAGAAGUUUUAAAUUUUGGGCAACUACUAAAUUCGGUGAUUACCAUUUAACUUUUUGGAAUCACAUGAAUUUGAUUCCUAAGAUUAACUUCAAAAGCUGAAAGUCGGUUUAGGAAGUUCUUGAAAUUCGGCAGUCAGAGGUGCUUGGAUGAAUCAUUUUAAGAAGUUUUAAAUUUCGGCUGCUACUAAAUUCAGUGAUUACCAUUUAACUUUUUGGAAUCACAUGAAUUUGGUUCCUAAGAUUAACUUCAAAAGCUGAAGGUCGGUUUAGGAAGCUCUUGAAAUUCGGCAGUCAGAGGUGCUUGGAUGAAUCAUUUUAAGAAGUGUUAAACUUCGGGCAGCUACUAAAUUCAGUGAUUACCAUUUAAUUUUUUGGAAUCACAUGAAUUUGGUUCCUAAAAUCAAUUUCCAAAAACUGGAAGUCAGUUUAGGAAGCUAUCGAAAUUCGAGAAAUUCCAUAUUGUCAAGACAUUGGUUUCGGCAAUUACCUAUUCAUUGUAUGGAGUAAAGCUGCAACUCCAUAUGGAAGAGGAAGGUACAGGUCUGUUUGCAAGGAGAGAAUACUAUAUUAAUGCCUGGUGUUCUAGAAACUUGGAGUAUUUGGCUAUUGCUAUGAUUUCUCGGUUAUUACUACUUCCAAAAGUUGCUCGCAUGAACUUUAGGAAGCAAUGACGUUUUGGUAAUUGCAAAGUCAAGGUAAAUUGGUUAUUUCCAAAGUUGCUUGGCUGCCAUUGUUCUUGUAAGUCGCACCAAUGGACCUUGAGCGUAUUUUGGACAAUGCAAUUGGUUUUGCCAUUCCCAAGUUGCUGAAUAAUAAAAAAAAAAGAAGAAGAAAUCAAAGUUAACUUCAAGCCUCGUUUCGGCAAUUGUCAAGCAAUGCCACACCAAGUCUUGAAGUGGGGGCAUUUGUAGACAAAUAAAAUUUAUUUAAUUUAUUUAGUCAAGAUUUAUUUAAAUUAAAUUGAUCUUGAUUAAAUUAAAUUAAAUGAUAAAAGUUCAUUAUGUUUUGAACUUGCAAAUUGGGCCAGUAUUAUAUGGGCUAUUAAAUCAAGUUAAAAUUGUAAUGCCCAUUUAAGUUAAAGUGAAUUAAUUGAUCUAUUAAUUUACAAUGGACUAUUUGGGCUGGCCCAUUAUUUAAGCCCAAGUUAAAUGGAUUUAUUGAGUAACAAGUGAUCCAAAAUGCAGGAAGAUUCUGAGGGUUUUCUUGAAGAUUUAGCCUACAUAUUUUGGCUAUAAAUAAAGGUCUUCCCCCAAGGCAAAGACAUAAGAAAAAUCCCUAACUUUCGAAGAAACUCUGUCAAAUUUUCUCAAGAGCUUUCUUCCUCAAAUCCAAGUCCAAUUCAAAUCAAACAAAUCCUCUUGCUAUCGGUGUUGAAGACUUGAAGUUCCAAGUGUUUGACGCCAUCAUCAAAUCAAUUGUUUUCUACGCCAAAAUUGUAGGAAACACCAUUUCGAUUGGAGAACAAGUCUUGUCGGCCCUUCAAUUGAAGUUAUUCGAAGAAAAGAAUCAGGGAAUUAAUUUCUUUGAUUCAAGAACUUUCAGAGAUUGUAACCCGGUUAUUAUUUGAUUUAAUCAAUUUGAUAUUUGUGCAAGUUUUCUUGUCUUUUAUUUUAGGCAACAAAAUUUGUGCUUACAAUCUGUACUUGAAAUCUAUGACAUGAAUAAUUAAGAAUCUUGUUUAGUUUGAUGGAGACGAGGGUGUACUUUAUCACACUCGUUCUCUUGCCUGUGUGGUACAAACUGAAAUCUAGUACUUGUACUUGUUAUGAAGUUGAGCCUGUUACCUGUACUUGUUAUAAUGUCGUUUGGAAGUGUGUCCAACGACCUUCUUGUUAAACCUGAGUUCAACCUCACGGGGAGUUAAUUAAAUCGAGCCAUGCAAGGGCUUGGUUGAGAAAAUUGACAAUACGUGGGUGCCUGUUUUUAUGGAAUCUUUGAGUAUUGAGACUCUUGAUUCCGGUAUACUCGAGUAUUACCAUUCCUGUUUUAUUUGGCGUUCGGGCCCGGUAAGGGGGUAUGAAUGGUGAACGGGAUUCGGCGUUAAAGCGGUGUUCUACUGGACUGGUUUUCUUUAGUUGAAAAUUGACGGAGGGUCAACGUAGUCGGAUCAAGUACUGCAACGGGAAAUUGGCUCCUGAGAGCCAUCUGUAUCCUUUCUAUCUAAGUUGUUUACAUAUUUCCUUAUUUGGUAUACCUAUGUGAUUAAUUGAGCAUGAAGUUCCUUGGUCCUUGACUGUUAUUAUUUUUGGUACCUCAUUGAGCUUAUAGUUCACCCCGUUUUGUUAUCCUUGUUUUCCUUACAGGAAAAUCUUUUGGGAACAAUGAUGUUUGGAAGCAUGAGUUGAGCUAGAUAUAUAUUCUUUUGUAUAGCUCCUCAAUAGAUAGAAACCUUGAAUGUAUUUCGAUCCAACAACUCCCAUUUGAUUUGUAAAUUUGCAAUCAUGUAUUUAUAUAUAUAUAUAUAUAUAUAUAUAUAAGUGUUUAAUCAGGUACUUGUGUUACCCCGCUCGAACGUAUUCAUUCUUUCUGUCUACCUGGAGUUUAAUGAAAUUACUGAGGUUUCGGACGAAUGUAGUAUCCAAGUGUGAAAAGGAAAAAAAUAAAAAUAAAAAUAAAAAUCUGGCAGGGAUUUUUACAAUAUUAUGGGUUGGUAAGUUACAUUUAACUUGGAGGUUUCCCAAUCGUUCGUUUUCUUUGGUUUCUUUCACGCGUGCUAUAGAAGUGGGAGUGAUUCGACCCCGUAGUCCCGGCGAGAGUUGGGCAGGCGGUCCGCCGAACCUUUUGGUUCGCCUUAGGGGGAGGUGGGGCUGUCACAAAAACUGAUGAAGAAGACGAACAGAAAGAGCAGCGUGUGAUGGAGAGAAAGAGAGGAUAGAGGAGUUUUGUAUGUGAUGGGUAGGUCCGUCAUAAAUGUUGUCUGAGAGAAUAAAUUGAGAGUUUUGUCCAAAACCUCCCAAUUUGUUCGAGAAUGGGAUAAGUCCCAUUUUUUAGAAAUGAUUCCAAAAAUUGCAUUCUAAUAGGCUUAACCCAAGUAACAAAUAAGGGGUUGAUUCCAUUCUUUGAUUCCUAAAUCCUUUAACCAAGCAGCCCCUUAGUCUAUAUGGUUGAGGACGUAUAAAAAGGAGGAAUCGUUUUUUUUUUUCCUGUCUUAAGUACAGGUACUUGGGCCUUUUAUUUGAUUAACGUAAUGUUUGGACAACAAGAGAGUGUAGUUUGGUCUAGUGUCGAGUCUUCAAAUGAAGUCCAAAAUAAAAGCCUAAACCUACAAAAAAAAAAGUCAGUAGGAGAGUGACCCGUGGCUCUUGGUCCCCAACACCUCAAAUCUUCAGAAUUCUCAUGAUUUUUGUCUUAUAAUCUUGCAUUAAUUAUUACUUUUUUUUGGGUCUUUUAUUUUUACAUCUGAUAUCAGAACUCUAGGUUCAAGAAAUUGAUCCUAGGGUACCGAAGAAAUUAAUUAAUCGACUUAGACCAGAAGCUUGAUCAUGGAAUGUCUAAUUUGUGAGGAUUGAAUCAUAAGAUCGGUCCGGAAGAAUUGUCAAAUUGAUGGUGAUUAUGAAAAUCAAAGUGAAUUGUGAUUAUGAAAUCACAAAAUGAAUUGUCAAUAAGUUGACAUCAAAUUGGGUGACAAAAAUAGUCUAUCCAAAAAUGUGAAUUAUUUUUGCAAGUGAAAAAUAAGUUGAGCGAUUCUAUCCAAGUGUGUCGAUUAUUGCAGCAGCAAAAAUCAAGGGAGAUUAUUGAUCGUGGUGGUGGUAAACCUGAUCCAAAAGAGAGUUUGAUUUAAGGGAGGCAAUGUUGGCAUAUUAAAUCAAGACUUAAAAUUAGAAAUUUUCAUUUUAUUAUUUAGUAGUGUUUUAGUCAAGUUAGGAUUUUAAUAAUUCUAUUGGAGUCAAGUUAUGGUAGUUUUAUUGUUUAAGAAUUAGUAUUUUAUUAAAAAAUUUAUUAUGGUUGUAAGACUUGUUUAUCAAAUCAUCUAGUCUAUGAAUAGGGAGUCAUAUUAUUAUGUUGAGUGGAGAAGAGUGAAAGAUUGGAGAGCCUUGUUAUUAUAGUGCGUGAUUAAUAUAUUAUUGUUGAUAUUUAUUCCUCUUCUCCCACACAUAUUUAUAUGUGUAUAAAUUGUCUUCCCAUAUACAUUGAUUUUAUGAAAUAUAUCUCUAAUAAGUUUUUGGUAGAAUUUGGAUUCUACAGUAACCACUACCUCAACAUGUUUCCACAAGCAACUAUGAGGAAGAAAUGGUCUAUUUCGUGUGUUAAGUAACUUUUUUCUGUAUGUAGAAUUUGUACAAGAUUAUUGACAUAAAUUUUGGAUCAAGAAAUGCAUAAAUAUUCAAAAAAUUCAAAGUAGAUACUAGUUCUCCCAUUUCAUUUGUUUUAGUUUUUUUUUUCUUGGCAACCCCAUUUUAUUUGAUUGGACAUUACUACAAGAAACACGGUUUAAAUAAGUCAAAACAUUUCGUUUAGUCCCUCACAUGUAAAAUAUAUCCCCAGCCCGUUUUAGUAUAUCAUUGUUUUUAACUGAAAAAAUUACAUUAGGAGGAAAUUUUUGAGGAAAAUUGAAGGGGAUUUCUCUUGUUUUAUUUUUCAUUUGAGCCAAGAACCAAAUGAUCAUUGGAUAGGCAUUUUAUAUAGCUAAAAAGAAGUAUCCAAUUUAUGAGGUAGAAGAUAUAUAUGUAAAUGGCACAUUGAAGUUUAUAUUUGCGUUAAUUUUCAAAGAGUGAUUCUUUUUGUAUAACAUCCAACAAAGAUGAUAUUGACAAUCGCUUAUAAGGAGUACAUUUUUAAGAGGUGAAACCUUAAUAUUACAAGAUAAUUACCAAUUUGUAUUAUGUUUUCCUGAGGUCCAAUAAAUCCAAUACUUCUAGACAUUUCCAACUGAUUUGGUAAAAAAAAAAAAAUCUCUAGUAAAUUCCUAUCGUUAACCGAUGCAAAGUUUUGUGUCCAAACUUUUUUUUUUUAAGGCGUGUGGCAAACUCAAAAGUGGGUAAAAGUCUGUAGAAGAAUUAAAGAGAUGAUGGAGUAUUAAAAAUAAACAAGGAAUAAAGAAAUAAAUAUUGGAAACUGAUAGUAAUUAAAAAAAAAAAGAGAGCUCUUCCAGGCUGUUAUCUUGACCAAAAAAGAGAAAAGGCGACAUAAAUAAAACUUUUUCAUAAUGCAAGUGGGCUCCUGUAUUUCCAUUCCCAUCAGUCACCCAAGGAUAAUUAAUUCGGAACCUAAUUGGCGAAGAAUUUUGCUUUUUGCAUUUGGCAAGCCGAUGAUUUGACUGGAAACAAUUCUUAACACGCGGGUCAAUUGAACUAAAAGUUGUAAUUUUGAUACUUAUAAUGUUCCUAAUAUUAUUAACCACUGGGCCAAUGUCUCGGUGGCAACCAGGGAGGGAUUUAAAUCCCUUUUUGGAUUGUAGGUGAGGGUCCAAAUAUUAUUUGUAGCGAAAAAAAUUUAAGGGUUAUUUAAUAACUAGGGAUGUACGUGAGCCGAGUCGUAAUCGAGUAGCUCGGUCAACGGCUUGGAUUGAACUCGGGUUAACUGAGUUCGAACCGAGUCUCGAGCUACUCAAUUGUCAUUCGAGUUGAGUUUCUAGCCAAUAUUUUGAGGUUCGAGACUUGUCGAGCUACUCGUCGAGCCGGGGUAUUUAAAUAAUAUAUUUAUAAUUUAAAUAAUAUAUAUGUAUUAUAAUUAUAAAAUGACCAUUAUGGGUAUAAGUUUUACGGAAUUUACAUUUGAGUCGAGUCAAAAAACUUAAUUAGAUUCGACUUGAUAAGGCUUGCCUAAAGGUCGAACCUUAUCGAGUCGAGUCUCGAGCUUAAAGCGAGUUUCUCGAUUCAAGUUUCGAGUAUCGAUUUUUUGUACUCGGUCGAGCUCGAGCUCCUAGGUAUAUAUGAGUCGAGUCGAGCUCGAGUAUAGCAAUACUCAAGCUUGACUUGGCUCGAUUACAUCCCUAGUCAUAACACUUUCUUAGUUUAGUUGGAUUUGUAUCGUUGCUGACAAAAAAAAAAUGUUCCUAAUAUUAUUCAAUAUUAAUGUGAUUAGAAAGCCACAUAAAUUGAAAGAAGCAAAUAUAAAAGUUCAACCAUGAUGGGCUCAAUUAUAAUUGACCUAGGCAGUAGAGAUGAAGUAUGCUAAAAUUGACACUUAUAACUAAAUUCAGAUUUAACAAAAACAAAGUCAAAAAAAAAAAAGAGAAAAAAGAAGAAACUUUAUUGGCAAUUUUCCUUUAAAACUAAAAGCCAUAUUUUCGGGUGAAUAGAUGGCACUAGAUGUACAUUUAUUUGGAAAAAGAAAGGCCAUCAUUUUGCUUCAUUUUUUAAGGGAAAAUAAACCAAUACAUGAUAAAAAUUGUUACAGAGGAAUCACUAAAAAUGGUCCUGCAUUGUAAAUCACAGUAUUAAUAUUUGCCUUCUUCAAAAGAUUUUACUGGAGUCCAUACUUUUACUCGGCCAAAAGCAACCAAAAGCAUGCAUGAUUAUUUCUCCAUCGAUUUGUAAAUAAACAGGGACUCAGUAAGACUAAUUUGACUAGAUUAUAACCUCUCUUUUUUUUUUUGGAGAAUUGCUAUAAUAAUCCUUUACAUAUAUAAGUAAACAGUAUUAAUUCGGUCACUCAAAUCUAUAAAAAUGUUUGGUUCUUAAAAGAUACAGACUCAUAUUUCUAUCUUAAAAGGUCAUGCACUCACUCAUCUUUCUAUCUUAAAAGAUCACACAAAAUUUUCAAGGGAUUGAAAAAACACAAUGAUUGAAAAUGAGAGUUCAGGGGAGAAAUGAAUUAGAUGAUAUAGAAGAGAGUAUAAGUAAGAGAUCUCAAAUUUGAGACCUGCACUUGCACUUAAAAAAAUGAAGAAGGAAAAAAAGAGUUCAAGUUUUUGAGGAACUGAAAUCAUAACAGAAAGACCGCAAAUGAGAAUUGAAAUGGAUGAGGCUUUUGUAACCAUCGUUAGUUGUUCAUGAUAUACAUAGGGAUCAGGGAUAAGUGCGAUUAGAAUUUUAAUGCAAUUGUCCAGUUGUUGUAUUUUUUGCAUAAUAUAGGUUCUCUUAUAUAAUUUUAUUGUUCUCACAAAAUUUAUUCUUAUACACUAAUUCAAUAAAUAAAUACAAUCGUAUCUUGAAGUGUACACUAAGUUGUGAAUGAAAUAUAACAAUUGUACCUAAUUGUAUCUAACUCAACCAUACCUGUCCGAUUCCGUAUAGAUCAAACCAUGUUAUUUUGGUCCACCAUGGGUUAAUAAGGUAAAAUCCUCAAGCAAAAAACAAAAGGUCUAAAUUACAUCAAUUCGAUCCAUUUGUGCCAUUAACAUUUUUUUUUUGGUCUAUUGUCACCAUCUACAUCUAUUUCUACUCCUAGUCCUAAUCGAACAUAUACUAGGGACAUGACCCAAUAGGGUCAUGGGGAAUCGACGGGAAUUGAACCAUCAUCGAAUCAUACGGGUGCAUUAAGCAAUCAUAUGGAUUUUAGAGAAGCCACAUUAAAUGACAACUUUUUGAUGGAAGGUAAGAUUUGAACUCUUAACGUUCUACCUUACAAAAUAUGGUAGCCAACUUCUCUAGAGGAGGUUGGUUCAUUUGUGCCAUUAACCGUUUCUAGCGAUUUGUGAGUUGAGACUUGAGACGGGUGUGAUUCCCCUGGCCUGCCUGGUGAGAUACAGGCAUAAGGACUAAUUUGGCAUAUAUCCAUAUCAUGACAUGGAACAAAAUGCGCCCUUCUAAAUUUGAGGACUAAAUUAAGAACUUGAAGAACAAAAUUUUUUUGGCAGUUUCAGCAUUGUGUUUCUCUCCCUUCUUUUAUCUUUGUUUUCAUUUUUUUUUUCUAAACAAUGAAGUACACAAGGUGGGAUAAAAACACACAAGGAACAAUUUUACCAAUUUUCUUGUAUACCUUUUGUCCGGUAAAAAAUCUAACAAAAAAUUACCAGAAGAGAUCGAUUUUUUAUAUUGUUUGUUUUCCGGUAAUGCAUUUUCUCUAGUAUUUUCCAUUAUCAUUUAGUUAUUAUGUCUCUUUUAAUGGCUGUUUUAAAACUGUUUUCUCAAUGACAAAAGAAAGUAUCACUCCGUUUUGAAAUCCUAUGUGUUCCAAUAAUUAAAAAACAGUACGCUAUGAAUUGUAUAAUUUCUUUUCUGAAAAGCUCCAAUUCUAAGCACAUCAAUUCUUGAAUCAUGACAAAAAUGCUUGUUUAAGACAAUUAUGAAUCUUUAACAUUUGGAGUUUACAUCCUUUGACAAAAAUGCUAACGAAAUUUUGAAAUUUUCUGCCACAAAAAGUAUCAGCACAUCAUACACAAAUAUAGUUAGCAUAGCUCCUCGAACAUGUACGCAUAAAAGAAUGUAUUGUCCUUUUCGUUCUUGUAAUUGAGCAGGUAUGUGAAAAAGUGACUUGUGAUUGCUAACCAAUGAUCAAUGAAUGGGGAAAAAAAUCUCCGAAUUGAAGGCAUCUAAAUCUGGAUCCAUACACAGCAACCAGUCAUAAGUUAUAACCACGAGUUUUGGGGCUUUGGGACCCAAAACAACCAAUUUCUUGAUUAAAUUCCAUUUGUUUUUUUUUUAAUUUCCCUUGAGACAAGAAUGUGCAGCAGAUGCUUUAAUAUAUUACCCUUUUUCCUUUCUUUGCUCCAUGCACAAUUUUUGGAUUAGAAGACGAGGAAAAAGGAUGUAAAAAUAGUAAGGAAAAAGGAGAAGAAGAAGAAAGAACAAUAAUGAAAAAAAAAAAGAUUAUUAGACACUAUCCUUAUAAUGAGGGCAUUAUUAUCUUUUUGUUUUGCGCAUAAACUUGGCUUUAGAGAGCAAUUUAUAGGUUUUGAGAAAAGGAUCGGCUAGAAGAAUUAAAAAAAGCGAAAUAACAUGGAAGCAAGCAAAAGGCAAAAGCUAGAACCAAGAUGGUACAUGUGCAACAAAUAUGAAAGUGGUCCCAAUUGUACAAUCGGCCAAAAAAGGUUCUACAUGGGUUAUCUGUACAUAUUUUUCAGUCAAUGGAUGACUAGAGAAAUAGGACUGAAGCCAAGAAUUUUGCAAGCGAAACAACGUGGAAGCAAAUCAAAAGCAAGAGCCGAAAGGGUCGUGAAAUUGUACACCAAUUAGGAUUUAUAUAAGUGAAAGAGAUUAUUCAAUCUCCUGUGUUGGGUUCUUCAUAUCAAUCUCCUACGAAUUCAUCAGUGCCUAUGUUCCUAAGUCUGUACUUUCAACUUUGCAUCAAGAUGAUGUAGGUGGAUUUUAAGUCUACUCCAUAAUGGAUGGCUUGAAAUAAAGUCUGAAUUAGAAUCACCAGCUGUGGACCUUUGAUGAUGAGUACUUAAGGAAAGACACCCAACCCAUCUAAUAAAUAAUUUGAGCCCAACCAAUCAAAACUCAUUACCGUCUAAUUCAACUGAACCUUUAAAAUUAAUGGGUGGAUUGGAUGAGUUGUUGGGUUUUAAGUUUAUUUGCCAGGUUUAGUUACUUGCAAAGUUUAUGUACAUGACCGAUAAGGAAUUUCUCGAUGCUUUCAUUUACUUUUACCAUGAAGACUGGAACUGGAAGAACCGUAAGAAAAGGCAUCAUAGAUACGUAUUUUUGUGGACAUAUUUUCAAUGCAUUUUUUAUCGUCGGUUCUUACAUGUAAAAUACAUAUUUCGUGUUAUCUUGUGUUAUUAUUGGCUUCUAUUAUGUACACAUAUUUGCAUUUAUUGUUACCUUUUUUAAAAGGAAAUACUUUUUAAUAUUUAUUUCACUUUUUUCUGAAAAUCCCUCUCAAUGAAUGUCCCUUGGCACUUCUUAGAUAAAUCAAACAUUUUCUUUAUCAGUUUUGCCUAUUAACAAUAAGUUUUUUUCUAAUGUUUUUGCUUGGCUUUAUAAGAAUAUGCAUGAGAUAUGUCAUAUUUAUUUUAUAGCCAAGGGAAAAUUUUCUUGGUUUUUAUUUUCUUUUUGUUUUUGUUUAAAGAAGAGAAUUUAUGAACCUGAAAUGGAUCUGACCAAUAUUUUUACCUUCUCUUAAGUAAUAGCCAUUUACUCUUUGAAUAUAGUGGUUGCUAGUAUGUUUUUUAGAUUCUACUUGGUUCAAAACCUUGGUUCAAAACCUCUUCCUCAUGUUUCUUUUCAAAAUAUUCAAUAAAUCUUUCUUAUAUUAUAGGGAUAAUUUCAGAAACCUCCCUUGAGGUUUUCGAUAAUUUCACUUGACUCCCUUGAGGUUUAUAUAAUUACAAAGACCUCCCUUGUUAUGAUAAAAAGAUAAUAAUGUCCUUUAUUAAUUGUCAACUCAUUGAAAAACUCAAUCAAAUAUUAAAACUCUCUCAUCUAUUAUUAACCAAUAAUUCAAACCACAGUUUUUUUAAUUUAACUAUCUAUUCUCUUCCUUAUAUAUCUAUUUUUCUUUUAAACUCAUUUAUUUAUUAUUAUCAACCAAAUGUGUACUCUCGCUAUUAAUAAAAUCGCCAUACAAAUUAAACCACCAGUACUUAUAUAUCUUGGUAUCUAUUCCCAAUCCUCGAUUUUCCAUUAUUAGUAAAUAGUUUUCUUACGCCCAUUUUUAUUUUCAAUUUUUGAUAGGUAUUAGCAAAUUGAAAUUGUCAAAUGACAAAUUGAGUGUUAAUUUCAUUAUCAAAUUAGAUGGUGAUGAAGAUAGUAACAAUGAUAAAAAAUAAAAAUUAAGGAUAAGAAGUGGAAUAGGAACUAAAUAUAGGUUAUACUGUUUUGGUUAUCAUAAAAAAAAACAUUCUUGGUAUAUAUUUAUAACUGCAUUAUGUUUCUAUUUUUUAUUUACAAUUAUUAAUAUUAUUCCUAUAGAGAGAAUUUGGUCGAUUUUGAACUUUGUGCCAAUGGAAUAUAUUGGAUAUUAAUAUUAGGAGUGAUGGAUUGGUGACAGGUGUCGUGCCUGUGCAAUAAUAAAUAUCUGCUUAAGAAAAAUAAAUUUUCUGUGUAUAGUAGUAAGCAGGGUCGAAUCCACAGGGACUGGGAAAAAUUCGAUUCUUUUUAAAUUCGAGACACGGGGGAUUUUUAUCAUAUAAAACUAAAAAUAAAUAAUUAAACAAUUUAACUAAAAACAAUUAAACAAUUUAACCAAAAAUAAAUAAAUAAUUAAUACGAAUGUAAAUGGCAAUUAAAUAAAUAAUAAAUAAAUUCUAGCCAAGGAUACAACUACGUAGACACAGUCCAUUCAUCCGAUCAUUGAUGCAAAGAAGGUUCACUUAAUUUUAUUAACAGGUUAGUUAUAGUCGCCGAUAAGCUCUAACGACCAGUUUUUCCUUAAUUUAUUGAUAACCAAGGUACGACCGUUGAUUACCCCUAACCAAGAAAUACUCCUAGGUACGACCACAGGAAUUAAUUUCCUAAUUGCAUUAAAAACUAGAAAAGUCUAACCCAAAUUAAUAACACGCUACGAGGGUUAUUUAAAUCAGAUUGCACGUCCCCCUAGUAUGUGAAAAUACUAGUUGUCACUAAUAUUAACCAAUUAAACAAUUACGGAUUUAAUUGAUUAAUUUGACAAGAGAUUAAUAAGUCAAAUUGCACAUCGGGCCCUUGAUAUCCAAUUAACAAAAUAAUCCCAUGGAAAUUAAAAUAGAAAACAUGCAAAUAUUAAUAAAUUAAGGAACACGUAAAAUUAAUUAGAUCUCACAGAUAUUUGGGACUGCGCCUUCGCAUUGAUCCUUGACUAGAGGAGAAAAUUAGCCGCGCCUCAUAAGAAAAUUCCCACGCAAUUCAAUUGAAUUCAUAGACAUAAAUAACUAACUAAGAAUUUAGGAAGAAACUUGAGUCUCGGUAGACUCUUUUAAGAAAAGUUGCACACCACACAACAAGAGAAGGAAGAACUCCUCCUCUGAAAACCAAAAACUACCUCUAUCCUCCUACGGAGCUUCUCUGGAGAGAAAACUAAAAACUAGCCUAAUAGCUCUCUUUUACGUCUCCUGUCUUCAUACAUAAAAAACCAGCCAAAUGGAGACAUCACCCCACGUCCACCAAAGAGGUCAUCAUUUCUCUACACAAUCAAUUCCACUCUACUCAAACAAAAGCAAUUGUCGGUUCUCUUUUUGACCAAGUGCACACGUUCACCAACAAGAAAGCAAAACCACAAAUGUGCAAAGAAAGCACACUUUAGACAAUACAACUUAUUUGCGGUCCCCACCAACUUUGAUAUGUUGUCUAGCCAAAUUGAAUUCCCAAAUGCAAUUCCAUUUUCUUCGUUGGUUUGCACCAGAAUUGUGUAAAGCUUCACAAUAAUCUUCUCAAGAGGUUUCUGCUCCAAUUUCUGAAAUUAUAUCCAAAUACCAAAUAUAAAUAUAUAUUGACAAUUAAAGCAAAUUAAAGCAAUAUUUGGCAAGGAUAAAAAGGAAAAUUAACAAUAAAAUUACUAACAAUUAACAUCCUAUCAAUUGGAUUAUUUUGUACUCCCUCUGUCCCAUUUUGAUAGUUCUAGUUUUUUUAACACAGUUUAAGAAAAAGUAGUUAACUUUGUCGGAAAAACAAAUUUAGAUUACUAUUUUUCUAAAAUACCCUUACAUUAAUAGAGUACAACUUUAUAUUAAUUAUUCAUGGAAACUUGAAUUGAUGGUCAAGAAAGAAUCAAUUCUCAUUUUAUAUUAUUUCACAUUAAAUCUAAAUAUAUUAAAUGAGGUAGGUUAACAAUCUAUAUUAAAUAAGGGAGUUCAUACUAAUAACAACCUACAUUGAAUAAAGGUAUUUUAGAUAAAUUAAAAAAAUAACUACAUUUUUCAAUUGGAAAGUGGACUAUAAUUUGAGACAGACUAAAAAAGAAAAUAGGACUAUCAAAGUGGGACGGAGGGAAUAUUAAAAAGGUGGCAGCCGUGGAAUUGGAAUUUAGGGAUAUUAUUGAAUAUUGUAGUAUAUUAAGUAAAAUCUAAUAUUGUUAUGAAAUUGUAGAUAAGUUUUUGGGUAUAUGAUGUAGCAUUUAUAGUUGAUACAAUGGUCUGCAUCAGAAAUUUUUAGGUAAAAGAGGAACAUUAGAAUAAAGAUAAGUGUUUAUUUAAUGGUUGGAUGUUGAUAAGUAGGUAAUAGUGGUAAAAAAUAAACAUAAAUGAAAUAGAGACCGUAAACCAUUUUUUUUCCUUUACAUUUUUGUUGUGAAUUAUAACUCAAGGGCAUUAUAGAAAUUUUGAAAAAAAGUAUAGCCUUUUGGGUCUAGAAUGUUACUUAAUAGUGAAAAUAGGGGAAGUAAGUAUAAUUUUUAGAAAUUGAGGGAAGUUUUCUACAAUUGUUAAAAACCUCAAGGGAGAUAUGUGAAAUUAACCCUUAAUUCUAAUGUUCUUGAACUGAUAUGGUAUUCGAACUACAAAUUUGAAGAUCAGAUAAGGAUAACUCUAAGGAUAAUGGCAAAUUAUCUGCGCAAAUCUUGGAAGAGUGGAAGUAGGAGAUACGCUUUCGUAUAUAACUAACUACUACCAUUCUUGAAGUUUGACCUCAUCAGCAGAUAAGAAAACCAUGAGAAUAUUAACAGAUAGAUUUUUAGUUGGUUCAAAUCACUUUUUAUAACUCCAAAUAUCCUUUUAAUUUUAGGGAUAAUUUCAGAAACCUCCCCUGAGGUUUUCGACAAUUUCACUCGGCUCCCUUGAGAUUUACAUAAUUACAAAGACCUCCCUUGUUGUGAUAAAAAGAUAAUAAUGAGCUUUAUUAAUUGUCAACUCAUUGAAAAACUCGAUCAAAUAUUAAAACUCUCUCAACUAUUAUUAACCAAUAAUUUGAACCAUAGUUUUUUUAAUUUAACUAUCUAUUCUCUUCCUUAUAUAUCUAUUUUUCUUUUAAACUCAAUUAUUUAUUAUUAUCAACCAAAUGUGUAUUCUCGCUAUUAAUAAAAUCGCCAUACAAAUUAAACCACCACUACUUAUAUAUCUUGGUAUCUAUUCCCAAUCCUCGAUUUUCCAUUAUUAGUAAAUAGUUUUCUUACGCCCAUUUUUAUUUUCAAUUUUUGGUAGGUAUUAGCAAAUUGAAAUUAUCAAAUGACAAAUUGAGUGUUCAUUUCAUUAUCAAAUUAGAUGGUGAUGAAGAUAGUGACAAUGAUAAAAAAAUAAAAAUUAAGGAUAAGAAGUGGAAUAGGAACUAAAUAUAGGUUAUACUAUUUUGGUUAUCAUGAAAAAAAGCAUUCUUGGUAUAUAUUUAUAACUGCAUUAUGUUUCUAUUUUUUAUUUACAAUUAUUAAUAUUAUUCCUAUAGAGAGAAUUUGGUCGAUUUUGAACUCUAUGCCAAUGGAAUAUAUUGGAUAUUGAUAUUAGUAGUGAUGGUUUGGAUUAUUUUGUAUUAAAAAGGUGGCAGCCAUGGAAUUGAAAUUUUGGGAUAUUGGUGAAUAUUGUAGUACAUUAAGUAAAAUCUGAUAUUGUUAUGAAAUUGUAGAUAAGUUUUUGGGUAUAUGAUGUAGCAUUUAUAGUUGAUACAAUGGUCUGCAUCAUAAAUUUUUAGGUAAAAGAGGAAUAUUAGAACAAAGAUAAGUGUUUAUUUAGUGGUUGUGUGUUGAUAAGUAGGUAAUACUGGUAGAAAAUAAAUAUAAAUGAAAUAGAGAUUGUAAACCAUUUUUUUUCCUUUACAUUUUUUGUUGUGAAUUAUAACUCAAGGGCAUUAUAGAAAUUUUGGAAAAAAGAAUAGCCUUUUGGGUUUAGAAUGUUACUUAAUAGUGAAAAUAGGGGAGGUAAGUGUAAUUUUUAGAAAUUGAGGGGAGUUUUUUGCAAUUGUUAAAAACCUUAGGAGAGGUAUGUGAAAUUAACCCUAUAUUAUAAGCAUAAAAUAUAUACAUACAUACGUAUAUAUAAAUCUAUAUAUAUGUAUGUAUGUAUAAUAUAUAUGUGUGUAUAUAUAUGUGUCUGUCUAUAAUAUAUAUGUAUGUAUGUAUAAUAUAUAUGUAUAUAUGUAUCUGUAUAUAUAUAUAUAUAUAUAUAUAUAUAUAUGUAUGUAUGUAUGUAUAUAACAUUGAAGACUGUUUCACAUGGUAAAAGGAGAAGAAAUGAUAAACUAAUAAGGCAUGAAAACACUACUGUUCUUAAAGUUUUAAUUGCCCAUACUACUUAGUUGUUUGCUUAGGAGUAGUGGCCAUUUACCCCUAGAAUAGAACAAAAAGGAAAAAGUAGAUAGCAUAAUCUAAUUGUUCUCACUUAGAAUUAAUCAAAUGCAAAAGUCAGUUUAAUUCAUUGAGACUUAAUUAUUUUUAUAGGAAAAGUGUUUUUUAUGACCACAUGAUGACCAGACGCAGCCGCAUUGGUUUUGCGCACCAUUUGGUUCCAAAUAACCACUUUCUGACUAUUACAGAACCAGAUCUGAUUCACUAAGAAUACCUGAGACCUAUGUGAUCCAGACUAAAUCCAAAUCUGAAUGUAGAACUGGAAAGACUUGGACCACUCUGGACGUGAUCUAACCAUGGAUCAGGAUCGGGUCAAGCCAAGAUCUGGCACCAAAUCACAGUUCAUCACUUUAUUUUGUUUAUCCAUAAUCCAUUUGUAUAUUUCAAAUCUCAUUACUGUACUAGACACUCCGGCGGAAUGUCUUCAACGUUUUCAUUAGCAUGGGCAACAAUGUUCUCCAACUCCCAGAGUACUUUUUCUUCCUGGAUAAAAGGAACUCCAAUACGUAAAUGCAGUUGUUUGGGCAAGAGCUUUGCAAACAAACCGCAAAACAGCCAGAAUACUCUUGGAAUCGUGCAAGGGGUACUCUGUUAUGCCUAAAUGUCUUGUAUCCCUACAAUAACAAGCACUUUUGGACGAAAAUGCUUUUCCAACUAUCCCUUGUCCCUUCCGAACAAAUUUGGAAUCAUAAUAGCUUAAUAUUUCUCCGGAAGUAGUCCAAGGUUGAGCUUUCAGCAGUCCAUGUCUUUUAUACACCGCACUUAUUGCUCUGUGAAUUUCAGAGAUUUCUCUUUUUCGACCUGAAGAUGUUUGGCUAGAAAGUGUUAGUUUGGAAGGCACAGCUUAAAGCUUCAGUUCACAUUGUACUCGCAUGGACUUGCUUCCUCCUAGCUUAAGACCAGUAGUACCUUCAUCAUGUACCAUAUUUAUCUAUUCAAUGAAAAUUAAAACAUGGGACUAGGCUUGCUUUUUGGCAUGCUUUGCGGCAGAGCACAUUUCUAUACUGGAGCUCUUGAUUUUGUUUUGAAAUAUUUUGCGGAAGAGCAAAAUCAAUUUAUUAACAAUUUUGUUAAAUACAUCCUUUUCAAUGUAAGUAACUGGAGCUCUUGAUUUUGUUUAUAAAUAUUUUGCGAACUAUCAUCAACUUGAUCUUCUAUAGGUUUUCUUUUAAGAAAUUCAUCCACAGCCGAUUAUAGAUAAAAACAUAAUAACUUAAUUUAAUAUUAUAGAUCAAAAUUCACCAACCAAUUGAAAAAUAUAAUUUUAAGUUUGAGCACAAAUAUGUACAAUAUCAAAUAGGAUUAAUCUUCUAUAUACUGACAGUGUAUAUACUUUCUCCAUUAUAUGCAUGGCAUAUAAUUUAAAUUUUGCAUAUGUGUUGUGCAAUCCAAUUGUAAUAGUAUAUAUACUAUCAAUGGCGUACAAGCAUGGCCUUCUACGAUCUAUAACUUGCAAAACUUGUGAUAUGAAUGAAAAUCAAAGAAAGGCUGUGGAGAUAAUUAACAGAUAACCAUUCCCCCCCCCACCCCCCCUUCUUUAACUUGUAGUCUGCUUUUAUUAUGUUAUUCUUCAUCCCCUUUUAUGCCAACUACAGGUUAUUGUCUUAUAUAACCUUACCUUGAUAUAAGCCAUUUAAUAAGAUAAUUAGUACUUAGGUAAUGGCAUUUUUUUCCAUAUUUGGGCUGCAAAAUGGCCAAAAUCUUGGUAAAUAUGAUGUACUCCACAAGUGUUAAGUGUGUAAGGAUGCAAAUCGGACCUAUUAAGUCAAUUAUUCUAGUUUUCAAACUUGUUUUGCAAUCAAAAUUUAAAAUUCUAAUAGUUUUAUAUGAAAAAGGAUUUUUACAAAGCCAAAUGCCAAUGGCUAAGCAAAUCUGAUUAAACUUAUAAAUGCUCGCAAUUAUCCUUCCUACUACUUUUACACUUUACCUAUUUGUCUUCGCUUUUCCAAAAUCUUCAUAUUUGGAGGCAAUCUUAAGGAGCAGAAUUGGGCUCCUUUUAGACAAACUAAAAAGUUAAAAAGGGUUCUGAAAACUUAAAUGUAAAAUUCACAAUUUGAGUGUAUGUUUUUUGGAUACUCCAACCUCGGCUCUUUUUAUUUUAUUUUAUUUUAUUUUUUGGUGUUGGAAAACAAUGGCAUAAAGAACUGCAAUAUAUAAUACACACCUGACCCCAAACUUUGACAUAAAGCCCAAAACUUGCCAUCAUAAGGGAAGUAGAAGUCCUUCUUUGUUUUUGAUAAGGAAAGUAGAAGUCUUAAACUUGGAGGCUGAAACUCUUAAGAAUUCUUGAUUUAGCCGCCGAAUUGAAAUAUCCCAAUUUGAAAACGUUAUUAUCAUUUUAAAAUAAAAUAAUAUAUUGUAUUUAAAAUAUUGAGCUAAUGUUGUAAAUCAUAUUAACUUGGUUAUAUAUCCAAAGUUCAGCAUACUCUAUGUUAAAAGCAAUUAACUUUGGCCAUGCAGUGCAGUAAUAACUAAUAUGGAUACGAAAAAAGUUUAAUAUUGAUAUCAAUAUUGGACCCUCCCGAGAUCCUAACUCUCCAUUCCUCUCCUGCUAGACUUUUUAGUUAUUAUAUAUCCAUGGGUUAUCAACAUUCAACUUGUUUGGCAUUUCCAGUGAAAUCAAAAAGAAAAAGAAAGUCAGCUGAUUUUGCAGUGUUUGUGGUGAAUUUGAGGCAGAGAGGCUAUUGACAUUCAUUAUCAAGUCUAGAAAUCAUUUGCUUAGUUUUUCGAAAUCAUUACAACAGAACGUAAGAAAUUCAUUGCACCUAAUCUUACAACACAAAAAUUGAUAUUUAAGUCAUUUGAGAACAAGUGGAAACUACCAUCUAAAAUUGAAGGUUUCACUGACUAAUGGCCAAGGAAUAAAUAUAUUUUAACUCAGCAGAGGCAAGUGCAAUAAUGAUUCAGUUACUACACCUUGGAAAGGGUUUCCUUAUUUAUUGAGGCAUUUAACGUUAGUUCAUUUUUUCAUUUGAAGCAUUUUUAGUCAAAUUGUUGUAGUAUAGUAAGUUACAGAAGCCCUAGAUGGUGGAAACAAUGCACUGAGGUCAUUGAAGUGUGGUAGAUAAAAUCAUCUUCAUCAUCUAGCAUAUUUUUCCAGUCAAUGGAACUAAAACGUGCUGCUACACGCAUCGAAGCUACAUGGGACUAGGCCUGUAUUUUGGCAUGCUUUGCGGCAGAGUUUAUUAUGCAAAGUUUAAUCUUCACGGAAAAAGUAUUGAAUGAAAAUGUGAUACUCAAAAACUCCUCUCUCUAAAGUAGAGGCUUUCUCUCUCUAAAGUGGCUGUUCUCUCUCUUGGGAUAAGAGCUCUCCCACCUCGUUGGUGGGAAGCUAGCUUUGUUCAAACUUUUUCAAAACCGUCCUUCUCCCGCUCUACCGGAUCAUGCUAGAUCAUCAGUACUUGUACGAGUGAUCUUUAAUGGAAGGUUAAUGGCAGCUACUCUUUGUUUAAGCAAGUCAGUGCAUGAAGAAAGGGAGUUCAAGCGUCGCUAUCUUCAACUAUGAUAAGCUACCGCCUGGACAUUGAUAGUCAAUACUCUGUUUUCCUUGUCUGUUAAGAGUACAAGUGAGCAUCGAUGCUCUAACUGUGGUGGUCAGUAUCUUUCAGCAAGUUUUUGUUUUCAGUCGCGUUUCUUUUCUUAGUGUUUUCGUUUGUCUUUCUUUUUUGUUCCUCUAUCUUUUGUUACGCCUUGGUUCUGUUUUUCAUCUCCUGUGGUUAGAGUGUUUUAUUCCAUCUGAUAUUUGCUGCGUCUUUCCAUGGAGGGAGAACUGUCAGAUAUAUUACAGAAGUUUUCCCUAGAAGGGAAUGAGUUGGUAGGACUCACGCUGGAGGGGGAAGACUUUCAAACUGGUGUGAGAGCUUGUGAAAACAGUAUCAUUGGGAGAGUCUUAGGAGAAAAAGUGAUUAACUUCACUGGAAUUUAAAACUUUGUGGCUGUUGCCUGGGGGUAUCCCAGGAAUCUGUCAGUGGUGGAACUGGGACCAAAUGUGUUUCAGUUUAACUUACACAACUCUGAAGAUAAAGAUAGAAUAGUGGAGGGAGGGCCUUGGGUUAUAGAUAAUCAGAUGCUAGUCCUAAGAAGAUGGGUUGAAGGCAUUGAAGAUGACUAUAAAGCCUUUGUGACGGCACCUCUUUGGGUGCAGCUCUGGAAUCUGCCUGUCCAUUGGCUGUCUAGGGAGAUUGGAAGAAAGAUAGGAGGUGUGUUUAAGGAAGUUAGAGAGGUCGUUAUCCCUCAGGCGGGGGGAAAAGAGGGUAGGCAUAUGAAGGUCCUUGUCAUGGUCGACCUAUCAAAACCUCUGCUUAGAGGUACUGUGGUCAGAAUAGCAGGAACUGGCAAAUGGAUAGCUUUCAAAUAUGAAAGGUGUCCUGAUUUCUGUUAUAAUUGCGGAAUUGUGGGGCAUAGUGAAAGGUCUUGCAAUGUAAGGAGAUUGCUAGGAGGGAGCACUGAUGAGAAUCAGUACGGUCCCUGGAUGAGAGCAGGAAAUUUUAGGAUCUCUCCUCAGAAAAAAAAUGCUAGGGCCUCCGAGCAUAGUGAUAGACGUUACUGGGUCUUUAGGAAGGGGGAGCUGGUCGAACAGAAGAAAAAUAAUAUGUCUAGAAGUCAGAGUUUGCUGGAGGUCCUCAAGGCCUCUGGUAGUGGGGGAUGUAGCAACCAGGAAUGUGACAAAGCAGGUGAGGAAGAUAGAAUGGAGGGGUUGGGGGGAUCUUCUACUAAUGAGGAGUCUCUCAAGGUAGUCUUUCAUAGUAGGAAGGAGGAUCAGGUGAUAGAUGAAAAGGAGGAAGUAGCUUUCCCUCAGGUUAAUAGAGUAGGGGAAGACCUCCAGCUUCCUCACGUAGAGGAAGAGAUGGAGGAAGAUGUAGUGGAAGUAGUGCACAAUCACAUACAGGAGGCUAGGGUACUAGAGGAAAACGCAGAGCUUGUAGUGUUUAGCCAGGAAACUCUUGGUGAAAAUAAGAUGAUGGGGUUACUGGACAGACAGUCAAGGAGAUCUUUUCGAAAGUUAAAGACUCCAGUUAGAAACAGAAGGCCUUUGCAGAAGAUACAAGGUAAUGAUAAUAUUCAGGUGAAUGCGGGGAAGAGGAAGAUCCAGGUUAGUGAUGAAGUGAUGGAGGAAGCAUGCCAGGAUAUGUGUCAGUGGAAAAAAACCAAGCAUCUGGUGGAGCUGUAUCCUGAGGGAGCUACGGAAAAGGAGGAGAGGUCCUUCCUAAAAGGGACCUCCAGGUGUCAAUGAGAAUUGUGGUGUGGAACUGCCAAGGGGUGGGGAGUCCCUUGACAGUUCCCCAGCUGAGGGAGGUGAAUAACCUCUCCUCUCCAAGUAUCUUUUUCCUUAGUGAGACUAAGAAUAGGAAGUCAGUCAUAGAUAGAAUUGCUAGAAGGUUACGGUUAGACAAUAAUGUGACUGUGGAAGCUAUGAAUAGAGCAGGGGGGAUGGCCUUACUUUGGACUAAGGAUACACAGAUUGUAGAGGUGACUACUACUGCCUUUACUAUAGAAGCCAAGAUCGAAGGUAAUGAUUCUCAGGGGGCUUGGUGGUUCAUUGGAGUGUAUGCUAGUUGUGAACAAAGGAUCAGGAAGGAACAAUGGAGGGUGCUAACUGAUAGAAGUAGGUUGUAGGGAUCAAGAUACCUGAUCUCUGGAGAUUUUAAUGACAUUUUGUCCAAUGAAGAAAAGUGGGGGGGCGUGUUUAGGGAGGAGAGAAGUUUGAGGGAUUUUAGGCAUUUCAUUGAGAUGAACAGACUAGUGGAUAUUGGUUUUGAAGGCCACCCUUGGACAUGGAGUAAUCACUGGGACAAUGAAGGGGAAGUUCGUCAAAGACUAGAUAGAGCUUUGGGUAGUAUGGAUUGGUUUCAUGAUUUUGAGAGUGCUAAGUGUCAGCACAUUGAGACUCUUGCUUCUGACCAUUCUAUGCUUUUAUUAGACACCAACCCUGGGAUAGGGAAAAAAAAAAAAAGAGGUUCUACUUUGACAAGAGAUGGCUCCAAAAAGAGGGGAUUCAGCAGGUAGUGGAUCAAGCCUGGAAUAGAGAGGAACAGGGAUCUAAAAUGUUCAAAGUUACUAGAAAGGUUAGAAACUGCAGAAUUGAACUCUUAAAAUGGAAAAUUACUGUCCAAGCUAACUCUAGGAGUAAAAUUGAUGGCCUUAAGCAGGAUCUGGAGAAGGCUAGAAAUGCUGUUGUUGCAAACAAAAAAGAGGAACUUCAGGAUCUCAAAAGUAAAUUGGCUAAUGCCUACAAGGAGGAAGAAGCUUUCUGGAGUCAGAAGUCCAGAAUCAGCUGGCUGAGAGAUGGGGAUAAAAAUACUAGAUUUUUUCACUCUUCAGUCAAGGGGAGGCGAGUCAGUAAUAGGUUGAACAGGUUACAAAGAGAAGACGGAUCUUGGACAGCUAAUGAAGAGGAGGUCGUGACUGAAAUUUCUGAGUACUUUAAGGACCUUUUUAUGAGUGGAGGGAAGGGGGAAAUGACAGAAAUUUUAGAGGGAAUUCCACACUAUAUCACACAGGAGAUGAAUGAUAAGCUAACCAAAGAAGUAAUGGAGGAUGAAAUCCACGAGGCUUUGUUCUCUAUGAAUCCAGAAAAAGCUCCUGGACAAGAUGGAAUGACACCUUUGUUUUUUCAGAAAUUUUGGAACUCUAUUAAAAGUGACAUCAUUCCUGCUGUUAAAGCGUUUUUUCACUCAGGUCACAUGCUCAAAUCAGUUAAUCAUACUGUGAUAUCCCUUAUUCCCAAAAUUCUGCACCUAACCAAUCUGAAAAAUUUCAGGCCUAUCAGUCUUUGUAGUGUGCUCUAUAAAAUCAUAUCAAAAAUUUUGGCUAAUAGACUGAAAUCUGUUCUGGACUUGUGUAUCAGCAAAACUCAAUCUGCUUUCAUCCCAAAAAGACAGAUUUUAGACAAUGUGAUCAUUGCUCAUGAGUACAUGCAUUUUCUUAAAAAUAAAAGACAAGGGAAAGAGGGCUACAUGGCUAUCAAACUGGACAUGGCAAAGGCUUAUGAUAGGGUGGAGUGGCAAUGCUUGAUGGAUAUGAUGGAAAAGAUGGGUUUCUGCUCAAAAUGGAUUAACUGGAUCCACAGCUGUUUGAAGACAGUGAGUUACUCUUUCAACUGUAACGGUGAGAUCAAAGGCUUUGUGACACCAGAAAGAGGGAUAAGACAGGGAGAUCCCUUGUCUCCAUACCUGUUUCUAAUCUGUUCAGAGGGCUUCUCAAAUCUGCUAAAAAGAGCUGAGGAAAGCAAAAGAAUCCAGGGACUAAAAAUCAGCAGACAUGGUCCUAUGUUAACACAUCUGUUUUUCGCGGAUGAUUCUAUCAUAUUUUGUAAGGCUAAUAAGAAUGAGGCGGCGGAAAUCAUGAAGGUGUUGAAAACAUAUGAAAAGGCCUCGGGGCAAUUGGUCAAUCUGGACAAAUCAGUAGUUUUUUUUAGCAAAAAUAUGGAUGAUGAGCAGAAGAAGGAGGUAUGCCUGACCUUAGGAGGAAUGGUAGAGGCUAAACAAGGCAAAUACCUGGGACUUCCAAUGGUAGUUUCAAGGUCUAAAGAGCAGAUCUUUGGCUUUGUGAGGGACAAUAUUAGGAAAAGAUGCCAGAAUUGGAAAAACAAACUUCUGAGUCCAGCAGGUAAGGAAGUGCUACUGAAUGCAGUUGUAAUGGCAAUGCCUACAUACGUGAUGUCUUGUUUUAAGCUGUCCAGAAGGUUGUGCAAAGAUAUCCGUGCUUUGAUGGCCAACUUUUGGUGGGGUGAAGCUAAUGGCAAGAAUAAAAUGCACUGGUUGUCUUGGGAAAGAUUGGCAAUGGCCAAAAGUGCAGGAGGUAUAGGAUUUAAGGAUAUUGAAGCUUUCAAUCAAGCGCUGCUAGGAAAACAAGUUUGGAGGAUACUUACUAAACCAAAUCUGUUGGUUAGUAAGGUGUUGAAAUCCAGAUAUUCUCCACAGGAAUCCAUUCUGCAGUGCAACAUCUCCAAAAAUGCAUCCUGGAUUUGGCAAGGACUCAUGGGGGCAAGAAGUUUAAUCACUGCUGGAAUGAUUAGAAGGAUAGGAAAUGGAAGGAGUACAAAUAUUUGGAGACACAAAUGGAUCCCAGACACUGAAACAGGGAAACCAACUACCAGUCGAGGGAAUCAUUGUGAGCUGGAAAAGGUAGAGGAGCUUAUUAGUCAGCAUAGGUGGAACAGAAAUAUUAUAUUCAGAUAUUUCAAUAGAAGUGAUGCUCAAAAAAUUCUAGCUAUUCCUCUGAGCCUGGCUGAUAGGGAGGAUAGCUUCUACUGGCAACCAAAGGAGGGAGGGGUAUACACUGUCAAUUCUGGAUAUAAGUUUCUGAUGAAGCAACACAGAAAGAGAGAUAGGUGCAGGCAGGGAGGAGCUAGCUCUAGCUAUACAGUAAGUGAUUCGCAUUUAGCUCAGAUGUGGAAUACACUUUGGAGGUUAAACAUCAAACAUAAAAUCAAGUUUUUCAUAUGGAAAUGUAUUCAAGGUGCUCUGCCUGUGAAAGCAGCAGUGUAUAGACGAACGGGGGUAGGGGAUCCGAUAUGUAAGAUGUGUGGAACAGCACAGGAAACAGUUGAACAUCUUCUGCUGACUUGCCCCCACACAGAAAACAUAUGGAAGGCUUCUCCCAUUCAGUGGGAUGGAGCAAAGGAGCAGCAGGGAGAUUUCAAAAGGUGGUGGCUAAGAAUCUCAGAAGCAAGGCACAGGACAGAAGGGAUGGAACACAUUGGCUUAACUGCGAACAUCCUGUGGCAGGUGUGGAAAGAAAGAAACAAAAGAGAAUUCGAGAACACUACCGUUGAUCCUCCCUUCAAAUAUAUAAGGAAAGCACAUUCUGAUUGGCUAGAGCAGCAGCAGCUAGAGUACAAGAGGGAAGGAGAGAGCACAGAAGAAACAGCCCCUAGGCAAGAAACUCAGGAUCAGAGUUAUGUAAAGGAAGGAGAAGUGCUAAUGGAGGUGUCUACAACCAUGAAACAAGGGCAGCUAUUCAUGGGAAUUGGAGUCACAGUUAAGUUUUUUGCAAGCAAUACGAUGAUAGGGUGGGUAAUGAAAGACAUCAGUUCUGGAAACAAACUCCUAGAUGAAGCUCUGGCGCUGAAACUAGUGCUGUGUAAAGCAGUGCAUCGUAAGUGGAGCAAUCUUAAGCUGAGAGUUGGUAACAAAGAACUGUGGAGACAAUUGAAACACCAGAGUCCAGCGGACAGCAGAAUGGCAACAGUACUUGAAGACAUCUCUCAGUUACAGAGAUUGUUUCGCAUGUGCUCUUUUGGUUUGAAUAGGGAAGAAGAAAUGAUAGUCAGUAAAAAAAUGAGUGUUGAUGCUUUAAGCAUUAUUGUGGAUGAGGAGCGACAGCUUCCUCAGUGUCUUUGAACACUAGUGUGUACAGUUCGAUCGAGCCGUUGCUCGUACUUGUAAAUUUUUUACCUUUAAAACAAUGAAAUCAUCUUAUCGUUUCGACCAAAAAAAAAAAGAAAAUGUGAUACUCAAAAACAAAUUUAUUAUGCAAAGUUUCAUAAAUUUUUGAUCAAUUUGACCAACAUUUUGAUUGUAGUCCUACCUAGUGAGUUUAAUGUGCUCAUAGAUGUUCUCAGAUCUUCAUCACAGGUUAUCCAUAUCCAAUCGUUAUCUUCAUCCUGAUACUCAAUUUUAAAACUUCCCACAGCUAGAUUCAGUCGCUGUUUUACCUUCUCCUCCAAAUCGAUUUUACGGGCAGAAAAUGGAAGUCUGAACUUUAUCAUGCACCCUUGAUAUUCUGCCUUCACCCACAUGCCAUUAUCAUCUUCUAACCUUAUUGCAUCCAACUGGUGGUGUUCAUGAGUAUCUUCAGUAGAAGGUUGAACAGUUUUCUGUACAGCAAAUGCUUGACUAACCUUUCUGUACAGUUUUCUGUACUCCCUACAUAUACGCUUCAAUGUAGAUCGACUAACUGCAGAUUUCAAAAAAGAAAGCUUCAGUUAAGGAAAAAGCCUUUACAACAUGUAAACUAGAUCUUUCCAAAUACAUCCCGAUCAAAUCACGAUGCAUUAACCAACAUUUGAUUUCAAUUCUCCAAUAUUAUUUGCAGCAUCUUCAAGUUUCCUCCUAGAAUUUUGUUCAAGAACCUCACGAGUAAUUCCAAGGUCGCUUUUUAGAGUACAACUGGGCUUUUGCAUUUUUAAAUUAGUCACUUCAUUGUCCCUUUGUUCUAUACUAGCACCUUCUCUUUGAGUAUCUUCCACAAUUGGUUCAUCAUGUGCUAUGCUGACCAUGUUUUGCGCGAGCUCCUGUCCAGUUGAAGAUCUAACAAUUCCAUUUUGCUGUUCAUAAAUACCAUUCGUAGAAUUGUGGGCAACAUCAACUCCUGCAAGAUUUAAUUCUUGAUAUGAUAUGUUGACAAAGCUCUGCACAUGCUCUGGUCUAGGUGGAGAUCCAACAAUCCCACUCUGCUGUGCAUGGACACCAUUUAUAUAAGCAUUUGCAGUGUCAACUUGCAUCAUUCCUUCUCCUCCUUGUGCUUUUGCAAGCCUAGGUGUAGAUCCAACACUUUCAUUCUGCUGUUCAUGGAUACCAUUCAUAGAACCAUUUGCAGCAUCAACUUGUUUAGAUGAAUAAUCAAGUUGCAUUUUGAAAACCUGGACACAUGUUAAAAGCUGAGAACUUGUACCACUACUACCUGCAUUCAUCACCAUUAAUCCCAAUUCAUCCGCCUUGAGCUAGAUUUCCUUUUUCUUUCAUCAAUCCAUAAUCAUCAGUUCCAUCUUUCAAAAAAGAAUCCCCUUUUUCAAUCCAUCAGCCACUAUCCUAUUACUCUCGGCCAAAAAAAAAUAAAAAUAAACCGACGGGAAACAGAGGAGGAGCCACUGCCACCGCUGGGUCGUCGAAGUUUGCCAAUACUACCACGGUUAUCAAGUCUUCAUUUAAAACGCCCUGUGAGCUAUUCUUUCCUUUCCAACUUUAACUUCAAUUUGAUAUUUUCUGACACCAUCUUUUGCUAGUUUCUUCUUGAAUUUUUUUAAUCUGGACUUAUUUGCAAUUUCCAUUGCUGAGUAUACUCUUUGGCUUUUGUUGGACUGAAAUCGUAUUUUGAUUACAAAUUUUGGGUCUUUCUCUUGGUGAAAUUGUAAGAGAUCUUUAGAAUUGUCGUAUGCCCAUCUACUGUUUGAAGAAAUGCCUAAACGAGUACUUGCAGUAAAGAGACAAAUCUCUUGUAUCUGUGCGCGUGGGGAGGAGCUCCGAUCAGUCCAACGCUGAUCGGAGCCCGUGAGUUCGCCAGAAAGCCAUCAAAGACCCAGAGAUUUUUUGUUUGGAUUCUCUUUUACAUUUUCCUUUUGUUCUAUUUUUGGGUUUUCAAUGGAAUUUGGUGUGUGUAUUGUGUGUUCGUGCGUGGGAGAGAGAGUGCGAAGUUGGACUCGCCGGAGAUGAUGAUUUCUAGGAUACGCAGCAGCAGGGACAAGUUGUGUCAAUGGAGAAGAUGACACAUUUGUGAUUUCACCCCAAAUUUUACAAUCUUUCGGAUUUACUACUGAACUUGUUUUAGGUAGUUUUAAUUAGGUCCUAAGACUAGGUUAGUCAACUUUUGUUUCAUCAGUCUUUCUAUUUGUCAAUUAACAUUUGUAAUUAGUUUAUUUUCUCUUUUUGGAAGUGAUGUAACCCAUAUGGGGCAUAGGAGCAAUUGAAUUUUGUAAUUUUCUUUCUCUUUUUCUUUUCUAUUUUUCCUUAAUUACUUUUUAUUUUGUCGCGUGUGAUUGAGUAGGUGGAGAGUGUGUUGUUUCGUGGCUUUUCCAACGGAAGCUUUGAAAUUAAGCAUUUUAUUUUAUUUCACUCUUUACAUGUUGUGCAUAUUGUUUUUACUUGUUUGGGUAUUUUGUGUUAAUUAAGUACAUGUUAUGUGCUUGGCAAUAGAUUGACUCAUUUUUGUCUUAGAAUUGAAGGAAUAAAAUUAAAUUCGCAAUCUGUUUUGUCAGGUGUGGGGGGUUGCUUGAGAAUAAAACUUCAACCUUAUCCCUUUCCCUUUCCUUGCAAAUGCAGCUUUCGAACUUAUUUCUUUAAUUUCAAAAAAUCCGGAGUUUUCUAAUUAAAGGGUAUUAGUUCGCAACGGAUCCUCUGUACCACAACCCUGUCUGACACCCUAUCCCACCCCUCAUAAACUUGCCAAGUGUCCUUUUAUUAACCCAAUCCUGAAACAACCCAACUCGAACCAUGUUUAAUUAUUUAACCGAUUAAUCGGGGUGAGAAACUUAAUCACACAAAACCAAAAUCCAUUAAACUAAAAACCCAAAAAACAAAAUUAAAGAUUAAACAAGGCACAAAAAAAAACCCCACAAGGCCACGAUUCUGGUUUCCCAUCAGAUUUCACUCCUCCUCAAAAGCUUCCGUCAGAUAUCACUCAUCAGCUCAUCAGAGAUCACUCACAAUUCAAAUGCCUGGUGGCAUGAUUUCGGCUGAUGAUCAUAUGCUAUGUCCUUCGUCACGAAGUCGAAGGAAAUCUGAUGGUGGAAUCGUGCGCCGUGUGAAAGCACAAAAAUCACCGUUCUUGACCGAGACUCAGGUUGUGCUCCAUCUCGGAACCUUGUGGGGUUAGGAGUAAAGCAUCCCAAGGUUAGCGCAUCUCUAAUAGCGUGGAGAAACAUUGGGAACCCCAAUUUCGUGGUCAUUCUCCGGAGCCCUUUCUUCAGGUUAUGAGUGAUCAAUGGGCAAUUGGACGAAGCUCCCCACCUGUUCGAUCAAAUGCCUAGGCGUCAUGAAUCAUUUUUUUCGUAGGUUUUUCUUGCCUUUGUUUUCCCGCAGUUUUCUUUGCCCAUUAUUCUGUCAUUCGGAUUUAUUGUGACUCCUUUCUGAAAUCUGUUCUCAAAUUAUAGCUGUCAUAGCCUUUAACUCUGAUGGUUGGUUGAUAUUCACUUAUAUAAUGAUGUGCAGCAGAUUAGUGAAUUGAGUUGAAUGAUGAAGUUGAUGAUGUGGUCUACUUAGCUGAUCUCUGUGUUGUUUCUAUAAUUCUUACAUGUAGUUAAGUGCGAUCUGCUAUGCCAAAGAGGUUUUAGAGGAAAACGGGACAUGAUUGUUUUGGUGAGGACAUGCUUUAGCCAAGGGAAACUGAUAUACCAGCUUUGUUUCUGGUCUUUGUUGUGCUUCCCCUGGUUACAUAUAUCUUGCUAGGAAAAUGGAGCGAGUCAACGAAAAAAAAAGAGAGGGUUAGUUUGCUUACUCAACAGGCAGCUGAAGAAAGUUAAGGUCUGAAUUAUAGGAGCAAUUCUAUUAUCAUUUAAACAGAUAGAGCAAAAAUAUUAAAUAGGAGUAAUGCAUCUGUUUGAAACAUUUCAGCAAAGAUUUUGUUUGCCAGUUCUUAAGCUGCUUGAUUGAUGAAUCUAAAUGGUGUAUUCUGGGCCUAGUCAUUCAUGAAAGUUUAUGGAUAAAUUUUUUUCUUUUAUUUUACAGAUGCUAUUUCGGUAUGAAGAUUUUGUGAAGUCCUUUCACUAUGAAGUUUUCAACAUGUCUCCAAGAGGUCUUAUAAAUUGUGGAAACAGGUAUUUCUUCAAAAUUUUUCCUGCUUUUCUUGUGCUUUUACAUAUCAAUAGCUCUAGAAAAAUUUUAUAGAUAUAGGAAAUGCACAGACUCUUAAUGCAAUAAUGUACUGAAACAAAUUUCAUAGGAUUUUUUAUUAUUUGUCAAGUAUAUUCAAGAUUUCUUUCAUUUUACUGUGCAGUUGUUAUGCCAAUGCUGUAUUGCAGUGUCUGACCACAAAGCCUCUCCUUCUGUUUCUGCUUCAGAGAUUGCAUUCUAGAGCUUGUUACGAUUGGUUUGAUUUACAAUGUCUUGCUUUUGCAUUCUAGAGACUUCCGAAGUAAAUUCUGCUUCAGAGAUUGCAUUCUAGGGGUUCAUGUUAUUUCGAUCCACUACUAUUACUGAAUAAGGGGUUGGCAUGCUUCCCUUCAAUGUUCGCGUGUUUUAAGCAUAUAUUGUUGCAGUAUCUUUGAGAGAGACUAGAGCUAUGCAGACUCAAGUUAAUUGUGUGUGAGAUCGUUAGCCUUUUGCUUUGAUUGUAAGAUGAUAAGUGAAAUCCCAAAUAUCUGGGAAGGUGUUGUGGAUAUUCCCCUUGUCUGAUUAAGUGCAGCUAAGAUGUUAUUUCGUGUCAAAGUUGAAAAUUAUUGGCUUUGGUCUCCAUGGAUUGCUUUUGUGGCUUUAAAACAUAACGUUGUGGUUUGAUUCCGCAAUUCUAGUUCAUUAUGUCCUGCACGUCAAUAUAAAUUUUGUAUAGCAAUUUUUUCAUUCUAGUUCAUUUUCUCUACGACUUUUAGCAUUAUUUGAAUUUUGGCAGCAUAAUCAUCAAUUUCAUUGUGCUCAAACCUCAGAAAGAGGAAAACAAAAAAUGGAAUGUGUAUAAAAAUCUAUGAUCCCUCUUCUACAAGGGAACAGAAAGAAAAGAGUGGAUAGAUUCCGAGGUGUAUAAAUGUAUAACUUCACACCAUCCAAGAUUUUUGCCCUGAUCAUUCAUGUUUAGCAACUUGUUGAUCACUAUCAUCAUUAUUUCCCAGUUCUUGUGCCUACAAAAAACAAAUGCUAAGUUAGCAAAUGUAUUGAAUUAUAAGUGUAACUUAUCAAACUAAUAUAUGCAGAAAACUCUUCACAGUGCAUACAGUGCAUUAGUCCUGAUCCCAUAUACAUAUACCAACCCUAAAUACAUCAAAUUUGGAUGAUCUGAUUAUGAAAAGCAGGAAAAGGUUAUUGUCAGCUGUGAUUAAAAUAUCACUAUCAUUGAGUUCACUAUCACAAAAAAACUCAUCCUUCAUUGAGCUUCAACGUGCAAAAAGUGCAUUAUUCCUGAUCCCAUAUAGAUAUACCGUAUGCACAGAAAAAGGUUAUUGUCAACAGUUUUUUCGUUCGGUAGAUCAACUUGCACCAGAUUAUCAAAGUCAUCUUUUACAGAAUUGUUCACUCCACUUGACUUUUCUACAUGUAAAAUAUAAAAACACCUCUACAUUUCAUUUUAAUCAUAGUUUGAUAGCAAGGGAGUGAUAGUGAUUAAUAAGAUUAAGUAAUUAAUCAAGAUUUUUUCUUACUUGGACAAAACUCAUUGACGCUGCUGGUGUGCUAUUGAACUUGAAGACAGCAAGUCAUAGCCUUGGUAGAAGUUAGGGUCCAACGUCUGCCCAAAAAAUAAGAAAUAGAAGACCACCCUUCAUUAUAAAAAUAGCUAUAUACUUGUAAAAGUAUAAUACUAUAAAAAAUUAAUAUAAAUAAGAAACAACACAAAUUAAAAGCAUAAUAUUUGCUUACUUGCAAUAAUUGUGUCAUGUUUUUAGGAUUUCGCCUAUUGUAAAUGUCUUCUAUUGGAAUUCCAAAUUCCUGAUAUAAUUAAAGAGAGACGACCACAAAUUAAAAUUUUCAUUGAAAAAAUAUAUCGUUAAUGUAGUUUAGUCAUCUAAAGAAUAAAUUAUUCAAAUAAAAAUUUAAAAUAAAUUACAUAUCUACUAUGCUAUACAAGACAAAAAUGACGAAUAACUAUACUUGCUCGGGUGGUAAUUCUCGAACAAAACCUUGAAUUGUAGCAGAAUCCAUACUUGAAUGAACAACAUUAUUUCCAAAUUCCUACAAUCAUUUUUAUCCAAAUUAUAAAUAAAGAUCCUAAUACUAUUUCUAUACUCAUCAUUCAUCAGACAACUAAGGAACCCAAAAAAAAAGUAAUAGUCAAACAAUCAAAAACCAUUGUUCACAUAAACUAAAUAAAUUGUCUAACCUGUAAUUUUUUCGAUGAAGACUUCUCUUUCACCUUGUACUUGCGUUUCUUAGUAGCCAUUUCCAGUGCACUUCUUGGCCUCUUGCUCGACUUGUAGGUGACUUUUUCUUUCACUUUGAUGCCUUUUAUUUUAUUAUAGGCAACUUCAGAUGGAUUAGUGUCAACAUCUUGAUACGCACUACAAUUUUCUUCAAUACGCACUUCUUUCAUUUUCUUUUUCCCUUGACAACAUGCAUCCAUUUGUUCUGACAUUUUCCAAAAUCCAUCUUUAGCAAUUUGAUAAGCUUCAUCACAUUCAGAAGCUUUUGUCAUCAGCUGCAUAUAUAGAUAGGAUAACUCUUUGUAACGAAAAUUUAAUUUUGCCUUUAACUCCAUUUCCGGGCUACUUUCACUGGAAACAUGCACAUUUCCUGUUUUGGCUGCUUUUGUCCAUCUCUUCAAUAUAUAUGCAUCCGGAAUUGUUACAAUAUUCAGAGUCAUCAAUAUUUUUAGUGCAUGUGAACACAAAAAUCCAGCAAAUUCAAAUUUCUUACAACUACAACAAAUUGAAUUCGUGGAUGAAUCAUAAGUUACAAGAUGGUGGGAAGUCUUACCAUGUGGUGUAACUCUGUAAAUCAUUUGAUUUCCUAAUUCACCAUCAACUUCCCACUUACAAUCAAUCCCUUUGCAUAGCUCCUCCUUAAAUUUUUCAUACACUUCAUGUGUAUAUACACUUGCUGCAUGCUGUAAAAUCCUACAAGGAAAUGUCAUUGCCGGUGUACUUUGAUUGCCUUUAAAAUCUGCUACGGAUUCAUCAUAGCGACGAUCAUCUAAUAGCCUUUGGAAGUGUUCAAAAAAUUCAAGUAAGCCAUGUUUAUAACUUACAUACUUCUUUAUCACACUGUUCAUGGACUCACUUCGUUGGGUUGUGGUCAUAUCAGCACAGAAGGUUUCUCUCCCAUACACUAAAGCCCAUUUCUCUUUUAUAUCAAACAUUUUCUUCAACCACUUGUUGUCUUCCAGACCAUACGUUUUUAGCAUUUCACUCCAUCCCUCAAAAAAAUCAUCCUCAUUUUCAUAGUCAUAUAUGCAGUGACUAAAAUCUGCCGCAAAAUUUUGAAAAUCUUUAAAGACAUCAGCUAGAUGCAUUGCUGCAUUUUGAUAGAUAUGCCAUAUACAUAAGCGGUGAUACGUUGUUGGCCAUUGAGAAGCCAAAGCCGUUGCCAUUCUUCCGUCCUGGUCUGUAAGAAUAGUUCUUGGUAUUUUUUCCAUCAUAGCCUUAGCAAAUGUGUCAAACAGCCAUUCAAAUGUCAGAAUUGUCUCAUCAUAUAAUAAAGCAGCCCCAAAAACAGUAGUUUGUUUAUGAUGAUUUACACCAACGAAUAAAGCAAUUGGCCUCCCAUCUUUGUGCUUUCUAUAAGUUGUAUCAAAACAAACCACAUCACCAAAAUGAGCAAAAUCCGUUCUCAUCUUUGCAUCAGCCCAAAAUAUGUUAGUUAUCAAGUCAUCUUCAUCUACUUGAAUGGCGUAAAAAAAAUUUGGAUCCUCUAAUUGCAUGCCUUGUAAGUACUCUAAGACUCCUCCUGUGUCACCUUGCAUCAUUGGUAUGGAUCUUUUGGAUCGUAAGUAAUUUUUUAAAUCAUCUCGAAUGAACCCAAGAUUUUCUCGUCCACCAACUUGUUUCGACAUCAGUUCAAUCGAUUAUUUUGGUGUAAUUCCGCAACUUCGGGCCAUAUCUAUUUCAGCUUCGUGUGCCAUUGUCAAAUGUCUAUGAGAUCUGAAUAAAUGAGUUUUGCUUGGAGUUGAUAGCUCAUGAUUAUGUUCAGCAACAAAUUGCACAACACGGUAUUUUCCACCUUUUCUACAGCUAAUUUUCAUCCUUGCACUGCAAUCACAUCUUGUUUCUGGACGAGGACACUUAACAAUCAUAUUGCGUUUGUCUUUUGGCUUUUUUCCUUCACGGGAGCAGCAAAAAACCCUGUCCAACAUCAAAUCACUAUUUUUGUCUUUAUGUCCCUUACUCAAUCGAGUUCCAAAACCAGAUGCUUUAGCAUAUUUUUGGUAAAAAUUUUUGGCUGCUACUUCAGUAUCGAAUUCCAUGUCAAGUUUCGGGACCAAGUCAUCAGGUAUAGCCAAAGGAAGAAAAAUUUGAUUUCCUUGAUUGCCAUCAGUAAUACAAAGAGGUAAGGCAUUAUCAUUUAUCUCCUGCAAGUCAACAUCUUCAAAGUCCAAUUUACGACAUGAUUGGACUUCAUGAGUUGGCAAAUCAUUCUCCAUAUUCCCCCAAAACCCAACAAAUGACCUGUAUCAAAUUACCGAAUACAAAUACAUAAUUUAUUACCCUUUUUGGUGAAAAGCAACAUGGUAGGGAAAAUCAUGCACCUAUUAAACCACAGAAAAGAAUGACUCAGCAAAUAGCACAGAGGAAAAUAUGUGAAAAAUGAGUAUGCAUUCAAGCUAUUCAUACACAAGAGAAGAGGCCCAAAACUAAUGCAUCAAAGUAUUCACAAAGAAAUGGCACAAUUUGCAAAGUCACCAGGAGAAAUAUCACACACACAACAGAAUUUCACUAGAAUAAAAUAACCCAUGCAAAAGUACUCGACCCAUGAAUGAAAAGUAGAUAUCCUCAUAGGGAAUGAUCAAACAAAGAGCAGAUAACUUACUGUAUAAACACCCAAACUAGAAUAUUAAAAAAUAAAUAAUAAACAGAAAAAAUGAAAUUCGUUAUUAAGUUCUCAUUUUCCCUCUCAACAGGAAAGACUACUAUGGCCAUGUAAUUAGUAUGUGAAGACUUUGUUUAAUAUUAUGUCUUCGUCAAUGAAAAAUUAUAGGUUUAUAAGCUGGAGUAGAAAUUCUUAGGGAAGCAAAUCGCUAGCACUAGAAAUUCUUAAAUAUUAUUACGGCACAUUGCCCUUAGGAAACCUUUGACAUUGUCAAGUCAUACUAAAUUAGGAUCCCUGUCGAAUCCUGACCACCAAAAAGAUUUAACAAAAAAGAAAAAGAAAAAGUCAUACUUAAUCAAUACUAGGCCAGACGCUGGCGUUUCUUGUGGAUUAAUCGCCGAAUAUAACUUUUGCCGAAUCAAUACCAUGUUGCUUUUCAUACCACUUUGGUGAUUCUAAAUUUACUAUUCUUCUUAUUAACCAAACUCUUAAUUGUUUUUGUAAUAGUUAAAAGCCUGGAUAGAAGCGGCACAUAAAUAACGCAAUUCGUUGCAUAUGAAGAGUACUUAUUUGAAGGAAAAUUCACCUACGUACCUUGCUCCGUUGAAGACUAGCUUUAGUUUAGGAGAAAAGGCUUCAGUUUAGGAAAAUUCACCUACGUCCCUUGCUCCGUGAAUAUUUCGUCAAAGCUGAAUGGUGAAGAUGAUGAACUCGGACAGCCCUGCUGCGUUGCGAUGAAGGUUUUGAGAAGGAUACCAAUCUGAUGGGAAACCAGAAUCGUGGCCUGCUGCGUUGAAUUGCACUUUGUUGUCCUGCCCGAAUUUUGUGAUGAAGCUUUUGAGGAGGAGUGAAAUCUGAUGGGAAACCAGAAUCGUGGCCUUGUGGGGUUUUUUUUUGUGCCUUGUUUAAUCUUUAAUUUUGUUUUUUGGGUUUUUAGUUUAAUGGAUUUUGGUUUUGUGUGAUUAAGUUUCUCACCCCGAUUAAUCGGUUAAAUAAUUAAACAUGGUUCGAGUUGGGUUGUUUCAGGAUUGGGUUAAUAAAAGGACACUUGGCAAGUUUAUGAGGGGUGGGAUAGGGUGUGAGACAGGAUUGUGGUACAGAGGAUCCGUUGCGGUAUUAGUUUGUGUUUUGAAGAUCAAAAGUUUUCAAUGACAUGGUAUAUCUAAAUCCAAUAUUGAGUGGCAAUUCAAAAAUUUUCAAAAACCCUUUUUCUAUACUCUAGCGGGCCUAAUUCUAUGGCUUUGUUAAGUUCUAAUGUGGGUCUUUUUUAAUUUUUCUUAUUUUUAUUUUGCAAAAGCCCAAAAAUCAUUUUAACCAAAAUUCUUAAGUUUUUAUCUUUUUAUUUUUAAAAAAAUGCGGGGGGACAGCUUCAACCAUUAGAACCAUGCGAAGGCUUUUGUACUUGUAGUCUUUUACCAUUUAAGUUCUAGUUGUUGCUUGCUUCCAUGUUAUUUCGCUUAUUCUUUCUAUCGGUCCUUUUUCUCAAAGCUUCCGAAUUGCUCUCUGAUGAGGAAAGAAAAAAGAUAAUAAUUCCCUCAUUAUAAGGGUAUUGUCUUUUUUCAUUUUUCUUUCUUCUUUUUCACCUUUUCUUUAUUAUCUUUACAUCUCUUUUCCUCAUCUUCCAAUCCUAAUUCUUUGUAUCAACUUCAACAAUUAUCUGUUAAAAAAAUUCCUUUUAUGGCAAAUAACUUUCUUACUAAAAAUAUUCGGCCAUCAUUAAUUAUAACAAGAUAAUAAAUAGCAUGUGUUAACAAUUUCAAGUAUUUUCUAUUGAUAUUAAUUUCUUCUUAUGCAUCAAUUUUUAUUAAAAAACAGAAAUUAUGAGAAAUAUUUUUACCGAGCAUAAACUUUUUAGUUUACAAAAUUUGAUAAUAAUUAGAUAUAUUAUAUGGAAAAAUAAAAGUAUAUAUAUUUGAACCUCAAAAGAAAAUAUUAAUAAGAAUAAAGAAGAAAUGGAGAAGAAAAUAGAAAGAUAAAUAUAAAAUCAUUUAUGGUCUAUGUAUAAUAUCUAAUUUUGAUGAUUAAUGAGUAAUUGUUAGUAAAAGUAUCAAGUGCUUGAAUUAUCGCUAUUUGAUUUCUCACUAUGGUUUAGGAUAACUAAAUAUUUUAUAAGAAAAUAACAAUAAAUGUUUAAUCACAAAGAGAAAUUGACUAGCACAUUUUCAUCGAGACUUAUAUAUUGUAACACAAAUAAAGGAGGAAAAGAGAAUUUAAAUAAAUAAAGGAAGAAGAAGAAAAAGGCAAAGGGUCACGAGACAAUCUUCCGAUAUAUGGGCAUAAUUGUCUUUUCGUACUCGUGUGUAUAUAUAUAUUUGACUUUUGGUCAUUCUAGGGCACUUUGUACACUUCGAGAUUACAGGGGAUAAUUUGCUACUCAUCUACAAGGGGCAAUAGGUGAUCAAAUCUUGGAGAUAUUAUUUUUUAGUGGGUAUUGGGUGAGAUUUGAAAAGGGCAUGGAAUUAGAGAUUAAACCUUGAAAAUAUGUCCAUGGAAAAUGUAUGAUAGCCUUUCUUUCAGUUCUUCUUGUUGUAGUCUUCCUGGUAAAAGUAAAUGAAAACGCAGAGAAAUUCUUCCCCAAUAUGUACAUCAACUUCGCAAGUUCCUCGAUUUCCCACCAUAUAAGCAUCUCAUGUGGGGCCCUGAUUGGGUGAAAGAGAUUGCGCCCCAAAAAAAAAUAAAAAAAUGAAAAAGUGCAAGAGAUUAAUCUUUACCUAUAAAGUAUAAAUCUCUAUUUUUAAGAUCGGGCGGAUCGGCCGAUCCGAUCGAUUGAAUCGGAACUAGCCAAUUGUCCGGUCCAAGUUAGUCCUAAAAAUCGGACAAAUAAAAAUUCGGUCAAAUCAGGUGAAAAACCGGGUUGAUCGGGUUUGACAGGAAAAAACAGAAGAACCAAGAAUAAGUGUUGUCAAGGUUCUUUUUUUUUCGAAAAAGGUCAAAGUAUUUUUAAUAUUAUGUUUUGACUCCUAAGUUAUUAAAAAUUAUUAAUAUAUCUCAAAUAUUUCUUAAAGUUUGGUGUUAUUUUUCAAUUAAGUCCAUAAUUUUAAUUCUAAAAUUGUUAAUAUUAAUUAAAUAAUAUAAAUUGCUACUUGAAUGUUCUAAUUUCUUUGUAUUUUCUUGUUAAUUAUAUUUAAAAUAUCAAAUAUAUAUGAAUAUACCUUUAUUAAUAUUAAUAUGCUCUUAGAUACUUUACAUAUAAUAUUUUAAUUUUUAAAUAAUUUGUAUUUAUGACAGCAUCCGAUUCAAUCCUGAUCUAAUUUGAUCGAAUCCAUUGACCCCUAACCCCUGAAUUUGAUCGAGUCGAUAUCAGUCUGAGUCUGAAAAACAUAGGUAUAAACGAUAGCUAACUUCUUCAUGAAGUGUUGGAACAGCGUGAAGAACAAUUUGGACGACUAUUUCUUAUUGGUUGUUUGCUUCCUCGUUAUGUCACUUGUACUUGUUUCUGUCGGUCCUUUUACUCUUGUCAUCCAUUGACUCUAUGAAGCUUUGAAGUCUUCGAGUGUAUAUAUAUGAUAUAUGCAAGGUUACCUAAACAGAACAGAAGAUAAAACCGAUGGAGUGGUGAGAAACUGUCAGAAUCGGAGAGCAGGAUGGAUCCAGAAGAUUAAUGGCAAUAUAAUGGAAGCUCAAACUUCUCCCUCUCCCCCUUUUAUAACGGCAGGUUUGGGGCCUUGUGAACUAUCAUGCUCCCAACUCCAUUCAACUAUCCUUUAUUAUCAGCAGUGGGUUUUCUGGAGCGCAUUUUGCUAUGACAAGUACACUGCGGCAAGCCUCGUGUCGCCGCCGCCGCCAGUAAGUUCCAACCUACAAUGUACGUAUUUGGAUAUUUUUGUUGGAGUAUUUAUCACAAUUAAAUUUGUCAUAGCUACAUAUAGUCUGACUCUGAUAAAACUCCUGGAUUCGAACAAUUUAGAAGAGAAAACAAUUCUAGUAACUAUUAGUUUGAUGACAAAUUAAACACGAUUACAUGGAUGUUAAGAGAGAUACAAAGGCUAGGGCAUCCUUUAAUUUUUCUUUUUUUUUUACUGAUUUUCCUAUUGCAGCUGCUGACGGUGCCGUGAUUAAGAACCAGAUCAUACGGUUUCUACAACUUCUUAUGCUAAUAAGUUAUUGGAAGGGUUUAGUUCAGCUUUGGGGUUUAGUUCAGCUUUGGGGUUUAGUGAAGAUUGGCGACAAAACGAAUUUGACAACUUGUGACCAGCCUUUUGCUCUCAGGUACUUCAAUGAUCAAGACGUCCAGAAACUAUGUGAAUAUAGGAAGCACUGUUUGGAUUACUUAAUACCCGUGGAUGAUGAUGAGGAUGAGAUUGGUCCCCCUGGUCGGGUGUUCUGCGGUGGAUUCCCAGAAUAUGUAGGUGAUGUGGGAGAUUACACUAGUAGAGAGUAUCUUCAGCGUGAUUUUGCGGUCGACCGUACGUGUCAAGGAUACUGGGUGUUGCCAAUCUAUCAUCCUACUCGGCACCUCCCCAGUGGUGUACUCGAAAUUGCAUCACCAUUAGGUUUGCACUUUUUUCGAUAUCAGGUUCUGGAGAAGCUUCAGGUUCGACUUUUCUCUUUUUAAGUUGCUUAAUUACUUCUUUCCUAUUGCUGACAAGGACCUGGGGUGUUGCGUGGUAGUAGGAGAGGUGUUUUUAUAAAUUAAUCUAAUGAAAGGUCUCUUUUGCAUUGUGUCAAUAACCAAUUUUUUAACUGCUUAUAACUGUGAAAACUACGGUCUGUCACUCUAAUAUUAAUUUUCUCUUUUUAAGUUAUUUUUUAAGAGAAAGAAGUUGUUGCUAAAAAAUUAUAGCAUUUCAAGGAGUUUUUGGCUUUUGGAACUUCUAUACCAAAAUUAGUUGAGUAAGCAUACAAAGAGCCUGUCUUAUUGGUUUUUUUUUUUUUUUUGGUGGGUGCAAAUUCGUUGUUGUCAGACAUCUUUUAAAAGCCAAAGCAAACACUUUGAAACUUGUAACUAACACUUUAUUUAAGGUGCAUAUAUAAUGUGUUUGUCAAAAUCCACUGCAGAGGGUGAAUCUAACAACUACUUGUGCAAGACUCGGGGAAAUAAGUUCAUGUGAGUACCUUAAAUAUUUUUUUUCUCCUUUUAUACUACAUAAUCUUGGCUGAAGCUUUAAGCUAUGCAUUCCAUGCUAAUACUUUUAAGCCAUUCUCUUCCAAAAGUGCAUGUUUUUGUAGGGAUGUAAGACAGUUAAGCAUAACAGAGUACCCGUUGGUACCCACUGCACGAAGCUACAAGUGCUCUGCCUGUUUUGCAGUUUGUUUGCAGAGCUCUUGCUCGAGCAAUUGCAUUUACGUAUUGGAGUUCUUUUUACCUGGGAAUAAAAAAGACUAUGGGGUUCCUAGGACAUUGUUGCGCAUGCUAAUGGAAACAUUGAAAGAACACCUCCAAAGUUCUUUUAAGAUCGCUUCAGGACAAGAACUGGGGCAGAAAUUGACCGUUGAGGUUAUAAAAGUCUCUCCAGAGGAUGAAUUUGAUUCUUUUGAAAACCGCAGUACUAUUGGUAUCAAAUCUACUCCUAGGCUUGAAGAAGUACAAGGAGGAGAAGGAUGAAUAUAGUAAAUCUCCUCGUGUUUAUAUACAGGUCAAGAAAUCUCCUUAAUAUUCGAAAACACCCAUCGAACCUUCCUAUGCUUUGGAUUAAAUUGGGAUUUGGACGGAAAAUGUUCAAAUUAACCACACUCGCUUAAUACAUGAAUAUGAUUGUCCAUCGCGAUUUUUUGCCUAAAAGUUGGAACUUUUCUUCCAAAAUACCUUCUUUUUUUUUUUUUUAUUCCUUUUGCUUUCCUUCUCUCUUGCAUUGAAUUGAAAUAGGGGUGAGCAAAUUUGGUACAUACCGAAUUCAUAACCGAAUUCAAAUUCAAUUUAGUAAUUUGAAAUCGGACAUUUGGUAAUUUGGUACAAAUUCGGUACGUACCGAAUUCACUAAAUUCUAAUAUGGUAUGAAAUAGGUAAUGAGAUUAUGAAUUUGGUACCAACCGAUUUUGCAUUCAAAUUUGGUAAAAUGAAAUAGGGUACCGCGUUACCGCAGUUGAAUACCGAAUUAGUUUAUAAAAUUAUAUAAUAUAUAGAUAAAUGCUAUUUAGUAUUAGUAUAUACUACUAAUAUAUUAUUAUAUUAUAUAGGUAAAUGCUAUUAAUAAUAGUUAGUAUAUGGUAUUAUCAUGUACUUAUAAUAAUAAUAAUAUUUAAUAAUGUACAAUAUAUUAUUUUAAUAUUUGUUAAUUGUUAUAUGACUAUAAUAAUACAAAUAUAUAGUAAUACAUAACAAUAUAACAUAAGUACAACACUUAUUAUUUUAUACAUGAGUAAUAUGACUAGAAUUAGAUAAUAAUUAAUACAUAUAUGUAUAAUACUAAAUAUUAAACAAUAAACAUAAUUAGUAAUUAGAAUUUAGAUAUUGGUAAUUUGAUACAUCAUUCAUGUUUGAAUUAUUGAAUAUUUGAAUGCGUAACCUGUAACUUAUAAGUAUUAGUGUGCUCUAAAUUUACAUUAUCUAUUUAACAUAAAAAUUCAUAUUUUCUAUUCACUAAUCUUAAGCCUUUAAGUAUAGACAAGACAACUAAGCAGUGUAAGUGAAUGCAUAUGAAUUGCAAAUCAAUGUAUUAGUGUAUUGACUUUCACAAUAACAUAUGUAAGUAAAUAAUUUUUAUUUUGAUUUGAAAUAAAUUAUAAGUUUAUAACUAAUAUAACUUAUCACUAAUCAUUGUAAUUUGUAAGUUUGUAACUAAUAUUACUUAUUAUUAAUCAUUGUAAAUUAUAAAUUCAUAAAUCAUCACUAAUCAUUGUACAGUCUAAGGUUUAUUCUAGUUUAAAUUAAUCACUUUUUAUGUGUUCCUUAAAUCAUAGACUAAGGAUUCUAGGUAUAAGUGAUCAAAUAAAUGCCAAUUAAAUCACAAAAUGAUUAGAACAUAAGUAAUGUGUUAAAUUAUGAAUAAAUUUGGGGAUCAAAUCAGUAAUAAUUUUUAAAUUAUUGAGGAACAUAAUGAAUGUAUUAUAAUUUAGGAGCCCUAAUUUGUAAAUUAAAAAUUACACAAUCACUUCCUUCAGUUGAGGUGAAUUUGGGAAAAGUCGGGUUAUUAGGUUAUCACUUAUCAUUUAGGAGCCCCAAUUUUUUUUUUUUAAUAAAUGAAUUCGGUUUAACCAUUUCCAAAUUCGAAAUCGGUUACGAAAUGAAUUCAGUAAUAGCCAAUUCGAAAUUGAAAGCGGUUUAAAUUUUUAUAAGUCAAAUAACCGAAUUCAACUAACUCAUGAAUUAUCGAAUUUGUACCGUUUGCUCACCCCUAAAUUGAAAUAGGAAGUCAGAAACAUGCAUUUUCUCCCCCACCCCUUCCUUCCCUUUAUUACUUUCUUUCUCUUCCUUCUCUCUUUUCCUUUCCCUUUUUUUUUCUUUUGUCUUUUUUUUUCCUUUCUCCAACUCACGAACCAGAACAUCAUUUUUCCUUUGUCUUCUUUUCUCUUUUUAGUCUUAAUUUUCAAUUCUCCUCCCAAUCUAAUUCCUACAACAAUGGAGAUGCUGCUGCCGUCAGCCACUUACCGUCGCUGUCAGCCUCCUGCUGCCGCCAUCCCAUCACUUUAGAUCAAAACUUCACAAAAUCUUCAAUUCAAAUUCUAUUUUUCAUGUAGAUUUGAAUUAUGGCAUCCAACUUGGCUAAAAAUGGCUAGAAAGUAGUUCAACAGGCGUAUAAUCAAAAUAGAUCUAGUCCUCUAUUUCCACCAAAUCACCACUAAAUUUAGUAAAAUUCAUAAUAAAAUCAUCCUUAGGAGCCAUAGAUCGAAUUUAUAGCAUCAAUUUAACACAAAAAAUGCAUGAUAAUGAUGAUAAAAAUGAUGAAGAUGACCUAGAGAGGCGGUGGUGGAGAUGGCUGAUAUAGAUGGUGACUAUACAAUGAUGAAGAUAAUGAUGACGAGAUGACGAUGGUGGAAGUACCAGCCUUCAUGGUGUUGGCUGGAUUAAAUGAAGGAAGACGAAAAGAAAAGGAAAUAAGAAGAAAAAAAUGUAAAACAGAAAAACAAAUGAAAAAAUAAACAAGUUUUUUAAAUCUUAGUUGAGCCUAAAUUUUACUUUCUUCUUAAUUGAUUCAAGAAAGCUUUUAAAAUUUUAAUUGAGUCCUUCACCAAUUUUUGGUAUAGUUUGAAAACAAGGUUAGUAGGUGAAUUUUACAUAUUUUCGUUAAUUUGGAUGGUUUCCGUUUGACUUCCAGAUUAGUCCAAACCAUCGGGAGUCAUUUGGAUGUUUCUAAAUAAUAAGGAGGUUUUGUGACUUUAGACAAAACGACAAGGGGUUUUAGUGUAUUUUACCAUAUUUUUAAUUUUUUUAUCAUUUGUCAUUUAUCUACUCUACUUCUACUCCUACUUCAAUCUAAUCUAGGGACUAGGGAGAGAUCUAACUGGGCCUACAGAAAAAUCGACGGCGCUGAACUAUUAUGGUACUAGACGAAUGCACUAUGCACCCUAUUUUUAUUUGUUGUUUGAGAAGAUUAUUUCAAUUGCAAGAUUGCUACAAAUUUGGAUGUUUUUGUUAAAUUCUUUUCUUUUUGGUUUUUCAAUGAGGUGUGAUUACUUCUCUUUGUAUUCUGAAAAUAUAAAUUUAGGGAAUUGUGGAGAAUCGGCUAAAAAAAAAAGUCACAGCAGUAAAACACAGAGAGAUUAGAAGAUGUCUAAAGAAAGAUGGACUAAAAAGAAAAUACUCUAGUUAAAACCCAAAGGAGUGAGCCAAAAAGAUAGAGUAAAAAGAAAGCAUUUAAAACAGAAGUUCGAAUGUAAAAGUUUGGUGGUCAUAGUGAAUUUUUAAGAUUAAAAUAGUUUUUUACUUUAAGGGUACUUUUGUCACUCAACCAAAGUUGCUCUCAUUGUAUAUCAUUUGUUUUGACAAUAACACUGGCCUUUUAUCAAUUUUUUUUUGAAUGACUAGGAAGAAAACGUAUACAUAUCCUUUCCAUGCUAAUUAAAAAGAUGAAAAUGAAAAUGAAAUAUUAACUUAUGAUUUAUACACAUAUAAAAUAUUAAAUUUAUAACAGCCGAAAGAAUUCUUGAAUCUUUUUUUUUCACUUAAGUAAUCUAGGGAGGGAACAUAAAGGAAAUUGUUAUUUUUUUCUUAAAUUUUUUAGUAGGGAAGAGGUGGAUUUAAGUAAGGGUGAGGAAGAAAGGGGAUUUGAACGCAUGCAAUGGAGAGGAGUUUGACCCAGUACUAACAUGGUAGUGGAGAGAAACUACCACCUUAAUAAAUUUAAUUUAAAAAUUAUUUUAAAAAUCAACACCAUUCUUAAUAUAAUCCAUCACUUUUGUUAGUUAUACAUAAAAUUUUGUAUGAAAUUGACUAAGUUUUACCAUUUGAUUAAUCAUUACUAAUUUUGUGUACAAUUUUGACUCAUUUUUCAUUCAAAUGUUUCAAAAAAAAUUGAAUGCCAAAAUAUUCUUUAAAAAAAAAUCAUUUUUUAGCAUAUUGAUCUGGAGAUCAAAAGAAAGUCAAUGGCACAGUUGGAUGAUUUAUAAAAUUUUAAUAAUUUAAAUAGAAGUAAAUUGAGAGAUCAAUGGAGAGAAUCCCAUCCCAUCAUGUAAAAUCAAUUAUAGGAUUGGCAUUAAAAUUAGCUAAAUAAAAAUGUGUUACAGAUUGGUGAAAUUUGAAUUAUAAUAGAAGGUUGAGGUUCAUAUAUUCAUUAAAAAUACAAGUUAGUAAUGCCAAGUAUCACAACAUAAAAAAAAAAAGUCACUGGUGAUAAGAUGACGUUCACCCUACCAAUUAAAUCACUUCAUUAGUUUGUACAUUUUAAAAAUUUGAAUACAGAGUUCUAAUCCAUGAGAUCUAAGUACAUAUUUAGUUGUCUUUAAGAGGCUUUAAGGGUCUGGCUCAUAUUUUUAGAGGUGAAAAUAUGGGAUCACUCGCUAGGUUUUUUGGAAUUACAGAAGCUCCAGAAAUUUCUAGUUGUCAUAAGCCAUUUUAUACUAAAUAAAUAAACAAAAGAUCACAGUUGCAGUUUUUCUCCAAUUUUUGGUGGGCUUAUGAAGUUUAAGGCAUCGCUACUUCCAAAAUCUCAGCCUUUCAACUUUCAAUGGAAUCACUAGUUACUACAUUAGUUACUUUUGGUAUCAAGAAAUAUGGAAACUGCACUUUUGGAAGCAAGACUAUAUUUAGUUUCCAUAUAACGUACCUACCUAAAAAACAGCAGAUUCCCCAUUCGAUAUCUUUCCUUCAACUACGUUCAAAUAGGGAAACCAACGAAUAUGGCAACUUCUGUAUAUAAUACUAGAAUCUCUUCCCCAAAUGUCUAUAUAAACAGGGAUGCAUGCAGUCCAACAACUACAACAAAGCAUAGAUCUCUUUACAGAAGAAAUUUUGGUACAACACCAUCACCCGAUUUCACCAAUGUCUUUUUUACGAAAGCUUGUGAAGAAUCCAGCGAGGAAACAUUACAAAACUAAGUUUGAUCCUGAGUUGGGCACCUAUUAUUGCCCUUGCGACUACCACGAACGGGAGCAAGAGAAAAAGAGGCAAAAGCAGGCUGCAAGGGGAGUGCAAAAUGCCGUGAAUUAUUAUGAUCGCGAUGCGUACGUGAAUCGAGAGACCUAUUACUCCGGCUGUAGCUCACAUGACUACUCCCAAACCCAUGAUCAUGAAUAUCAUCACUGUUCUCAAGAGCCCGGGACGUGUUCCUCGCAGAGCCCUGAGCCCGAGCCCGAGCCUGAGCCUGAGCCUGAGCCUGAGCCUGAGCCUGGGAUGUAUUUAACUUGGAAGCCUGAGGUGGAGCAGGAGUCGCAAUACAGUACUGAAUCUGAAUACCAUUCUGCACAUGAGAACGAUAAUUCUGAGGGUAACAGGCGGGAUGAGAAUACUAAUACCCGUAGCUGGCGUUAUGGGGAUGAUAUUUAUGGAGACCGUGAUCAGUGGGAAGCCAAUUCCAGCAUAGAGUUCUAUAAAUUUUUGGGGUGGUCAUGAGAUUUUAGAUGAUGUUUUGAUUCAAUUAUUUAGCAGAGUUCUAUAAAUCUGCCAAGCAGUUUUAUGUAGGUUGAUUACUAGUCUUAAUUUUUUCGAACGUCAUUUAUACUUGAUAGUUUCUGUCACUAGUAGUCAAGUACUUAAGCAAUAGGAUUUUUCAACUUCGGAUUCACUAUCUGUUUCUUUUAUUCUUGAUAUAUAAUAAAACUUGAGUCCAUGAUUUUGUUGUUUAUGUAUCAUCUUUCCAGUAUCUGAAUUCUAGAUAAUGCCUUGCAAAUUAAAGGUCCAUUGACUAUACUCCAAAAUGAUGAGGAUUUACUAAUAAUGUUGACCAAUUAGAAGAAAUACCACACUUGCAAAAAAGAUGAACUUCAUAAAUACUAUAUUUGCAAAAAAGAUGAACUUCAUAAACGUGUAAUCAACUAAGCCAAAACAGAUUGACAAAUAACAUGUUUUGAUUUCCUUAGUGGAUGUUUUGAUUAUUGGAAGCACAAAUUUUCGAGUUUUUGGGUAUAAAUGAACAUUUUUUCAGAAACAUAAUGGAAAUAAGGAAAUUACCUAUUUACUUCACCCGUUCCUCAAAAUAAAAAACUCUUUGUUGUUGUUCAUUCAUUUUCAAACUUCCAUUUGUCUCGGAGGUUUCCUUUUUGGCAGGUUUAUAUAGUAUUCCUUUUCUAUUUUUUUCUGUUGGGUUAGUCCUGAAUAAGAGCUAUUGAUAAAUCGAUAUGGCUAAUGCAGGUCUAUCACGAGUACCUAAGAGAUGCUUGACGGAUCUCAAGUGUUAAUUUUUUUAAUGAAAAAGUAUAGUUAAUUUGAGAAAGUAUCAACAUUUAGAAAGUAUAAUAAUUGUGAUUAUGAUGUGUAUUCACAUGGUAAAUAAGGUGUAAUUUAAGUGUACUAACGAGUGCAGCCAUUAAAAAAUGUUGUUUUAAAUUUUAACAUCAGAACUCGAAAGAGGAAAGGAAAAAUAUAUAAUGUUCGAUCCGUACUAAUAACUUUGGAUUAACUAUUUUGAACCCGUUGUUUCAGUUUAAAAAGGUAAUGGGCCAACUCAAUGGCUAUGGGGUGUUACAAUUGGUAUCAGAGCAAACCUUACAUAAUCUCUGCACGAAGUGAGCCCGGGGCCAAGUGGUGUGGUUUUGACUACACAAGAAAGUGUAAAGAAUUAAGUGCUGCACGAGACUAAGUGUCACGUUGGACGGAAGUCAUCUCUAGAACCCAUACGAGCCAUCUUUAGAAUCCGCGCAAGACUAAGGUCCAUUGGAUUGCAAUGAAUUUUGCAAGGUCGCAAAGUUCUAAAAGGUGGGGAGAGUGUAAUAUCCCACAUCAAAACUCGGAAGAGGAAAGGAAAUAUAUAUAACGUUCAAUUACUAAUAACUUUGGACGAAUCAUUUUGAACCUGUGGUUUUAGCUCAAAAAAGUAUUAGGUCAACCUGAUAGGCACUGGCCGUUAUAAAUGGUAUCAGAGUGAAUUUCGCUUGGUCUCUGCAUGGGGUGAGUCUAGGACCAAGUGGUGUGUUUCCGACUAUGCAAAAACUACAAGAAACUAAGUGCCGUGUGAGACUAAGUGCAAAAUUGGACAGGGCCACUUUUAGAGCCCAUACGAAUUACCUCUAGAAUCCGCACAUAACUAAGUGGUUAGUUGGAUCGCAAUGGCCUUUGCGAGGUCGCAAAAUUCUUAAGGUAGCGAAAGUGUGAUAUCCCACGUCAAAACUUGGAAAAGAAAAGGAAAAAUAUACGUUCGAUCUGUCGGGUUACUAAUAAUUUUGGGUUAAACAUUUUGAACCCGUAGUUUCAACUCAAAAAGGUAUUGGCCCAACCCGGCGGGCGUGCGGGCAUUACAUUUAUUGUGAAUGAUUAAUUGGCUUAAUUGUUAUGUGAAUUUUUUUUUAUAGUAUAUUGCUUGAUUCUGGUGCGCAUUCAACCGUAGCAGUACCAGUUUCGGAGGGAAAUGCACUUCUUCGUGCAAUUUCUCGAUCAAGUUUUGGUGGCCGCGAUCUUUUGGAUCAUCUAACAGCUCUAAUAACUGAGGCGCCUCACGAUUCUUGUUUUUGUGCAGACAGAUAAUGAAACUUGUGCAGAAUAAAGCAGCUUACGUUGCUCUGAACAUCCAGCAAGAACUGGAGUUAGCAAAGAAAAUUCCUUCACCAGUUAAUGAGGAAUAUGAGUUGCCUUGCGGGCAUUUCAUGAAUUUCCGUUCACAGAGAUUUCGAAAUCCCGAGGCUCUCUUCCAGCCUUCUUCGGCAAGAUUCGUUAAAGAUAGGGAAAACGUAGGUGUGCAUAAAAUGAUCUUCAACAGCAUCAUGAAAUGUGACAUUGGUAUCAGGAAUUAUUUGUUUAAGAACAUUAUGCUUACUGUUGGCUCGACUUUGUUUCCUGGUUUUGUAGAGGGUAUUACCAAAGAAAUUUUGGAGCUUGGCAGCUCAACUUUAGCUUUCAAAUUUUCUGAUCUAAUCGCUAGAGAAAUCAAUCAUAAAUUUGCCAAUAAGAUGUUCAGGAAUGUGGCACCGCCCAAUAGGAUGUACAAUGCAGGUGUUGGAGGUUCAGCUCUAGCAUUACUCAACACUUUCGAACGGUAAGUCCUUUUAAGACUCAAUUUUAUGUUAAUUUUUGCCAAGUUUCUGGUACCUAAUUCAUCAGCAGUUAACAUGGUCUUGAUUAUUGGUGACGUGGUUUAGGUCAGAGUUUUCUGUAUAAUGACACAUACUAAUCACCAAUAUACAAUUCAUUAGUCUAAAUGGAGAGGGGUUUGAUCAAAAAGGGUAUAAUAAUCAAGGUUGAGACUUUUGAAUAUAAAGUAUCUUUUGCACUGCAAAAGCAAACUUGCAGCAUAUAGGAAUUAGCAAAAGUUUCUAAAACCUAUUGAAUGAGAUAAUUUCACACUAGAUAAAAUUUACAUAAGAUCGUGAGGAUCUUUGUUUUAAAACCAAUUAUUAAAUUUAUUAAAUAGUUGAUCCCAACCGAAAUAAAAUUUCUUCCUAAAUUUGGUCUCUGGGUCAAUAAGACUGAUUACUCCUGCUUAUUGAAAGGUGUGUUAUUCCUCUUUCACCAAAACAUGUUGUAAUAAACAAGAAAAGGAUUUGUAUUUGAAUUGAUGAAUCGUUCCCAAUGGUUUAGCAAUUUGACAAUCAAAGUGGUGAUAUAGGCUUACUUUUUGGUCAUUAAGUUACUUUCAUCAAGAUCAAAGAAAUAACAAUGUCUUAGAGCAGCGUGCACAAUUUUAAGACCCCAGCAUCAUACUUCACAUAAAGUGGACAAUCCUUCCUAACAAACCUUGAAAGUCAUUGCAAUCUCAAACGAGCAUUUGUAUGCAUAUGCAAGCUUACAGAAGUAAAACCUAUGUGAUUUUGACAAAAUACCUCUGUGAUUUUGACAAAAUAUAUUUUAGGGUGUUUUUUUUAUAAAAGAAAAACUCUAUUAGAAAAUCUUUCCAUGGGAUGCCUUUAGGGUGAUUUUAGAAAUCGUUUGGUAUUUUUGUAUAGGAUAAUACACCAUCUCCGAUAUGCCAAACGGAACUUUAUACCCUUUUUCUCCAUAGAUCCUUUUAAUGUGUUUUUUGAACGUUUUUACUUAAAUAUGCUUUUUAAGAAAUUGUAUUUGUAUAAACUCCACACAAGGGUCCAAAAAAAAUUGGCUUUCAAACAAAUCCACGUCCAAGGCUGCUAUUAUAUAUGUCUUUUUGGAAAAUGAUAAGAAGACUAAGAAGUUAUAAAAGAAGAUUGAUUGCCCAUUACUAAGAAGCUAAUUUCUACUGAAUUUUCCAGAUGUGCAUCUCAAGGUCUGAAUACUCGGAACGGAGACCGUCUGUGGUGCACCAAAACUACUUAUGAGCUUUAUAAUCGCUGAAGUAAAUUAUUGCUUCCAUCAAUAAAAUAAAAUAUGCAGUGUAUUUUUUGUUAUUCCUUUCUGUUGAAGAAUGGCAUAGAGUUGAAAUUCAAACUUUUAGUAGAACCACAAACUAGCUCAAUGAGAGGUCUUGUUUACAUUUUGAAGUGUAAUGUAAUCCAUGUUCGAUCUAGUGAUCAGGAAGGAUUUUUAGAAUCUUUUCCACUAUGACAUUUAUGGUUCAAAUUUUGUGUGUGAUAGUCAAGAAUAGGAAGAAGGGGUGGGACAGUAAUUAAAAAAAAGUAUUCCAUUAAUUGAUAAAUACAUAAUUAAAUUUAUCAUUGUACAAAUAUUGAAAAGUUUCCCAAUUUUAAACGUUUAGAAAAUAGGGUUCUGUUUAAUUUAGUUCCACAUGGAGCAGUUUUGUAAUUGAACUGAAGAGAUCACAUUCCUUCAAAAAAAAAAAAAAAAAAAAACUGGAGAUCAUAUCUAAGUGAUGUAUAGCUUUUCAUGGGCCCAAGUUCCCCUAGAAUAAUGCUAGAUCUGGGCCUGGUAGCAUUAGGAUAAUGCUGCAUUCGGGCUCUUAUUGACCAAGCUUGGGCAGGUCUUCAACGAUUUCCUGAUUUCAAUCACAAUCUCAUAGUAAUUAAACCCGGCCGGAGACCAACCCAAUGUGGCAAUCAGUUUAAUGAUUCAGCGAUUCAAUCGUGGGUGCAACAGUUGAUCUGUUUCUUAUUUAAUUUAAAAAUAAAAUGAUAUAUAUAUUUUGUUUAAAGUAAUAUGAUCAAUGUAUAGAUGGUUGAAUCGAUCAGUUUUCUAGAUCUUAUCGGCUAAACCAAAGGGGUGAAUGAGUAAUCAACUAGUUUCUUUGUUGAUCAAUAUAAUUACUAAUUCAGACUCGUCUAGUUUGGUUUAUUAGGUAGACCGGUUGAACCGUCAGACUGGGUUUGAUAAUUAUGCACAACCUACUAUUGAGCCCAAUUGAAAAACAAGUAUUUUGAGUUCGCAAUCUUUUGCUCCAAAAUUCCCAUGUAGACACUUCCAAAGUUUAUAAAGAUGUUGCUUCUAAUUUCAAUAUUGGUUAUAAAAUUUAGUUAGUAAAUUUGGUCAUUGGUUAAACAAUCUGGAAAAGAAAUUUAAAGCAAACCAACUUAUGCUUGAGACCUCACCCAUCGCGAAGAUUUAAGCUGAGAUAUUUUUCUUAACAAUAUGAGUGCAACAAAUUACUUCACCAGAUUCAUCUCAAUUUGGUGCAAAUUUUUCCGAUCAACUUAAUAGAAGAUAGUGACAAAAACUCGUCUCUUUUCCUAUACAAUUUCCUGAAUCCCCUGCUUCCUCAACUCUCAGUAGCUGCAGCUAUGCAAUACAAAAAAAAAAAAAAAACACCCUUUUGGGGAGAAUUCGGAGGAUGCCAAAGGGAAGUUCUGUAAUUUAUAAGUAGGGGAUGUUCCAUAAUUCAUAAUUAGGAUUCAAGUUUUAGCACAGUUUGUUAAUGGAAAUUCGAAAACUAUUCCUUGAAUUAAACGUAUGGUAAACUGGCUGCAGAAUUUAUCCUUAUCCCACUAACAAGCCAACUGUUGAUGACAAAUCAAUCCAUCCAAAAUUGCAAAAAUAAAAAGUUAAUAUGAGCUGCCUCAUGACCAAAUUGAUUUCAACAGCAACAAACUCUAAAGCUUCCCGAAAAUUUCAAGCCUUUCUGCAAAGUAUCAAACGAAUACUUUUGAAAGCUUCUAGAAAAUUUUCUUUGUUUUGAAAAUAAAACAAGAAAGAACUAAAAUGCAUCAUAAAGUAUUCUAGGAAUUAGACAUCCUGGAAUAUCACGUCUCCAUCCUAACUCAAGUAUCACGCUUUCAUUCGAGCUUAGUCAUGCAUCAUGGCAUUUUUGCCGUGCCAAUUAUUGAAUUUAUGCGUUUACCAUUUAACAAAUUUUCAAAAUUCCUGGUUAACUACUUUAACCAAGAUGGUGGUAAGUGGAUUCUAAACUAUUAAAAUUGCUAAACUUUUAAAUUCAGGUCAUUAACUUCAUAGGCUUACAUGACUAAGCAAGUAAUAAAAAUCAAAAUGUGCCGUUUCAGAACCAACUUAUAAUUUCAUUCAAGGCAGAGAGUUAGAUUUUAGCCCUGCAAAAGAUGCUAACUUAAGUGUUAAAAUCUUGUGAAUACAAGCCUCAGUCUUGUCCAAUUCAAGAAAUGGUUUUAAAUCUAUAUAAUCUUGUUGAAUUCUCUUUUCUCGUGGUAGAUUAUCUUGGAUAUUGAUUAUCUUGAGCUCUACCGGAAUAACCAUUAGGUGCACAAGAAACACUAAUGUGGACCAUUGAAAAUAGACGUAUGAUUAUUCUUUCUCUGGAUAGAAUGCUUUGCAGCAGUAAAUUGUUUGAUUAUUCUUUCCCAGGAUAGAAUGCUUUGCAGCCGUUAAUUGUUGCAUCUCUCUCUCUCUCUCUCUACACUCUUCAAGACUGUUUUCUGCCGUUAAAGAUUUUUUUUUUCUGAUAAAUUACACAUAGCCCUUAUAGAUUCACAAAUUAUCAUAUAAGCCUGCUAACAUUUCAAAAUAUGCAUCAUCCUUUAUAGUUUCAUGUAAAGUGAAAACUUGAGAGAAAAUAGCACACAUAAUGUCAUUAGUUGAAAUACUAACACCAAUUGGAACAACAGUCGGACCACCUUCCAUAAAAUUAUAGGAGAAUUAUGUAGAUAAACGCAAAAAUUAUAGUGGUUAAAAUAGAUGCAAAUAAGAAUUAUAGGAGUCUUAAGUGAAUAUUAUGGUUCGAUCACAUACAUUUUAGAAUGUGUUUGGUUCAACAAACAUAGCUGUAGCUAUUGUUGCUUUCUGCCCGUUUUCUACUUUAUAUAAAACCACGUGGGAUUAUGUGGACAUCUCGAAACCUUGAGGGGAUCAUGUGACCAUUUGAAAAACCAAGGGGUUAAGUGAUUUAUUUUUCCUGGAAAUUUACUCUAGACAAUGAAUCAUAUAUAUAGGUAUCAGCAUGUGCAGUCUUUUCUUUUUAUUGCAAUUAAUUUAUUCUUUUGUUCAUGUUAUCAUGGCUUUAAAGUCCAUACUUGUUAUGAUAUAAAUUUUGUUCAGGUGAGAAGGUAGUCGACUUUGUUAGGGUGGCAAUUCAUAUUAACUUUUGGUGAAAACCAUCACCUAUUAAACCCAAAAUCUAUAUGACAAUUAUUAAGAAAUAAAUUAAUAGUAAACAUAGCGGAAGCGUACCUGAAUCCAUAUCGAUAAACUGAUAUAUGAAUCUCCAAAGAUAUUUGGGUGGUCUUCCAGGUCCACACGUAUUUACCGAUCCUUUGAGAGAACCCUUUAGUUUCUCUCUGGUAUCUUUCCUGACGAUGGGAUAUCAAGGAAGAGUUGUUUCGUGGUAUUAGGAAUACGACAACUAGAAUGAUACUUGUGACCUGGGGACCAUAACUCUAUUUAUAGGUAAUAUUCCUGUUAUCUUUUGGAACCCUAUUUCAACCCAUCAUAGAAAUAGGAGCCCAUAAUUCUCUACACGUUAAAGGCCCACACCCUAUUAGAUACAUUAAAUCCAAACUAUAUUUGAUCACUUUAAUUGGGUUUAUCCUUAAUUGACAGCUUGCAAUACAUAAUUAUUCAUAUAUAAGUCCAAUGUUGGAUUAAGGGUCCAACAAUCUCCCACUAAAACUAUACACCAUUUAAUACGACACCCAUAUGAGCAGUGUGCUCAUGAAACAUUUUGGGUGGCAAUCCCUUAGUAAGCGGAUCCGCAACCAUGGAGUUUGUCCCGAUAUGCUCUAUUGAUAACUGUCCACUCUGUACUCUUUCUUUAACAGCCAGGAACUUGAUAUCUAUAUGUUUAGAUUUCGUCGAGCUCCUGUUAUUGUUGGAAUAUAAGACUGCUGAUUUAUUUUCACAAAAUAAUUUGAGUGGUCUUUUAAUACUAUCCACCACACGUAAUUCUGUGAUGAAAUUUCGCAGCCAAAUUCAUUAAUUGGAUGCCUCAUAACAAGCUAUAAACUCUACAACCAUAGUGGAAGAUGCUAUGAGGGAUUAUUUAGCACUCUUCCAGGAUAUGGCACCUCCAGCCAACAAGUACACAUAGCCUGACGUUGACUUCAUAGUAUUUUGGCAUCCAGCAUAAUCGGAAUCAGUAUAGUCAAUGAUAUCUAACUCAUCUAACUUCCGAUACGUGAGCAUGUAGUCUUUUGUUUUCUGUACAUAUCGUAAGACCCGUUUGGUUGCUUUCCAACGAUCUAAUUCAGGAUUACUCAGAUAUCAACCCAACAUCCCAGUAAUGUACACAAUAUCCGGAUGCGUACAUACUUGAGCAUACAUUAGACUCCCUACUACUGAGGCAUAAGAAAUCUUUUGCAUCUCUCUUUCCUCAAAAGUAUUCUUAGGACACUGCUCAAGACUAAAUUUGUCUCCUUUAGCCACAGGAGUGUCACCUGAUUUACAAUUUUGCAUGCCAUACUUUUUAAGGAGCUUUUCGAUAUAACACUUUUGUGAUAGUUUUAAAAUACCCCGAGAGCGAUCACGGCGUAUCUGUAUGCCUAAUACAAAAGAUGCAUCACCAAGAUCUUUCAUCUCAAAAUUCUUAGUUAGAAAUUUCUUGAUUUCAUGCAAUAGACUAAUAUCGUUACUGGCAAGCAAAAUAUCAUCAACAUACAAUACCAGAAAAAUAUACUUGCUCCCACAGAACUUAUGGUAUAUACAAUCAUUCACUAAAUUCAUCUCAAAACCAAAUGACAGGUGUCGUGCCUGUGCAAUAAUAAAUACCUGCUUAAGAAAAAUAAAUUUUCUGUGUAUAGUAGUAAGCAGGGUCGAAUCCACAGGGACUGGAAAAAAUUUGAUUCUUUUUAAAUUCGAGACACGGGGGAUUUUUAUCAGAUAAAACUAAAAAUAAAUAAUUAAACAAUUUAACUAAAAAUAAUUAACCAAAAAAUAAAUAAUUAAUUAAUACAAUUGUAAAUAGCAAUUAAAUAAAUGAUAAAUAAAUUCUAGCCAAGGAUACAACUACGCAGACACAGUCCAUUCAUCCGAUCAUUGAUGCAAAGAAAGUUCACUUAAUUUAAUUAAUAGGCUAGUUAUAGUCGCCGAUAAGCUCUAACGACCAGCUUUUCCUUAAUUUAUUUAUAACCAAGGUACGACCAUUGAUUACCCCUAAUCAGGAAAUACUCCUAGGUACGACCGUAGGAAUUAAUUUCCUAAUUGCAUUAAAAACUAGAAAAGCCUAACCCAAAUUAAUAACACGCUACGAGGGUUAUUUAAAUCAGAUUGCAUGUUCCCCUAGUAUGUGAAAAUACUAAUUGUCACUAAUAUUAACCAACUAAACAAUUACGGAUUUAAUUGAUUAAUUUGACAAGAGAUUAAUAAGUCAAAUUGCACAUCGGGCCCUUGAUAUCCAAUUAACAAAAUAAUCCCAUGGAAAUUAAAAUAGAAAACAUGCAAAUAUUAACAAAUUAAGGAACACGUAAAAUUAAUUAGAUCUCACAGAUAUUUGGGACUGCGUCUUCGCGUUGAUCCUUGACUAGAGGAGAAAAUUAGCCACGCCUCAUAAGAAAAUCUUCACACAAUUCAAUUGAAUUUAAAGACAUCAUCUUUCUUCGAUAAUUGAGAGAGUGAAUAACAAAGCUUCGGAAGAGAAUAAGAAAAUUGCACACUAGAAUUCAACAAACCAAAACAACUCCCUAUUCUCUCCUCUGGAACAUCCCUCGGAGAGAAAAACUAAAACUCCUCUUCCCAGACGGAAGAGAGGAAGAAAAACUCACCCCCGAAAUGUGCGGCUCUCCCCCGCAUAAAAACAAGCCAAUUCCAAACUUCACUCCACGCUCACAAAAGAAAAACAUUCCUUCCUACCUAAUCAACUCCACCGAAAACAAAAGCAAAGCCAACUAUGGUUUGUCGGUUCCCUUUGACCAAGUGCACACGUUCACAAAUAAGAGAGCAAACAAAAAAUGUGCAAAGAAAGCACACUUUAGACAAUACAACUUAUUUGCGGUCCCCACUAACUUUGACAUGUUGUCUAGCCAAAUUGAAUUCCCAAAUGCAAUUCCAUUCUUCUACGUUGGUUUGCACCAAAAUUGUGCAAAGUUCCACAAUAAUCUUCUCAAGAGGUUUCUGCUCCCAUUUCUGAAAUUAUAUCCAAAUACCAAAUAUAAAUAUAUAUUGACAAUUAAAACAAAUUAAAGCAAUAUUUGGCAAGGAUAAAAAGGAAAAUUAACAAUAAAAUUACUAACAAUUAACAUCCUAUCAAUUCCCCCCACACUUAAAUCAUGCUUGUCCUCAAGCAUGGGAACAACUAAAUUCAACAAUGGCUAACUCUCAUUUCAUUUACUGCCAAGCUAUGCUUAUCCCAAAAUCAAGUUUUAGUGGCUAAGUGUCAAGACAUAUUUCUCCCGAUUAGCUCCUGAAAUCAUAGACUCGUCCAAUUCAUGGCUAACUCGUCUAAGAAAUUAAAAUAUUAAACUAGCAAAAGUUAGCAAUUGGGUCAACUGAAAAUCAAAAUCUCAACAUUGAAGAACAAGGAUCGGCAGGCCAAUAUGAUCAUAAGUUUACACAUUAUUUUAUUCUCUCUCUCUUUUUUUUUUUUUUAACAAUUAAUUUUUUUUUUUCAAAAAUGCUCAGUCCCAAGCUAUUCAAGUCUUUUGACGUGAACUCUGACAUUUUUAGAUGAAAGAGCCCAGUUACUCAACUUUUCACAGCUUCAGGACUAACUACUCAUAGAUAUCGCCACUUUUUGACGCGAAAGUCGACACUUGUGGUGAAAACUCCCGGUUACUGGGUGACGGCACUAGCGGAGUAGAGUCAUUUAUUAAUCACAAUUAAAGUAUCAGAAUACCAGAUAAUUAAAGAUCAUGGCCCACGUCAUCUCCUAAUAUGGAGAACUAAGAUCAACAAUUGCCCAAUCCACAUAACAAUUGCUAAUAAAAUAUUUAAAUUGCCUAAACAAGUUAACCACAAUUUGCACCAAGUCAUUAAACUCAUGAUAUUCACCAAGAUAACAUGCGUUUACUUGCCAUCUAAACAAAAUUCAUAGGAUAAAUCACAACCAGCAAUAAACGAAUGAAUUGCCAUAUUUAUUCAUCAAAACACUAGUAAGAAAAGCAGUAAAUUAAAGAAACACCAAUCAAAACUAAACCCAAAUCCCCCCCCACACUUAAAUCACACAUUGCCCUCAAUGUGAUAACGAAACAGUAAAAAUAAGAAGAAGGACAACGAAACUCCCCUUAAGCUGGUGCCAGCUAUUAGCACCUGUAGUUGGAGGAGGCGGAGCGGAGGUCAAAGGGUCGGGAUCGUGGUUUCACCAUUCUUUCCAAAUUGUACUAAAUAAAUAAAAAUCAAGCAAAGUAAAAAGAAACAAGCAAAGUAACACAGAAGUAUCCAACUAAGGAUGAAUAGAAAUGUCAGGUAGUCCAAACACGCAAAACUUUCAGAAGUGUACUGUAAUAAAAAUAAUAAAAACAUACUGCAAUAAUAAAAUAAGAAAAUAAAAAAAAAUAAUAGAAAGAGAUUGAGGCAGGCGCGUGCAUACGAAGCCAGUGGUGCGAUGAAGGUGGUGGCUGUGAGAGAGAAGAGUUUGCGGCAGCUGGAUCUGGUGGUGCUCAGCGACUGCGGGUGGUGGGCGACGGGUUGGGGUAGCGCGCGCGAGGGAGCGGCGGGCUCCAGGUGGCGCGCGCGAGGAGCGGCGAUGGCGUCGGUGGAGCAGGAGGAAGGAAGGAGACCUGGGGCGGCGGCGGCUCUGGUUGAAGGAACCAGAGAAAAGGGAAAAACAGGGAAAGAAGAAAGAAAGAAAGAAAGAAAGGAAGAAAGAAGAAAGAAAAAGAAAAGAAGAAAAAGAAGGAAUUUUUUUUUUUUUUGUCAAAAACAAUGCUUACGUAGAUCUGAAAUCUAAUUUUUUUUUUUUCAGGUCGUCAAACACCGCGUGGGCACGCCAAGAUUACGAAACGUCCCCUGACCUCAGGAGACACCAACACCGCGGGGGCACGCCAAGAUUUCACUUCCUGAUUUCAGUAAAGGAAAUAUGAGUACUGAUACUACCCAACGAGUAAAUGACCCAAUGCAAAAGAACCAACUAGAAAGAACAAAACUAAUAUUUGGGUUGCCUCCCAAACUAGCGCCUUUCUUUAAUGUCUUUGGCUAGACAUAGCCCAUAAUUUGCUUAAACCAAGCAAAUUGGGUCCUCCAAAUGCGUCAUCUCUACUCGCUCAACUGGAGCCUCAUCAUAAUAAGGCUUGAGACGAUGACCAUUCACCACAAAUUUCUUCUCCGUCUUCAGACUCUGGAUCUCCACUGCACCAUAAUCAAAGACAUUAGUUACAACAAAGGGACCAAUCCAACGAGAACGUAACUUACCUAGAAAUAACUUCAAUUUGGAGUGGUAUAGUAAAACUUUUUGCCCGCAGACGAAUGUCUUCCUAGAGAUCUGUUGGUCAUGAAAGAUCCGAUUCUUCUCUUUAUAGAUCACUGCAUUCUCGUAUGCUUCAUUUCGGAUUUCUUCCAACUCUUGUAAUUGCAACUUCCUUUGAAUUCCGCCUUCCUCGAUAUCCAUAUUGCAUUGCUUGACCGCCCAAAACGCUCUAUGCUCAAACUCUACCGGGAGAUGACAUGGUUUUCCAAAUACCAAUCGGUAAGGGGACAUGCCAAUAGGUGUCUUGUAUGCCGUCCUAUAUGCCCAUAGUGCAUCCUCUAAUCUCAUACUCCAAUCCUUCCUAUCGGGUCGGACCAUCUUUUCUAGAAUUGAUUUGAUCUCUCGGUUCGAUGCUUCCGCCUGACCAUUUGUCUGAGGAUGGUAGGAUGUAGAGACUUUGUGCAAGACACCGUAUCUCUUAAAAAUUGCAGCGAUCGUUUUGUUGCAGAAAUGAGUACCCCGAUCACUUACAAUUGCUCGUGGCAUCCCAAAGCGGACAAAAAUAUUAGACUUAACGAAUUCUGCAACCACUUUGGAAUCAUUAGUGCGGGUGGCCUUUGCUUCUACCCACUUCGAAACAUAAUCUACAGCAAGCAAUAUAUACAAAAAACCAAAGGACGAAGGAAAAGGACCCAUAAAAUCAAUGCCCCAAACGUCAAAAAUUUCAACAAAAAUCAUUGGGGUUUGAGUCAUUUGAUCCCUACGAGAGAUAUUACCCACUCUUUGACACUUAUCACAUGACUUACAAAAUGAGUAGGCAUCUUUGAAUAGAGUUGGCCAAUAGAAUCCACUCUCUAGCACCUUACGAGCCGUUCUCUUCGGUCCAAAGUGACCUCCACAUGCAAAAGAGUGACAAUAUGCUAGAAUAGAUUGAAAUUCAACUUCACUUACACAUCUACGGAUGAUUUGAUCGGCACCCCGCUUCCAGAGGUAAGGAUCAUCCCAAAUGUAGAACUUUGCAUCGCUCCUCAACUUGUCUCUCUUUGCCUUAGGCCAUCCUGUAGGAAAUUUGUCAGUGACUAGAAAAUUAACAAUAUCUGCAUACCAAGGCAAGGAUGAAUUAAUAGAAAAUAAAUGCUCCUCGGGAAAUGCUUCUCUCAAUGGGAGGUCCUCUUCGACGACUUGUACUCGACUCAAGUGAUCUGCUACCAGGUUCUCUGCCCCUUUCUUAUCUCGGAUCUCCAGGUUGAACUCUUGUAACAACAAUAUCCACCGUAUCAAUCGCGGUUUUGCCUCUUUCUUGGUCAACAGAUACCGCAAAGCUGCAUGAUCAGAAAAAAUAAUAACUUUAGCACCAAGUAAAUAAGACCGAAAUUUCUCUAAGGCAAAAACAACUGCUAAAAGCUCCUUUUCGGUGGUUGAAUAGUUCAAUUGAGCUCCGUUCAAGGCUCGAGAUGCGUAGUAGAUAGCAUGAGCUGCCUUUCCUACUCUUUGACCCAAUACCGCACCCACUGCAUAGUCGCUGGCGUCACACAUGAUUUCGAAUGGGAGGUUCCAGUCAGGGGGUUGGAUAAUAGGUGAGGUGGUCAAUAACUCCUUUAACUUAUUGAAUGCCCCCUUACAUGUUUCAUCAAAUUCGAAGGAUACAUCUUUUUGCAAAAGUUGGAACAAGGGUGCUCCAAUUUUCGAGAAGUCCUUGAUGAACCUUCUAUAGAAACCUGCGUGACCCAAGAAAGAACGAACUUCCCGCACACUCGCGGGGUAAGGUAAAGUAGAUAUAACAUCUAUUUUUGCCUUAUCAACCUCAAUACCUGUAGAUGAUACAACAUGACCCAAAACUAUCCCGUGUUCAACCAUAAAAUGACAUUUUUCCCAAUUAAGCACGAGAUUAGUUUCUAUACACCUUACUAAGAUCAAUUUCAGGUUAUCUAGACAGUUUUCAAAACUUUCACCAUAUACACUGAAAUCGUCCAUGAAAACCUCAAUAAUCUUCUCAACAUAUUCUGAAAAGAUACUUACCAUGCAUCUUUGGAAGGUAGCAGGUGCAUUGCACAAUCCAAAUGGCAUCCUUCGGUAUGCAAAUGUUCCAAAUGGGCAGGUGAAAGUAGUCUUUUCUUGGUCCUCGGGUGCGAUGGCAAUUUGAAAAUAACCUGAAAAUCCAUCCAAGAAACAAUAGUAAGCUCGACAUGCUAAUCGCUCCACCAUUUGGUCAAUGAAAGGGAGGGGGAAAUGGUCCUUUUUCGUGACGGCAUUUAGCUUUCGGUAAUCGAUACACUGUCGCCAUCCGGUGGGCUUUCGAAUUGGUACGAGCUCACCCUCUUGGUUUGAUUCCACUGUCACCCCUGCCUUCUUCGGGACCACCUGUACUGGACUUACCCACGGGCUAUCUGAUAUUGCAAAUAUAAUUCCAACGUCCAGCAGUUUUAAAAUCUCUUUCUUUACGACCUCCAUCAUGAGAGGAUUUAAUCUCCGUUGAGCUUGCCGUACGGGUUUAGCAUUCUCCUCGAGUCGAAUUCGGUGCAUACACACCGCGGGACUAAUUCCCUUGAUGUCGGCGAUGGUCCAUCCUAUCGCCUGCUUAUGUUCCCUAAGAACUCGAAGUAGUUUCUCUUCUUGAACCUUUGAUAAACCCGCGGAGAUGAUCACUGGAAGUGUCUCCCCUUCACCCAAGUAUGCAUACUUUCAGGUGUUUCGGCAGCGGUUUCAGUUCCAAGACAGGUGCCUGCACCACAGAUGGAAGUAACCUUUUGUGAGGUUCAGGUAUAAAAAUGGGUGCGAGGUCAUACCUUGUCUUCGUGGUUGGUAACGUUUGCAACGAUCCAAUCACGCAUUUAAGCUCUUCACUCAACUCUACUCCAGAGGUUGUUUCGGACUCGAAGUGCCUGGUCAGAACGACCUCUAGCUCAUCCCUGCCUUCAAUUUCAAAAACCUCCUGUAUAGCAGGGUCAAUAACAUUUACCGAGAAAACAGAGCCAACAUUUGAAUCGGAUGGAUAUUUCAUGGUCUCAAAGAUGUUAAAGUGAACAAUCUCACCAUCAAAUUCCAUAGACAAAGUACCCUUAUUAACAUCAAUUUUGGUUCGGGCUGUGCUCAAAAAGGGUCUACCUAACAACAAAGGUGACGGAUCACGGGAGUGUUCAUCCUCCAUGUCGAGCACAUAAAAAUCAGCUGGAAAAACCAAUUCAUUAAUUUUUACCAAAACAUCUUCAAUCAACCCGUCAGGGUAUGCAUUGGUCCUGUCAGCUAGUUGGAUUAUUAUUCCAGUUUCUUUCAAAGGGCCUAAGUUCAAAGAAGCAUAAAUAGAUUUCGGCAUGACAUUAAUCGAUGCUCCUAGAUCUAACAUGGCCUUUCCAAUCAAAGUAUUACCUAUCCUACAAGGAAUAGUAAACAUACCUGGAUCUCCGCAUUUUGGUGGAAGUUUCCUUUGUAGAAUUGCUGAAACAUUCUCCCCAACUAUAACUCGUUCAUCCCCCUUCAACCGCUUGCGGUUGGCACACAGGUCCCUCAAAAAUUUUGCGUACCUGGGUACUUGUUUAAUCGCAUCCAGUAGGGGUAUGUUGAUCUCCACCUUGCGAAAGAUCUCCAGGACCUCUUUUUCCUUGUCUUGCUUCUUUGGUUUCUCUAACCUGCUAGGAAAGGGAGGUGGAUUAGUUUUAGCUGUAGGAAUUGGGUUCGAGGGUACCUUUGCAUUUUUGUUGUCUGUGCCCUCCUCUUCCAAUUCUUUCUCAAUCCGUUCCUCGUCCUUGUCUUUAGGAAUCACCGGUUCGGGUCCUUGAACUUCCUUGCCACUCCUUAAGGUCAUUGCACUUACAUUCUUUGGAUUUGCCUCAGGUUGAGAUGGCAAUUUUCCUUGAACUUGGGACUCCAAACGGUUGAUUGUUAUAGCCAUUUGAUUCAUUUGAUUUUGCAAUGAUUGCACCUGUCCCAGUUGAUUUCUCAUGCUUUGCAGGUCUGAAUCCGUCUUUUGUUGAUUGGCAAGUAAUUGCUUCAUCAUCUCUUCCAUGGACGGACUUGAGUUUGAAGGGGGUGGUGGUGGUGGUGGGCGAGGAUGGUACUGUUGUUGGUGUCCUUAUUGUCUAUUUGGCACAAAGUUAGACUGCCUAUUUCCUCCAUAGCUAAGGUUGGGGUGAUCCCUCCAACCAGGAUUGUAGGUGCUUGAGUACGGGUCGUACUGCUUUCUUGGCGCGGGCGCGUGGCCAGCCAUGUUCACCUGUUCUGCAGUUUCUUCUUGAACCAGUGGACACAUUUCCGUAGGAUGACCCACGGCAGUGCACACCCCACACACUUUGGCUUGUGAAGCAUUCCCCACAGCUAAUUGUCUUACAAAAGAUGUUAAUUCGGAGAUCUGCUGUUGGAUAGAGGACGUUUCCACCUCAUUCACCCUGCGCGUCGGGAUGUCCUCUCUUGAACCAAACUGUUGUGAGUUCUCAGCCAUCCCUUCAAUCAACUCCCAUGCUCCUCGAGGAGUUUUGUUCACCAACGCCCCUCCACUUGCAGCAUCGAUUAUGCUUCUGUCCCUGAAAAGCAACCCCUCAUAGAAAUAUUGAAUGAGCAGUUGCUCACUUAUCUGAUGCUGAGGGCAUUUGGUGCAUAGUUUCUUAAACCUCUCCCAGUACUCAUAGAGUGACUCGCCUGGGUGUUGUUUGAUGCCACAUAUCUCUUUCCUUAGGCUCGCAGCUCGAGACGCCGGAAAGUACUUGUCCAGAAAUUUUUUCUUCAAUUGGUCCCACGUGGUGAUACUACCAGGCGGUAGGUAGUAGAGCCAGUCUUUCACGGAGUCCUUCAAAGAGAAGGGGAAAGCCCUCAUCUUUAUUUGCUCUUCUGUAAUUCCCGGAGGCUUCAUACUGUUGCAAACGACGUCAAACUCUUGCAAGUGCUUGUAGGGCUCCUCACCUGGUAGACCAUGGAAAGAUGGCAAGAGAUGAAUUAAACCAGAUUUUAGUUCAAAGGGAGUGUCAUCAUUUAAAUUUGGAAAAGUAAUGCACAAGGGCUGCUGAUUUAAAUCAGGAGCAGCCAACUCCCUUAAUGUUCGUGUAUUUGCCAUAGUGACUUCCUCUUGGUCUGAAUCACUCGAAUUAUCACCAGACAAAUUUGUCGGCUCAACCUCUGGAUCAAGUCCCUGAGAUGCAAUACCGUAUUGCUCUUCUCUGAGCCGCCUGGUUUCUUUUCUCGUUCUACGCGCGGUUUUCUCUACUUCAGGGUGGAAAAUUAAUUCGCCUGUACGAGAAGAGCGAGACAUAAACUAGAAAAAAAAUACCAGAAAAUUAGAACAAAAAUGAACUUAAAAAGAAACAAAUAAUUAACGCCAGUCCCGGGCAACGGCACCAAAAAUUGACAGGUAUCGUGCCUGUGCAAUAAUAAAUACCUGCUUAAGAAAAAUAAAUUUUCUGUGUAUAGUAGUAAUCAGGGUCGAAUCCACAGGGACUGGAAAAAAUUUGAUUCUUUUUAAAUUCGAGACACGGGGGAUUUUUAUCAGAUAAAACUAAAAAUAAAUAAUUAAACAAUUUAACUAAAAAUAAUUAACCAAAAAAUAAAUAAUUAAUUAAUACAAUUGUAAAUAGCAAUUAAAUAAAUGAUAAAUAAAUUCUAGCCAAGGAUACAACUACGCAGACACAGUCCAUUCAUCCGAUCAUUGAUGCAAAGAAAGUUCACUUAAUUUAAUUAAUAGGCUAGUUAUAGUCGCCGAUAAGCUCUAACGACCAGUUUUUCCUUAAUUUAUUUAUAACCAAGGUACGACCAUUGAUUACCCCUAAUAAGGAAAUACUCCUAGGUACGACCGUAGGAAUUAAUUUCCUAAUUGCAUUAAAAACUAGAAAAGCCUAACCCAAAUUAAUAACACGCUACGAGGGUUAUUUAAAUCAGAUUGCAUGUUCCCCUAGUAUGUGAAAAUACUAAUUGUCACUAAUAUUAACCAACUAAAUAAUUACGGAUUUAAUUGAUUAAUUUGACAAGAGAUUAAUAAGUCAAAUUGCACAUCGGGCCCUUGAUAUCCAAUUAACAAAAUAAUCCCAUGGAAAUUAAAAUAGAAAACAUGCAAAUAUUAACAAAUUAAGGAACACGUAAAAUUAAUUAGAUCUCACAGAUAUAUGGGACUGCGUCGUCGCGUUGAUCCUUGACUAGAUGAGAAAAUUAGCCACGCCUCAUAAGAAAAUCUUCACACAAUUCAAUUGAAUUUAAAGACAUCAUCUUUCUUCGAUAAUUGAGAGAGUGAAUAAUAAAGCUUUCGGAAGAGAAUAAGAAAAUUGCACACUAGAAUUCAACAAACCAAAACAACUCCCUAUUCUCUCCUCUGGAACAUCCCUCGGAGAGAAAACUAAAAACUCCUCUAUUCUCCUCCGGAGCUUCUCUGGAGAGAAAACUCAAACUAGUCUAAUGUCUUCUGAAGCUCGUCCCAUUUCUUCAUAUAUAAAAAACCAGCCAAAAUGGAGACAUCACCCCACGUCCUUCAAAGAGGUCAUCAUUUCUCUACACAAUCAUUUCCAUUCCACUCAAAACAAAAGCAAUUGUCGGUUUUCUUUUUGACCAAGUGCACACGUUCACCAACAAGAAAGCAAAACCACAAAUGUGCAAAAAAAGCACACUUUAGACAAUACAACUUAUUUGCGGUCCCCACCAACUUUGACAUGUUGUCUAGCCAAAUUGAAUUCCCAAAUGCAAUUCCAUUCUUCUACGUUGGUUUGCACCAAAAUUGUGCAAAGUUUCACAAUAAUCUUCUCAAGAGGUUUCUGCUCCAAUUUCUGAAAUUAUAUCCAAAUACCAAAUAUAAAUAUAUAUUGACAAUUAAAGCAAAUUAAAGCAAUAUUUGGCAAGGAUAAAAAGGAAAAUUAACAAUAAAAUUACUAACAAUUAACACCCUAUCACCAAAUGAGAUAAUCACUUGAUGAAAUUUGAAAUACCAUUGUAGAGACAUUUCUUUGAGUCCAUAGAUGGAUUUUUUAAGUUUGCAAACCAUAUUUUUUGGAUCUCCUGAUACAAAGUUUUCUGGUUGCACUAUAUAAAUUGUCUCAUCAAUGUUACCAUUGAAAAACGCUGUCUUUACAUCCAUCUGAUGUAACUCAAGAUCGAAAUGUGCCACUAAUACCAUAAUAAUUUAAAAAGAGUCAUUUGAAGAGACUGGAGAGAAGGUUUCUUUAUAGUUGAUACCUUCUUUUUGUGUAAAUCCCUUAGCGACAAGAUGAGUUUUGUAUCUUUCCACAUUACCUUUCGAAUCCCUCUUGAUUUUAAAUAUCCAUUUACAACCAAUGGGUUUUGCACCUUCUGGCAAUGGGACAAGAUUCCAGACAUCAUUGUCCUUCAUGAAUUUAAUCUCCUCAUUCAUGGCAUCGAUCCACUCUUGAGAAUUUGAACUUUCCAUGACUUGACGGAAGUUGAUUGGAUCAUCUUCCAUCAAUCCAGAGUCAUCCUCAUGUUCUUGAAGAAAAACAAUGUAAUCAUCUGGUACUGCACUUCUCCUUUCUCUAGUGGAUCUUCUUAAUGGCAUUGGUUCUUGAAGAGGAAGAGUUUGUUCAUCUGUAACAGUUUGCUCUUUGACAUUGUUUUGAUUUGUCAUGUUAUGAUUAAGUUCAAAAAUAGGGUUCUGAACAAGAGCAAUGACACCUGUGGGAAUAUUAAUAUAUUUCUCUUUAAAAAUAAUGCCUCUUACUGUAUUUUCUCCCCCAAACUCGACAUCCUCAAAGAAUCGAGUAUUUCCUAUCUCAAAAAUUGAAUUAGCUGUGGGAUCAUAAAACUUGUAACCUCUGGAUCUUUCAGAAUAUCCAAUAAAAUAACAACUAAUCAUUCUUGAGUCCAGUUUCUUUUCAUUAGGCCUAUAAGGUCUUGCCUCCACUGGACAUCCCUAAAUAUGUAGAAACUGGGUUUUUUCCCAGUCCAAAGUUCAUAAGGGGUUUUGAUAGUUACUUUAGUUGGAAUUCUGUUAAGAAUAUAUGUUGCAGUCUUAAGUGUUUCUCCCCAGAGUGGCUCUAGUAAGGUAGAAUGACAUAUCAUACUCCUUACCAUGUCUUUAAGCGUUGUAUUUCGUCUUUCAGCUACACUGUUCAUAGUGGGUGAACCCGACAUAGUGUACUGUGGGACGAUACCGCAUUCCUCUAGAUAUUUAGCAAAUGAUCCUGGACAUUGUUCACCUGAACCGUCAUAUCUACCAUAGUACUCACCACCACGGUCAGAUCUGACGCUUUUAAUUCUUUUGUUGAGUUGAUUCUCAACUUCAGCCUUAAAAUUUUUGAACACGUCCAGUGACUGUGACUUUUCAGAAAUGAGAUAUAUGUAGCCAUAUCUUAAAAAAUCGUCUAUGAACGUUAUAAAAUAUUAUUGACCAUUCCAAGCAGAUGUGAAAAAUGGUUCACAAAUAUCCGUAUAUAUAAGUUCUAAAGUUCUAAGACGUCUGAAGACCGAUUGGUUUCAAAUCUCGUUUUAUUGAUUUGUUUCCCCUUUAUACAGUUAAUGCAAUCAUCAAAAUCUGUAAAAUUUAAGGGGUCGAGAAUUUCAUUUGACACAAGUCUUUCCAUUCUCCGUUUGGAGAUAUGUCCCAAUCUCUUGUGCCAUAAUGCGGUUGAAUUCUCAUUGGUUAAUUUUCUCUUUACUUCUCUAGUACUCAGAUGCAGAGAUUCAUUAAAUGAGCCAAUUGUAUUAAUUAAAUAUAGAUUAUUGUAGUGCAUUAAAGAAUCAGAACCAUCCAAUUUUGAAUCAUGAAACAAUUCAAAUUUUUCAUUUCCAAAUGAACAAGAAUAACUAAAUUUGUCCAAAGUAGAAAUAGAAAUUAAAUUCCGUCGAAAAGACGGUACAACAAAUGUGUCAUUGAGAUCCAAAUAAAAUCUGAUCUUUAACAAUAAUCUAAAAACUCCAAUUGCCUCAACUUGAACUGUUUUGCCAUCGCCCACGUAGAUAUAUCAUUCAUUAUCAUUAGGCUUUCAACAAUUCCGACAACCCUGCAUAGACACACUGAUGUGAGUUGUUGCACCAGAAUCUAAUCACCAUGUGUGUCUAGGUACCGAAGUUAAAUUAACCUCAUAACAAACCAAAUUAAUAAGCAUACCUUUCUUAGCACGCCAAGCGUGAUAGUUGGUGCAAUGCUUCUUUUGAUGCCCUUCAGCUCCACAGAAGAAAUAACUAUUCUUUCCCUGAUCAUUUGAUUUCUUUUGUUGUUUCUUUUGUGGCGCUGUACCUGUAGCUUCUUUUUUCUUCUUUCUUUUAAGUCCCUUACUUUUAUUAUUGGUGGUUGACACCAGAUGGGCACUUUCUGUCUGCUCUUGCUUCAACCUUUUCUCUUCCGCUACACAGUGUGAGAUGAGUUCAUUUAGAGACCAAGUCUCCUUUUGAUAGUUGCAACUCAUCUUAAACUGGCUAAAUUGUGUAGGAAUAGAUAUUAAAAUCAAAUGCACCAGUAACUCUUCAGAGAGUUUCAACUUAAGUGCAUUUAAUUUCGAAAUAAGAUGAGACAUUUCCAUGAUGUACUCUCUGAUAUUGUCUUUACCACUAUAUUUCAUUGAAACUAGGCAUGUCAAGAGCAUACUAACUUCAGCCUUUUCGUUCUUGAUAAAUCUUUUUUUAAUGUUCUGAAGGAACUCUUUAGCGGUUACAGUCUUUUCUGACAUUGUUCCCCUGAAUGCUUCUGUAACGGCUUUUUUAAUGAUCAUCAGACACAAGCGAUUUGAUCUCUCCUACCUCUCAUUAUUUCUUUUUUCAUCAAAGGUACUCUGAUCUGUAAGAGGUAGGGGGAGAAUCAAUCUUUAACGCAAGGUCGAGAUCCAUUACUCCAAGUACUAUCAAGAGAUUUUCUUUUCAGGACUUGAAGUUUGUGUCAUUCAACAUAGGAAUAUUAUUGAUGUUGGAAGUAAUAUUUGUAAGAUCAUUUGCAACUGAACAGAAAAUAUAAAAUAAUUAAGACUAUGCUUACAUAAACCAAAAUAAUAAUAAAUUUAAAUAAACGUAACCCUAUCUCAAGAUACAUAUGUUCCAUUAAUAUUUUGUCUUUGGACAAAAAUAUUAAUUUCUAAGUGAUAUCUUGGUGCAGUAAUAACUACUGAUAAUAAUAACAUAUCAAAAAUAAAUUUUUCUUUGGGCCAAUUUAUAAAUUACAUGUAAAAUCCAAAUGAUUAUCACGUAUUUAUUACUACAAGUGCACAUGUAAUUUUAUUAAAUAUUGACCUUCCUUUGGGCUGAUCAAUAUUCAUAAAAUUGCAAGUACCCAACUAGUUAUAUUUUAGAACAAAGUAAUUUCCAUAACAGAUGUCACUUUGGUGGCAUAUUAUUUCAAUUAAUUUAUUCUAAAAUAUAUAUAAUCAUACCAAUAUUCAAAUUUAAAAUUAUGCAAAUUAAACCAAAAAUUUUGAUCAAAGUCAACUUUGAUCAACUCUGAUCAAAACGUGGUCAAACCUGGUCAAUCUAGUCAAAUCUGAUCAAACCAGUCAAUUGGAUCAAGACUUAUUGGACUAAAAGUCCAUAUUCAUAAUUUGACCCAAAUUUAUCACACAAGCCCAAAAUUUUCUUGAAGUCCAUAAUGUCUUAUAAAACUAUAUAUUUAGUGGGCUAAACAUAUGGACUUUAGUAGGGCUUAAAUGUGUUAUUUAUCUUUAUUAGGGUUCACUCAAAUUAGAGGGAUCCUAAUUUCCUGAACAUAAAUACAAACAUAUUUAUAAACAAUGAAACAGGCCAAAGAGUCCAAUUAUAAACAAAUAGUUACAAGGGAUCAUAUCGAAUAUCAAUCUGGAUAAUAAACAACGAAUUGGUCAACUAAACAUCACUGCAAAUAGCCAAAGUUUGGUUAGUGGGACUUGACCAAAGCCAAAGAGAAGCAAAAGAAACUAUUUUGGCUUUCGGCUUUUAGCAUAGUAAGACAAUGGCCCACUACAAAGUCAUAUUCUUGCAUAUUUCAGCUUUCUGUUUCAGCUUUCUAUUUGAGAUAAGAAAAGGACAACUAUUUCACAAUUAAUUAAGAUCCCGAAAUACGUGCCAACUGGUGAUAGUAUGCUAAGUCAAAUUCUCCACAUAAUACCACACAACCAAGAUUUAGUUAUCAUGGGACCCGAAGUCAUAAGAGGUAUCAUAUCAAUUAUAAACAAACAAUUCAUCACGGAUGCUAUCAUGUUGUGACUUGGCCAGACCCACGGAACUAAAAAAUAAAACAUUAACAAAUAGAAACUUUGCCGACAUCAUAAACAACUAAAGUACUGGAAUCUAUGUGCCGCUUCGAUUCAUGUUUCAAUACAAAUUAAAAAUAAGCAUAUAUCCACAACCGAAUUCAAGAGGCACAUAUAUGUGUGUGUGUAUAUAUAUAUUAACAUAAAUUAUUAAGUCCAAAUUAUUCCUUAAUAAUCAACCAUAAAGGGCUCUGAUACCACUUGUUAGGGUGGCAAUUCAUAUUAACUUUUGGUGAAAACCAUCACCUAUUAAACCCAAAAUCUAUAUGGCGAUUAUUAAAAAAUAAAUUAAUAGUAAACAUAGUGGAAGCGUACCUGAAUUCAUAUCAAUAAAUUGAUAUAUGAAUCUCCAAAGAUAUUGGUGUGGCCGUCCAGGUCAACACGUAUUUACCGAUCCUUUGAGAGAAACCUUUAGUUUCUCUCUGGUAUCUUUCCUGACGAUGGGAUAUCAGGGAAGAGUUGUUUUGUGAUAUUAGGAAAUACAACAACUAGAAUGAUACUUAUGACCUGGGGACCAUAACCCUAUUUAUAGGUAAUAUUCCUGUUACCUUUUGGAGCCCUAUUUCAGCCCAUCAUAGAAAUUGGAGCCCAUAAGUCUCUAUACAUUAAAGGUCCACACCCUAUUAGAUUCAUUAAACCCAAACUAUAUUUGAUCACUUUAAUUGGGUUUAACCUUAAUUGACAGCUUGCAAUACAUAAUUAUUCACAUAUAAGUCUAAUGUUGGAUUAAGGAUCCAACAGACUUAACUGGGGAAAGCAAUAGGCUUUUGUCAAACUCGAAACUUUUGCUAGGAGCCUAGCAGUUCAACUUCCAAAUACAGAUGCAGAAAGCCUACUACUAUCAACAAUACUUAGUAUACUAGCAAAUAGAAAUCUUUCUUCUAGCCGUAGGAAGGACUCAAAGCAUCCUACAGCUCAUUGAAACUAGAUCAUCAUGAGCAUUUCAAUAUCUACUUUGUCCCUUUUUAUCUUACAUGCAAGUUUUGAAUAGCAUAGUCCAAUAUGUAUGUUAAUAGCAUGGUUAGCUAACAAAUAUCAUGCCUACUUCUUUGUUAAAGCUUCGAUGCUAUGGAAGCUAGCACUGAUAAAGUAUGAUUACGCAAGUAUUGAAAUAGUAUCAUCCAAAAAUAUUUGUUCAUUAUAAAUUUUAUAGGCCAAUCUCACGAAAAUACGUGAGGCCCCAUUGAAGUAGUUAUACUCAAUAUCCUAGUUAUUUUUACAUUAGGUUUCUUAGGAUUCCAUGCAAAAGUGAAAAAAAAGGAAAAGAAAAAAGGGACUGCACUGUCCAGUAGUUACCUCUAAAUCUAAUACAAUUUCACUUGUCCUUUCCAGAGGAGACUCUGCUGUUAGUUAGGUUUAGGAUGUAAAGUAAAAUGAAUCCAUGUCUUUCUCUAAAAGGAGGCAUGUAAUGUGCAUCUUUGGAAUUCAGAGAAAAAUAGUCGAUCAAUAAUAGACGCAAAUUAAGAAUCUAAUAGUUAGUUGGGUUUAGGGUAUGGGGCCUGGCCACCGCCUCGACUAACGAAUAUAUAUCCAGGUGGUCAGCCCAUAUCGUUAUUGGUCUCGGUACAACCAAGUUGACGCAUUACUUCGCAUGAUGUGACAUGUCCGUAUGGAUUAGUUGCUUUUAGGAGUGUUUUUAAAAUAUUUUAUUUAUAGUGUAUAUGAAAAAUUUUUAUUAUAAAUUUUUUUGAAAUACUUGAUAUAUUGUAUGGAUAAAAUGUUUUUUGAAUUGUUUUUAUUUGUGUGUUACUGUAGUAUUGUAUUUAAAAAACUUGUUUUUGAAAAAUAGCCCAAUUCAAAUGGAUGCGUUUAGAAGCCAACCUAGUAUUUUCUUGUGGCUGCCACUUUCGAGUGGCUUCUCCGACGGGGUUCUCGUCAGACCUCACAUUUUUCUUAAAUUAAAUUAGAGUAUAUUAUACAAAUGUUAUCGUUACGACAAAAAAAAAAUUCUCUAUGGCUAUUAAUGCACACCGAUUUCUCAAAAUCCAUAAUAAUAUCUGGGAUUAUAAAUACCCUCCCAUUCUAACACUCAAAGGUAACACAGCUUAUCUGCCUUUUUACUCACACUAGUAAUAGUUCACGUGCUUUGCACGUGAUUAUAAUAUCUUAAAAUAUAUUAUUUUUCAGAUACUAAAAUUUUUUUAUGAAAUUUUGAUCUUCAACAUCAUGAUAUAGUAUUUUUAUGUUAUUUAUUUUUUUAAGCUAGUUACUUUUAAAAAUUUUAUGAAAUGAAAAGAGGCAGAAAACAUUCAAAUGUAGUUGACAUAUCCCUUAGGAUUGAAUUUGAAAUCAUGAACCAAAUACUUUUUGAUUUAUAGCUUGAACUCCAACAUAUCAAAUAUUGAUAAUAUCAUGUUUUACCAAAAUUAUUGUAUAUUCAUGACUCUAUUGCAUAUAAACCACAAUCAUCACAAUUUUUUAUAAACGAAGAAUAUAAUUAAGUUAAAAAAAUAAACAUUAAUGUAAUUUGAUUUCUUUGUAUUAUGUUAAUUCUAUUUUUGUCAAUAAUGGAGUAUAAAUGAUCCACCACGUAAAGUUUUUUUGGCUUGUGCAUUCUAACAAUUGAAAUUUUAUAGAUAGAGAUAGUUGGAGUUUUUCUAUUUCCUUUUUCUUUAUUCAUGUUUUUAGCACAAUCCAAUGCGAAACAAGAGCAACAACAAGUCUACUUUUUUCAUAUGAGCACAAUAUUUUUUGUUUUAAUAUUAGUUUUUUUGAUGAUCAUGAAAUUGGAAAGAGAAUUGUGGCUAAUUAAUAAUUUUAAUAUUAAUUUUUUGUAUAUUGCCGUGAUUUAGUUUUUAAUUGCCAACUUUUAAUCCAUAACCACUAUCAUUAUUAUCAAUUAUUGGAAUGCAUUAAAUCUGUCUAAUUACAAUUGUCACUAUAAAUGAAAUUUACUUAAUUUUAAAGCUUUUCAUUUCAUAACUGCUUCCAUUAUUGACUAAUAUUGCAAUAUAAUAAAUAUAUGUAAUCAUUAGAAAAAUAAGAGUAUUUUGGAUAUCACCAAAAACAAUUUGGAUAUCAUUUUUAUUUUAUCAUUCUUCAUUUUAUAUUUACUCUUAUUAUAAUUCUUAUUUUAUCAUUAGAGAUGGUUUCUGACUUGAUGGAUGGAUUUGGUUUGCUCAAACCAAUACAAAUGAAGCAUUACUAUAUUAUUGCCAAUAACAAUGUUUGUCUUCCCCUGGAUAUCAGUGAUUUGGAUGUUGUCUUUGGUAUUACUUGAAUUGUAUUCUAACAUUUUAAUUCAUUUGCUAUUUACUUUAUGUCAUUUUAUAAAUAGUUUUCAAUUUUAUUUUAGUUUUUCUUGUUUUGAUCGGUUACUAUUAAUGAUAAUAGUGGUUUGUAUGGUGCUAUUUUAGAUUUCUUUUUUCUAGUUUAAUAUUGCUAUUUCAGUUAUAAAGGUGUCAUCAUUUUUUGUAUAUUGAAAUUUCAUUGGGUGUAACAUAAAAAAUUCUUCAUAUUGGUAAAAGUGCAUAAUUGUAAAAUUUGCUCGUGAUAUUUGUAUGAAAAUAUACAGAUGAAUAAAUGUUCUCUUCGUCUUGUAUGUUUCUUCAUUUUCUAGAGAGUAUCUGUAUUUUGACAUUGAUUAUUUUUUUUUUUACAAUCUUAACUAACAACUAAUGAGAAAUAUUUCAUGCUUCAAUUAAGAAAUCUUGAUACGUAUAAUAAUUGGAGAUGGAAUCCAAGGGUAGGUAAAUAGUUUUUAAUGAGAAAUUUUUUAUUAUAAUUACCAAUACCAUUAAAAUGUAAUCAAUUGGAGUGUUUUAUUUCUUUUAAUUAGUGCCACAUUAAAAUGUAAUAAUUCUAAUUAAAAGACAUGAGGGCAAUUUAGGGAUAACAAAAACUAAGAUAAAAAAGUGCUUACACUUGCACUCCCCAAUACCAACAUUCAUACUUUUUAUAUAGUAAUGAUAAACUCUCGAACUCCUAGUCACUAAUUUAGGUAUCGGAAUCAUUCCCGGGGCUUUAUUUAGGUAUCGGGAUCAUUCUCGGGAUAAAGCCCCGACCCGUGCCUUUAUUUUUCAUUGUGUUUGCAGGCAAGAAACUCGACUAAGACAGCUUUGCUCCGCCAGUUUCCUGCUCGAACAUAGGUCAUUAAUGAUUUUGUUAAGGACAUAGAAUCACCUGUUAACAUAUUUAAGGACAUAAAAUUUUCAUGAAUCACUAUACACUUUUUCGUAUAUGUAGAAACCAUGUUACUACGUCUGUUCAUACUAGGGCAUUUAGUAAUUAAGAAUUUGACUUUUUUGACAUUCUCUAAUUCGAAACAUAUACUAUUGGCGCUAUAAUAGAACAAGGGUUUUAGGAUUGAAGUGUCAAUUUUUUUGACACUCUUAAAAUUGAUUAAAGUGUUAAUUUUUUUUACAAGAUUAAAACUAAAUAUAGGGAGUAAUAAAUGUUAGCAUGUGCUAAUUUUUGGAAAGAUUGAAACUAAUGUGAGAAAAAAAAUUUAAAUGUAGAGGACAAUGGCCUUGUUUUCAAUUGAUUUUGAAAACCUGAUUUUAGCUUUUGAUCUUCAUAAAGCUAUUUCAUUGUAUUCUCAACUAAUUUUGAAAAUCUGAUUUUAGGCCCAAAAAGUUGAAAAUCAGAUUUUCAGGUCUUGAGGUGCUUUUGGGUUCUCUUUUUUUUUUUUUCUUUUUUCAUAUGGGCAAAAAUACCCUUCAAAUUUCAACAUAAUUACUAAACAACAUAACUUUUUAUGGUCUUUUUAUGUUCUUUCAAUUCUUAUCCCACUCAGAGAUUCAUCUAUGUGCCCCUUCUUUUCUCAUCUAAUAUUUAAUCUUCAUAAAAAAAUUUAAUUACAUCAAAAUUAUUUAAUUACACAAAAAUUUGUUUUUGUGGCAUAUAAAGGUAACAUGGUCCUUUUUGUUAAAAUUAGUUUUUUUAACUUUUUCUGAAAACACCUAUACCUCAAACGUAUUACUCCCUCCGUUACAUUUUGAUAGUCCUAUUUUUCUUUUUCAUCUAUCCCAAAUUAUAGUUCACUUUCCAAUUAAAAAAUAUAAUUAUCUUUUAAUUUCUCUAGAAAACCAUAAUUCAAUGUAGGUUGUUAUUAGUAUAAAUUACCUUAUUUAAUAUAGAUUGUUAACCUACCCCAUUUAAUACAUUUAGAUUUAAUGUGAAAUAAUGUAAAAUGGGGAUUGAUUCUUUCUUGACCGUCAAUUCAAGUUCCCAUAAACCAUCAAUUCAACUUUUCAUGAAUAAUUAAUAUAAAGUUGUACUCUAUUAAUGUAAGGUUAUUUUAUGAAAAUAGCAACCUUAAUUUGUUUUUCCAACAAAGUUAACUACUUUUUCUUAAACUGUAUGAAAGAAAAACUAAGACUUUUAAAAUGGGGCAGAGGGAGUAAAUUAUUAGUUGCAAACUUGUAAUUUACCGAGGGGACUCAUUAGAGAAAAUCUAUAAAAUAACGUGACAAGAAGUGAUCCUCAAAGAUACUUUCGGUUAUGUAUUUCAACAGUAAUAAAAGAUGAUCUAAGGGAUAAACCAAUAUAUGGUAAAUUUCCACAGUAAGAAAGCAUUCUUAGUGGUAAUGUGAUAUGCAGAAUGCUGAUGUGUUACAUGAAUUAGCUCAUAUGCUUGAUGCCAUUUCAACAGCAAUUUGAAAAAUCAUAAAUUUAACUACGUAAUCCAGGAAAAGGAAAAAAGAAGAAGAUAGAUACAGUGUAAAUUGAAGAUAUAGGUUCAAUCAAGAGUCAAUUAAAUACGAAAACAGAAAUAGCUAUUCCAUCUUCCAUGCUAUUAAGACAACAAUUGUUCUUGAAAUGACAGUUGUAACAAUAUUCUGGUUUAUAGCUCCUUGUUUCACAAUCAUAUAAAUUUAGGAUAAGUUCCAAAAUGCUCCUAAGAAAAAACUGCCCGAAAAUGAUUGUGAAAUUUGGAACUUAGGAGCAUUUUUUCUUUUUGAACGAUCUCAUGGAUAAAUUUAUCCAUCGAUUUGUCUCAUCUACGUUGACGACGAAAAUCUUGACAUAUUUGAUGAAUAUAAAGGAAAUCCGUGGAGAAUCUCUGCGCUAAUACGUGAAAAAGUUUCAUGAUGAAAACGUAUAGAUACCUGACGUGAAUGAACAAGUCACCAUCGCUGCCUUUACAAACGGAUUAGUGACGGAAGUAUUUAGUACCGAAGUACAUAGGGAGUAUCCCCAAACGCUUCAGGAGGUAUGGCUAAUACCUCGAUAAGGGCAUCCAAAAUGAGAAUGUUAAUGGCAUGAAGAAGGAAGCUCAGUUGAUUCGGACUAGCCAAAACCCUAGGAAAAGAAGGAAUCAUGGCCGAGGCGAAUCAGAACUAGACGGUUGAGAAGCACAGAGUUCCUCUUAUGACCGUUGAAGCGUCUUUGACAGGAUCACCAUGGGAAAACGACCCAUUCUCGAUUCUGAAUUAACCUUCCUUUAAUACAAACCGAUCACACAUCUUUACUGUGAUGGAACAACAUUACCUUGAUAGAUCUCCGUCAAAGAUGAACGAAAAAAGAGAGAAAAGGAAUGCUAACCUCUGCUGUGCAUACCACCGGAACAUCGGCCAUGAGACCAAAAACUACAACGACUUAAAAAAAGAAAUAAAAAAUCUGAAUAAGUAAGGACAUUUGAAACAAUUCGUUCGAGGUGAUGGAGGGUACGAUUGUCGGGAUAAUCGCUGGAUUCAAUAUUGGGAGAAUAGGCGAGAACAAAGAAACAAUAGUUGGGUUCUCCGGGACCCUUCCAGCUCCUCGAGAUGGAUCCCCUGAUUACGGGCCCAAUAUUGUAAGUAUCAUUGAUAGCAUUGUUGGUGGUUUGAUGGGGGGCGAUAGUCAAAACUUUCGAAAGAGAACAUAUAAGUUAAUCCAGAUCAUACAAAGGCAAGUUUUCGUCUCAUAGAGAUCAUCACAUAUGGCCCGAAUGAUCCAGUCUCGAAUGCAUCCAGCAACCAUGAUACCCUGGUGAUUGAGGUCCUUAUCAACAAUUAUAUCGUAAAAAAUGUGUAUGUCCACCCAAAAAUCUUGGUGGACGUCUUGCAUUACUGGACUCUAAAAAAUUUGAAAUUGACAGGUGACCAACUUGUCCCAAUACAGACCCCCUUAGUAAGAUUCAAGGGACACGCAGUCUUCCCCAAAGGGAUGAUUAUGUUGAUGACUGUCGAACGCCACCCGCACUACCAAAUUGUCCUCGUUAACUUCACUAUUGUUAAAGUCGACUCUCCCUACAAUUUGCUGAUAGAUCGGCCAACAUUAAAUGUUUUACGGGUUGUGUGCUCAACUUAUAAUCUAAUUUUCAAGUUUUCAACCCCGGCUGAUGUAGCCGAGAUGAGCAAUGAUGUGUAUGCAACUCGAGAAUAUUAUCUCGCUACCUUACAGGCAGCAGCCGCCUCAAGUACCGAGCCAAGAAUCGAGAGGAAACGACCAACUAUUUUGUCUAUAUGUUCCAUAGAUUAUCGCCAGACCGAAAAGUCUGAAAAACUUGAGAUCGGGGAUGAGGUUGAGGAAGUUGUUCUAGAUUUGCAGAGGUCGAAUCAGGUUGUCCGCAUCGGCACGAGUUUAUCCCCCACUCUCCGGAGUGAGAUGCUCAACAUCUUCAGGAAAUGCCGAAACAUCUUCGCUUUAAUCAGAGACUAUUCUCGAACUAGUUUAAAACAACCACUGUUGAACCAACAACAAAAGGUCAUUGAUCUACCGUUUCCCUAUUUUCAAAACUCAAAACUAUGGCAUCCUAUAACCUAAUAUCCGAUCAUCCUCCCCCUUCCCCACAAUCACAUGACGAAGAAAAAGGUUUCAAAGAAUCUGAAGUUGGAAAAAGGAAACAAAAAGUUCCUCAUGUUAAACCGCAAUUCCAAAUCAACAGAAUGUUCAAUGUUCAAAAACCAAUCGUCCCUCCACAUAAAUACUUUUCAGAUGCUGGAGAAGAAGAAAAAUAGGAUGAAGAGAAAGAAGAAGAGAACGACGAAUCAGAAAACUAUCCACAUUCUCCUUCUGCAUCAUUCUGCACAAUCAAGCAUAAAAAUAGUCCUACGAUUCCCACUUUCAAACACUCAAAAUCCAACUCAAAAUGCCCAUCAGCCAAUAAAAAUGACGAAAAAAGGUUUGAGAAGUGAAAAGGAGACUAAAUUUAUUGCUGAUGAAUCGAAUAAAGAUAAACUUUCAUAUGUUUCAGCCGCUACUACAUGCAUGGUUUGGAAUGAUGAGCAGGUGAUUAAAUUUUUCCAGUGUAUGAUUGAGUUUAAGACUAUGAAACGGGUUGAUACAGAUGCUGAUCCGGCUUCUUUUCAUGAGUUUGUGGAACAGGUGUUUUAAUUUAGAUAUUUCAAAAGUCGGGUAUAUGAGAAGGUGAGGCGCUUGUAGAUGAAGUAUUAUAAUAAUUUGAAAAAAUUUGACAAAGUUGGGAAGAAUACUGAUAUUUCCAAGGCUUAGUUUCAAACAUUAGAUCUUUCAAGACAGAUUUCAAAUGGUAGAGUUGGUGCUGGUGAUUUUGAGUCGACGUAUCAACUUUUAAGCCAGUCAUUUGAAGUAAAUUUCGGUGGCAUAAUGAAAUUUACAGGUUAAACAGCUGAUAAACUUAACUUCUUGAAAGAGAGCAUGCAUUUGAUUGCUGAUGACAUACCAAAGGGGUUGGAGAGAAAAAGGAAGACAUUGCAUGCGGUGCUCUUCUUUAAUAGUUUGGAAUUAAUGAAAGAGCAAACUGGUCUGGUGUUGGAAGCCACGAUGAGAAAGAAGUAAAUACCAAUUAGUGGUUGGUUGGUGUUGGGAAUAUGUUAUUCUACAGAAGUUAAUUUGACUGAGAGGAUUCUCAAAUCUAUGGAUAGGGUAAAAGAAGUUUCUGUUCUUGUUCCAACGAAAACAAUUAUUGUUCUCCAUGAUAACGUCCUCACUUCUCAACCGCAAAUAGGUAAUUGUCUUGAAAAGUUGAUUCUUUUACUGUUCCUUUGCAUUUUAUUUUUAUUUUUGUUUGCUCAGGGACGAACCAUUUUAGGAAUGCAAACAACUUGUUAUUCUGUUUUUGUUGGGUAGUCGAAGCACUGAACAAAGCAAGACUAGAAGCAAGUUGAGAGCGGUCAUCUCGGACCUAAUCGGUUUAAUGAUUGGCCGAGGAGGCCUUCUCUAAGCCUAUUCUACCUGGGCUCAUUGCCUCGUCUAUGUGGUUUAGAUCCAUAUUCCAAUAGUGGUGUCAUUUUGGCUCCGCCAGCCAUCUCUGCCCACUGGCACGUAACAUCCCGCUGAAAAAACUGACCACUGCAUAUGGAAUGACAUAACGUUGACGUGAUUGAAUGACAUAAUCACUAUUAUGUCCUAUCCGUUAAACCUGACACUAUCCUUGUCAGUGUCAUAUCCAUCAAAAAUAGAACUCAUCAUUUUUUUAACGAUCCUAUCUCCUAAAAAUACCCUUCCAUCCGUGAGAAAGAUACGCAUAUAGAGAAGUACACACACACUUGAGGUUCUUAAAUCAUUUUUAGUUUACGAUUGAAUACCCGAACAGACUUGAUCACUGGAGUAGGAUUGGUGGACAAAGUCCCGUACGUUGUAAAUUUGACAGGUGUAUUCGUUAGACUCCAGUAUUUCAGCCGAAAGUCACCUCUUCAAGUUGACUUGGUUCGACUGGAUCGAAAUCACAUCUUCAAUUGGCGCCGUUUGUGGGAAGCAAUAAGACUCUUCCAUAUGAAAUCCACGCGCUCUAGAAGUAAGAGAGUUCCCCCGACUGGGGCUGAACCAAGCUCUGCUGCCCAUCAAGAGGGCAGUCAAGAGAACCAUGAAUCUCAGCGAACUUUUCAACAGACAAACGAACAAGCCCUCGCAAGGAUGGCUGAGUUUGUGACUGCAAAUUUUGGUAUCUUUGAAGAAUUGGGAAGCUUCUUCAAGAGACAAGGAGAUGAGAAGGCCGAGUUUUCUCAACGUAAAUCGGUCAAAUCUCCUGAAAUUUUCCUCAGAAAAAGAGUUAGAUGAUAGGCAUGCGAAAGCCUUUCAAGCAUGCCUCCUCCAGGUCUACUUUCUUGAUUGCCUCUAUCUCAGAGCAUUCACUCAAGAUUUUCUCAAAAGACGUACUAGAGAGUUGUCUAGGCGUUCGGAGUGAUUGGCCACGGAUUAUGUUGGAGCGCCACUUUUUAUCGAUGACAUUAAUAGGGAUAUGGUUCCCCCCAACUUUAAAUUUUUUAUUUUACAGUCCUAUGGUAGGUGAGGUGAUCCAGAGGAUCAUCUUCAUGAUUUUAUCUCUAUUUUUAAGUUAUACUGUGUACCUGAUUCCAUUUUCUGUCCAGCUUUCUCCGUUUUCUGACAAGGAACUGCAUGAAAAUAAUUGUGAAAUUCGGAACUUAGGAGCAUUUUUUCUUUUUGAAUGAUCUCGUGGAUAAAUUUAUCCACCGGUUCGUCUCAUCUACGCUUAUGACGAAAAUCUUGACCUAUUUGAUGAAUAUACAGGAAAUCCGUGGAGAAUCUCUGCGCUAAUACGUGAAAAAGUUUCAUGAUGAAAAUGUACAUAUACCUGACGUGAAUGAACAAGUCACCAUCGCCGCUUUUACAAACGGAUUAGCGGCGGGGGUGUUUAGUACCGAAGUACAUAAGGAAUAUCCCCGAACGCUUCAAGAAUGAUGGCAAAUACCUCGAUAAGGGCAUCCAAAAUGAGGAUAUUAAUGGCAUGAAUAGAGAAGCUCAGGUAAUACGAACUAGCCAAAACCUUAGGAAAAGAAAGGAUCAUGGCCGAGGUGAAUCAGAACUAGGCGGUUGAAAAGCACAGAGUUCCUCCUAUGACCGUCGAAGCGCCUUUAACAGGAUCACCAUGGGAAAACAACCCAUCCUCGAUUCUGAAUAAACCUUCCUUCAAUACAAACUGAUCACGCAUCCUUACUGUGAUGGAACAACAUCACCUUGAUAGAUCUCCGUCAAAGAUGAACGAAAAAAGAGAGAAGAGAAAUGCUAACAUCUACUGUGCAUACCACCGGAGUAUCGGCAUGAGACCAAAAACUACAAUGACUUAAAAAAAGAAAUAAAAAAUUUGAUUAAGUAAGGACACUUGAGACAAUUCGUUCGAGGUGACGGAGGGUACGAUUGUCAGGAUAAUCGCUGGAUUCAAUUGCGGGAGAAUAGGCGAGAAUAAAGAAACAAUAAUUGGGCUCUCCGGGACCCUUCCGGCUCCCCGAGAUGGAUCCCCUGAUUACGGGCCCAAAAUUGCAAAUAUCAUUGAUAGCAUUGUUAGUGGUCUGAUGGGGGGCGAUAGUCAAAACUCUCGAAAGAGAACAUAUCGGCAAGUUAAUCCAGAUCAUACAAAGGCGAGUUUUCGUCUCACAGAGAUCAUCACAUAUGGCCCGAAUGAUCCAGUCCCGAAUGCAUCCAACAAUCAAGAAACCCUAGUGAUUAAGGUCCUCAUCAACAAUUAUAUCGUAAAAAAUGUGUAUGUCGCCCCAAAAAUCUUAGUGGACGUCUUGUAUUACCGGACUCUCGAAAAUUUGAAAUUGACAGGCGACCAACUUGCCCCAAUACAGACCCUCUUAGCAAGAUUCAAGGGACGCAUAGUCUUCCCCGAAGGGAUGAUUACGUUAAUGACUGUCGAACGCCACCCGCACUGCCAAAUUGUCCCUGUCAAUUUCACUAUUGUUAAAGUUGACUCUACCUACAAUUUUCUGAUAGAUCGGCCAACGUUAAAUAUUUUGCGGGUUGUGUACCCAACUUAUAAUCUAAGUUUCAAGUUUUCAAUUUCGACUGGUGUAGCCGGCGUGAGCAAUGAUAUGUAUGCGACUCGAGAAUAUUAUCUCGUUACGCUACAGGCUGUAGCCGCCUCAAGUACCGAGAGGAAGCGACCAACUAGUUUGUCUAUAUAUUCCAUUGAUUAUCACUAGACCGAAAAGUCUGGAAGGCUUGAGAUCGUAGAUGAGGUUGAGGAAGUUGUUCUAGAUUCGCAGAGGCCGAACCGGAUUGUCCGCAUCGGCACGAGUUUAUCCCCCACUCUUCGGAGUGAGAUGCUCAAUCUCUUCAGGAAACGCCAAAACGUCUUCGCAUUAAUCAGAGACUAUUCUCGAACUAGUUUAAAACAACCACUGUUGAACCAACAACAAAAGGCCAUUGAUUUACCGUUUUCCUAUUUUCAAAACUCAAAACUAUGGCAUCCUAUAACCUAAUAUUCGAUCAUCCUCCCCCUUCCCCACAAUCACAUGACGAAGAAAAAGGUUUCAAAGAAUCUGAAGUUGGAAAAGGAAACAAAAAGUUCCUCAUGUUAAACCGCAAUUCCAAAUCAACAGAUUGCUCAACGUUCAAAAACCAACCGUCCCUCCACAUAAAUGUUCUUCAGAUGCUGGAGAAGAAGAAAAAGAGGAUGAAGAGAAAGGAGAAGAGGACGACGAAUCAGAAAACUACCCACAUUCUCCUUCUGCAUCAUUCUGCAUAAUCAAACAUAAUAAUAAUCCGGCGAUUCCCACUUUCAAACACUAAAAAUCCAUCUCAAAACGCCCAUCAGCCAACCAAGAUGAUGAAAAAAGGUUUGAGAAGUGAAAAGGAGACUAAAUUUAUUGCUGAUAAAUUGGAAAAAGAUAAACAUUCAUCUGUUUCAACCGCUACUACAGGCAUGGUUUGGAGCGAUGAGUAAGUGAUUAAAUUUCUCCACUGCAUAAUUGAGUUUAAAACUAAGAAACGGAUUGAUGCAGAUGCUGAUCCAGCUUCUUUUCAUGAGUUUGUCGAACGGGUGUUUCAAUUUAGAUAUUUCAAAAGUUGGGUAUAUGAGAAGGUGAGGCAUUUGUAGAUGAAAUAUUACAAUAAUUUAAAAAAAUUUGACAAAGUUGGGAAGAACACUGAUAUUUCCAAAGCUUAGCUUCAAACAUUGAAUCUUUCAGGACAGAUUUCAAGUGGUAGAGUUGGUGCUGGUGAUUUUGAGUCGAAAUAUCAACUUUUAAGCUAGUCAUUUGAAGUAAAUUCCGAGGGCAUAAUGAAAUUUACAGGUUAAACAGCUGAUGAACUUAACUUCUUGAAAGAGAACAUGCAUCUGAUUGCUGAUGACAUACCAAAGGGGUUGGAGUGAAAGAGGAAGACAUUGCUUGCGGUGCUCUACUUUAAUAGUUUGAAAUUAAUGAAAGAGCAAACUGAUCUGGUGUUGGAAGUCACGAUGAGAAAGAAGUAAAUACCUAUUAGUGGUUGGUUGGUGUUGGGAAUAUGUUAUUCUACAGAAGUUAAUUUGACUGAGAGGAUUCUUAAAUCUAUGGAUGGGGUAAAAGAAGUUUCUGUUGUUAUUCCAACAAAAAAAGUUAUUGUUCUCCAUGAUAACAUCCUUAUUUCUCAACCGCAAAUAGGUAAUUUUCUUGAAAGUUUGAUUCUUUUGCUGUUCCUUUGCAUUUUAUUUUUAUUUUUGUUUGCUCAGGGACGAACCAUUUUAGGAAUGCAAACAACUCGUUAUUCUAUUUUUGUUGGGUAGUCGAAACACUGAACAAAGCAAAAUUGGAAGCAAGUUGAGGGCGGUCAUCUCGGAGCUAAUCGGUUUAAUGAUUGGCCGAGGAGGCCUUCUCUGGGCCUAUUAAACCUCGGUUCGUUGCCUCGCCUAUAGGGCUAAGAUUAGUUUUCCAAUGGUGAUUGUCAUUUUGGCUCUGCCACCCACCUACGUCCACUGGCACCUAACAUCUCGCUGAAAAAACUGACCAUUGCAUAUAAAAUGACAUAAUGUUGACGUGAUAGAAUGACAUAACCACUACUAUGUCCUGUCCAUUAAGCCUGACACUAUCCUUGUCAGUGUCAUAUCCAUGAAAAAUAGGGUCAACAUUCUUCCCACGAUCCUGUCUCCUAAAAAUACCCUUCCAUCUGUGAGAAAGGCACGUGCAUAAAGAAACACACACACUUGAGGUUCUUAAAUCAUUUUUAGUUUGCGAUUGAAUACCCGAACAGACUUGAUCAUUGGAGUAGAAUUGGGGGACAGAGUCCGGGAUGUUGUAAAUUUGACAUGUGUUUUCUUUGGACUCUAGUAUUUCAGCCGAAAGUCACCUCUUCAAGUUGACUUGGUUCAACUAGAUCGAAAUCACAUCUUUAAUUGGCGCCGUUUGUGGAAAACAGUAAAACUCUUCGAAAUGAAAUCCACGCACUCUAGAAGUAAGAGAGUUACCCUGACUGGGGCUGAGCCAAACUCUGCGGCCCAGCGAGAGGGCAGUCAAGAGAACCAAGAAUCUCAGCAAACUUUUCAACCGACAAACAAAUAAGACCUUGCAAGGAUGGCUGAAUUUGUGACUGAAAAUCCUGGUAUUUUUGAAGAAUUGGAAAACUUCUUCAUGAGACAAGGAAAGGAGAAGGCCGAGUUUUCUCAGCGUAAAUUGGUCAAAUCUCCUAAAAUUUCCCUAAAAAAAAAAGUUAGAUGAUAGGCAUGCGAAAACCUUUCAAGCAUGUCUCCUCCAGAUCUACCUUCUUGAUUGCCUCUAUCUCGAGAGCAUUCAAUCAAGAUCUUCUCGGAAGACGUCCUAGUGAGUUGUCUAGGCGUUCGGAGGGAUUGGCCACGGAUUAUGUGGGAGCGCCACUUUUUAUUGAUGACAUUAAUGGAGAGAUGGUUCCUCCCAACUUUAAACUUUCGAUUUUGCAGUCCUAUGAUAGGUGAGGUGACCCAGAGGAUCAUCUCCAUGAUUUUAUCUCUAUUUUAAAGUUAUAGUGUGUACCCGAUUCCAUUUUCUAUCCAGCUUUCUCCGUUUUCUUACAAGGAAUUGUCCGAAAAUGGUUGUGAAAUUUGGAACUUAGGAGCAUUUUUUCUUUUUGAACGGUCUCGUGGAUAUAUUUAUCCACCGGUUCAUCUCAUCUAUGCUGACUACAAAAAUCUUGACCUAUUUGAUGAAUAUACAGGAAAUCCAUGGAGAAUCUCUGCGCUAAUACGUGAAAAAGUUUCAUGAUGAAAACAUACAGAUACCUGACGUGAAUGAACAAGUCACCAUCGCCGUCUUUACAAACGAAUUAAUGGCAGGGUGUUUAGCACCGAAGUACAUAGGGAAUAUCCCCGAACGCUUCAGGAGGUAUGGCAAAUAUCUCGAUAAGGGCAUCCAAAAUGAGGAUGUUAAUGGCAUGAAGAGGGAGCUCAGGUGAUUCGGACUAGCCAAAACCCUAGGAAAAGAAUGGAUCAUGGCCGAGGCGAAUUAGAACUAGGCGGUUGAAAAGCACAGAGUUCUUCCUAUGACCACCGAAGCGUCUUUGACAGGAUCGCCAUGAGAAAACAACCCAUUCUUGAUUCUGAAUUAACCUUCCUUUAAUACAAACCGAUCACGCAUCCUUACUGUGAUGGAACAACAUCACCUUGAUAGAUUUUCGUCAAAGAUGAACGAAAAAAGAGAGAAGAGAAAUGCUAACCUCUACUGUGCAUAAGACCGGAAUAUUGGCCAUGAGACCAAAAACUACAACGACUUAAAAAAAGAAAUAAAAAAUCUGAUUAAGUAAGGACGCUUGAGACAAUUUGUUCGAGAUGAUGGAGGGUAUGAUUGUCGGAAUAAUCGCUGGAUUCAAUAGCGGGAGAAUAGGCAAAAAUAAAGAAACAAUAGUUGGGCUCUCAGGGACCCUUCUGGCUCUCCGAGAUGGAUCCCCUGAUUAUGGACCCAAUAUUGCAAGUAUCAUUGAUAGUAUUGUUGCUGGUCUGAUGGGGGGUGAUAGUUAAAACUCUCGAAAGAGAACAUAUCGGCAAGUUAAUCCAGAUCAUACAAAGACGAGUUUUCGUCUCACAGAGAUCAUCACAUUUGGCCCGAGCGAUCCAGUCUCGAAUGCAUCUAGCAACCAUGAAACCCUGGUGAUUGAGGUCCUCAUCAACAAUUAUAUUGUAAAAAAUAUGUAUGUAGACCCAAAAAUCUUGGUAGACGUCUUUUAUUACUGGACUCUCGAAAAUUUGAAAUUGACAGGAUACCAAUUUGCUCCAAUACAGACCCCUUAGUAAGAUUCAAGGGACAUGUAGUCUUCUCCGAAGGGAUGAUUACGUUGAUGACUGUCGAACGCCACCCCACUGUCAAAUUGUCCCCAUCAAAUUCACUAUUGUUUAAGUCGACUCUCCAUACAAUUUACUGAUAAAUCAGCCAACGUUAAAUAUUUUGCGGGUUGUGUACUCAACUUACAAUCUAAAUUUUAUGUUUUCAAUCCCGGUUGGUAUAAUCGUGGUGAGAAAUGAUGUGUGUGCAACUCGAGAAUAUUAUCUCGCUACCUUAUAGGUUGCAGCCGCCUCAAGUGCCGAGCCGAGAACCAAGACGAAGCGAUCAACUAUUUUGUCUAUAUAUUUCAUAGAUUCUCACCAUACCGAAAAGUUUGAAAGGCUUGGGACGGGGGAUGAGGGUGAGGAAAUUGUUCUAGAUUCGCAGGGGCAAAACCAGGUUGUCCGCAUAGGCACGAGUUUAUCCCCCACUAUCUGGAGUGAGAUGCUCAAUCUCUUCAGGAAACGUCGAACCGUCUUCGUUUUAAUCAGAAACCAUUCUCGAACUAGUUUAAAACAAUCACUGUUGAACCCACGACAAAAGGCCAUUGAUCUACCGUUUUCCUAUUUUCAAAACUCAAAACUAUGGCAUCCUAUAAUCUAAUAUCCGAUCAUCCUCCCUCUUCCCCACAAUCACGUGACGAAGAAAAAGGUUUCAAAGAAUCUGAAGUUGGAAAAAAGAAACAAAAAGUUCCUCAUGUUAAAUCGCAAUUCCAAAUCAAAAGAAUGUUCAAUAUUCAAAAAUCAACCGUCCCUCCGCAUAAAUACUCUUCAGAUGCUUGAGAAGAAGAAAUAGGAUGAAGAGAAAGGAGAAGAGGACGACGAAUCAGAAAACUGCCCACAUUCUCCUUCUGCAUCAUUCUGCACAAUCAAACAUAAUAAUAGUCCUGCAAUUCCCACUUUCAAACGCUCAAAAUGCAACUCAAAAUGCCAAUCAGCCAACAAAAAUGAUGAAAAAAGGUUUGAGAGGUGAAAAUGAGACUAAAUUUAUUGCUGAUGAAUCGAAGAAAGAUAAUCUUCAUUUGUUUCAACCGCUACUGCAGGCAUGGUUUGGAGCGAUGAGCAGGUGAUUAAAUUUUUCCAGUGCAUGAUUGAGUUUAAGACUAAGAAACGGGUUGAUGUAGAUGCUGAUCCGGCUUCUUUUCAUGAGUUUGUCGAACAGGUGUUUCAAUUUAGAUAUUUCAAAAGUCGGGUAUAUGAGAAGGUGAGGGGCUUGUAGAUGAAGUAUUAUAAUAAUUUGAAAAAAUUUGACAAAGUUGGGAAGAACACUGAUAUUUCUAAGGCUUAGCUUCAAACAUUGAAUCUUUCAAGAUAGAUUUCAAGUGAUAGAGUUGGUGCUGGUGAUUUUGAGUCGAAAUAUCAACUUUUAAGCCAGUCAUUUGAAGUAAAUUCCAAGAGCAUAAUGAAAUUUACAGGUAAAACAGCUGAUGAACUUAACUUCUUGAAAGAGAACACGCAUUUGAUUGCUGAUGACAUACCAAAGGGAUUGGAGAGAAAGAGGAAGACAUUGCAUGCGGUGCUCUUCUUUAAGAGUUUGGAAUUAAUAAAAGAGCAAACUGGUCUGGUGUGUUGGAAGCCACGAUGAGAAAGAAAUAACUACCAAUUAGUGGUUGGUUGGUGUUGGAAAUAUGUUAUUCUACAGAAGUUAAUUUGACUGAGAGGAUUCUCAAAUCUAUGGAUGGGGUAAAGAUGUUUCUGUUGUUGUCCCAAUGGAAACAGUUAUUAUUUUUCAUGAUAACGUUCUCACUUCUCAACUACAAAUAGGUAAUUUUCAUGAAAGAUUGAUUCUUUGUUGUUCCUUUGCAUUUUAUUUUAUUUUUGUUUUCUCAGAGACGAACCAUUUUAGGAAUACAAACAACUUAUUAUUCUAUUUUUGUUGGGUUGUCGAAGCACUGAACAAACCAACAUUAGAAGCAAGUUGAGGGUGGUCAUCUCGGCCCUUAUCGGUUUAGUGAUCGGCCGAGGAGGCCUUCUCAGAGUUUAUUCCACCUCGACUCAUAGCCUCGCUUAUGGGGCUGAGAUCAAUCUUCCAAUGGUGGUUCUCAUUUUAGCUUGGCCACCUAUCUCCGCUCUCUGGCACCUAAUAUCCCAUUAAAAAAGCUGACCUCUGCAUAUAGAAUGAUAUGGCGUCGACGCGAUAGAAUGACAUAACUACUACUAUGUCCUGUCCAUUAAGACUGACACUAUCUUUGUCAGUGUUAGAUCCAUAGAAAAUGAGAGUCAUUAUUGUUCCCACGAUCCUAUCUCCUAUAGAUACACUUCCAUCCGUGGGAAAGGUAGGUACAUAGAAUAAUACACGCACACACUUGAGGUUCUUAAACCAUUUUUAGUUUGCAAUUGAAUAUCCGAACAGACUUGAUCAUUGGAGUGGAAUCAAGGGACAGAGUCUCGUAUGUUGUAAAUUCGACAGGUGUAAUCUUUGGACUCCGCUAUUUCUAGCGAAAGUCACCUGUUCAAGUUGACUUAGUUCAACUAGAUGGAAAUCACAUCUUCAAUUGGUGCCGUCUGUGAGAAGCGAUAAGAAUCUCCGAUAUGAAAUUCAUGCUCUCUAGGAGUAUGAGAGCUCCCCCUACUGGAGCUAAACCAAGCUCUGCGGCCCAGCGAGAUGGCAGUCAAGAGAACCAAGAACAUCAGCGAACAUUUCAACCGACAAACAAAGAAACCAUUACAAGGAUGGCUGAUUUUGUGACUGAAAAUCCUGCUAUCUUUGAUGAAUUGGGAAGCUUCUUCAAGAGACAAGAAAAGGACAAGGCCGAGUUUUCUAAACGUAAACUGGUCUAAUCUCCCAAAAUUUUUCUCAGAAGAUGAGUCAGAUGAUAGGCAUGCAAGAGCCUUUCAAGUGUGCCUCCUCUAGGUCUACCUCCAAGAUUGCCUCUAUCUUGAGGGUAUUCACUCAAGAUCUUCUCGGAAGACGUCCUAAUGAAGUACCUAGGAGUCCGGAGGGAUUGGCCACGGAUUAUAUAAGGGCGCCACCUUUUAUCGAUGGCAUUAAUGGGAGAUGGUUCCCCUCAAUUUUAAAUUUUUGAUUUUGCAGUCCUAUGAUGGGUGAGAUGACCCAGAGGAUUAUCUCCAUACUUUUAUCUCCAUUUUCAAGUUAUACUGUGUACCUGAUUCCAUUAUUUGUCCAGCCUUUCCCGUUUUCUUGCAAGGAACUGUCCAAAAAUAUUUGUGGAAUUUGGAGCUUAGGAGCGUCUUUUUUUUGGACGAUCUCAUGGAUAAAUUUAUCCACCGAUUCGUCUAAUCUACGUCGAUGACGAAAAUCUUGGCCUACUUGAUGAAUAUAUAACAAAUCCAUGGAGAAUGUUAUAUCCAUGGAGAAUCUCUGCGCCAAUCCAUGAAAACAUUUCGUGAUUAAAAAAUAUACAGAUACCUGAGUUGAAUGAACAAGUCAUCAUCGUAGCCUUUACAAAUGGAUUAGUGACGGGGAUGUUUAGCACUGAAGUACAUCAGGAGUAUCCCCGAAUAUUUCGGGAGUUAUAGCAAAUGGUAAAUAAGGACAUCCAAAUUGAGGAUGUUAAUAGCACGAAAAGGAAAGUUCAAGCAAUUCGGACUAACCAAGACCCUAGGAAAAGAAAGUAUCAAGGUCGAGGCGAAUCAGAACCAAACAGUUGAGAAACACAGAGUUCAUCUCCGAUUCUAAAUUAACACCCCCUUAAUACAAACGAUCACGCAUCCUUACUGUGAUUGAACAACAUCACCUUGAUUGAUCUCCGUCAAAGAUGACCGAAAAAAGAGAGAAGAUGAAUGCUAACCUUUACUGUGCAUACCACCGGAAUAUCGGCCAUGAGACUGAAAACUGCAACGAUUUAAAAAAAGUAAUAAAAAAUCUGAUCAAGUAAGGAUACUUGAGCCAAUUCGUUCGAGGUGAUAGAGGGUAUGACUGUCACCGACUGAUAUAGCCGAGUUAAGCAAUGAUGUAUAUGCAGUUCGAGAAUAGUAUCUCGCUACCUCACAGGCUGCAGCCGCCUCAAGUACCGAGCUGAGAAGCGAGGGGAAGCGACCAAAUAUUUUGUCUAUAAAUUCUAUAGAUUCUUACCAAAUUGAAAAGUCUGAAAGAUUUGAGACCGGGGAUGAGCUUGAGGAAGUUGUUCAAGAUUCGCAGAGACAGAACCAAGUUGUCUGCGUCGACACGAGUUUAUCCCUCAUUCUCCGGAGUGAGAUGAUCAAUCUCUUCAGGAAACGCCGAAACAUCUUCACCUAAACCAGAGACCAUUCUCGAACUAGUUUAAAACAACUACUGCUAAACCAACAACAAAAGGCUAUUCAUCUUCGUCUCCCCUAUUUUCAAAAUUCAAAAUCAUGGCAUCCUAUAACCUAAUAUCCGAUCAUCCUUCCCCUUCCCCACAAUCACAUGAUGAAGAAGAAUGUUUCAAAGAAUCUCAAGUUGAAAAACACAAAUAAAAAACUCCUCAUGUUAAACCGCAAUUUUAAGUCAACAUAAUGUUUAGUGUUCAAAAACCAACCGUCCCUCCACCUGAAUACUCUUCAGAUGUUCGAGAAGAAGAAAAAGAUGAUGAAGAAAAAGAAGAAGAGGACGACGAAUCAGAAAACUGCCCACAUUCUCCUUUUACAUCAUUCUCCACAAUCGAGCAUAACAAUAGUCCAGCCAAACCCACUUUCAAAUACUCAAAAUCUAGCUGAAAACACCCCUCAGCCAACAAAGAUGACAAAAAAAGAUUUGGAAAGUAAAAAGGAGGCUAAAUUUAUUGCUGAUGAAUCAAAGAAAGAUAAACCUUCUUCAGUUUCAGCGCUACUACAGGCAUGGAUUGGAGUGAUGAGCAGGUAAUUAAACUUCUCUAGUGCAUGAUCGAGUUUAAGGCUAAGAAACGAGUUACUGCUGAUGCUGACUCGGCUUUUUUCAUGAGUUUGUCGAACGAGUGUUUCAAUUUAGAUAUUCCAAAAGUCCGGUAUAUGAGAAGGUGAUACGUUUGAAAAUGAAAUGUUGCAAUAAUUUGAAGAAAUUUGAGAAAGUUGGGAAGGACACUGGUAUUUUCAAGGUUGAGUUUCAAACAUUGAACCUUUCAAAAUAGAUUUCAAGUGAUAGAGUUGGUGCAGGUGAUUUUGAGUCGAAAUAUCAACUUUUAAGCCAGUUAUUUGAAGUAGAUUCCAGUGACAUAAUGAAAUUUGCAAGUACAACUACUAAUGAAUUUAAUUUCUUGAAAGAGAACAUAUAUUUUAUUGCUGAUGACAUACCAAAGGAGUUGGAGCGAAAGUGAAAGACAUUGCAUGCGGUACUCUUCUUUAAGAGUUUGGAAUUAAUGAAAGAGAAAAUUGGUCUGAUAUUGGAAGCCACGAUGAGAAAGAAGUAAAUACCAAUUAGUGGUUGGUUGGUGUUGGAAAUAUGUUGUUCUUCAGAAGUUAAUUUGACUUAGAGGGUUUUAUAAUCUAUGGAUGGGGUAAAAGAUGUUUCUGUUGUUGUCCCAACAAAAACAGUUAUUGUUCUUCAUGAUAACGUUCUCACUUCUCAACUGCAAAUAAGUAAUUUUCUUGAAAGAUUGAUUCUUUUGCUGGUCCUUUGCAUUUUGUGAGGACCCGUAAAUCUUCCUUAUUUCAUAAUAUUUUUAUUUUAUUUUCUCGCAUGCAUUUUCUUCAUUAUACCCUAUUAUAUUGAUUUUCCAGAGAUUUUUAUAAGUGAGUAGAGUUUUCAAAUCAUUUUCCUAAUUUAAGUUAGUUCAUAUUAAGUUUGAAGCGUAUUAUGGAUGUGGGAUCCGCUAGUGCGUUAAGUGCGAUAAAUUUUUGUCGAUUAAUUGAAGUUUUGUAUCAAGAAAUAUUAUUUUACAAGGUGAUAGGAAAUAAUUAGAGGUUACCUAGAGGGAUUAACCAUUGGAAGACAACAAGAUAAGGAUUAACCCUUGGAUGCCAUUUGUCCUUGAAACAUUGGACCUUAACUUUGACUUGGACUUGUCUUAACCUUUGCUAAACCAAAUUUUGACCCAAUUUCUUUCCAUUUUCAUUGUCUUGGCCGAAAUUUAUGGAGAGGAAAGAACGAGAGAGUUUCUUCAAUUUCAACUUCAAUUCUUGCUCAAAUCUUGAGUUUCAACCGUUGAAUUAUCAAAUUACUCCAUCCAAGUUGCUUACUAAGGAGGAUUAAAGCUUCUAGUUGAGGGAUUUGUGAAGGAAAAAUCCUACGUUAUCAUCUUUCUUGAGGUGUCAAGGUACUUUGCUUACAAACUUUCUCUUUACUUCAAUUAAUUGAUAAGUAGUGGCUUAUAAUUGUUAUAGAUGCUACUUUGUGGAAAUUUCAUAGAUUAAAGUGGAGUUAGCUAAAUUUCUGAUUUUUUUGAGAUUUUUCUAUUUUCAUAUGAUGAUUAUGGUUGGCCUUGGAUUGAUGACUCUAAAUUGUGUUAAAUGGAUCCCUUGUGCGUUAAUUGCGGUUAUUUACGAAAAAUUUCAGAUUGUGCGGAAAAUUUCAGCUUAGGGUUAGUAAUCUGUCCUGAUUUUGCACUGCAUGUUCAUUCUUGAAGAAGGCCGAAUCAGCCCUUGCCCAAAACAGGAAAGUUGUUGGUAAUUGAGUUAGCUAGCUACCUAUAAAUUUUAAACUCAAUAGGAGCACUGUAACAUGUGAAAUGACUGAAAUACCCUUGACUGCACAUAAACCCUGUUUCGCGGAUAGAUUUCUGUUUUCGUGGAGUUUUCCAUUUUUGACCAUGAAAAUGCAUGAUUUGACUUUUGAGGUCUUCAUAAGAAAUGUAGGUAUAUGUCUUGGUUUCGAAAUUCCAUAAGAUUCGUUUCAAUCCGAUAAGGGUAGUUUCAGUUAUGGAUAUUGUGCCAAAAGGUGUAUUUGAUCAUUUAUGAUGUGUAUGUGGUUAAUUUGAGAUGAAUUGGUGUUGCUUGUAGGAUGAAAAAGUAAGGAAAUUAAGGGGAUAUGAUGUUCGAUCUUUGAAAGCGUUUGAUUGCUUUGAGUUUGACUUGAAGGGUCUGGACUUGAGCAAGGUAAGGAUAUAUGAUGGAUGAUUCCUGAGCUGUGGUUGGUGAGUGACCCCAAACUAUUUUCAAAGCUACUUAUGAAUUGUUUCUUGCAUUAUUUACUCGAUUGCAUAUCAUGUGUGCUUGCAUGUGAGUUCAUGACAUGUUUUGGUUCAAAGGAGUACUUGGAAUUCGUGUGCUUAGAACCAAUGUCUCCACCACUGUUUACCUGGAGCAAAUGGCUCCCUAUCACUGUUUCACUGUUAACUGAUCAACUUGAGCGUUGGAGGUCUAAGUACCAUGAUUUCACUGGCUCACGAGAGCAAUAAAUGUACAUUUGAUUACUGAUUCAUGACAUCAUUGAAAUGAACUAUUAUGAAACUGAUUUGAUUACUGAUUCGACUGGUUACUCACUGAGCUUCUAACUUACGCCAAAAAUAUUUUAUUCCCCUCCACAGGGCUCGAGGCGAAAGAAGGGCUUAUAGUACUUAUUCACGUGACUGGAUGGCAUAUAUCUUGUACAGUUUAGAUUUGGAUUCAUUUUGUGUAAUCGUUGGGCUAGUGUGACUGUAUGGAAUUGAAGUGGAUGUAUGUGUACCUUCCACGCUUAGAAUUAGUUUCCGUUUCACUUAUGAUAUGUAAUUCUUGGAAAAUUUGAUGUAAUAUUUGAGAUUUAUAUUGUAAUUUGUUUGAGCACUGUAAUGAGUGAGUGAGUCCCGGCGAGAGUUAGGCAGUCGGUCCGCCGAAACCUUUGGUUCGCCUUAAGAGGAGGUGGGGCUGUCACACAUUUUAUUUUUAUUUUUGUUUGCUCAGGGACUAAUCAUUUUGAAAAUGCAAACAACUUGUUAUUUUGUUUUUGUUGGGUAGUCGAAGCACUGAACAAAUCAAUAUUGGAAGCAAGUUGAGGGUGGUCAUCUCGGCCCUCAUCGAUUUAGUGAUCGGCCGAGGAGGCCUUCUCAAGGCUUAUUCCACCUCGACUCGUUGCUUCACCUAUGGGGUUGAGAUCAGUCUUCCAAUGGUGGUUGUCAUUUUAGCUCGGCCACCUAUCUCCGCCCUCUGGCACCUAAUAUCCCGCUGGAAAAGUUGAUAACUACAUAUGGAAUGAUAUGACGUUGACGUGAUAGAAUGACUUAACCAUUACUAUGUCCUGUCUAUUAAGCCUGACACUAUCCUUGUCAGUGUCAGAUCUAUAGAAAAUGAGAGUCAUCAUUAUUCCCACGAUCUUGUCUCCAAUAAAUAUACUUCUAUCCAUGGGAAAGGUAUAGAGAAACACACACACACACUUGAGAUUCUUAAACCAUUUUUAGUUUACGAUUGAAUACUUGAACAGACUUGAUCAUUGGAGUAGGAUUGGGGGACAGAGUCCCGUAUGUUGUAAAUUUGACAGGUGUAAUCCUUGGACUCCGGUAUUUCAGCCGAAAGUCACCUCUUCAAGUUGGCUUAGUUCAACUAGAUGGAAAUCAUGUGAGAACCUGAAAAUUUUCACAUUUUCUAGACAUUAUUUUAUUUUUAUCUACAUUUUUAUACUUGCCUUUAAAAUAUUAAAGUUUCUAUGCAUUUUUAUAAGCAAGUACAGUUUUAAAUCAUUUUCCUAGUAUAAGUUAGUGUAUGUUAAAUUUGAAACGCAUUAUAGACGUGGGACCAGCUAGUGCGAUAAAAUUUUGAUGAUUACGUGAUUUUUGUGCUAUGUGUUAUUAGUUUACAAGGUACCAGGAGAUAAUUAGAGGUUAGUUAGAUAGAUUAACCAUUGGAAAAAAGAACAUAAGCUUGAACCAUUAAGAGUGCCAUGUGUCGCGACAUGAUUGGAAGUUGAACUUGCCUAACUUUCUUACCUUUACUAAAAUCCAAUUUUGACCCAAUUUUCUUCUAUUUUUCUUUGUCUUGGCCGGCCUUCUUGAGGAGCAAAACAAGAGAGGAAAGUUCUUCAUUUUCUAACUUCAUUUCUUGCUCAAAUCUUGUGAUCUAGCCAACCAAACUUGAAUCUACUCCAUACAAGUGAUCACUAGGACAGCUUAAAGGUGUUGGUGGAUUAAUUUUGGAGGAGGAAGAACUAAACUACCAUCUUUCUUGAAGUGUCAAGGUACCUUGCUUGGAAACUUUCUCUUUGUUCUUGUUAAUGUCAAAUUAGUGGCUUUAGUGGCUAAAUAUGUUGAUUUGUGGUAGAUUUUAUGGUUGAAAGUGGAGUUUUGAUGGAUUUUUGAUUUAUUAGUGAUUUUUCUGUUUUUAUAUCAUAAUUAUUGUUUAGUCAUGGAUUGAUGGCUUGUUAUAGUGUAAAAUGGAGUGGGUAUAUGUUGGAUAUGAUUGGUUACGAAAAAUUUCUGGUUUGGUGCGGAAAUUCCAGUUUAGGGUUUCAUUUUACCCUAUUAUAGCCGGUUCUGUUUGGCCAUGAUGAAAGCCGAAUCAGGCUUAGGUUAAAACAUGAAAGGUGUAGAAAAUGGUGUUAACUAACUACCUGAAAAAUUUCAGCUUGAUCCAAGCAUUGUAUCAUGUGAAAUGACCAAAAUACCCUUGACUGCCCAUGAGCCUUGUUAUUCGAAUAGAUUUCUGUUUUCGUGGAGAUUUCCAUUUUUGAUCAUGAAAAUGCAUGAUUUGGCUUCAGAGGUCUUCAUAAGAAAUGUAGGUAUAUGUCUUAGCUUCGAAACGCCAUAAGAUUCGUUUCCAUCCGAUAAGUAUAGCUUCCGUUGUGGUUGUUAUACUGAAAGGUGUUUUUGAAACUGUAUUUGAUUUGGGAUGAGAUUUGAUCUGUGAAUGUAGGAUGGAAAGUGAAGAAAUUAAGGGGAAAUGCUGUUCGUUUAUUUUCUUGAAGUUUGAAUAAGUAAAAGUGAUAUUUGAAAUGUGAUUUGGGGAUGCGUUGGACUUACUUUUCUUAGACUUACUUAGGUCCACUUUAAUGGUGUUACUUGAACUAGAUUCCAUUUGAACUUGUGCCUUCUCGCAUGGUCAAUGUGACAACCGUUUUAAGCAUGAUACUUAGUUACAAAUGUCAAGUUUCGAAUUUCAAAUGUUUACUCAUUUCUUUCGAAAACAAAGAAAAAUUGCCAAGGGUUUCUCGGCUGCAAACCCUAAUUUUAUCAAGCGAGGUUUUAGGUGUGCAUUUAGGGUUUUUUUAGCUUCUUUUUCACAUGAUUUUCAUCAAGACACUUGUUAUAUAAUAUCUACUUGAAUAUAUAUUGAUUUUGAGCCACAUAAACGAUUCAGGAAAAUAUUUCUUUAGCCUAGCUAGCCGGAUUCGUAUUUGUCUUCGGUCCAAGCGUUUUCUAUUGGAAAUUUUAUAACCCUUUUAGUUUCGUUUUAUGUUUGGUUUGUGAAACCCUUAGUUAUUUCCAUUUUCCGAUCCAAAUGCCUCUUUUCACUUUAAAGUCAUUUUUAUACAUUUUACUCAUAAUUAGUCGGGUUUCUUCGAUUAUACUUAAUUGUUUUGCUAGAUGAACUGUAAUAUUCUCUCUCGUUUAAUCUUAGGUUUCGUCGGUGACUGAGGAUAAUAUCUGGAGGGAUAUUUUGGACGUUAUUUUGCUUAAAUAGGUGAGUGUUUCUUGUUUGUUUUAUUUUUUUGAUUAUAUGGCUUGUAUGAACGAUUGAUAACAUGUUAAAUGCGUUCAAUGUUUGCCAAAACGAGUUUUCUAGACGAGUGUGUACUUUAUCACACUCGACCUAAAUGAAUGUGAAAUUUUCAAUGAUUUCAUGAUUGAAAAAUUACUUGUGCAUGAAUGUAAGCCUUUUGGCUGAACUGGGUCCUGCCCUUCGUUAUCGAUUGACUCGAGCCAGAAGCGGACUCGAUUGGGCGAUAUAGUGACCCUAGGUGAAUGUUUGGUAUACUCGAGUAUUACCUUGUAGUUUGGUGGAGCCUGGCCAACGUCGAGAAGGGGGUGAAUGAAAUGAACGAACGAAUGUCAAUGCAAACGAGGGGUUUUACUUACAAAAAUGCAUUUUCAAAUGAUUGGAGGAAUAAGGGAAUGAAAAGAGAAUGAAUGAAUGAAUGGCUCCCUGUGAGCACGUAUCCUUUUAAUCAAUGCGUUAUUAUCGCUUUCCAUUGUAAAUGCUUCUUGACAUAGUGUUUAACUUAUUGUUUGAUUAUGUGUUCGGAACCUCACUGAGUUUUUAGCUUAUCCCUUUAGUUUUGUUUUCCUUAACAGGGGAAGGCGAGCAAGGACGAGAGCUCGAUAUAGACUAGCUAGUCUAGUUCUUUUGAUUCUUUUGUAAUGGUUCUCGCCCUAGCGCUUGGCACGGGUUGGAUGUAUGAAGAAUUGAAAACCUUUGUAUAAUCGAAGUUUGUACUCCCCUUUUGGGAUAGCAAUGUACAUAAGUUUCGUUUUAAGUUUUGGAUUGUUGUUAUUCUUAUUCCUACGAUUUUAUUCCGAUUUUUGUUUGAGGUAUGACUGAGUCCUGACGAGAGUUGGAUAGGCCGUCCGCCAAACCCUUUGGUUCGCCUUAGGGUUUGGUGGGGCUGUAACAAAUCACAUCUUCAACUGGCGCCAUCUGUGGGAAGCGAUAAGACUCUUCGAUAUGAAAUCCACGUUCUCUAGGAGUAAGAGAGUUCCCUCUACUGGGGUUGAACCAAGCUCUGCGGCCAGCGAGAGGGCAAUCAAGAGAACCAAGAACAUCAGCGAACUUUUCAACCAACAAACGAAGAAACCAUCGCAAGGAUGGCUGAGUUUGUGAUUGAUAAUCCUGCUAUCUUUGAAGAAUUGGGAAGCUUUUUCAAGACACAAGGAAAUGACAAGGCCGAGUUUUCUAAACGUAAACUGGUCUAAUCUCCUGAAAUUUUCCUCAGAAGAUGAGUCAGAUGAUAGGCAUGCGAGAGCCUUUCAAGCGUGCCUCCUCCAAGUCUACCUCCAAGAUUGCCUGUAUCUCGAAGGUAUUCACUCAAGAUCUUCUUGGAAGACAUUCUAAUGAAAUGCCUAGGAGUCCGGAGAGACUGGCUACGGAUUAUAUGAGGGCGCCACCUUCUAUCGAUGACAUUAAUAGGGAGAUGGUUCCCCCCAGUUUUAAACUUUCGAUUUUGUACUCAUAUGAUGGGUGAGAUGACCCAGAAGAUUAUCUCCAUACUUUUAUCUACAUUUUCAAGUUAUGCUAUGUACCUGAUUUCAUUAUCUGUCCAGUCUUCCCCGUCUUCUUACAAGGAACUGCCCCAAAAUGGUUGUGAAAUUUGGAACCUAUGAGCGUUUUUUCUUUGGACGAUCUCAUGAAUAAAUUUAUCCACCAAUUCGUCUCAUCUACGCCGACGACGAAAAUCUUGGCCUACUUGAUGAAUAUACAGCAUGUCCGUCAAGAAUCUCUGCGCUAAUCCGUGAAAAUGUUUCGUGAUUAAAAAACAUACAGAUACCUGACGUAAAUGAACAAACUACCAUCACAGCCUUUACAAACGGAUUAGUGGCAGGGAUGUUUAACACCGAAGUACAUCGGGAGUAUCCCCGAACACUUUGGGAGUAAUGGCAAAUGAUAGAUAGGGGCAUCCAAAUUGAGGAUGUUAAUCGCAAGAAAAAGGAAGCUCAGGCGAUUCGGACUAGCCAAGACUCUAGGAAAAGAAAGGAUCAAGGCCGAGGCGAAUUAGAACCAGAUGGUUGAGAAACAUAGAGUUCCUCCUAUGACUGCCGAAGUGCCUUUGACAGGAUUGCCAAAGAAAAACAAUUCAUUCUCGAUUCUGAAUUAACCCUCCCUUAAUACAAAUCGAUCACGCAUCCUUACUAUAAUGGAUCAACAUCACCUUGAUCGAUCUCCGUCAAAUAUGAACGAAAAAAGAGAGAAGAGAAAUGUUAACCUCUACUGUGCAUAUCACAGAAACAUCGGCCAUGAGACCGAAAAUUGCAACCACUUAAAGAAAGAAAUAAAAAAUCUGAUCAACUAAGGACACUUGAGGCAAUUCGUCCGAGGUGACAGAGGGUAUAACUAUCGGGAUAAUCGCUGGAAUCAAUAGAGGGAGAAUAGGCGAAAACAAAGAAACAAUAGCCUGGUUCUCCGGGACCCUAUGGAGCCAGAAAGGCCUCCUCGAGAUGGAUCCCCUGAUUACGGGUCCAAUAUAGUAAAGAUCAUUAAUAGCAUUGUUGGUGGUCUGAUGGGAAGCAAUAGUCAAAACUUCCACAAGAAGACAUAUCGGCAAGUUAAUCCAUAUCAUACAAAGGCGAGUUUUCGUCUCACAGAGGUCAUCACAUAUGGGCCGAACAAUCCCGUCCCGACUGCAUCCAACAACCAUGAAACCCUAGUGAUUGAGGUCCUCAUUAACAAUUUAUCAUAAAGAAUGUGUAAGCUGACCCAAGAAACUUGGUGGACGUCUUGUAUUACUGGAUUCUCGAAAAUUUGAAAUUGACAGGUAACUAACUUGCCCCAAUACAGACCCCUUUAGUAAGAUUCAAGGGACAUGUAGUCUACCCGAAAAGAUGAUUACGUUGAUAAUUGUCAAACGCCAGCCGCGCUGCCAAAUUGUCCCCAUCAAUUUCACUAUUGUUAAAGUCGACUCUCCCUACAAUUUGCUGAUUAAUCGACCAAUGUUAAAUGUUUUGCGGGUUGUGUACUCAACUUACCAUCUAAAUUUCAGAUUUUCAACACCAACUGGUAUAGCCGAGUUAAACAAUAAUGUCUAUGCAGUUCAAAAAUAUUAUCUCGCUACCUUACAAGCUGUAGCCGCCUCAAAUGCUGAGCCGAGAAGCGAGAGGAAGUGACCAAGUAUUUUGUCUAUAAAUUCCACAGAUUCUUACCAGACCGAAAAAUCUAGAAGAUUUGAGACCGGGGAUGAGGUUGAGAAAGUUGUUCAAGAUUUGCAAAGGCAGAACCAAGUUGUCCGCGUCGGCACAAGUUUAUCUCCUACUCUCCAGAGUGAGAUGAUCAACCUCUUCAGGAAACGCCGAAACGUCUUCGCCUUAACCAGAGACCAUUCUUGAACUAGUUUAAAACAACUACUGCUGAACCAACAACAAAAGGCUAUUCAUCUUCGUCUCCCCUAUUUUCAAAAUUCAAAAUCGUGGCAUCCUAUAACCUAAUAUACGAUCAUCCUCCCCCUUUCCCACAAUCACAUGAUGAAGAAGAAUGUUUCAAAGAAUUUGAAGUUAGAAAAUACAAACAAAAAGCUCCUCAUGUUAAACCGCAAUUCCAAGUCAACAUAAUAUUCAAUAUUCAAAAACCAACCAUCCCUCCACCUGAAUACUCUUUAGAUGCUGGAGAAGAAGAAACAGAUGAUGAAGAAAAAGGAGAAGAGGAUGACGAGUCAGUAAACUACCCACAUUCUCUUUUUGCAUCAUUCUCCACAAUCGAACAUAAUAAUAGUCCUGUCAAACCCACUUUCAAACACUCAAAAUCCAGCUGAAAACGCCCCUUAGCUGACAAAGAUGAUGAAAAAAGAUCUGGAAAAGUAAAAAGGAUGCCAAAUUUAUUGCUGAUGAAUCGAAAAAAGAUAAAUCUUCUUCAGUUUCAGCGCUACUACAAGCAUUGUUUGGAGUGAUGAGCAAGUGAUUAAACUUCUCUAGUGCAUGAUCGAGUUUAAGGCUAAGAAACGGGUUGAUGCUGAUGCUGAUUCGAUUUUUUUCUUGAGUUUGUCAAACGGGUGUUUCAAUUUAGAUAUUCCAAAAGUCAGGUAUAUUAGAAGGUGAUACGUUUGAAGAUGAAAUAUUGCAAUAAUUUGAAGAAAUUUGAGAAAGUUGGGAAGGACACUGGUAUUUUCAACGCUGAGUUUCAAACAUUGAACCUUUCAAGACAGAUUUCAAGUGGUAGAGUUGAUGCAGGUGAUUUUGAGUCGAAGUAUCAACUUUUAAGCCAGUCAUUUGAAAUAGAUUCCAGUGACAUAAUGAAAUUUGUAGGUAAAACUGCUGAUGAAAUUAACGUUUUGAAAGAGAACAUGCAUUUGAUUGCUGAUAACAUGCCAAAGGAGUUGGAACGAAAAUGGAAGACAUUGCAUGCGGUAUUUUUCUUUAAGAAUUUGGAAUUGAUGAAAGAGCAAACUGGUCUGGUGUUGGAAGCCACGAUGAGAAAUAAGUAAAUAUUAAUUAGUGGUUGGUUGGUGUUUGAAAUAUGUUGUUCUUCAGAAGUUAAUUUGACUGAAAGGAUUCUCAAAUCUGUGGAUGGGGUAAAAGAUGCUUCUAUUAUUAUCCCAACUUAAAUAGUUAUUGCCCUCCAUGAUAAUGUCCUCACUUCUUGACUACAAAUAGGUAAUUUUUUUGAAAGGUUGAUUCUUUUGGUCUUUUGCAUUUUAUUUUUAUUUUUGUUUGCUCAAGAAUGGACCAUUUUGGGAAUGCAAACAACUUGUUAUUCUCUUUUUGUUGGGUAAUCGAAAUACUGAACAAUGCAAGACUGGAAGCAAGUUGAGAGCGGUCAUCUUGACCCUCAUCAAUUUAGUGAUUGACCGAGGAGGCCUUCUCAGGACCUAUUCCACCUCGGCUCAUUGCCUCCUCUAUGGGGCUGAGAUCAGUCUUCCAAUGGUGGUUGUUAUCUUAGCUCGGUCACCUAUCUCCACCCUCUAGCACCUAACAUCCCGCUGAAAAAGCUGACAUCUGCAUAUGGAAUGACAUGGCAUUAACGUGAUAGAAUGACAUAACCACUACUAUGUCAUGUCCAUUAAGCUUGAUUUUAUCCUUAUCAAUGUCAGAUCCAUGAAAAAUAGGACUUAUCAUUCUUCCUACGGUCCUGUCUCCUAUAAAUACCCCUCCAUCCGUGGGAAAGGUACGCACAUAGAGAAAUAUACACACUUGAGGUUCUUAAACUAUUUUUAGUUCGCGAUUGAAUACCCGAACAGAUCUGAGCAUUGGAAUAGGAUCAGGGACAGAUCUCGUAUGUUAUAAAUUUGACAGAUGUAUUCCUUGGACUCCGGUAUUUCAGCCGAAAGUCACCUCUUCAAGUUGACUUGGUUCAACUAGAUAGAAAUCACAUCUUCAAUUGGCGCCGUCUGUUGGAAGUGAUAAGACUCUCCGAUAUGAAAUCCAUGCGCUCUAGGAGAAAAAGAGUUCCCCUUACUGGGGCUGAGCCAAGCUCUGCGGCCCAGCGGGAGGGCAGUCAAGUGAACCAAGAACAUCAGCGAACUUUUCAAUCGACAAACGAAGAAACCAUCGCAAGGAUGGCUGAGUUUGUGACUGAAAAUCCUGGUAUCUUUGAAGAAUUGGGAAGCUUCUUCAAGAGACAAGAAAAGGACAAGGCCGAGUUUUCUAAAUGUAAACUGGUCAAAUCUUCUGAAAUUUUUCUCAGAAGAAGAGUCAGAUGAUAGGCAUGCAAAAGCCUUUGAAGCGUGCCUCCUCUAGGUCUACCUCCAAGAUUGCCUCUAUCUCGAGGGCAUUCACUCAAGAUUUUCUCGGAAGACGUCAUAAUGAUGUGCCUAGGCGUUCGGAGGGAUUAGCCACGGAUUAUAUGAGGGCGCCACCUUUUAUCGAUGACAUUAAUGGGGAGAUGGUACCCCCAACUUUAAACUUUUGAUUUUACAGUCUUAUGAUCGGCGAGAUGAUCCAAAGGAUCAUCUUCAUGCUUUUAUCUCCGUUUUUAAGUUAUCUGUCCAGUCUUCCCCGUUUUCUUACAAGGAACUACCUGAAAAUGGUUGUGGAAUUUGAAACCUAGGAGCAUUUUUUCUUUGGACGAUCUCAUGGAUAAUUUUAUCCACCGAUUCAUCUCAUCUAGGCCGACGACGAAAAUUUUGGCCUGAUUGAUGAAUAUACAGCAAGUCCGAGGAAAAUCUCUGCGCUAUUACGUGAAAAAGUUUCGUGAUGAAAACGUACAGAUACCUGACCCAAUUGAACAAGUCACCAUCGCGGCUUUUACAAACGGAUUAGUGGCGGAAGUGUUUAGCACUGAAGUACAUAGAGAAUGUUAUAGCAAAAGGUAGAUAAGGGCAUCUAAAGUGAGAAUGUUAGUCGCACGAAAAGGAAAGCUCAGGCGAUUCGGACUAGCCAAGACCCUAGGAAAAGAAAUGAUCAAAACCAAGGUGAAUCAGAACCAGACAAUUGAGAAACACAAAGUUCCUCCUAUGACCGCCGAAGCGCCUUUGACAGGAUUGCCAAGGAAAAACAAUUCAUUCUCGAUUCUGAAUUAACCCUCCCUCAAUACAAAUCGAUCACGCAUCCUUAUUAUGAUGAAUCAACAUCACCUUGAUCGAUCUCCGUCAAAGAUGAACGAAAAAAGAGAGAAGAGGAAUGCUAACCUCUACUGUGCAUACCACCGAAACAUCGGCCAUGGGAUCGAAAACUGCAACCACUUAAAGAAAGAAAUAAAAAAUCUGAUCAACUAAGGACACUUGAGGCAAUUCGUUCGAAGUGACAGAGGGUAUGAUUGUUGGGAUAAUCGCUGAAAUCAAUAGCGGGAGAAUAGGCGAGAACAAAGAAAUAAUAACCGGGCUCUCCAGGACCCUAGGGAGUGGAGAAGGCCUCCCCGAGAUGGAUCCCCUGAUUACGGGCCCAAUAUAGCAAGGAUCAUUAAUAGCAUUGUUCGUGGUCUGACAGGAGGCGAUAGUCAAAACUUCUGAGAGAGGACAUAUCGGCAAGUUAAUCCAGAUCAUACGAAUGCGAGUUUUCGUCUCACAAAGGUCAUCACAUGUGGCCCAAACGAUCCCGUUUCGACUGCAUCCAACAACCAUGAAGCCCUGAUGAUUGAGAUGCUCAUCAACAAUUAUAUCAUAAAGAAUGUGUAUGUCGAUCCAAGAAGCUUAGUAGACGUCUUGUAUUACUGGACUCUCGAAAAUUUGAAAUUGACUGGCGACCAAUUUGCCCCAAUACGGAUCCUCUUAGUAAGAUUCAAGGGACACGUAAUCUACCCCGAAGGGAUGAUUACGUUGAUGACUGUCGAAUGCCAUCCGCACCACUGAAUUGUCCCCGUCAACUUCACUAUUGUUAAAGUCGACUCUCCCUACAAUUUGCUGAUAUAUCGACCAACGUUAAAUGCUUUACAGGUUGUAUACUCAACCUAUCAUCUAAGUUUCAAGUUUUCAAAUUUAGCUGGUAUAGUAGAGGUAUGCAAUGAUGUGUAUGCAACUCGAGAAUAUUAUCUCGCUACCUUAUAGGCUGCAGCCGCCUCAAGUGCAGAGCCGAUAAUCGAAAGGAAGUGACCAACUAUUUUGUCUAGAUAUUUCAUAGAUUCUCACCGGACCGAAAAGUCUGGAAUGCUUGAGACCAGGGAUGAGGUUGAGGAAGUUGUUCAAGAUUCGCAGAGGCCAAAUUAAGUUGUUCGCGUCGACACGAGUUUACUCCCCACUCUUCGAAGUGAGAUGAUCAAUCUCUUCAGGAAACACCAAAAUGUCUUCACCUUAAUCAGAGACCAUUCUCGAUCUAGUUUAAAACAACCACUGCUGAACUAACAACAAAAGGCCAUUCAUCUACCUUUUCCCUAUUUUCAAAAUUCAAAACCAUGGCAUCCUAUAACCUAAUAUCCGAUCAUCCUCCCCCUUCCCCACAAUCACAUGAUGAAGAAGAAUGUUUCAAAGAAUUUGAAGUUGGAAAACACAAACAAAAAACUCCUCAUGUUACCCCGUAAUUCCAAGUCAAAAGAAUGUUCAAUGUUCAAAAACCAACCAUCCCUCCACCUGAAUACUCUUCAGAUGCUGGAGAAGAAGAAAAAGAGGAUGAAGAGAAAGGAGAAGAGGACGACAUAUCAGAAAACUGCCCACAUUCUCCUUUUGCAUAAUUCUCCAUAAUCGAGCAUAAUAAUAGUCCUGCCAAGUCCACUUUCAAACACUCAAAAUCCAGCUUAAAACGCCCCUCAGCCGACAAAGAUGAUGAAAAAGGUUUGGAAAGUAAAAAGGAAGCUAAAUUUAUUACUGAUGAAUCGAAGAAAGAUAAAUCUUCUUCAAUUUCAGCCGUUACUACAGGCAUGGUUUGUAGUGAUGAGCAGGUGAUUAAACUUCUCUAGUACAUGAUCGAGUUUAAGGCUAAGAAACAGGUUGAUGCUGAUGCUGAUCCAGCUUUUUUCAUGAGUUUGUCGAACGAGUGCUUCAAUUUAAAUAUUCCAAAAGUCGGGUAUAUGAGAAAGUGAGGCGUUUGAAGAUGAAAUAUUGCAAUAAUUUGAAGAAAUUUGAGAAAGUUGGGAAGGACAUGAAAACUCGAGAAAAUCAGGUGUGUGCUUUGCAUUUAUUUUAUUUUAUUUACCUUGAUAUUGGAAAUAUUACAUAUAACGAAUAAGUGGUUAAAUUAAAUGUUUAAUUGAAUUUCUAUGAAAUCGAGAAUUAGAAAUAUCCUAGAUUGGUGUAGAAAAAUUUUUAUGAAUCAAAUAAACACAUGGUAUGUAUAUUGUAAAUUGUGUCAUUUGCAUGUAUUACUAGACACGUAGCAUAUAUUGUACAGUUGAAUAAAUUAUAUGUCUAGUUGAUUUUUCUUUAACACCGAAUGUGUGAAAAUCUUUUAGAUAAAUGUAAGAGAAUUUUCAAGGGUAUACAAAUUAGAACAAAUGAAAUUUGGAGUCAAUGCGUGAGAUAAUAGAACUACAAAUCCUUAGCAAGCAAAUGAGCUAAAGUCAAAAGACCAAAUCAACCUUGAGCUUCGGUUGAACUACAAUGCAGCCUGCAAAAAUAAGCUAACAGAAUUUUUAAAGCAGAAAUCGAGAGACGGAAACAUCCGGAGUUUGGCCUGAGUGGAGUAGCUUAGAAUUGUGGAGCACCGAUUGGAAACAUUGACCACCGAGUGGCAUAAUCUUGUGAUUCUUAAGUCUUCCAAACAGCGAGAUAAAUGAGUAUAAGAGGAGAAAUUAGCUGCCAAUUAUUUGCUAAGUUAGGUGGUGACCAAAGAGAGAAAACUAAGGAGAAAGCAGCGGCCAACAAUCUGCUAAGUCAAGCGGUGACUAAGUGGAGCAAAUAGGAACUGGUUCAUUAGUUGGGCGGUGACUGAAAGCGAAGAAACUAGGCAGCUCUUCCUUUCUCUCUUUCUUUCAAUCUCUACAAAACAGAACUGAAGAAGUGGAACUAGAUGUGAGGAGAGGAAGUUGAUUAACUCCAUCAGCUGCUAAACAUAAACAAACAAACGAACGCAAGGAACGGGAGAGAUAGCUGGAGUAGGACUUGAGGAACUGAAUCAGAAAUGUGAGCGGUCUGCAACAUCGAAACUUAGGAGGACAAGGUAUGAAUCUGCAAUAAUCUCCUGCUUAUUCGGUAUAAAUGGAUUAAUAUACGAGCUGCAUGUGAAUUUAGCAAAGAAAAUGGGUCCUUAGCUAAGGUGAAACUCUGCUUUGAAGGAGAUAAAACUGUUGGACAGAUUUGGAGGGAAUUAGGAGCUGAUGUUUGGAUUUCAACCUAUAAAUGAUGAAAAUUUAUGUAGUAACCUCUUAAUCAUCUAGUAUAUAUUUGAAUACGCAUGUUGUGUACUGGAUUCAAGCCAAGAAAACCGAGUUUUGUUGCAGAGAUGAAGGGAAUAGAGCAAGGAAACCUGAUGCAUGCUGCUAUGCAUCAGAUUUGUAGUUAGGUGCAGAUAUGAGUCUUAAUUCAGUUUUUCUCUUGAAUUCUGGUCAUAAACUGCCGUGUUUGCUUAGGAUAACCUGUAGUCGAGUAAGUAACCUCUGCGUGAGUGGGUGAGACCUAAAACUGAAGAGGAAAUGGUGGGAAAAUGUCAAAGGAUAAACUACUGUUUUGCUGGAAAUUUAUUGGUUGCAACCGAGUGUGGGAAAUGAAGAAGUUCUAGCUAUUCUUAUGAAUGUUGGUCUUGAAAUUUUAUAUUAAACUGUAAUAUAUUUUAUAAUACAUUGGUCUUAACAUGCAUGUAAGAUUUAAGUCUAAAAUGAGGAGUUUAUUGGUGAAUUUUCGUGUCUUAAAGGCUGAUUGCUGCUAAGGCUUUUCCAAUGGCCGAGAGAGAACAGAGUCUUGAUCAGUCCUUGUUUCGAGUUUAGCUGCAAACUUUACACGUUCUAUUUAAGGCUACUCUGUAGCUUCGUAAAUGUGUUUUGCUUGUCUAGUUGGGGCAUGAAAAUGAAAGGAAAGACUGGAGAAAACAACAAAUGUUGGACUGAUACACUGCUAGGAAGUUGAGGGAUGCGAUAGCUAAUUACUAAUGCAGGUGAUGAUGACCGAUUUGUGAUCUAACAUUUAAUCGAAUAAAUUACUGAAACAUGGUGUUAUCUGUUCUGGCUUAUACUGGACUGAAAGUACGUUAAAGUAUUUAGAGCCGUAAGCAAGUAAAGAAAUGAAGUUUUGUUGAAAAUCUGAAAUAUAUUGCUGGAAUUUUGAUUUGAUGGCUGAAAUGGUAGUUAGUUAAGCCCUUUUAUGGUAUUUUUGGAAACUGUAAGGUAACUUGUUAUAGGUAUAUACAUAAGAUGGCUUCUAAUCACUUAAUCUUGUUUUCACAAGCAUUUUCUAGACUAUAAACAUGACAAUAAUCUUAAUCUCAGAAUAUUGAAUACAAGACUAUAAACUUGAAAAAUAAGUAUAUUUCUUUGGUUAAAAUGAUAAAGUUGUUAAGUUUCGAGAUAAAAUGUAAGAUGGGCGUUGGAUAUGUUAUAUCUUGUAUUUAAAACCAAAACUCGACUUUAAUAGUUUAAAACAUAAGACAACAAAUGACAAGUGAUUAUCUACGAACUGUAUCUUCAUUUUAGAGUUAUAAAUUUAUCUCAGGGGGUAGCUGUGAGCCAGAAAGCAAACCUGAGGCUUGAGAGUAAUUUAUUUGGGUAUUUGGUGAGUGUUUCCGAAUUUAUGUGUUUAACUGUUUAUGUGUACUUAAGUGAAAUUAUGUGACAAAUAUGUGUAUUAUGAAAUAUUGCUAAGUGAUUCAUUGUAAAGUGUAUCUCAAUUGUCCCUCACCUUCUAAGUCGAGGGUGUACUUUAUCGCACUCGACUUAGUUUGAGCUUGAAGGUAUUAAGCUAAGAAACUAUUAUUCUCUCUCUUAUGUUACAUUUUAUUGGAUAGAUGACUUGAAUCUUGAAUUAUAUUGGAUGAUACUCUAGUUUUGGUGAACAUUAACGAAUUUCAGCAAGGGUUAGAACUGGAACUGCAUAUUCGUUCAUGAUAAAGAACAAAUCAAUUCUUGUUCAAAACAUGAAAGUUUUAGAGAAUUGAGUUAGCUAGUUUCCUGCAAAAUGUCAGCCCAAUCUGAUCAGUGUAGCCUGAGUUAUGAUCAAAACACUAAUAGCUAUGCAAAAUGUUGGAUUUUGUGACGAUUGUAGUUUUUGCUUCUGACAGUGCUCAGUUCACCUUGAUAACGUGAGAAUUGGGUGUUUAAAUCUUCAUAAGACUUGUAGAUCUUUGUUUCACCGUCGAAUCAGUAUAAAAUGCGUCCAAAUCCGAGUUCGGUAGCUCCAGUUAUGCCCAAAACAAUGUAAGGUGCCAGAGCUGCCGUUGAAUCAGUCAGUUCUGUGCACGAACUUUGGACCCAUUUUUCCCCAUGCUCUGUAUUGAUUCAGCUUUUGGUCCAAACACAAAAGUUAUAGCGUUAUAAAUGAGCUUUUCAACACCUCUGGAAUUUCUUGAUUCCGAUCUCUGAGUCAUGAGUUGUGGUCAUUCAAAUAGGGUCUGUUUGGUACCCUGAAUUGAAACGGUUGGGACUGUCUUGUGCAUUUUUGCCCUAGUUUCGUUGAGAUCUGGUUUGAGGUAUUUUCAUAAAAGUUAUAGCCCUUCUUCUUAGCUUCGUAAUGGUACUUCAUAGACCUUAAUCUGACUUUCCUAACCCAACUUAUGGUCAAAACAGUUUGGGACAGCAACUAUGCCCGUUUCCGUUUCCGUAAGCCGUUUCCGCGCAUGCAUAUGCCAAUUUUGCCGUUUUACUUGAUUUAUGCAUUCUAGUAGCCGUUUGUGGAAUAAUGUGGUACAGUCUUCUAUUUCAGAUGGUGGUGAGUUAGACGGAGCCAGUGGGGCCUACUAGCUAUUACACGUGACGUGAUCUCCGCUCUUUUGCUAUACUUGCUUUUUGUGUAAGUAUUCAGGCCGUUUUUGUGUAUAACUUGCUUAUGUGCUUUGAUGUGAAUGAGAGGGUACGUAGGCGAGAGUGUACUUGAUCACACUCGACCUAAACCCUAAUUUUGCACCUGUGUUUGUCUAUGAGAUGUAUAUAUAUGAAUUAUUUUGAUGUUGAACCCCUUGAGCUUGUAGUUCGGGGUGAUGUUUGUGGGAUCCGAUCUCAAGACCUAGACGGACUAUUCGAGCCGGCCGGGGCUUGGUCGAAACCAGUCCAACCUAGUCUUGAGGUCACCAAGUUUGUGAACCAAGUUUGUGAACCGAGCUUGUGAAUCAAGUUCAAUUUCAUUUCGUUUGCUCGAGCCAUUUUGUGAGGUGACUGGCCAGUGAGGGUGAUAAGGUGUUAGGUGGGAAUACAAGUGGAGUUCUACGGAUCAUUAUUUGUGGUCGACGGAGUGUCGACAGGAGGUCACACGUGGCACAUGAUUUGGCUUUGGAGCCAACCUGUAUCCUUAACUUGUAUUGUUACUUUUAUACUUGCGAUUUGAUAUCUUUGUGACGAAAUUGUUUGUCUUAAUGUGAAAUUUACGCUUUUACCCCUGUUUACUUACUAAGUAUAUAACUUACCCCUUUUAGUUUUGGUUUCCUUACAGGAGUCGGAGAUUGAAGAGUGAUUGGAUUGAACUAGAAAGUUAUUUGGGAAGAUCCGUUAUUCUGUGUAUAUAGUGUAGGCAGGGUCUCUUUUGAAUUUUGAGACGAUUGAAGUUUUGGUUGAGUUGGUGAGAUAUUAAGAAUGGAUAUUUAGAACAGGUAUUUUGUUUCUUUUAUUGGACAAAUUUAUGUUUCAAAUUGAUUGGAGAUGUACUUAAGAGUGAAUGUUCAGUUGUCCAAUGGUAAUGUUAUCUCUGAAAUUAAUGUGAGUGAGUGGGUCCUGGCGAGAGCCAGGCAGGCGAUCCGCUAACUUCUAGGGUAUGCCCUAGGAGAAGGUGGGGUCAUCACAGGACACUAGUAUUUCCAAGACUGAGCUUCAAACAUUGAACCUUUCAAGACAGAUUUCAAGUGGUAGAAUUGGUGCUGGUGAUUUUGAGUCGAAGUAUCCACUUUUAAGCAAUUCAUUUGAAAUAGAUUCUAGUGGCAUAAUGAAAUUUGCAGGUAAAACUGCUGAUGAACUUAACUUCUUGAAAGAGAACAUGCAUUUGAUUGCUGAUGACUAUGUCGGAGAUCUUGACAGAAGGAGAUUACUUUCAAGUUAUGUAUUACACAUUGGUGGUUGUGCACUUAAUUGAAAAGUUACUUUACAACAUGUUGUAGUUUUAUCUACUACAGAGGCAGAAUAUAUGGCCAUGACCGAGGCAAUCAAAGAAGUCUCGUGGUUGAAGGGUUUAUUUGGCGAAUUUAGUCUAUAUCAAGGUGUUACUACUAUUUACUAUGAUAAUCAAAGUGCCAUUUAUUUGACUAAAGACCAAAUGUAUUAUGAGAGGAUGAAAUAUAUUAAUGUGAUAUUUCAUUUCAUUCGAGAUACUAUUGUUGAUGGAAAAGUACUUGUUCAGAAAAUCAGUACCAAGGAAAAUCCUACUGACAUGUUCAUGAAACCUCUUCCAGUUUACAAGUUCAAGCAAUGCUUGGACUUGGUUGGUGUUCGUUGUUAAUGAUUUAGGUCCAUUGGGGUUUAUGUGGAUAAGGUGGAGCAAAUUUGCUAUUGUCGAUGUUGGAAACACGCCAAGGUGGAGAUUUGUUAAAGUAACUUUGUCCACAUCGCCUUGUGUGUAAGGAAACCUUUCUCUUAGUUGCCUAUAAAUAUAGUGAAUCUAUGAUGGGAUUAAGUGCACAAAAUCAAGAGAGUUUUAGUGGGCUAUUUGAGACUUAGGGCCAUUAAAUCUUUUGUUUAGUAAAAUAUUUUUGGAUUCUCUUGUGUUUUAAAUAUUUGGUGUUUUGGGUCUAAAAACACUUUUUUUAGGCAUUUUUGUACUCUUCUCUUCAUAGUAAAAUAUUGCUCUUCCUCCGCCCGUGGACGUAGGUCAAUUUGAUCGAACCACAUAAAUUCCUGUGUUCCUAUUUUAUUUAUUUUUGCUUUGUUAUUUGUCUAUCUUGGGGUUGUCAAAAAUCCUUUCAUCAAUUUUUUGGGACCAGACCAAAUAAAAGUUCUAGUGUAAAAUCCUCAAAUUUUGAAGGUAUUGCUAGUCACGUCUAUUUAUCGUGAACCCCCAAGAUCUGUUGAAAGUCCACUUCAAAAUCUUGGGUUUGUUUGACUCAUAUAAGUCAUGACAAACACAUCCAUAUAGUUAAUGAAUUUGUAGUUUGCAAUUAAGAUUAAUGGAAUAGUUCUAAUGCUAAGCACAUCAACUUAACUUACAACCUUUGCGUGCAUUAUGAUUAGAGGUGUCAAAAUGGAUGAUUUGGAUGGGUUUGGAUUGGUUAAAAUUGGUAAUGGGUAUAAGUGAGUCAACCCAUUUAUGCCCAUUUAAUUAGAUGGAUAUAAAUGGGUAAGUCAAAAAAAGAAUUGGGUAACCCAAUUACCCAUUUAUUUUAUUUUUUUUGUAAACUCAUUUAAAUUCAUUUUUGCAAACUAAGUUAUGAAUUUAUACCACCCUUUCCACCCAUCAUUAGUUUUAAAUAUUAACUUAUAAUGUUCAAUAAGUCUAAUUAUCAAUUUUUUUCCAUCCGUACUCUAUGUUGUAAAAUUACAUGUUAUUUAAUAAUUGAAUAAUAAGAAUAUAAAAAUUUGAACUAAGUACUAUAAAAGUUAACAUAAAAACUUAAUUCAAAAUUUUUGAACCCCUAACUUUUUUUUGUGUGUAAAUUUUACAAAGGUAGAAAAAGAGGGUGAAACUUGUCAUAAAUUGGUCAUGCUGAAAAAUGAACAGGUUAACAAACUAAGAGAAAAUAAAAUGAUAAGAUAAAAUCAACAAAUAAUAAUAAAACAAAAGUAGUUAACAUUAUGACAAAAUGAAAAAUCUAAAAAAAAAUGGGUGGAGGAAGAGAGGAGACAUGAGGGAAGACAAUUCUAAAUGGGUCAAUUGGAUUUGAUGGGUUACCCCCCAUAUAUAAAAAUUUAAGAUACUCAUACUCAUCUAUUCAUAGACGGGUAUGGGUAAAUUUAACUAAAUGGAUUUGUUUGCCACCUAUAAUUAUGAUCACAGUCAUCACUAAAAACCAAAACUUGUAUACAAUUACAUUUUUUUAAUUAUAAGCUUUUAUGUUCGCAUAUUGGUUAGUCCAAAUGGAUUUCAAUAAAUCAAAGAUUGUGAGGAUUUUCUUUGGAUCAUUAUAACUGUAGGAUUACUUUGUUUUCUGAAUUUAGAUGGUGCUUAAAUGAAGGAUGGUUAAAUUAUUAACAAAAUUAGAACAAUCGAAUUAAUUUCCAUAAAUAUUUGUAAACAAGAUUAAUUUCUUCCACAUAUACCACUUUUUAUUUUGUGCUCUAAGUGAAGCAAAUGAAAAAGCCCAUACAUAAAGACACGCGUUACAUGUGGAACACUUAUAUCUCAUGCUUAAACUCAAAACAAAUUAACAAACAAAAGAGGGAAGUUCAUGUUAAUGACAUGCAAGUCUAUAUAAAUCUUUGAUACACAUAAUUUGUGCACUUAAUUAUUUAUAGUUAUAUCAAAAAAUUAUGGCAUUCCAAAUAUCUAACUACCAUAUUAAUCUUUAGAAACUUUUGAAUGUAAAUUUUGUAUAAUGUGAUAAUAUUGAUUAAUUAUUAUAAUGCACAAUAGCAUUUUUUUUUGGCCAAAUCAAUUAAGUCUCAAAUUACAUCAGGCUCCAACUAUACAUAAAAUAUUUGUUCAUUACCAUGCAAUGGCUUAUUAUUUUUCUUUCAUCAAAACGAUAUUUGAUUUUUUUUUCAACACAUGAGUAUUCCAUUUUUGCCAGACUAAUCUUCCUGCACCUGUAUACCCCGCUCUCCUAGGAUACACAAGUAGUAGAGAGGUGAUUCGAACACACGAUCUUGGGAUCUAACUAGACUACCCCGAAAUCAUCCGAGCCAACCCCAUGGGGCAUCAAACGAUAUUUGAUUAUAUUAAUGUCAAAAGCUAUACAAUUGCGAGUAAUGGCUAGAGAUGGCUUUCCUCGUCUAAUGUAAUGCCUUGUCAAGUGUACUUGACCAUGCAGUGGCUUAUGAUACUUCUCCAAAAUAGUUGUAUCAGUAAUUGGAUGCAUUUUGCAAUGCAAAGGGCUGUACUGGUUUUCGAAUUUGAUUUUUCCCAUGUGGUCCUAGUUUCCCCGACCUGGAUCAGUUUUUAUCGACAUUCAUGGUGAAGCCUACAAGGGAUCAUUGUGGUUUUUCGUCUUUAACAUCCUUGACAUAUUGUGCCGUUUUAUACAGAUCAUACAGGAAAUGAUUCAGUAGCUAUUGUCAAAUUCUCCACAUCUUGAACAUGCGAAGAAUCUGAGUAUUGUUAGUCCAUGUCAAGUCCUCGAUUGUACCUUCUUGCCAUCCUCUGGAGAUUCUGACAAUUUCUGCUACAAAUCUUCUUUUGUUUUUUUUUUUUUUUUGAGAAUGUGUUUGAACCUCCUACAAAUUCGCUUGUUGAAUAUCAGAAUACUCCUUCGCUGUUGGAGCUUACACUGGAUGGGGAAUUGUGUUCAGAUUUUCUUCUUCAUGCUUCCAAGGAUUUAAAGUGUAGCAACCAAUUGGAGAAACUUGUCUUGCGUGUGCCUUAUAAGGUUAGAAUGACCUUUUUGCUCAUUUCAUUGAUUACUUGUUAUGAUAAUUUCAACUGCAGUUGUACACUGACUUGUUGCAAACUUUUGAUUAGAUUAGUUUUCUUUCGAGGAGACAUAUUUGCCCGCCCGUUGAAAUUGGACUCCCCCAACUCCAAUAUCUCAAACAUCUGGAAUUGGUAAUGGUCAUAGCAAAGGAUACGAGCCUUCUCUACUUUGUAAAGUUAACCAAGGAGUCCCUAUUGUUGUCUCAAUGUGUAGUUCAGGUACUGCAUUUUUUCAUUAUCUGUAAGCCAUAUACAAAAUAUGAGCUAUUGGUUAGAUGUAUGUGUUUCUUUCCUAUUACCUAGAUUCGUAAAUAUAGUUUGUUAUCCCGUAUUUGGGAAGUAGUUCUUAGUAGGGAAGAUUUUCUUAUUUCAACAUGACUACUAUUCCUUAAAAAGCACAUGAAUGAGAACAAUGCUCUAUUCCUCACUUCAUCGUUUGUACUAGAUGCGUCAACUACAACCUAAUUAUAUCGAUCCACACAAACUCAUGGAGUUGGGUAUGUAAUGAACUUUGAAUAGAGAUCUAAAUGAGUACCCAAUUAGACCCAUUUAAUUGGUAGGUAGUGGGUUAACUCGGUUCAUCUAUUGACACUCACUUAUAAAUAAUUAUAUAUUUAAACACAAAUUUUAGUGGAUGUUAAACAUAUAAAUUUAAAUUUCCUUCCAAUCUAAUAAAAAUAAAAAUAUUGUUAUUUCUUAUUAAACAACAUGCAAAAAAAAUUUUUUAAAAAUAAGUAGAAUUUCAAGUGAGUCAUAAAUAGAUAAUUGAGUAUAUCCAUACUCAUUUCUUAAAUGAAUAUAAAUGAGUUGACUCAUUUUGAUCCAUUUAUUAAAUAGGUAUUAAUGGGUUGAUCGAAUUAUGACUCAUCCAAAUCCAUUGAAGUCACCCAUUUAAUUGGACGUAAUAUGUUAUAUUACUUUUUGUUUUACUUGUUCUAUAAUAGUAGUUGUCUAUUUAUGUGAAUUAUGAUAUUUUUAAUUAAAAAAUGAAUGAGGAUUGAUAUCAAAAUUCUUCAAGUGUAAUACUUGUUUUAUUCUAUUAUAUAGAUUUCUAAGUUAAAUUUUUGCAUUUAUUAGGAAUAUAAUUAGCAACAUAAAAUGUAAAUUACAUGAAGUCAAACAAUUAUAAUAUAUUUUAACAUGCUCUUAGGUAUUAUAAUAUACCUUCGUUAAUAUUAACAUGUUCCGUAUUUUACAUAUAAUAUUUUAGUUUUUAAAUAAUUUUUAUUUAUGACAUCAUUUGAUUCAACCUCGAUCGAACUCGGUCGAACGUAUUGAACCUUGUUCCCUAAAUUUGAACGAGUCGAUACCAGGUCUGAAUCUGAAAACAUAGCCAUUUGGCCAACUUGAUACCCUAUUUUAUGACUCUGUUCUCAUCUCUCUCCUCUGCUCUUGUCAUUUCUUUAGUUCCAAUCUCCUUCACCACUUCAACACUGCCAAUUUGCUCCUGUCGUGCCCCUUUUUUGAGAAAAUAAUCUAAGUGUUGAAAAAUGAAUUUUAAUUAAAAAAAUGAGUUUUUGAUUUUUCUUAUCAUUUUAUUUAAAAAAUGAGUUUUUAUUAAAAGAUGAGUAAAAGUUGUGUUUUUUAUUUUAGAAAAUAAAAAAAAAGGGCUUAAAUGGGGACUUGAAAAGUGCGACGAUUUGGCCCAAAACAAUAGUCUAAAAAGGAUUUUUUAAGAAAAAAUAAAAAUCACCACUUGGUAUCGAAUUUAGAUGUGCCAAAUCACUUAAAAAUAUAUUUUUAAUAAAAAAUAGAUAAAAUCUUUUUUAGACUACUCCAGGUCUUUGAAAACAAGAGAAAAGAAAGAAAAGGCAAAGAUUUGAUCUAAGGCACUCUUUCAACCUAAUCAAAGUUAGUUGCGAGAUUUAGUCAAAAAAUUUUCCUAAUCUAACCUAUAGAUUUAUCAUAUUUGGAUGUUUCUAUAUGGAUGCAAAUCUAGACCUAAUGGGUAUCAAGCGACUAGAAAAUAUCUCUUCGAAAUUUAAUUGGUGCCAAUCGCAUUAAUUGCGAUGCCCAAAAUACUUCUUAGAAGAGGUCAUGAAUAUGCAAAAGAUAAGACUCAAAGAAAAGAAAAAUUAUAAUAUAUAUAUAUAUAUAUAUACGUGACCUAAAAGAAAGGAAUUCAACAUAAUAGGUACGGGAGACUAAGAUUCAUGACUCAAUUUUUCUUUUUUAUAGAGGGGAUAUGAGCAUGCUAAGGUUAAGUAGCCAUACUCGUUCAUUCCCCAUAUUAAAAAGGGUGACUUAACUAAUCUAAUCAAGCAAAUGAACUAACCUAUUUCUAAUUUUCUAAAAAAAUGCAAGUCUAAAUGUCAUGUUUCUCACACAUAGGGGUAAGUGAUAUAAUUUAUAGGGAGAAUAUGAUGCAAAAUGAGUAAAGAUCCUAAAAAUGGAAAAUAUGCAUGCAAUGUGAUGAAUGUCACACAAACAUGUAAUUUUAGCACGAAAAGAUCUAAAAGAUUUAGCAUUGGACUAACCCAUAUCUAUAAAUUCUCACUAGCAUUGGACUAGUGAGAAAUCGGGAAAAAAGGACCACAACUAGUGUUGGACUAGUGUGGUGACGCCAUGCAUUUAUUAUAACAUAAUAAACCAUAUAGACAUAUUUAAAACAAGUAAACACAUAAACACGUAGAGCACAUAGCACGUAAGCAUAAUAUCUAAAUGCAAAUCUGCUAAGAAAGCGAGUAAAACACGUAAGCACAUAAGCAUGCAAACACACAGGCAAAUAAACACGCAUGAGAACCUAACUAUUACAUUUGGCGGCCCUAACUACAAUCUAAAGAGGAAAGUUAAAAAAUAAUAACCUAACUAUUAUAUUUAUCUAACUAAUUACAUUUUUGACAAAAUUAAAACCUAUCUAUUACAUAGUCUAACUAAAUACAUGUCUUGAGCACCUAUCUAUUACAAUUUGACAUUUAAAUGCCUCUCAAAUAAUCAUCAAAAUUAAAUAUAUAAAACUUGAAACAGAUAAAUGAAGAAAAACACUCAAAAACAAGCAAUUACACAUAAAAACACAUAGAAACACAUAAAAAGAUUUAAAAUAAUAAAAGAAGAUACCUCUCUUAAAAUAGUAGUUAAUUGGGGUUGGAUUUACCCUAUUUUUGCUCUAAAAUCAACAAAAUGGUCAAGGUACCAAUUUAAUUAACAAAUAAAAAGAAUAACAGGUAAAGAAAUGAAAAUAAUCAUAAAAUCUAUCAAUUAAAGCAUUUAAAUGAAGUAUAAUUAAUAAUUAAAGAAGACAAACAACUUAUAUUUAAGAAAUUAAAGCUAUUAGGGAUGUAAUUGCAAAGUUAAGAAAGUUUUGGGGUUAAAAUAAAUUAUUACAAAGUUUAGGGGUCCAAAUGGAAGAAAAAUUAAGUUUAGGAACCAAAUUGCUAUUAAUUUAGGUACCUAAUUGAAAGAAACCAAAGUUUUUAGGGCCUUAAUAUAAUUAUGUAAAAGUCCAGAGAUUAAUCUGCAAAUUAUGUUAUCAGAUCUUGAGAGCAACGGGCCACUAGGCCAUUUUAUUAAUUUCUUGGGCUAAAAGCUUACGGGCUCAAAGAAAAGCCUGAAGAACAAAGGUGGGCUGCCCUGCCUUUUACCACGAAAGAAAAACAAUCAAAAAGGGUUGGGCUUGAUCCCCAAGCCCGGUCUCAAACCCAAUUAGAAAAAGAAAAUCUUGGCCCUAAAUUUUUUUAACCCAAAACAUGUUUUAUCAACCCAUUAUAGCCUAGAUAGGAUUCAACCAAGUAAAACAAACCAAAUAAAUCAGAAAAAAAUAGAAAGAAAAUAGGUGAAGAACAUUCUGGCGGGUCGACCCGUUUGGAUGGAACCGGAAAUUCACCGGAAUCCAUUUUUACCAACUUUUAAAAUUGGAUCUUCACAUAUAUACGCAUUUCAUGGCAUGUUAGAUUUAAAUAAACAUCAAACAAAGGCCGAAAUCAGAAAAUCACGAAUAAACACGAGAUCUAAGUUCUUAAACAUGAACAUCCAUAAAUUCGUUCAAAUAUCUUGCAUAAAUAUUGAAUCAAACCAAGAAAGGUUGGAAAACUACCUGAUGAAGCUUUGGGAACGAAUUGGAACGAGAAAAAUGCGAAUGGACGCGGGUUGGAGAGAUUUUCAGCAAAGUUGCAGCGAAGCCAGGGAUGACGAGACAGCAAUUUUGAGGCCAAAUUCGAAGGCUUUAAGAUCUUUUUUGCUAUCAAAUUUCUGAAAGAAAAUUUUUCUCCUAACUACGUAGAUGGUGUAAAAAUUAAAAUUUCCUCGAGAGAAGCUAUAAUGAGAGAGAAAAGUCCCUUGCAAUAUGGCUCCAGAACCAGCCUUGUCUGCCAAAAUUCUGCAAAAAAAUUUUCUUUCUUUUCUCACUUUUUCACUCCUUUUUCUCUCUGUUUUCUGCUUUUUUUCCUUUUUCCGCAGCUAUCUACCCUCCUACCUCUUUAGGGUUGCGUUUUUAUCCCUUUUAUAGGUACAAAAUCCCCCAAAACCUAGAAUUAAGAGUGUAGAUGAUGGCAGAUUUUCUUGGUCACUUUGAGCCAUUAGAUUGGCUUGAAUUCAGAUUCUCUUUGGAAUUUUGGAUCACUACCAAGUGGUCCUGUACUAGAGUGAUUGACUGGAGGAAAAAAUGCAAGAAAAAUGCAUGGAAAUGCCCAAAAAAGACCCUGCGAAAUCUAGUACGAAACUAUCUCCACGGCUUCUGGUAUGAAGCCAUGGAGAUGACGCGAACACGCGUGUGAGGCAAAUAAAAAAUUUUUUUUGACAAAACUUGAUUUUGAUGAUUUUUUUCUUCUUUUCUUUUCGUCUCUUCUUCUUUUUAUUUGAUUAAAUGACUUUUUUAAAUUUUUUAUUUUGAUCUUAUUAUUAUUUUUUCUUUUCUUUUUUUCUUUAAGAAGAAGUAAUAAACAUAAAAUGAACUAAAAUAAUAAUAAAAAAUAAACUAAAAUGAGCAAAAGAUAAAAUAAGAUGAUGAAUUUUUUUUUUCGGUGUCUACAGCUCCCACUAUUACCAGCUUGACUGACACAUGCUCACAUUUUGCUCCAUACAAUGCCACAAAUCGGAUUUAUUAUAUAUUUAUUGGUUGUUUGAAAAAUUUAUUCCAAUUGCAACAUUGCUACAAAAUAUGGAUCUUUUUCGUUACAUUCUUUUCCUUUUGGUUUUUCAAAAAAAUGUGACUACUUCUCUUGUAUUGGGUAAAUAUGGGUAUCAAGGAAAUGUAGAGAAUCGACCGGAAAUAAAAGUUAUAGUUGUAAAACACUGAGAAAUUAGAAGACUAAAGAAAGAUGGAUUAAAAAGGAAAUACUCUGGUUAAAACCCGAAGGAGAAAGUGAGAAAGAAAGAGCAAAAAGAAGGCAUUUAACAGGGAAGCUCUAAUGUAGAAGUUUGGUGGCCCCGGUUACAAUUUUUACGGUCCCGUUUGGCAAGUAAGUUUUUUGGAUAUUUGCCUAAAACUUUACUGUAUCUUACUGUAGAAGUUGUAGAAAUUUUUUUUUAAAGUGUACAAAUUUUUGUAUAUUUUAAAGUAUAUAGUUUAAAAUUUUAAGAAGUUUUUUAAAAUUAUUGUAGUUAAAGUUGUUAAAAAAUUUGUAGCAAACAAACUUAGCCAAAAACGUGCUUGCCAAACAAGGCCUAUAGUUUUUUACUUUAAGGGUAUUCCCUUCACUCAACCAAAGUUGCUUCCGUUGUGUAUUAUUCAUUUGCAUUGGCAAAGAUAGUAGCUUUUAUUAAUUUCUACAUUGUAUUUAAAAAGUAAUUGAGGUUACUGUAGCAAUCUUUUUUUUUUUUUUUUUGGCCAUGUGUAUAAAGUGGCAGUUUUCAUUUUUAGUUGAAUUUUUGUUUAACUAUUUUUUUUAUUAGCCAAAAGUCAUAAAUAUCUCUUUUUUCAAUUCUUCUCUUCUUAUUCUUUCUGCAUUGAUAGGGUGUAUUUUGUUGGUAUAUUUGUGGAUGUUUUUUUUCUUGAUUUUAGUUAAAUAUUAUUUUAAUUGGUAUAUUUUUAGUGGUGUGAGAAUGACAUUUAAGAAACGGGAAAUAGACAAGAGGAUUAGAAUUUAGGACACCCCUAAAUAUAUAUACCACUUAGCUUGUUUAUUCAUUUAUUUUUUUCAUUUGUAUGGAAUGUUAUCUUGAUUCGACCAUUGGAUCAAACCAUCUUCUGUGCUUCAGGCAAAAAGCCAAAUCGAAAGAGAAUUGGACCGUAGACUUUAAGAAAAAACUCAAUAGCGUGUUGGGCAAUUACAUGGUUAACAAUUUUAAGACGUAAGAAAUUGAACCAGAAACAAAAGCUGCGUAUAGAAUAGGUAUUUGCAAUGAUAUCUAGAUUAACAGAAUAGACGUAAACAUCAAAAUAAUACAGAUCAGUGUUCAAGAUAUACACCAAUGUGUAUGUAACUAACAGAAAAUUAUUGUUAAAAUUUUGAGUAUAUUUGUUGAAAUCAUUUUCAGAAGAAUUAGUUUUAUUUGCUUGACACUAGAUAGUGGAAAGUUCAUCAAAAUAAAGUGUAUAAAUAGAUAGUUAUUUAGAAGUAAUUCGUCAAUAUAAUUGUUAGUUGCUAUUUGGUAAGAGGAGAUAUUGGAUAGUUAUUAAGGAUAGUUUUGAAAGAGCAUAAAAUGACAACAAUAUGUUUAUACCAAAAACCCUUUCCUCCAUUUUUUUUUCUUUUGGUGAGACCCUCCUUCUUUAUAUAUAGUAUAGAUAAUAAUACGAUAUAUAAUUAAUAUAAAAAUAUAAAUACUAAAACAACAACGUACAAAACACAACUUUUAAAGCAAAUAUUUGCAUGUUAAUCUAUUAAGGUCUAUAUUUAUCAUCGGGUGCUUACAAGUCACUACGUUUUUUAUAAAUUUUUCUCAAUUUCCUUGGUUCCUGGCGUACUUUGCAUUUAGCCUCAACAGUUGAAUUUGAAAAAAAAAAAAGCAAAAUAAUUUUUUAACUCUUUCUAGUUUUUAUAUAUACUUAUACACAUGAGAAGUAUUUUGCUUUAAGUUACUCCCUAACGUUCCCAAAAAUCUUUCACUUGCCAUAACCUUACAGACGCAACUGAAAAGAGUGGAUGGCAAUGCCAGACGUUAGAAUUUACAUAGAAGAAUAGCAUUUCCACCAAGAUUUUCCACUAAUUCCAUCAAAGUUCAGCGUAUUUAUAAUACAUACCAUGUCACAUUUUUCUAAGAUGGAGCAGACACUAGUACUGGCAAACGUGAGUGUGUUUGGAUAGUAGAUUAUUUGGGAUAAUUUUUUUAAAAAAAUACUAUUAUACUUUUUUGAUAUGAUGUAUGUGAAAUAAAAAAUUAGUUUAAAAAUGUAUUGAUAAUUCAACCAAAUAAAUUUUUGGAAAAAAGUUGUUGGACAUGGAAAUAUGCACUAUAGUACUAUGAAUUAGUCUUCUACUAAUAGUGCAAAAACUAACAAAUUUAGAUGGAGGAGAGAAGUAUAAAAUUUGAAUUUUAAAUUUAAAUUUAGCUUAAUUAUCUGCACUUAUACAUGCAUGCAUGCAUGCAUACAUACAUACAUACAUAUAUAUAAAGUUAUUGAUAUUUUUUUUUUUGGUGAAUUAAACAGUGGAAAGCGACAAACACUAUAGCUAACUUCCUGUUGGUGCGACUGUGAUUAGUGUUACCCGUUAUGAAUAUGAAAUUUUUGCAAUUGCUACGUGACUGGCAAUGCAGUUGAAUAAAAGUCCUUUCUUGCAAAUGUUUCCUUUACACUUGAAAAACAGAUAUAUACCACCCCAAGCUGGCCCCUUAUAGGGGUGAGCAAAUUCAGUACGUGCCGAAUUCAUACCCGAUUUCAAAUUCAAUUUGGUAAUUUGAAAUUGGAUAUUCAGUAAUUUGGAACAAAAGUGGUAUUUACCAAAUUCACUGAAUUUUAAUGUGAUAUGAAAUAGGUAAUGAGAUUUCCAAUUUAGUAAUAACCAAUUUCAAAUUCAAAUUCGGUAAAACAAAAUAGGGUACCAUAUUUAUCGCAUUUGAAUAACAAAUUAGUUUAUAAAAUGAUAUAAUAUAUAGGUCAAUGCUAUAUAGUAUUAAUAUAUUAUAUAGGUAAAGGUUAUUAAUAAUAGAUAACAUUUUUUUUUAGUGUAAGCGAGAAGACUUGAACCCGAGACCUCUUGUUUACACUCUCUUUCCCCGUGCCACCCAACCCAACCCUCCCCCCCCCAAAUAAUAGAUAGCAUAUAGCAUUAUCAUGUGCCUAUAAUAAUGAAAAUAUAUAAUGAUGUACAAUAUACUAUUUUAGUAUUUGUUAUAUGAUUAUAAUAAUACAAAUGCAAUAAUACAUAACUAUAAUACUUAUCUUUUUAUACAUAACUAGAAUCAAACAAUAAGUAUAAGUAUAGUACUAAAUAUUACACAUAAUUAAUAAUUAGAAUUUAGACAUUAGUUCAUCAUUCAUAUUUAGAUUAUUAAAUAUUUGAAUGGGUAACCUUUAACUUGCAAGUAUUAGUAUACUCUAAAAUUAUAUUACAAAUAUAAUAUGUGAAUUAAUAUUCUCUAAUCACUAAUCUUAUUUAAACAUAGACAAUUAAGCACUAUGAUUAAACAGUCUAAGUGAAUAUACGUGAAUUACAUAUCAACACAUUAGUAUAUUAGCAUUCACAAUUGAGAGCAAUCAUGUUAUUUGCAAAUUAAGCAUUUAAACUAUAUAAAAAAUAAGAAUGAAUGUAAAUGUAAUGCAACACAUAAUUAGUAAAUUAUAAGUGACUAAGUGUAUAUAACUGCACAAGUGAGUCCCAUUUUAAUUAUUUGGAAAUUACUAUCCAAUUAUAACCGAUUUCAUGACCUUUUCCGAAUUCAAUUUGGUAACCGAAUGAAUCGGAUAUUUCCAAUUCGAAAUUGAAAGCGGUUUAAAAUUUAACAAGUGAAAUAACCGAAAAAAUUGAAUUCAAAUAACCAAAUAAUCGAAUUUGUACCAAAUGCACACCCCUAGUCACAUGGACCAUUAAGCAAUGCUUGUUAAUUUACACAUUUAGUAACCACUACCACAACAUGUUUCCACAAGCAACUAUAAGGAAGAAAUGGUCUAUUGGUGUGUUUCUUAAGCAACUUGUUUCUGUAUGUAGAAUUUGUACAAGAUUAUUGACAUAUCUUUUGGAUCAAGAAAUGCAUAAAUAUUCAAAAAAUUCAAAGUGCAUAGUGGUUCUCCCAUUUCAUUUGUUUUAAUUCUUUUUUUCUUGGCAACCCCAUUUUAUUUGGUUGGACAUUACUAGAAGAAGCAGGGUUUUAAUAACUCAAAACAUUUCGUUUAGUCCCUCACAUGUAAAAUGUAGCCCCAGCCCAUUUUAGUAUAUUUGUUUUUAACUCAAAAAAUUACAUUAGGAGGAAAUUUUCGAGGAAAAUUGAAGCGGCAUAUUUCUUGUGUUUCAUUUUUUAUUUGAGCUAAGAAACAAAUGAUCAUUGGAUAGACAUUUUAUAUAGCUAAAAAAAAUUAUCCAAUUUGAGUUAAUUUUCAAAGAGUGAUUCUUUUCGUAUAACAACCAAAAAAGAUGAUAUUGACGAUCGGUUAUAAGGACUACAUUUUUAAGAGUUGAAAUCUUAAUAUUACAAGAUAAUUAUCAAUUUGUAUUAAGUUUUCCUGAGGUCGAAUAAGUCCAAUAUUUCUAGACAUUUCCAACUGAUUUGGUAAAAAAAAUUCUCUAGUAAAUUACUAUUGUUAACCGAGGCAAAGUUUUGUGUUCAAACUUUUUCUUUUUUUUUUUUUAGGCGUGUGUCAAACUUAAAAGUGGGUAAAAGUCUGUAGAAGAAUUAAAGAGAUAAUAGAGCAAUAAAAAUAAACAAGAAAUAAAGAGAUAAAUAUUGAAAAUUGAUACUAGUAAUUAAAAAAAAAAAAAGAGCUCUUCCAGGCUGUUAUCUUGACCAAAAAAGAGAAAAGGCGAGAUAAAUAAAACUUUUUCAUAAUGCAAGUGGGCUCCUUUAUUUCCAUCAAUCCCCAUCCGUCACCGAAGGAUAAUUAAUUCGGGACCUAAUUGGCACAUUUUGCUUUUUGUAUUUGGGAUGGCGAUGAUUUGACCGGAAACAAUUCUUAACGUGCGGGUCAAUUGAACUAGAAGUUGUUAUUUUGAUACUUAUAAUGUUCCUAAUAUUAUUCAAUAUUAAUAUGAUUAGGAAAUCCACAUAAAUUGAAAGAAACAAAUAUGAAAGUUUGAGCAUUUGUUUUUCGUCACUUUAUCUGUAUUAUUAUACUCUAUCCUAAUCUAAGUUAGAAGGCCUAAUUGAGCUUAUGGGAGAUCGAUGGAGACUAAACUACUAUCGAAUCAGAUAGGUGCGAUUUUUAGAUAUGUCAAAUAUUGUGAUAAUUGAUGGGAGGAAAGAAUUGAACCCUUAAUCUCUUACUCCAUCAAGCCGUAAGGACUUGGUGGUGGCCUUUGAGUUCGAGCAUGAUGGGCUUAAUUAUAAUUGACCUAGGAAGUAGAGAUGAAGCAUGCUCAAAUUGCCCCUUAUAACUUUAACAAAAUCAAUGUAAAAAAAAAAGUGAAAAAGCAGAAACUUGGCAAUUUUCCUUUAAAACUAAGAACCGUAUUUUCGGGUGAAUAAAUGGCACGAGAUGUACAUUUAUUUGUGGUUUCCUCGGGAAAAAGGGGCCAUCAUUUUGCUUCUUUUUUGAAGAGAAAAUAAACCAAUACAUGACAAAAAUAGUUACAAAGGAACCCCUAAUAACGGUCCUGAAUUGUAAAUAACAAUAUUAAUAUUUGCCUUCUAGAAAGGAGUUUACUUGUAUAUGUAUAUGUGAAGUUCAUACUUUUAGUCGGCCAAAAGCAACCAAAAGCAUGCAUUGUUUAGGCUUGAACCAGGCGCCUCCUUAAUUAUCCUUGAUGCAUUAGAACAAAAGAAAAUAAUUGUACUUGAUUCUACAAAACAAAAUUUGAGAUUUAAGAAAUUUGAGAACGAGGCAACUGCCAUCCAAAAGUAAUGAUUAAUUGACUAAUGAGGCACUUGAGGCGCGAAUGAAGUUUUGGUUUAGUGAUUAAAGUUGAGGGCUUGUGCCUUAGAAAUCUUGGAUUCCAAUUCUCCUUCUCUUUUUUCACUUCUUAAAUCUCACGCGAAUGAAGUUUUGGUUUAGUGAUUAAAGUUGAGGGCUUGUGCCUUAGAAAUCUUGGAUUCCAAUUCUCCUUCUCUUUUUUCACUUCUUAAAUCUCACACUUCUCCUGUUACAAAAAAAAAAAAAAAAAAAAAAAAACAGGGGGCAAGUGUAAUAAAAAUAAUAAUUUAGCUGCUACAGCUUGGGUUAAUUUUUUUAUAUGUACCAUUUGGAUCAAAAUUGUCUUGGUUUACCCAAAGUAACUGAAGUCCGAGAUAGCGGGCGCAAGGCACUGAGAUCAUUAAGUGUGGGAGACGAAAACUGCUUGAAAUUAUCUAUCCUGUUCUUAUUUAAUUACACUUAAAAUUGUCUAUUUCAAAUUUUGUUUCUGUUCUGUUUGUCUUGUCUAUGUUUAAUUAUCAUGUGUAUUGAUAAAUAACUCUUAAGAUUCUCUUGUAGAUAAGUCCAACAAUUAAUAGCUCUUAGAAUUUUAUUGGAGGAUAAGUCUAAUAAUACAAUACACAUGGUAGUUAAAUAAAAAGGGGGCAGAUAGGACAUAGAAAAAAUCUGGGACAGAUGAUUUGAAGCGGACAAAAACAUCUUCAUCACCUACCAUAUUUAUCCGGUCAAUGAAACUAAAACAUGUAGCUACAUCGAAGCAAAGUAGGACUAAGUAUUGGCAUGCUUUGCUGCAGAGCACACUACCUCAUGGACAGAGUACUGGCUGAAAAUAUCAUAAUGCUAGAGCGGCAAUUUUUACUAUUGUCAUUGAGCAACUUGUGAAUUUUCCUAUAACCUCAACGGUCAAUUAAAUCUUGUAAUUAAAUUCAGGGUAAAUUAUAUAUAAAUCUUCUUUAGUUUCAUCUAUUAUCACAUGACCCCUUUAACGUUUUAAAAUAUCCACCUCACCUUUCUAUGAUUUUAUGUAAAGUGAUAUUGGACGAAAAAUACAAUAUGUAACGCCACUAAUUGAAAUACCAAUAAUGCAUUUACUUAAAUACUAAAUCAAUUGAGGACUUAACUAUCUUAUAUAAAAGUAUAAGAGAAUUAUUUGGAUAAAUGCAAAAAUCAUAAAGGGGUAAAGUAGAUAUUUAUAUAAAUCAUAAAGGGAUUAUAUAGAGAUUAAGAUUUUAUCACACAUACUUUUAGAGUACGUUUGGUAUAAAUACCAUAACUAAUUGUGCAUUCUGUCAACUUUUCAUUUUAUAUAAAAUCAUAAGGGUAACGUGGCUAUUUUGAAUCCUUAGGAGGGUCAUUUGGUAUUAUAUAAAAUCACAGGAGUGUUAUACGUAAUUUAUUGUGAAAUUCAAGAGUUUAGUUGGCAAAAUAAUGUCAAGUUGGAGUUUCAUUUUUUGUACCAACUUAUAUCUCUCACAUUCCUUUCCCCUACUCUUAUCUCACACUUCUCUCCUUCCCAAGCUGUACAACAAAUAUCACCAAAUCGAGUAUCACUAUCGCAAAAACAUCCCCCAGCGCCAUUCGCUCCCUCAGCACCAUUACUUUCAUGUGUCUGAUUGCUUAUUGCAUAGCUCCAUGCUUCACUUCAAUAAUCAUCUUUGGCCCACAUGCCUGGUUUCCCUCCUACCUAUCCCCCCAUCCCAAAACCACCCUUAGACCCUCCUUUUUUUCUCAUCAACCCCUAACCACUUUGAAUUUUUAGGUUUUCAGCUCCAAACUGUCUGGCUUUAGAUGCUAACGAGUCUUUCUUCCUUUAUCCAUUUGUAGGUUCCAUGAAUAAUUGGGUUCCAAUAUUAAUGCUCUCUCUCUCCCCAUACACCCCAUCAGUCAAGCCUAGUUCUAUAUCUUCUUGGGUUUGUGGAAGUGAUGAGUUGAAAAUUUUUCAGCAGAGUAAAAGUCUCUUUUUUUUUUUUUUUUUUGUAUAACAUGAAAUUGCAAGCUCAGUGGAACUGAGUUACUUUAGGUUAGACUAUGUUUAUUAAUACCAUCUGCAGAAGGUGAUAAAACAAGAGACACCAUAGUUGUGCCGUCAUGGAAAGUGAGAAGUGGGAAUUGAAAAUGAGAGAGAGGAAUGAGGGAUACAAAUAUGGGCUACAACAAAUAAAAUUCUGACUUAGUAUCAUUCUACCAACUAGACUUUUGGUCAUCUAGUUGACAAGAUUUAAUUGUAUAUUGAGCAACUUAUGGGACAACCUAUAAGCUGCUUAAUGACCACAGUAAAGCUUGUCGUGCUAGAGCACCAAUAUUAACAAACAAAUUAAUUGUACAAAGGUUCACAGAUGCUGAUCAACUGACCCACAUUUCAAUUGUUGUCCUACCUAGUUUUUGUAGUGUUUUCAUACAAAAACUCAGAUCUGUAUCACAGGUUAUCAAAAUCCAGUCAUUAAGUUCAUCCUGAUACUUAAUUUUAAAACUUCCACCGGAUAGAUUGAAUCGUUGUGCAAUGUUGUUCUCCAGAUCGAUUUUACGGGCAGAAGAUGAAAGUUCAAAUUUUAUCUUGUCCUCUUGAUAUUUUGCCUUGAUCAUCCACAUACUGCUAUCAUCUUCUAGCCUCGUUGCAUCUAACCAGUGGUGUUCUUCAACAUUUUCAAUAGCGGGUUGAACAACUUUUUGUUUAGCAAAGACUUGGUUGACCUUUCUUUCUUUACGAGGGGGCCAUCUGUGAAUACCAUACUCCCUACAUAUACGCUUCAAUGUAGAUCGACUGACUGCAAAUUUUAGAAUGGAAAACUUCAGUGAAGGAAAAAGCCUUUACAAUGUGUAAACUAGAUAUUUCCAAAUAGAUCCAGAUUAAAUCAACAUGCAUUAACCAAAAUUUGAAUUCAAUUCUGAUCUAGAGAAAUGCGACAGUUAAAAAUUACCUCCAAUAUUUUUUGCAGCAUCUUCAAGUUUCCUCAUAGAAUUUUGUUCAAGAACCUCGUGAGUAAUUCCAAGGUCGCUUUUUAAAGUACAACUAGGCUCUUGCAUCUUUAAAUUAGUCACUUCAUUGCCGCUCUGUUCUAUACUAGCAUCAUCUCUUUUAGGAUCUUCCACAAUUGGUUCAUAAUCCGCUAUGCUGACCAUGUUCUGCAUGAGCACCUGUCCAAUUGAAGAUCUAACAAUUCCAUCUUGCUGUUCAUAAAUACCAUUCAUAGAAUUGUGCGCAACAUCAACUCCUGCAAGAUUUAAUUCUUGAUAUGAUAUGUUGACAAAGUCCUGCGCGUGCUCUGGUGCUUUUGCAACAAUCCCACUCUGCUGUCCAUGGACACCAUUCAUAUAAGCAUUUGCAGCAUCAACUUGCUGAGAUGAGAAAUCAACUUGCAUCAUUCCUUCUCCUCCUUGUGCUUUUGCAAGCCUAGGUGUAGAUUCAACACUUCCAUUCAUAGAACCAUUUGCAGCAUCAACUUGUUGAGAUGAGAAAUCAAGUUGCAUCAUUCCUUCUCCUCCUUGUACUUUUCCAAGCCUAGGUGUAGAUUCAAUACCAGUAGUACUGCAGAUUUCAAAAGAAUCAAAUUCAUCCUCUGGAGUGACUUUUAUAACCUCAACAGUCAAUUUUUGCCCCAAUUCUUGUCCUAAAGCAAUCUUAAAAGAACUCCUGAGGUAUUUUUUCAAUUUCUCCAUUAUGCUGUUCAGCAUUAUCCUACAAUCCCCAUAGUCUUUUUCAUUUGUAGGUAAAAAGAACUCCAGUACAUAAAUGCAAUUGCUCGAGCAAGAGCUCUGCAAACAAACUGCAAAACAGGCAGAGUCCCCAUAGUGUCGUGCAUUGGGUACCAACGGGUACUCUGUUAUGCUUAAUUGUCUUACAUCCCUACAAAAGCAUGCACUUUUGGAUGAGAAUGCUCUCCCAACUACCCCUUGUCCCUUCCGAAUAAAAUCUACGCCUUCACGAGAACUUAGUAUUUCUCCAGAAGUAGUCCAAGUUUCGGAAUAAUACAGUCCAUGUUUUGGACGCUUGAAUAUUGACUUGGUAUUUCUCAAUGCUUUGUCAAUUUUAGCAAUUUCUCCAUCUUGACCUAUAGAUGAAUGGCUUAAAAGUAUUAGCAUGGAAUGGAUAGCCUAAAGCUUCAGCCAAGGUUAUGCAGUAUAAAAAGAGGCAAAAAAAAUACUUGAGGUACUCACAUGAACUUGCUUCCGCGAGUCUUACACAAGUAGUUGUCAGAUUCACCUUCUGUAGUUGAUUCUAGCAAACACAUUAUUCAUGCGCAGCAAAUAAACUAAAGUGUUAUUUACAAGUUUCACAGUGUUUGCUUUGGCUUUUAAAAGCUGUUUAACAGGAACGGAUUUGCACUCAAAAAAGAAAAAAAAAAAAAAGCCAAUAAGAUAAGAUCUUUGUAUGCUUACUUAACUAAUUUUGGUAUAGAAGUUCCGAAAAGCCAAAACCUCCUUCGAACGACACAAAUUUUUUAGAAACAACUUCUUUCACUUAAAAAAUAACUUAAAAGAGAAGAUUAAUAUUAGGGUGACUGUCACCAUAGUUUUCGCAGUUAUAAGCAAUUGAAAAAUUGGUCAUUGACACAUGACAAAAGAGACCUUCCAUUAGCUUAAUUUAUAAAAAGCACCUGUCCUAUUGCCACCUAACAACUAGAAACCCAUGACUGCUGGAAACCACAAUCUAUCCCCAAAUUUGUAAAGGACAUGGAAAUACACAAAAUUCAUGCCAAGCAUCUCCCCCAUUGAAGUUAGGUUUAUCACGAAAUUCUUAUUAAGUGCCAAAUUUUGUUUGGUCUUGAGUUCACUAAAAACUUAAAUCAUUAAUGCUAUGCUAUUACAAAUCUUGCACCAUAUAACACACAAGAAGGCAAUGGUUGGUUAUGUUAUAAAUUACCUAGUUCAAAUAAUAAAUUAAUUAGUCAUCUUUAAAUUAGUUAUCACAAUAAGUAUGCUCUGAAGUGACCGUAAAGCCGAGACAUGUAGUUUGUAACUCUCAUGAAAAUUAUGGUCAGAUUGGCUUUUUUUAUAACAAAUGUCUGCACCCAUUUCAUAUAUAUAAUCUAAUUUGUUGAUAAAAUUAUACUAAUAAUUAUAACUCAUAAAUCAUAAGCAACACCACCAGGUCCCUGUGAGCAAUAGGAAAGAGGUAAUUAAGCAACUUAAAAAAAGAGAAAAGUCGAACCUGAAGCUUCUCCAAAACCUGACGUCGAGGUAAGUCGCCAACAACAUAUGGUGAUACAAUUUCCAGUACACCAACGGGAAGGUGCCGAGUAGGAUGAUAGAUUGGUAACGCCCAGUAAUACCUGGCACGGUCGACCGCAUAAUCACGUUGAGGAUACUCUCUACUAGUGUAAUCAUGCACAUCCUCUGCAUAUUCAGGGAAUCCACUGCGGAACACCCGACCAGGGGGACCAAUUAUAAGCUCAACAUCAUCAUCAUCAUCAUCAUCCACGGGUAUUAAG